GAAUUCAUAGAGCAAGAUAGUUCUAGGGGCUGUAACAAGAGAUGAGGACUACACAAAUUCUACUCUUGGGCCUUGCCCUCAUCCUUCUAUCCUCGGGUAUCUUCAAGACCUAUACAUCUUAUCUGCGUGUUCUGUUAGGCCCUCUAACACAUGUCACUAUUUUCAUUCCUAACGGUCUUCCUCUAUUCUCUCUUGAUAUUUAUCUAUAGGCAUGGAAACCAUUGAGGCGCGUGGAGCCUGCUGCCCUCAGAUCGAAAAGGGGAAGUGUAACAACAAUGAUUGUGCGACUUAUUGCAAGAUGGUGAAUGGCUGGGAGUGGGGUUGCGUCCCUGAGGGAUGCAGGUGUGUAUCAUGCUGGAAAGAUCCACAAUGCUCAGGGCUAGAAGUACGACGACCACCACCAAGACCCUUGAUGUAACAUUUUCUUUCAUGUUUGUUCUAUCAAUAUACAAAAAAUAAUAUGAGUCCCGUGUAGACAAGUAAUACGUGUCAACUGUCAAGGUCUAUGUGACCAAAGAGAAAUAGUAAGAUGUAUGUCGAGAGUUUCUUGGUCAUUGGAUGCUUUCUUCUAGCAACUCAAUCUUGCUGAGCAACAUCAGUCCUCUCUAUACUGUUACCAAAUUGAUUCACACCUAAGGAUUUGUACAGGUGAACCACCUAAGAUAUGCCCAGUUUCCCACAUCUUAGGCGAGUCAAUGAAUUAGGUUUUCUUGGAUGGUCCUCUGCAAAAUAUUGUCCUAAGAAGUGAAAAUGCAUGUGAUGAUUCUCUAGACUCGCAAGAUAAGCCACUUAUUACGGCAUAUGUUGAUUAUUGUUUGUCAAAUGAUCUUCCAUCUCAGUAGGUUUUAAGUGGAACUGCUUGUAGCUACUCAAAAUUGUUCCACCGCCUUUUGUCUCAUAUGGUCAUUUAUUUGCUCUGCCAAUAGUUUGCCUUUCAUCAAUGGUGGUUUGAUUCAACAGCCUCAAGAUAUGGCUAAUCACCUUACAGUGACUUGCACGAUUACCUCCAUAGACGAUAAACAUGUCUACAUUUGAUUUAAACUGAACACUCGGCAGAGGUUUUUAGUCUAUAUGGUUUCUUAUAAUGAUGGUAACAUAUGCCAGUUACACUGCAAGAAAAGUGCAUAUCUAUGACAAAAGGGAUCUACGAAAAAGAUAAAAGUGUUAUAUAGAAGUGACCACAUACGUAUAUGUAUAUGUAUAUAGCAGUUAAUAAAUUUUAAAAGAGGUAAUCUGCAUAAUUGCGAAGAAUGAAAAAAAGAGCUACGCACACAUGCUGAUUUCGUUUGUGUGCGUGUGUAUGUCAGGACCUGCAUAAAUCUCAAAUCAGAAUCAGAUUCGGUCUUUGAUGGCUACAGAUGAUUAAUCACUAGAUGCAAUUAGACAAAACCUGCUGAGAUCGGUCGCGCCUACGCGCAUACGGAAUCUGAUGUCCGCAUGAUGAUGCAUGUGAAGGCUUGCCGGAUUAGUUUCAGUUCAGCCUUUCAGGACCGCGUCCUCUCUCAGCGCGUCAGCCAGCCAAACAUUUUCGACGACCAAACUAAUCUUGCCUUAAUAGCUAAUCUAAGAUGAUAUACCAGUCACAUUACUAUCACAGAAUCACCAGGAGCCGGGCAGUCGGCUACGUCAGGUACUGCCCUAUGCAUGCCAUCUACUAGUAGAAGCGUCUCCUCGAAAGAUGGACGGCGAGCGAACUUGCUACGCAUCUCCUCGACGCCGUACCCCGAUUCCUGGCUUUUGCUUGGAAGAAACCAGGUAGAUGUUGGGAAAUAACCCACGGCGGGCAUGUCCAGUGCGUGUGUGUGCGCGUGCGCUGGGCGUGUUGGCUGCUGGUCGGAGCCGCGCCGAGUCUGUGGCCGUGCGUGCAUCAGGGUUAAAAAUUUCAACAAAGUUUCAGUUGAAUUUCUGAAAUUUCGCAUAUUUUGAUGGGGUCUGAAAUAUUUUUACCCCGAAAAUUUGAUGCAUAUUCAAAUCGAUUUCAAACUAAAUUAAAUUAUGUUAAAACUUUUUAAAAUGAAGUGAAAUUUGGAAUCUCAAGAUCUGAAAUAAUUUCCGAAAUAUGCAAAAUUUCCGAAAUUUCACAUAUUUUGGUGAGGUCCGAAAUUAUUUUGUUUACGACCCCAUGUACCCCCCUGAAACUAACCACUUGAAUUGCUCAGGAUUUGUUAGGUCGAGUGCAUUUUCUUCCAAAUCCAGUCAAUUUCAAUAAAAGUAUCGAAAAAUCCUGGGGUUAGGCACCUUUUUUCAAUGAAAUCUUGUUUUUUCCCGCAUUAAUUAGUUUAAUUUAAAACCUUGGCAUGCAUGUGUGUGUCUGGGCAUAGUCUGAUUAGUGUAUGGGCAUAGUCCGACAAAUGUAUGGGCGGUGUGUGUGCGUGUGUCUGUAGCAUGGGUUGUGCGUGUGUGUGUGUGUACAUCACGUGUGUGUGUGUGUGUAGGACUAGGUCUAGGCAGGUAGUGGAUCCCGGGCCAAGGGUGGAGAUCAUUGCGGGCUCGCCGCGAGCCACGUGUACGUGCACGUGGUGGCCACGGCCAAAGCGAGCUGAUCGGGCGCCCAACUUGGUAGGAGGCGUGGGGAUCGUGUCCCAGCGCCGGCCUAGGUAUAAAACCCCCCUGUGAUGAUCAUUGUAAUUGUCGUGCCGACAAAGUUCGUGCUCUGGGAUAGAAACAGGGUUGUUGUUUGUGCGGUGGGCAUUCGUGCGCCAGAAAAAAACACCACGUCCUCUCCUUCUUCCUUUUUCUUCUUGUGUAUGUGCCAAAGAGAGUGGUGACAGAGAGAGAGAGAGAGAGAGCUAGGACUAGAGACUAAUAGUAGACCAACUAGCUAGCUCUACCGCAUGAUCGUUGGAACUUUCAUGCUAGAAUUUGUCUGCGCUAGGUUGAAUUAGGUGAUCAAGGCCUCUGAUUUUGUGAUUUCCCCUUCUCUCUGGUCGCAGCGCUGGCGUGUGUCGGACGAAGAAAAAUCUGCUCUUAUGUUGCCUUUGUCUGUUGAAAAAAUUGAGACGGUUGUUGAAAGGAUCGAUAUGGUUGACUAGAGGGGGGAUGAAUAGGUAACUAUCGAUAUUUUAGGUUUUCUUAACAAAUUAGGUUUAGCAAAAAAUAGAUUGUCUAGAUGUGCAACUAGAUGAGCAACCUAUAUGAUUCUAGCAACAAUCACAACACAAGCAAGAAAAGAAUAUAACACAAAUAUUGCUUGUACAAAGUAAAGGUAAGAAGUAACCACAAGUGGAGCCGGUGGAGACGUGGAUUUGUUACCAAAGUUCCUUCCUUUGAGAGGAAGUAUGUCUCCGUUAGAGCGGUGUGGAGGCACAAUGCUUCCUAAAAGCCAUUAGGGCCAUCGUAUUGUCCUCACACCCUCGCACAAUGAAAGAUGCCGUGAUUCCACUAGUUGUGUCCUUGAAGGCGGCAACCAGGCCUUUACAAACAAGGUUGGAACUAUCUUCACAACCGAAUUGAAGGCUCCCAACACCACCACGAAGCAUCACCAUAACGGAAUAUGGCACCAAGGCGACAUCAACCGUCUAGGAUGCUCAAACACCCAAGAGUAACAAGANNNNNNNNNNNNNNNNNNNNNNNNNNNNNNNNNNNNNNNNNNNNNNNNNNNNNNNNNNNNNNNNNNNNNNNNNNNNNNNNNNNNNNNNNNNNNNNNNNNNNNNNNNNNNNNNNNNNNNNNNNNNNNNNNNNNNNNNNNNNNNNNNNNNNNNNNNNNNNNNNNNNNNNNNNNNNNNNNNNNNNNNNNNNNNNNNNNNNNNNNNNNNNNNNNNNNNNNNNNNNNNNNNNNNNNNNNNNNNNNNNNNNNNNNNNNNNNNNNNNNNNNNNNNNNNNNNNNNNNNNNNNNNNNNNNNNNNNNNNNNNNNNNNNNNNNNNNNNNNNNNNNNNNNNNNNNNNNGGAAGUGUAGAUCCAUAAGGAAUAAGUUUGAUUGGUUAUAAAGAGAGAUCGGGCGAAAAUGAGUUCAUGAGCAACAAUAGAGAGGAAGAGGUGAGUCAACUUCGAGAAGAUGACUCCUUUUUAUAAUGGGCGAGCGGUACUUCUGUUGGCAUGAAAGUUUCAGCAGCUACAUACAACUGGACAUGUCAGGGAGACGGUACUGCCACUGGAGCGAUACUACCGCUCCCACUAACGGUACUACCGCUUAGUGUUGAUCAGCCAGUUAAAACAGCGGUAGUAAAAGAGGGCAGCGCGGUAGUGCCACAUGGAGCGAUACUACCGCUAGCUAUUUCCGCUCUACUUUCGAUCGAAGGACAGAGGCAGUCCAGAAGGCAGAAAGUAAGCAACCGGGCUACCACGGAGCAGCAACCGGCUGCUAGUGGAGCUACGGCUCCGGUGCGCAAAGCUGCAACAGUAUGUGAGCGGAGCUGAGCCGGGCUACGACAGAGCUGCAACUGGCGUGUUGGCAUGCUAUAUGACGAGCGAGGGUGACCCGGUGACCAGAGACACGGCAAGGUGGCAUGCUACAACCAGCAAGGCCACAACCGUAGGAUGCUAUGAUAACCUGCCUGGCGGCUUGCUACCAUAGACAUGGCGAGGUGGCGUGCUACAACCGGCAAGGCGGCAUUCUACGCCGGCUGAUGCGGCAUGCUACGAUGCAGCGACACGGUUGCCCGGAGACCAAAGACACGGCGAGGCGGCUGCUACAACCUUCGGCGCGGCAUGUUGUAACCAUCCAGGACGGAGCUGUGACCGACAGCGGGCAUGCUGCAAGACGGGAGCUACUGCUGGGAGCGGACGGCGGGGGCUGCAGGACCAACGGGUGUCCUGCAUGCAUGGGGAGCUGGCACCGGCGACUUGCUGUGGUCGUGGCUCGUGGCUCGUGCGUCCGCCGCAGCCUUCUUCGCGCGGCGGUGGGAGCAGGGAGGUAUUUUUUCACGUUUGACUUUCGUUGAGAAUCUAAGAUACGGGGAGAAAGAGUGGAAGACGGCAUACAUGUGCGUGCGAUCAAACGGCCGAUGCCUCUGCCCCCUAUCGAACGUUGCAUGUGGUGAUUGAUACCAAUCGGGCACCCUGCCCGGGCGGCCGACGCAAAUUUGCGUCCUUUAAUUAAGGCACUUUUUUUGCGGAGACUUUAAUUAAGGCACUAGCUAGCUUAUUAGAUGGGUCAAAAAUUUAGGGAAUACUUCCGCGCCAUAAAAUUUACUUCAUUACAUUUGGAGGUUUCAAUUGCUCCACAUCAUUCAAUAGUAUGUUAUACAAUAAAUUUUUUUAGCCUGUACAAAUGAAAGUAUUGUGUUGUCAUAGAUAUUAAGAAACAGUAUAACUAAGCGAGCUACGGCUGCUCACAGCGUUUUGACGUUUGUGACCGUUUGAUUAGAUCGAUCGGCUGUCCUCAAGUCUCGCCUGGUGUUUCUAGGGCCACUGCUCCACAAACUUACCUAGGCCUGUUAUGGUCGAUCGGGCUGGAAGUAAAAGAUGGGCCGGACCUGGCCUCACAUCGUCCUUGCGAGCCUCUUUCUGGCCCUGCACACGUACGAGAGAUUCCUCGGUCGGCUGGUCACCGGUCUACAUAUUAUCGAACGAUAAAUUUAUUUAACUUUACAUCUAGCCUGACACAAGUACUCAUGUACUUUUUCCGUUCCUAAAUAUAAGUCUUUUUAGAGAUUCCAGUACGAACUGCAUAAGGAACAAAAUGAGUGAAUCUACACUGUAAAGUAUGUCUAUAUCCAUUUGUAUGUAGUCUGUAGUGGAAUCUUUAAAAAGACUUAUAUUUUGAAACGGAUGGAGUAGUCAUAUUCCCCUCACAUUUCACACGUCAUGAGAGAGAUCUAUAUAUACUACACAACCAACUGUUGAUGCUUUUUCUGGCCACCACCGGUAGAACCAAAUAUAUACCUGUAUUUUUCAUUUUUUAUAUGAUUUGCUAAAAUUCAACAAAAUUUGAUCAAAAUUUUGAUUUCUUUGAAUGAUUGUCUUUAAAAUAAUCAAGAGUUUUCCAAGAUUACUGUCUUUUUACGGAAAUCUGUAAUUCGGGAGUUUUACGAAAAGAAUAUGAAUAUGUGUUCUUUAUGUAUGUAUAUAGUCCAAAUCCCCCAGAUAUUAUUACGUUUCUCUCUAGAUAGAAGGGUGUGGCAACUCACGUGAAGAUGUUCUUUUUCUAUGAUGCAUGUGAAGGAUGAGUUCAUUUUGGCCAGUUAUUGCACAUAUUACAACUUACUUUUGUACUGUCCCCAUAAUCUAAAAUUAGAUGGAUGGUUAUUUUGAAGAUAUAAUUAAAUAAUAUUGUGGGAGAUAGAACAAAAUUGUGAUGGUUCCAAAUAGUCCAAUAUCUAAAUUUUCUCAUAUAGUUCUAUCAUUCUUUCAUUAAAAUGUCUUAUUAUUCUGUAAAAAUGUCUCUAAGGUCGGCGAGCGCUGCAACGCGCGCCUUUAUGGUCUAGUAAACUUAUAAAGCCUACCGACCAAGAAUCGCAUACAGAGGAUGCUGCUAUAACCGGGUGCAGCAGAGCGCACCAUUUCCUCUGGUACUACUUGUUGAACAUCCAAUGCUUUAGGUUGUGAUUGCAUAUGUUUGCAACUAUUUAAAUGUAUGAUUUAUUUUCUAUUGAUCUAGAUAUCCUUGUUAAAGGAAGGUGGUUGAACAAGGGACAAACAUUUUGUCCCUCUUGGAAAGCUUUCACCUCACCCAGUGUCUGUGGAUAUUUCAUGCCCUUCGUUUGAUGAUCCAAAUUGUGAGUUGUCCUCAGGUUUCUCUAUGUGAUCAAGUUAGCGAGUGGCGGUGAGAAAGAAAUCAUUUUAAUCAUUUUAUUAUUUGCCUUCGCUGAACUCUUCUUUUUGUGCACAUGUGCCUUUAUUAAACUCUGGUGAAACAUAUAUUAUACUUCCUCCGUCUCAAAAUAAGCGUCUCCACUUAUACUAAAGUUGAGACACUUAUUUAAGUGUCUCGAUUUAUACUAAAGUUGAGACACUUAUUUUGAGACGCGGGAAGUAUAUGCUUGAUUACUUAACCUUUAAUUAACUUCUCAUGAUUAUGCAUCCGGCCCGAAGCAUCAUCCCCGGAGUAUUACAUGCGCCUCACGUGGCAAUGCUUAUAUAUGUAAAACUAUGAGAACUUAGCAGAUUUCGUAAAAAUACCCAAACAUUAAAAUGGCCGUCAUUUUGUGGUUUUGAGCGAGAAAUAUGUCCAUUUCAGAUCCCGCAAAAUGGGCGGCAACGGGAAAAAAAAUUAUCCAGCCCUUCCUAAAACAACUCAUGCCCAAGAUAUCCAGUUUUGGAGGUGAUUUCUAGGGUGAACUGAAAAACCAUGUGAUGGUUGCCCGGAGGAAAAUUUGAGCCCAACCGUCACCGUACCAGCGCUGGACUCACUGAAGUCCGGCAAAAUUUCACAAAGGUGCUCCAAUUCGGCCCAAAUCCCCUCCAAUUUUCGGCGACCAACCCAAGUUCGACCGAUUUCAGUUAAUUGCGACUUUGGAGCUGGAGCUUAGGCGAGCGGGUGCCAUUGACAGGCGGCUAGGCGGGCAGGGCCAAUGCAGGGGAGGUCGGGAGCGAUCUCGAAGGCGGCCGGACGGGGCGUGGGGGCGAGCAGCUGGAAAGGUCUACGGGCGAGCACGACCAGGGGCAAGGGGGUAGGGUCGCGAAUGCAUGUUGGGAGGCAGGCGGUCAGGGUCCCCGCCAGCGGGCCGUGUGUGAGCUGGGGAGCCGGUGUGGCUGACUACGCGAGGUAUAGAAGAACCUGCAGACCUGUGGGCCUCAUGUGUAGAUUUCUUUUUACAGUAUUUUUGAGGUACCUUUUCAAUCCGGCGCCAUAUUAGAAAACCGUUUUAUGGUGUACCCUAAGGUUACUGAACCUCAAUUUAGUAGCAGGGUCAAAGAUGUUAUUUAUAUUCCUUUUGCAGAGGAAAGAUGUUCAUAUUAACAAUUACAGUUAAUUUCAUUUCUCCUCUAAAUUUUGGGCCAUGCUACGCGUCGGCCGGCGGAUUUUUUAGAAAGAUCCGCCGCCUCGGCAACUGUCAUUUGUACAGCUAUCCAGCAUCCAACACGGUUCUCAUUAUUGCAACAAGGGCAGUGUUGCAGAAAUACUUUGCAACAAAGGUUAUGUUGCAGAUUUUUUUCGACAUAGUUGAUGUUGCAGAUUUUUUUUCAUCACUGUGUUUUGCAACAUGGGUAUUGUUGCGGAAACCAAAUUGCAACACAAACAAUGUUGCAAAAAUAUUUGUUAUUUUUUUCGUCUUCAUUUUUUUCGCUUUUUUGUCUUUAUUUUUUCGCAACAUGGAUGUUGUUGCGGAAGACAGUUUUGCAACACACAUGACGUUGCAGAAAAAGAGACGCGAAGGAUACAUGUACACGUGUCACAUAGAAGAGGGCAGAAAGAGAGACAUGAAGGAUACACGUACACGUGUCACAUAGAAGAGGUGGCGGAUGGCUUGCGUGCGAUCCGUCCGGCGAAGGAAAGAGUUUCCCCUAAAUUUUAGGUUUGGGAUAGAUUAUAUCACAACUUCUGUUUUCAUCCCUUAUAACUUUUUUACAUUUUGACUAGUCGGUCCCACAUUUCAGUGUGGGCUUGGACGCCAUGUAAGACUGUACUAAUGUCAUAUCCAUUCUCCAACUGUCCAACGUAUAUAUGUUUCAUAAAACUGUAUCUGGAUCAUCUCAUCAUGCCGUCGUAUGUGUGGUGUAUAUUAAAGUCUCAAGCGACCUGUAGACUGGAUUACUAAGUAACUCUAGGCUGUAGAAAAGUGAGAAAGAGUUGGUCGAUCCAUGAUGAUGAUCCUUUGUCAUUUAGAGUAUCUACAGCCGGACGUCUUAAACCCGCUUUAUACGUUCGGCGGGCCGCCCGGUCACGAUUUUUUAUCCAGACGGACCCCUCAAAUGACCCUCAAACGUUUGGGCUGACCGACACCUCCCAUAUUCAGCCUAAAUAUGGGGCGGAUAUGGAGCGCUCGGGUGCGUCCGGGCACGUCCGCCAUGUCAGAUCUGGCCCACGCUGGUCCAUCCGACCCUACAUAAAUUUCUUCCUAUCCGCUCGCCGGACCAAACCNNNNNNNNNNNNNNNNNNNNNNNNNNNNNNNNNNNNNNNNNNNNNNNNNNNNNNNNNNNNNNNNNNNNNNNNNNNNNNNNNNNNNNNNNNNNNNNNNNNNNNNNNNNNNNNNNNNNNNNNNNNNNNNNNNNNNNNNNNNNNNNNNNNNNNNNNNNNNNNNNNNNNNNNNNNNNNNNNNNNNNNNNNNNNNNNNNNNNNNNNNNNNNNNNNNNNNNNNNNNNNGCUCAUCUCCGGUUCCUUCCAGCCGUCUCCAGGACGACGGGCAACAGAUCUGAGUCCUUCACCACCAGAUCCGUCGACCCCGAACUCAUCCAACGUGGCCCCGAGGAGGAGAUGACUGUCUGGCUUGCGCUCCGCCACACCCGGGAGGACCUCGGUGCAUGGUUGUGCUCGGACUCCAUCCGUCGGGAAUCCAUUGCAUCCGCCCGAAUGGCGCAUGGAUCCGGCGCUAGGCCAGCCGUAGCUGCCUCGCUGGAGGCUGUGCGGUCUGUGUGGCGUCCGAACGCGCUGGCGCACGCGCAACCCAUCCAUUGGCGCGCCGAUAUUCGGGACGCACCAUCGUCCCACGAGGCCAUGGCACGACAUGCCCAUCGUGCAAGGCACCAGACGUGGGAGGCGGCGGUAGCCCUCGCAGCAGCGGACAUCGGCGAGGCGAAGUCACAUUCUCAGGCGCCCAUUAUGGGGCAUCAGUCCGGGCGACACAACCGCAUCAUGGUGGACGUCGACGGCUCGUACCCGGACGGAUCCGUCAUCGAUCUGACGUCCACCUGCACCCAACGGGUUCCGGGCUCUGACGAGGAAGAGUAGGGCAUGGGAGACAACGGCGCAUUGAGUCCCGUGAGCCGGCUUGUGUCCCAUCCCCUACUCUACCUUGACGGCGACCGAACCAAUAAUCUGAGGAGCACGGCCGGCCGCCAGACAUGGCCAGGGCGGAACUGGGAGAGCAGGGUGUGGCACUGGGCGAGCUUCGUUUAGAUUAGGUUUCAUGUUGCAUGUAAUAAUAUGGAUUUGAAUUUGAGAUAUCCGGAUGUAGAAUGCAUUUUUUAAGACGUCCCCGGUCACUGUCCACGGGUGCGCCCGGGCACGUCUGUGGGUGUUUGAGGUGUCGGAUUUGAAGUCCGGAUGUAGAUGCUCUUAGUAAACUUUAAUUCCAGUUGAGCAGAAAUAUCCUUCAGGUUAAAGCAAGACAAGAGUCCAAAAAGCCAUAUGCUUAUUGUUAGUGAACAAUAGGAAAAGCGAGAAAGAUGUGAAACAUCUCUGCAAAUAAUUGGCUUAUGAUCAUCAUCUCGCACAUUACCGCUAGUCUCGGUUUGCACAGACGAUCAUAUGCUGCCUUGGACUCAAUGAUCGGGGAAUAGAAAUAUCUAAAGCUGAAAUAACGACUUCACAUUUUACUCCCAUAAAAGCUACAUUUACAUAGUAUUUCCAGUGAGUAAACCGACCAUUUUUGGAAUAACGACUUGAUCAAUCUUGUAGAGAACCAAAAGAACAAAAAAAAAUAGCAAUUCCAUUUUACACACGCAUAUGCUACACUAGGCGCACCUAGCCGCACCUAGCUAGCUAGUACUCCUACUAGCGCCUUGCCGCCUUGCCGCAAGCCGCCGCGGCUUCCUCCGCCGCCAGCCGCUCAUGCACUAUCCUGAUAUACGCCGCCGCGGCCGCGUCGAUGCCGCCCCGCUGCGCAACGGCGCCGGCGGCCCCGUGCACGCUCGCCGUGGCCAUCUUCUGCCUCUCCGUUCCGAUCUUCUCCACCCUCUGGACGCAGACUUCUCCAACACGCGACAUGUCGGAUGAUAUAUACUAGUGUGUUGAGUGUUUGGAUUUGGUUUGGACUGAAUGAAUGAAUGAUCGUGGAUGCACCGGAGGGGCAGGGUAUUUAUAGAGCAGCGCCCACCGCCUCCAUGCGGUCGCGUGGUUUCCAAGGAAGAGUCGUCUCCGAACAUACAUGGCUGCUGGAUUGAUGCGUUGACUCAAUGGCCCUGGUGGAACGUUCAACACGCACGUAGUAGUACGUACGAGUGCAAUAUUGUUAUACCUCACGGUGUUUCAGUUGGACUUGGUCAAUGUUCUCCCUUUAUGCCGUUUCAUACAUGUAGUCACUACUCUGUAGCUUGUCAAUAUAAUGACAUAUUCACUAGUAUCAAAAAGAAUUUCGCCUUUGCUAUUGCAUAGAUGGGUGAAAUUUUUCGCCGCAUAAAUGAUCCCGCGUGAGAGCAUGGCAGGGUGGCGUGGCGGCGUACGGGCCUCGUCUGGCGGGGACCAAAAGUUCGAGGCGGUGCUAGUGGAGUCUUUGGAUCAAGAUCUUACGGUUGAGCAAUUUGAUUGAAAAAUACAGGCGAUUGUGUAAUAGGCAGACUUUUUUUUUCUGAGUCACUAGUGCUAAAACUUGGACAGAAACUGUCGUCAAUACUCAAGACUACUCCAACUCUAUUAUCUCACUACUAUGUUCCAAAUGAUUGUAUUAACUGGUAAAUUAGUGGGAAAAGAAAGUAACGAUUGAUCACUCUGAAUGCGCCAAGUGAUACUUUUGGUUGUCUUCUGGGUAGUUAUCCUCAAAAAAAAAGUAACGAUGAGAAUUGCCAAGAAGCGACGAGUGAAAAAACACCUAUACGCACACGCUGAUUUGGUUUGCUAUAUAGGUCAGGACGUGCAACUGCUUCAUAAAUCUCAAAUGAGAAUCAGAUUCGGUUUUUGAUGGCUACAUAUGAUUGAUCACUAAAUAAAGGUAACAGACAAGACCUGCAGAGAUUCGGUCGCGCAUAAGAAGUCCGUUGUCCGUAUGAUCGUGUCUCCAUCGGCCAAAUUCCACGGACCAAAUUAAGCACGCGGGUUUACUAGUACAAGUACAUCUGUCUGAACUAGCUAAUUGUUUGGCUAAGCCGGGAUUAUAAUUUUCACAUAUAAACAAGGGUGCAACGUGUGAGAAGCAGGGACUAGCUAGUGUCACGGGGCUGCUAGAAAGUCCAAAAGUGUUUAGUUUGGUGAGUCAGUAAGUGAGGGUCAGAAAGAAGUGUUCCAUCAGUUUGUUUUCAAUACAACAUCCAUCAGUGAGUGAGGGUCAGAAAGAAGUGCUCCAUCAGUGAGUGAGGGUCAGAAAGAAGUGUUCAAUCAGUUGCCUUUGUUGAACUUUGCUGAAGCAUAUAUUUUACGCUUGAUUCCCCGCUCUCUAAUUAACUUUGCAUGAUCAGGCGUCCGGGCAGGAAGCAUCAUCCUAAUAAGGGUACUGCAUGUGCUUCACGCGGUAAGAGUAAGAACAAGAUCACUUGGAGGAGUGGAGUCACACACUAAAUUGAUGUACUCUCUCUGCACCAAAAUAUAGAACGUUUUUUUAGUUCAAAGUAGUAUCAGCCAGUUCGUUCAAAAAGUCAAAAAUCAUUCAAGUACACAUAUGUUUCUAUGGUUGAAACCCUAGCCACUGGAAGAAGAGGAGCUUCAUUUUUUCGCUANNNNNNNNNNNNNNNNNNNNNNNNNNNNNNNNNNNNNNNNNNNNNNNNNNNNNNNNNNNNNNNNNNNNNNNNNNNNNNNNNNNNNNNNNNNNNNNNNNNNNNNNNNNNNNNNNNNNNNNNNNNNNNNNNNNNNNNNNNNNNNNNNNNNNNNNNNNNNNNNNNNNNNNNNNNNNNNNNNNNNNNNNNNNNNNNNNNNNNNNNNNNNNNNNNNNNNNNNNNNNNNNNNNNNNNNNNNNNNNNNNNNNNNNNNNNNNNNNNNNNNNNNNNNNNNNNNNNNNNNNNNNNNNNNNCAAAAUGGAGCUCUCCCGUUUGUUUGGAUUCUGAACCGUCGGAUUAGUUGUCCAAAACGAUCCAGGCCGUCGGAUCUCUAGAUGGAGCGAUAUGGACCGUUGGAUCUCAGACAUCUCAGACGAAACGAUAUGGGUCGUCGGAUCGAGGCUGGGCAUGCCACCGCCUGUAAAUCCCGUGCCCCACCAAGGGCAUUCUUGUCUUUUCACACACAGGCGUAUAAAACGCAUCAGGUCAAAACCUAGCCGCCACCUACCGCACACGCGCACCCCGCUCCUCCUCUCCUCUGCGCCGCUGCCGCCCGUCAUCCUCCCCCGCAUCACGCGCGCACGCGCCCUGCCCCAUCCUCGCCUCGCUCCUCCUCUCCUCCGCGCCGCUGCCGCUCGUCCUCCUCCUCUCCUCUGCGGCGUCGCCGUUGUCCAUCGCCACCGCGCCCUCCUCCUCCUUCCACCUCCUAGCCCGCGCCCAAUCUCUGCAGCCCUUCUUCCCUCCCUGCGCCCGAAACCCUAGCCCUCGACCAUGGUGCCCGAAUCUGCAGGAGGUGCAGCAGAGAGGUCCCAGUGACCACGGCGGCGCAUUCGCGGCCGGUCCACCUCGGGCUGCUUCUCCACCACCACGCACCUGCCCCGCGUGCGCUCCUUCUCUCCCGGGAGUGGGCCGCAGCCAUGGAGAGUGGCCAGAGGAUCAAGGACGGCCAACCCCUGCCUCCUCUCCAGCAUGCUCGUCUCUGCCAUCUCUGCCGAAAAAGGAGACGGGAGCAAGAUGAGAAGACGAAGGAGAAGCCCUGCCAUCUCUGCCCCGUCCACUGCGUUGAGCGCGGGGACCGUCUGGGCUCUGCUUAUGCACCCCAAACUAUUCACCUCCACGCCACUUCCAAUCUCCCCAUCCCUUUCUUGAAGGUAUCUGUUGGGGAACGUAGCAAUAAUUCAAAAUUUUCCUACGUGUCACCAAGAUCAAUCUAGGAGAUACUAGCAACGAGAGAGAGGGAGUGCAUCUUCAUACCCUUGAAGAUCUCUAAGCGGAAGCGUUCAAGAGGACGGGGUUGAUGGAGUCGUACUCGUCAUGAUCCAAAUCACCGAUGAUCCUAGCGCCGAACGGACGGCACCUCCGCGUUCAACACACGUACGGAACGGAGACGUCUCCCGCGCCUUGAUCCAGCAAGGAGGAGGGAGAGGUUGAGGAAGAGAGUCCAACAGCAGCACGACGGCAUGGUGGUGAUGGAGUGGCAGUUCUCCGGCAGUCCUUCGCCAAGCUCACGCGGAGGAGGAGAGGUAUUGGAGGGCAGGGGUUGCGCCAGGUGCAAGGGUAUGGCCGCCCUCCCACCCCUCCACUAUUUAUAGGUGGGGAGAGAGGGGGUUGGCCCCCCUAGAUCCCAUCUAGGGUUGGGGGCGGCGGCCAAGGGGGGGGAGGAGUGCCUCCCAAGUCAAGUGGAGGUCCUCCCCCUUAGGGUUUCCCCUCUCCCAUGCGCAUGGGCCUUGGGGGGGCUGGUGCCCCUGGCCCAUUAAGGCUAGGCAGCCCCCCUACAGCCCAUGCUGCUGUAUUGGACGUGGUGGAACAUUUUCCGGACCUCCGGACCCCUUCGGAACCUUCCGGAAGCUUCCCGGUACAAUACCGGAAAAACCAAACUUUUCCUGGAACCCGAACAAUAACUUUCCAUAUAUAAAUCUUUACCUCCGGACCAUUCCGGAACUCCUUGUGAUGUCCAGGAUCUCAUUCGGGACUCCGAACAACGUUCGGUAAUCACAUACAAGUCUUCCUAAUAACCCUAGCGUCAUCGAACCUUAAGUGUGUAGACCCUACGGGUUCGGGAACCAUGCAGACAUGACCGAGACAUCUCUCUGGUCAAUAACCAACAGCGGAUCUGGAUACCCAUGUUGGCUCCCACAUAUUCCAUGAUGAUCUCAUCGGAUGAACCAUGAUGUCAAGGAUUUAGUCAAUCCCGUAUACAAUUCCCUUUGUCUAUCGGUACGAUACUUGCCCGAGAUUCGAUCAUCGGUAUCCUGAUACCUCGUUCAAUCUCGUUACCGGCAAGUCUAUUUACUCGUUUCGUAACACAUCAUCCCGUGAUCAACUCCUUGGUCACAUUGUGCACAUUAUGAUGAUGUCCUACCGAGUGGGCCCAAAGAUACCUCUCCGUUCCACGGAGUGACAAAUCCCAGUCUCGAUUCGUGCCAACCCAACAGACACUUUCGGAGAUACCCGCAGUGCACCUUUAUAGCCACCCAGUUACGUUGUGACGUUUGGUACACCCAAAGCAUUCCUACGGUAUCCGGGAGUUGCACAAUCUCAUGGUCUAAGGAAAUGAUACUUGACAUUAGAAAAGCUUUAGCAUACGAACUACACGAUCUUGUGCUAGGCUUAGGAUUGGGUCUUGUCCAUCACAUCAUUCUCCUAAUGAUGUGAUCCCGUCAUCAACGACAUCCAAUGUCCAUGGUCAGGAAACCGUAACCAUCUAUCGAUCAACGAGCUAGUCAACUAGAGGCUUACUAGGGACAUGGUGUUGUCUAUGUAUCCACACAUGUAUCUGAGUUUCCUAUCAAUACAAUUCUAGCAUGGAUAAUAAACGAUUAUCAUGAACAAGGAAAUAUAAUAAUAACUAAUUUAUUAUUGCCUCUAGGGCAUAUUUCCAACAGUCUCCCACUUGCACUAGAGUCAAUAAUCCAGUUCACAUCACUAUGUGAUUAACACUCAAGGUCACAUCCCCAUGUGACUAACACCCAAAGAUUUUACUAGAGUCAAUAAUCUAGUUCACAUUACCAUGUGAUUAACACUCAAUGAGUUCUGGGUUUGAUCAUGUUAUGCUUGUGAGAGAUGUUAUAGUCAACGGGUCUGAACCUUUCAGAUCCGUGUGUGCUUUACAAAUCUCUAUGUCAUCUUGUAUAUGCAGCUACCACGCUCUAUUUGGAGCUAUUCCAAAUAACUGUUCUACUAUACGAAUCCGGUUUACUACUCAGAAUCAUCCAGAUUAGUGUCAAAGAUUGCAUCGGUGUAACCCUUUAGAUGAACUCUUUUACCACCUCCAUAAUCGAGAAAAUUCCUUAGUCCACUAGUUACUAAGGAUAACCUUGACCGUUGUCCUGUGAUCCAUUCCUAGAUCACACUUGUACCCCUUGACUGACUCAUGGCUUGGCCACUUCAGGUGCGGUACACAACACAACAUACUUUAGAGCCUACGUCUAAAGCAUAGGGGACGACCUUCGUCCUUUCUCUCUAUUCUGCCGUGGUCAGGUCUUGAGUUUUACUCAAUACUCAUACCUUAUAACACAGCCAAGAACUCCUUCUUUGCCGAUCUAUUUUUGAACUCCUUCAAAAUUCUCUCAUGGUAUGUGUUCGUUUAAAAGUACUAUUAAGCGAUUUUGAUCUAUCCUUAUAGAUCUUGAUGCUCAAUGUUCAAGUAGCUUAAUCCAGGUUUUCCAUUGAAAAACACUUUUCAAAUAACCCUAUAUGCUUUCCAGAAACUCUACAUCAUUUCUGAUCAACAAUAGUCAACAACAUAUACUCAUCAGAAAUUCUAUAGUGCUCCCACUCACUUCUUUGGAAAUACAAGUUUCUCACAAACUUUGUAUAAACCCAAAAUCUUUGAUCAUCUCAUCAAAGCGUACAUUCCAACUCCGAGAUGCUUACUCCAGUCCUUAGAAGGAUUGCUGGAACUUCGCAUACUUGUUAGCAUCUUUCAGGAUUGUCAAAAAACUUCUGGUUUUAUCACAUACAACCUUUCCUCAAGAAACACGUCGAGGAAACAAUGUUUUGACAUCCUAUCUGCAAGAUUUCAUAAAUAAUGCAGUAACUGCUAACAUAAUUCCAACAGACUCUUAGCAUCGCUGUCGUGGUUCUAAGCCUGACAGUAGAGUGGGGGGUAGGUAUUGAGAGGCAAGGUCCUAGCUACGGAGAGGUUGUAAGCACAAAGGAUGUACGAGUUCAGGCCCUUCUCGGAAGAAGCAACAGCCCUACGUCUCGGAGCCCGGAGGCGGUCGAGUGGAUUAUGAAUGUAUGGAUUACAAGGUGCCGAACCCCUCUGCCUGUGGAGGAGGGUGGCUUAUAUAGAGUGCGCCAGGACCCCAGCCAGCCCACGUAGGAGAGGGUUUAAGGUGAGUUAAGUCUGGGGCGUUACUGGUAACGCCCCACAUAAAGUGCCUUUACUAUCAUAAAGUCUACUUAAUUACAGGCCGUUGCGGUGCAGAGUGCCUCUUGACCUCCUGAUGGUCGAGUGAGUCUUCGUGGUCGAGUCCUUCGGGCCAGUCGAGUGAAUCCUCGUUGGUCGACUGGAAGGCGACCUUUUCUAGGGAUGUCCUAGGGUAAGUUACUUGGAACAGGUCCAUGACCCUACCCUAGGUACACAACCCCAUCAUUAGCCCCCGAAUGGAUUGAGGCUUCGAGUGAAGAAGGCGUUGAUGUCGUUUUCGAUUAACCUUUGCGCUCUAGUUGUGCGCUGUUCUGGAUCAAAAAUCUCUUCGUUGACAGGGAGCAAUUUGUCUUCGGUCGACUCGAUCCAUUCUAUUUUUGCGUCGAGUGAUCUUUCGAGCUUUGACGAUCUCCGAGCGACGGAUCGCCGGAAACACCGCGUCUAACAGACUGAUUUGUUGCUCGCGGAUUCCGCGGGGUGCGAAAUUUGGGGGCGCGCGCGAAGCGGGGCAGACCGUGGCGUUCGGAUGGGACGGGGCAUAGACGCCUCGAUCUCCGCGCCGCCUUUUUCGCCACGUAUCCAGUCCUCAUAACUGCUCUUAGAUAUGAUUAGAUCGACCGGGCCCACAUGUCAGCCACUCGGAAGAGACCUUAUAAAUGCGCCCGGCGGGGAUUUCUGUGUUGCGCCUCAGCAUUCCCCCUCUCUCCUUCUGCCUCCUUCCUCUCUGCUCAGCGCGCUCGCUCUCACCUCCGCACCACUUUCCUUCGCGCAUUUCGCCGGCGACCAUGGCCAAGGAGAAGACGGCGGCGCUGGAGCGUGCCAAGAAGGCGUCGGCAUCGGAGAAGGCGAAGGGGAGAUCCACCACCCGCAGGGGGUCCUCGUCCAGAUCCCGCCUGCCGAAAGGCUGGGUCCAAGGAGACUGGAUCCAGUCGACCAUCACGGAGAAGGACCUCCUCGACAUGGCCAACGAGGGCUUGAUCCCUCACAGAGCUGCGAGGUUGCCGGGGAAGGAGUGGCAGCCACAACCAGAAGAGGGUGAGUGCGUGCUCCUGGCCACUCAUGUCGACCGAGGGUUUUCCUUGCCACCCAGCAUUUUCUUCCGUGGCUUCUUGAAUUUCUUUGGAGCGCAGCUCCACCACUUUACCCCAAACUCCAUUGCCUAUCUUGCUGCAUUCGUGUCCAUGUGUGAGGGUUUCUUGGGCUGCCGACCGCACUGGGGUUUGUUCAAACGCAUCUUCACGUGUCGCUCUCAGACCGUGAAGAAGGCUAGCCCAGGUGACGAGAAGACCCGAGUCGUCCAAAUGUGUGGGGGCCUGGGGAUUCAGGUGAGGAACAAUAGUACCUUCCCGCCCAUGAGCUUUCCCGAGUCCGUCAGAGGCUGGCAGUCGACUUGGUUCUACUGCCAGGUCCAGUCGACGCCAGGGCAGUCGAGUGGACUCCCUCCGUUUACCAUGGACCGAGUGAACAAGCCCUCCCCUCUGAAGCUGAUUCCGGAGGAGAAAGCCGAUGUGAAGAUGUUGAUGGAGCGCGUGGUGCAGUUGGUUCGGGAGGGGGUGACGGGCAUGGAUCUUCUGGAGGUCUUCCUCAGGCGUCGCAUCCAACCCCUUCAAUUCCGGAGCCACUGCAUGUGGUUGUACUGUGGGCCCGAAGACGAAACUAGAGUCCAUCCAGAAGAAGUCGACGAUGUCACUCUGGAAAGAUGGAUGGUAGCCGUUACCGGAAACAGGGACAACCCGCGCGGAGCCAGAAGGAUUCCUCCACUCGACCGCAACAGCAACCCAAACAAGGUACACUUGCUCUGCCCUCCACUGAGUCCUUGUCGUAUUCAUUUCUGCUAACCCUGUCGACUGGUCGACUGAUCUUUGUUUGUGCAUCUGCUAGGCCCUCACUGAACUGUACUCGAUGCCCAAUGGGGCACAAGCCUCGGCUGAGGAAGGCGAGGCGAGCGGGGGCGAGGCGAGCGGGGGCGAGAGCCAGGAAGAGGAGGAGUGGGAUUCGGAUGCUGCAGGGGAUGAUGACGACGAUGAUGAUGACGAAGGUGAUGAAGAUGACCUCGAGGACGAGGAAGAAGAGGAGGAGGAGGUCGUUCCACCGCGCUCAGAAAGGCGGUCGAAGCUUGUCCACGAUCCUUCGACUGAACGUGGUAAGGGGGUUGGGACCGCAAUUCAGUCGACCAAGCGCCCUCGGACCACCUCUCCGGCGCCGACUGAAAAGGCGCCGAAGCAGCCCAGGGCGGCCUCAUCGAAGCCGACCAAACUCUUGCCGAAGAUGAAGGUGUCCAUCCCCACCAUAUCAGGGUAAUUGCGUUGCUCAUAUUUUCUUACACUGUGCGAACUUUGUCUUUGGUCGACGCUGAUGUUAGUCGACUGAUUCUUUGGAGUUGCAGUGCUGCUACCUCUGAGACUUCGGCCCGGGCCGAAGACCACGAGAUGGAGGAUGCGGCAACUUCGAACCCAGGUACUGUAUUCUUAACACCGUUGUUAGUCGACUGAUUUGCGACCUCUGAUCCUGAUUCUUCUUCGCAGUUCCGCCCCAUACUGUUAUCGAUCUUCCUGACGACGACGAGGAUGAAGAACCACUGGCACGCGGGAAGAGUCGGAAAACGCCCGCCAGUAAGGUGCCUCGGGACGUGACGGCGCCUGAGACUCUGACUGUGGAGGAAGAGAACACCACUCGACACACAGUGUCCUUCGCGAAUCCACUGUCGAGUGCUCAGCAGCCUUCCCUCUUCACGACUCACCACGUCCCAGAGGACCAAGCUGGUGCAGCGAAGGAGGCAAUACGCCAGGCGGGGCUCAUGAUGGAGCAGCUGAAGACCAUCCGGGAUGCGAGCCAGGCAGCUUAUGACGCCAGCUCUGCCCUCCAAAGCAAUGUCCAGGUCAGUCGACUGCUGUUUGUUCUGUUGGAUAUGCUAGCAGAAGCUUUUCUUUUCCGGGAUUUAUAUUAGCCACCCACUGGGUGUGUUGAAUAGGCUUUAUGAUAUCAAUCUUUCUGUCAGUCGACUGGUCGACUGGAUUUCGCAAACCGGUGGGGGCACGCUGAGUGCACCCACUGGGUGUAGUCCCCAAGGCUGAGGUCGACUGCUGGCAGUUGAUCACAGUCUUAGAGAAUGUGUCUUGCACACUGUGUUUUUUUUUUUUUAAAGGUCGACUGGUCGACUUUGUUUUCGACAGGAUUAGUGGGGGCACGCUGAGUGCACCCACUGGGUGUAGUCCCCGAGACUACGGUCGAAUGCUUGUAUUCGGCUGUAGUCUUAGAAACGUGUGUUUUUCCCUUUUUCACUCGGAAGUGAGUUACGUUUGACGUUUAGUCGAUUGGUUCUUCGCAGAACUCCUGUGAUCUUGUGGCUCGCUACUCAGAGCUGGAACAGAAGCAUACUCAAGUCGAGCUGAGCUUGAAGCUGGUUCAGGAGAAGCUGGCGAAGGCAAAGGAGGAGACCGAAGGUAUGUUUGGUGAGACCCUGUCGACUGCUUUUUCCCUUGCUAGUUUCGGCAUCUGAUCUUGCUGUAACUUGCAGGUAAGGUAAGGGAGGCCCAGCAGAAGAAAGACCUUGAACUAGCUGAGAAGAUCAAGCUUGCUGACGAGAAGUUGGCUUCAGUCACCAAGCUCGAACAAGACAAUACCAAUCUGAAAACUGCUCUUGGGAUUGCCAACAAGGAGGUCAGUCGACUGAGAACUGACAAAGCUGCCCUGACCGACCAAGUCAGCAAAUUGACUGAGAAGAAAACUGAACUGGAAACCUUCCUGAGUGGCCUUGCCAAGAAGCUGUUUCUUAUGCUUGAAGGUAAAUCUUCAUGUUUGGCAAAUAUUUCCAAUUGUGGCCUUUUUCAUUCGACUAUCUCUUUGACUUAAUGAUCAUCCUUGCAGAAUUUUGUCAAAACUUUGAAGAAGAAACCAGCCGACUGGAGCCAAACCUUGACCCCGUCAAUUCUCCGGUGAACGACGAAGUUGCCAUGGAUGUCUUCCGACUGGAGUCGCGUGUUGCAGCUGUCGUGGACUAUCUCGCAAGGCUGAAGGCCGCCACAUCUCGCAUCGACUCGACGCUCUGGCCUGAGGAGACACUUCAGAAUGACCUUGAGUCGCUGAUGGCCCGCUUGAACACGAUCCCUGGUCGAGUGCAAGAUUGGAAGAAGUCCUCGGCUCGGUGUGGCGCAGAUGUCGCUCUGUGUCUGGCCCGAGUCCACUGCAAAGAUGCACGAGAGGAGAAGCUGGCGGCCCUUCGGGUGGCCAAUACCAAGAAGCACGACUUUAGGUCCUUUAUGGAGACUUUCCUUGCAGCUGCCACUCGGAUCGCCGACGGAAUUGACCUUGAUGAAUUCGUUGCACCUUCCAGCCCUCCGCAGGAGGGGUAAAAAACUUCUUCUGGCUCGACUCUUUAAAUUUGCCUCGGUAUGCCGAGUGGAAUUGUAACCGACGAACUUUAACAGGCUUGACGCCUCAGCACUUUCGGUUCCUUUAAAUAUCGAUUCAAGCUUGAAUUUGGCGCUUGGAUAUGAUUGCCUUUGGCUCAAAAUGUCUUAUGCAGAUUCAAAGCAAGGUGCCUGUGUUUAGGCGAGCGCUUGGACUGCAGCUAAGCCUCCUGAGUGAGAGGGUCGCUCUUCACUCGGUAGGAUUUUUGUAACUUAGGCGAGCACGAGGCUGCAGCUAAGCCUCCGAGUGGAAGGCUAGCUUACCACUCGGUAGGAUUUUUACAACUUAGGCGAGCACGAGGUCGCAGCUAAGCCUCCGAGUGGAAGGCUGGCUUACCACUCGGUAGGAAUUUGAUAAACUUAGGCGAGCACGAAGCUGCAGCUAAGCCUCCGAGUGGAAGGUUGGCUUACCACUCGGUAGGAUNNNNNNNNNNNNNNNNNNNNNNNNNNNNNNNNNNNNNNNNNNNNNNNNNNNNNNNNNNNNNNNNNNNNNNNNNNNNNNNNNNNNNNNNNNNNNNNNNNNNNNNNNNNNNNNNNNNNNNNNNNNNNNNNNNNNNNNNNNNNNNNNNNNNNNNNNNNNNNNNNNNNNNNNNNNNNNNNNNNNNNNNNNNNNNNNNNNNNNNNNNNNNNNNNNNNNNNNNNNNNNNNNNNNNNNNNNNNNNNNNNNNNNNNNNNNNNNNNNNNNNNNNNNNNNNNNNNNNNNNNNNNNNNNNNNNNNNNNNNNNNNNNNNNNNNNNNNNNNNNNNNNNNNNNNNNNNNNNNNNNNNNNNNNNNNNNNNNNNNNNNNNNNNNNNNNNNNNNNNNNNNNNNNNNNNNNNNNNNNNNNNNNNNNNNNNNNNNNNNNNNNNNNNNNNNNNNNNNNNNNNNNNNNNNNNNNNNNNNNNNNNNNNNNNNNNNNNNNNNNNNNNNNNNNNNNNNNNNNNNNNNNNNNNNNNNNNNNNNNNNNNNNNNNNNNNNNNNNNNNNNNNNNNNNNNNNNNNNNNNNNNNNNNNNNNNNNNNNNNNNNNNNNNNNNNNNNNNNNNNNNNNNNNNNNNNNNNNNNNNNNNNNNNNNNNNNNNNNNNNNNNNNNNNNNNNNNNNNNNNNNNNNNNNNNNNNNNNNNNNNNNNNNNNNNNNNNNNNNNNNNNNNNNNNNNNNNNNNNNNNNNNNNNNNNNNNNNNNNNNNNNNNNNNNNNNNNNNNNNNNNNNNNNNNNNNNNNNNNNNNNNNNNNNNNNNNNNNNNNNNNNNNNNNNNNNNNNNNNNNNNNNNNNNNNNNNNNNNNNNNNNNNNNNNNNNNNNNNNNNNNNNNNNNNNNNNNNNNNNNNNNNNNNNNNNNNNNNNNNNNNNNNNNNNNNNNNNNNNNNNNNNNNNNNNNNNNNNNNNNNNNNNNNNNNNNNNNNNNNNNNNNNNNNNNNNNNNNNNNNNNNNNNNNNNNNNNNNNNNNNNNNNNNNNNNNNNNNNNNNNNNNNNNNNNNNNNNNNNNNNNNNNNNNNNNNNNNNNNNNNNNNNNNNNNNNNNNNNNNNNNNNNNNNNNNNNNNNNNNNNNNNNNNNNNNNNNNNNNNNNNNNNNNNNNNNNNNNNNNNNNNNNNNNNNNNNNNNNNNNNNNNNNNNNNNNNNNNNNNNNNNNNNNNNNNNNNNNNNNNNNNNNNNNNNNNNNNNNNNNNNNNNNNNNNNNNNNNNNNNNNNNNNNNNNNNNNNNNNNNNNNNNNNNNNNNNNNNNNNNNNNNNNNNNNNNNNNNNNNNNNNNNNNNNNNNNNNNNNNNNNNNNNNNNNNNNNNNNNNNNNNNNNNNNNNNNNNNNNNNNNNNNNNNNNNNNNNNNNNNNNNNNNNNNNNNNNNNNNNNNNNNNNNNNNNNNNNNNNNNNNNNNNNNNNNNNNNNNNNNNNNNNNNNNNNNNNNNNNNNNNNNNNNNNNNNNNNNNNNNNNNNNNNNNNNNNNNNNNNNNNNNNNNNNNNNNNNNNNNNNNNNNNNNNNNNNNNNNNNNNNNNNNNNNNNNNNNNNNNNNNNNNNNNNNNNNNNNNNNNNNNNNNNNNNNNNNNNNNNNNNNNNNNNNNNNNNNNNNNNNNNNNNNNNNNNNNNNNNNNNNNNNNNNNNNNNNNNNNNNNNNNNNNNNNNNNNNNNNNNNNNNNNNNNNNNNNNNNNNNNNNNNNNNNNNNNNNNNNNNNNNNNNNNNNNNNNNNNNNNNNNNNNNNNNNNNNNNNNNNNNNNNNNNNNNNNNNNNNNNNNNNNNNNNNNNNNNNNNNNNNNNNNNNNNNNNNNNNNNNNNNNNNNNNNNNNNNNNNNNNNNNNNNNNNNNNNNNNNNNNNNNNNNNNNNNNNNNNNNNNNNNNNNNNNNNNNNNNNNNNNNNNNNNNNNNNNNNNNNNNNNNNNNNNNNNNNNNNNNNNNNNNNNNNNNNNNNNNNNNNNNNNNNNNNNNNNNNNNNNNNNNNNNNNNNNNNNNNNNNNNNNNNNNNNNNNNNNNNNNNNNNNNNNNNNNNNNNNNNNNNNNNNNNNNNNNNNNNNNNNNNNNNNNNNNNNNNNNNNNNNNNNNNNNNNNNNNNNNNNNNNNNNNNNNNNNNNNNNNNNNNNNNNNNNNNNNNNNNNNNNNNNNNNNNNNNNNNNNNNNNNNNNNNNNNNNNNNNNNNNNNNNNNNNNNNNNNNNNNNNNNNNNNNNNNNNNNNNNNNNNNNNNNNNNNNNNNNNNNNNNNNNNNNNNNNNNNNNNNNNNNNNNNNNNNNNNNNNNNNNNNNNNNNNNNNNNNNNNNNNNNNNNNNNNNNNNNNNNNNNNNNNNNNNNNNNNNNNNNNNNNNNNNNNNNNNNNNNNNNNNNNNNNNNNNNNNNNNNNNNNNNNNNNNNNNNNNNNNNNNNNNNNNNNNNNNNNNNNNNNNNNNNNNNNNNNNNNNNNNNNNNNNNNNNNNNNNNNNNNNNNNNNNNNNNNNNNNNNNNNNNNNNNNNNNNNNNNNNNNNNNNNNNNNNNNNNNNNNNNNNNNNNNNNNNNNNNNNNNNNNNNNNNNNNNNNNNNNNNNNNNNNNNNNNNNNNNNNNNNNNNNNNNNNNNNNNNNNNNNNNNNNNNNNNNNNNNNNNNNNNNNNNNNNNNNNNNNNNNNNNNNNNNNNNNNNNNNNNNNNNNNNNNNNNNNNNNNNNNNNNNNNNNNNNNNNNNNNNNNNNNNNNNNNNNNNNNNNNNNNNNNNNNNNNNNNNNNNNNNNNNNNNNNNNNNNNNNNNNNNNNNUCGCCAUAGACCAUUAGGCGACGGACGCCGAGUGAAAUGGCCAUGCGCAACCCAUAUAGGAGGGCCUCAUAUUCUGCCUCAUUGUUGGAGGAAUCAAAGUGAAUCUGGAGCACAUAUCUGAGCUUAUCUCCUCUGGGGGAAACCAGGACAACCCCAGCACCGGAACCAUUCAACAUCUUAGAACCAUCGAAAAACAUGGUCCAAUGCUCCGAGUGAACUUCAGUCGGCUGCUGCUGUUCGAUCCACUCGACGAGGAAAUCUGCUAUUGCCUGGGACUUAAUGGCUUUCUUUGCCUCGAACUUGAUAUCAAGGGGAAGAAGUUCAAUCGCCCAUUUGGCCACUCGACCAGUUGCAUCUCUGUUGUGCAAAAUCUCUGAUAGUGGAGCGUCGCUGACGACUGUGAUUGAAUGGUCAGAGAAAUAAUGAGCAACCUUCUUUGUGGUCAUGUAUAUUCCAUACACAAGCUUCUGAUAAUGAGGAUAUCUCUGCUUGGAUGGAGUCAAGACUUCAGACAAAUAAUACACUGGGCGCCGAACUUUGAGAGCUUUUCCUUCUUCUUCCCGCUCGACCGUUAGCACAGUACUGACGACUUGUCCUGUGGCUGCGAUGUAGAGCAACAGAGGCUCUUUGCUGAUUGGAGCAGCAAGCACCGGCUGGGUGGAGAGCAGAGCUUUUAGCUCGGCAAACGCUGCAUCAGCUUCUGGAGUCCACUCGAACUUGUCAGCCUUUUUCAUCAGUCGGUAAAGAGGCAGUGCCUUUUCACCGAGUCGUGAGAUGAAUCGACUUAAUGCGGCCAAGCAUCCAGUAAGCUUCUGGACAUCGUGCACUCGCACAGGGCGUUUCAUUCGGAGAAUAGUGCCGAUCUUUUCUGGGUUGGCGUCGAUUCCCCGUUCGGAAACGAGAAAACCGAGUAACUUGCCACCAGGAACUCCAAAUGUGCACUUUGAUGGAUUGAGCUUGAUAUCAUACCUUCUGAGGUUGGCAAAUGUUUCAGCAAGGUCAGCGAGCAGGUCGGAACCUUUUCGUGACUUGACAACAAUAUCAUCCAUAUAAGCUUCCACAUUCCGACUGAUUUGAGUGAGGAGACACUUCUGGAUCAUUCGCAUAAAUGUGGCUCCGGCAUUCUUGAGACCGAAUGGCAUGGUGAUAUAGCAGAAGCACCCGAAUGGAGUGAUGAAAGCUGUUUUUACUUCAUCGGGCCCAUAUAGACGGAUCUGGUGGUACCCGGAGUAAGCAUCUAAAAAAGACAACCUCUCGCAUCCCGCGGUCGAGUCAACAAUUUGAUCUAUGCGAGGGAGAGGAAAGUGAUCUUUCGGGCAGGCCCGGUUGAUGUGCUUGAAAUCAAUGCACAUUCGGAGCGAUUUGUCCUUCUUAGGAACCAUGACGACAUUAGCGAGCCACUCGGAGUGGAAUAUCUCUCGGAUAAAUCCUGCCGCCAACAGUCGAGCCACUUCUUCACCGAUGGCCUUUCUCUUCUGGAUGGCGGACCGCCGAAGAUGUUCUUUGACUGGUUUUGCAGACUUGUCGACUCUUAGGCGAUGCUCAGCCAGUCCCCUGGGAACACCUGGCAUGUCAGCGGGCUUCCAUGCAAAAAUGUCCCAGUUCUCACGGAGGAACUGGAUGAGCGCUUCUUCCUAUUUUGGGUCGAGUGAUGUGGAGAUGCGGGUCGGAGCUGCUUCAGGGUCGGUCGGGUGAAUGUGAACAGGCUUUGUUUCACCGGACGACUGGAAUGCAGAUUCUGUGGCGGGCUUCUUGGAUCGCAGCAAGUCACUCGGAUCUGCGCUUUGCUUGUAUUCUUCGAACUCGACCGCUGUCACUUGGGAAUCGGCAAUUUUGGAGCCCUUCUAAAAGCACUCUUCUGCCUUUUUCCUAUCACCGGUGACAGUGAUCACACCUUUGGGACCGGGCAUCUUCAAUUUGAGGUACACGUAACAUGGUCGAGCCAUGAACCGUGCAUAGGCUGGCCUCCCCAAAAUGGCAUGAUAUGCACUUUGAAAAUCCACGACCUCAAACGUCAACUUUUCUUUGCGAAAAUGCUUUGAAUCGCCAAACACUACGUCCAAAGCUAUCUGGCCGAGUGACUCGGCCUUCUUCCCUGGUAUAACUCCAUGGAAGCUCAUGUUACUAGUGCUCAGUCGGGACAUCGGAAUGCCCAUACCUUUCAACGUGUCUGCAUAUAACAGAUUCAGCCCACUUCCACCGUCCAUCAGCACCUUUGUCAGUCGAGUGCCUUCGACAACUGGAUCGACCACCAAAGCUUGCCUCCCAGGGGUGGCAAUAUGGGACGGGUGAUCAGAUUGGUCGAAUGUGAUGGGCGUUUGAGACCACUUCAGAUAACUUGCCUUUGCUGGGGCAACCAUGUUAACCUCUCGGUUAAUCACUUUCAGUCGACUUCUGCUUUCCACAUCUGCGAAGAUCAUCAGAGUGGAGUUGAUAUGCGGAUAUCCUCCCUCACUGUCCUCUUUGUCUUCGGCUUUGUCUGACUCCUUCUCCUUGUCCUUAGACUGUUUUCCCUGAAACUGCUGGAUCAGGAGCCGACAUUGGCGAGUGGUGUGCUUUGGGUAAAUGAUAUUCCCCUCUUCAUCUUUCUUCGUGUGGAUGUGGCACGGCAUAUCCAUCACGUCGUUCCCUUCUUUAUCCUUCACCUUCUUGGGGUUCCAGGAUCCUUUUGGUUUCCCCUUAGAUUUUCCUUGAGUCACGGCUAGAGCCUCCCCAGGAGCUGCCGGUUCAGCCUUCCGCUUCUGUUUCCGACUGGUGUUUCCUUUUUCCGACUGGCUCGGCUUGUGUUUGCCGCUUCGGAGUCGGUCUUCUUCUUCGCCGUUGGCGUACUUGGUAGCAAUCUCCAUCAUCCGACUCAAGGUCAUGUCACCGGUUCGACCAAAUUUCAAACUCAGUUCUCUGUUCUUGACACCAUCUUUGAAAGCGCAUACUGCCUGAUGGUCAGAGACAUUUUCCACAGUGUGGUGCAAAGUGAUCCACCUCUGAAUAUACUCUCUGAGAGUCUCAUUGGUUUUCUGCACGCAGACUUGCAACUCUGUCAAUCCCGCUGGUCGCUUGCAAGUCCCUUCAAACGUUCUGACAAACACUCGGGACAGAUCUUCCCAAGUGUAAAUGCUGCUAGGAGGUAAUUGAGUCAACCAUGCCCUGGCAGAACCUUCCAACAUGAGGGGCAAAUGUUUCAUGGCCACCUCGUCGUUCCCACCACCGAUCUGAACUGCCACUCGGUAGUCUUCAAGCCAAGUUUCAGGCUUGGACUCACCAGUGAACUUGCUGACUCCUGUUGCCAGCCUGAAAUUGGGGGGGAUAACUGCGGCUCUGAUAGCUCUGCUGAAACAUUCAGGACCAGAAACAUAUACUCGACUGCUCGUGGGCGCAUCUCUGUCGAGUGCGCCUCGAUGGGCUCUGUUCCGGUCGACCAACCCUUGCACGAUAAUGGAUCGCGCGUCGAAGCCUGCCUCUCUAUGGUCAACUGGAACCCUACGCCCUGUACUGUACUGACGCCUAUCAUCUGGCCGCCGAGGAGCGUAAGACCCACCCCUCGGAGGGGAAUAGGGCACUCGACGCCUAUCAUCUCGGUCGAGUCUGUCGCCAUAUUGAUCUCGCCGAUUCUCACGCCCUUCGCGCCGCGGAGGCGAUCUGGGGCUGUGAGCCGACUGAACCGUAUUCACAGUGACAGAUCGACUGUGAAUUCUGUUGCGCGACUGAGACACGGCCGAAUUCUGAUCUCCUGCCGCCCGGAGCAGAUCCCUGAUCUGCAGCAAACCUCUGCCAGCCUCUGACUGCGAAGGUUGAAUGGACUCUGCUAUACGGGUCGCAGCUGCUAAAUUCUGAAUUGGGGUUCGAUAUACCUGAGUCGGCGGGAAGAGUUGACGUCGACUGGUGUCGGGAACUCGUUGCCGCGCGCGCUCGUCGAGUGCUCGCUGAAGGUUCUCCAGUCGAGUGCGCUCGGCCAGGUUGGCCAGACGCGCCUCCUCCAAGGCACGAGCCUCGGGGGUUUCUCCUGCGAUGGGAAUACGCAGGGGAUCCUCGUUCCUGCAGCGAAGCUCUUCUCUUUGCAGAGAGUCGAGUGGCUCGGGCUGGUACUCUUCGUAGCCUCGAGCAGGGUCUCCGCCGUCGCCUGCUCCACCACCGCGGGCGAAGCCAGGAGGGCUGUGGGGCCCGUCGACCAUCAAGAUUUCCGCCGCUGGAUCACUGCUUCCGCACUCGGAUGCAGUCUCUCCGGAGCCAGUCGACUGAUCGAACAAGCCGUAGAGAGAUUCGUUGGGCUCGAUUGCCGCAACUUGUGUAGUGGUCGACUGGCGAGCCAUCGCGUGACUCACCCAUCGCUGAAGCCUCGACCGGCCCGAGCGCUUGCGCUGGCGGGAGACCGGGAGGGUGGAAGACGGAGGAGCCGACCGGUACUGGGUCGAUGGCUGCCGCAGCAGAACGCCGCGGACACAUGCGCGAAAAUGCGUCGCACCGCGGACGGGGAGCGCAUCCACGUCGAGUGGAGCCUCUUGGAGCCAUGCGGAGUCGUCGGCGAUGAAGGUGAGAGCGCCGAGACGGAUCUCUUGGCCCUCGACCAAAACUCCAGCAGACACCAUGAUGAAAAUACUCGGAAGAAUCGCAACUUCUCCGAAAAAUCGCUAAAACACCUGCCCCACGGUGGGCGCCAACUGUCGUGGUUCUAAGCCUGACAGUAGAGUGGGGGUAGGUAUUGAGAGGCAAGGUCCUAGCUACGGAGAGGUUGUAAGCACAAAGGAUGUACGAGUUCAGGCCCUUCUCGGAAGAAGCAACAGCCCUACGUCUCGGAGCCCGGAGGCGGUCGAGUGGAUUAUGAAUGUAUGGAUUACAAGGUGCCGAACCCCUCUGCCUGUGGAGGAGGGUGGCUUAUAUAGAGUGCGCCAGGACCCCAGCCAGCCCACGUAGGAGAGGGUUUAAGGUGAGUUAAGUCUGGGGCGUUACUGGUAACGCCCCACAUAAAGUGCCUUUACUAUCAUAAAGUCUACUUAAUUACAGGCCGUUGCGGUGCAGAGUGCCUCUUGACCUCCUGAUGGUCGAGUGAGUCUUCGUGGUCGAGUCCUUCGGGCCAGUCGAGUGAAUCCUCGUUGGUCGACUGGAAGGCGACCUUUUCUAGGGAUGUCCUAGGGUAAGUUACUUGGAACAGGUCCAUGACCCUACCCUAGGUACACAACCCCAUCAAUCGCUACGAGUGAGAAAGUCUCAUCGUAGUCAACUCCUUUGAACUUGUUGGAAAACCUCUUAACGACAAGUCGAGCUUUCUUAAUGGUGACAUUUACCAUCAUUGUCCAUCUUCCUUUUAAAAUCCAUCUGCACCCAACAGCCUUACGACCAUCAAGUAGUUCUUUCAAAGUCUAUACUUUGUUUUUAUACAUCGAUCCUCUCUUGGAUUUUAUGGCCUCGAGCCAUUCGUCAGAAUCCGGGCCCACCAUCGCUUCUCCAUAGCUCGUAGGUUCAUUGUUGUCUAGCAACAUGACUUCCAAGACAGGAUUACGUACCACUCUGAAGUAGUAUGCAUCCUUGUCGACCUAUGAGGUUUGGUAGUGACUUGAUCCAAAGUUUCAUGAUCACUAUCAGAAGCUUCCACUUCAAUCGGUGUAGGUGCCACAGGAACUACUUCCUGUGCCCUGCUCCACACUAGUUGAAGUGACGGUUCAAUAACCUCAUCAAGUCUCCACCAUCCUCCCACUCAAUUCUUUCGAGAGAAACUUUUCCUCGAGAAAGGACCCGUUUCUAGAAACAAUCACUUUUGCUUCCAGAUCUGAAAUAGGAGGUAUACCCAACUGUUUUGGGUAUUCUAUGAAGAUGCAUUUAUCCGCUUUGGGUUCGAGCUUAUCAGCCUGAAACUUUUUCACAUAAGCAUCGCAGCCCCAAACUUUUAAGAAACGACAGCUUAGGGUUUUUCUAAACCAUAGUUCAUACGGUGUCGUCUCAACGGAAUUGUGUGGUGCCCUAUUUAUAGUUAGUGCGGUUGUCUCUAAUACCUAACCCAUAAACGAUAGUGGUAAUUCGAUAAGAGACAUCAUGGUAUGCACCAUAUCCAAUAGGGUGCAGUUGUGAUGUUCGGACACACCAUCACACUAUGGUGGUCCAGGCAGUAUUAGUCGUGAAACAAUUUCCAUAAUGUCUUAAUUGCGUGCCAAACUCGUAACUCAGAUAUUCAUCUCUAUGAUCAUAUCAUAGACAUUUUAUCCUCUUGUCACGACGAUCUUCAACUUCACUAUGAAAUUACUUGAACCUUUCAAUAAUUCAGACUUGUGUUUCAUCAAGUAAAUAUACUCAGCAUCUACUCGAAUCAUCUGUGAAGUAAGAACAUAACGAUAUCCAGUGCAUGCCUCAGCACUCAUUGGACUGCACACAUCAAAAUGUAUUACUUCCAACAAGUUGCUUUCUUGUUCCAUCUUAUUGAAAACGAGGCCUUUCAGUCAUCUUGCCCAUGUGGUAUGAUUUGCAUGUCUCAAGUGAUUCAAAAUCAAGUGAGUCCAAACGAUCCAUCUGCAUGGAGUUUCUUCAUGCAUAUCUACCAAUAGACACGGUUCGCAUGUCUCAAUCUUUUCAAAACGAGUGAGACCAAAGAUCCAUCAACAUGGAGCUUCUUCAUGCGUUUUAUACUAACAUGACUCAAAUGGCAGUGCCACAAGUACGUGGUACUAUCAUUACUAUCUUAUAUCUUUUGGCAUGAACAUGUGUAUCACUACGAUCGAGAUUCAAUAAACCAUUCAUUUUAGGUGCAAGACCAUCAAAGGUAUUAUUCAAAUAAACAGAGUAACCAUUAUUCUCCUUAAAUGAAUAACCGUGUGGCGAUAAACAUAAUCCAAUCAUGUCUAUGCUCAACGCAAACACCAAAUAACAAUUAUUUCGGUUUAACACCAAUCUCGAUGGUAGAGGGUGCGUGCGAUGUUUGAUCACAUCAACCUUGGAAACACUUCCAACACAUAUCGUCAUCUCACCUUUAGCUAGUCUCCGCAGCCUUUUAUUUCGAGUUACUAACGCUUAGCAACCGAACCGGUAUUUAUUACCCUGGUGCUACUAGGAGUACUAGUAAAGUACACAAUAAUAUGACGUAUAUCCAAAAUACUUUUGUCGACCUUGCCAGCCUUCUCAUGUACCAAGUAUCUAGAGUAGUUCUGCUUCAGUGACUGUUCCCCUCAUUAUAGAAGCACUUAGUCUCGGGUUUGGUUCAACCUUGGGUUUCUUCACUAGAGCAGCAACUGAUUUGCCGUCUCAUGAAGUAUCCCUUCUUUCUCUUGCCCUUCUUGAAACUAGUAUUUUAACCAUCAACAAUUGAUGCUCCUACUUGAUUUCUACUUUCGCGGUGUCAAACAUCGCGACUUGCUCAAGGACCAUCAUGUCUAUCCCUGAUAUGUUAUAGUUCAUCACGAAGCUCCAAUAGCUUGAUGGCAGUCACUAUGGAGAACCAUCACUUUCUCAUCUGGAAGAUUAAAUCCCACUCGAUUCAAGCGAUUGCGGUACUCAGACAAUCUGAGCACAUGCUCAACGAUUGAGUUUUUCUCCCUUAGUUUGCAGGCUUAAGAAACUUGUCAGAGGUCUCAUACCUCUUGACGUGGGCACUAGUCUGAAAUUCCAAUUUCAGUCCUUGGAACAUCUCAUAUGUUUUGCGACGUUUCAAAAACGUCUUUGGUGCCCACAAUUCUAAACCGUUAGCAUUACGCACUGAACUAUCACGUAGUCAUCAAAACGUGUAUGUCAGAUGUUUCCCAAUAUCUACAGACGACGCUCAAGGUUCAACGCACUGAGCGGUGCAUUAAGGACAUAGCCCUUUUGUGCAUCAAUGAGGACAAUCCUCAGUUCACGGACCCAGUCCGCAUAAUUGCUACUAUCAACUCUCAACUAAAUUUUCUCUAGGAACAUAUCUAAAAUAGUAGAACCAAAGCGUGAGCUACGACAUAAUUUGCAAAGACCUUUUGACUAUGUUCAUGAUAAUUAAGUUCAUCUAAUCAAAUUAUUCAAUGAACUCCCACUUAGAUAGACAUCCCUCUAGUCAUCUAAGUGAUACAUGAUCUGAGUCAACUAGGCCGUGUCCGAUCAUCACGUGAGACGGACUAGUCAUCAUCGAUGGACAUCUUCAUGUUGAUCGUAUCCACUAUACGGCUCAUGUUCGACCUUUCGGUCUUUCGUGUUCCGAGGCCAUGUCUGUACAUGCUAGGCUCGUCAAGUUAACCUAAGUGUAUUGCGUGUGUAAGUCUGGCUUACACCCGUUGUAUGCGAACGUUAGAACCUAUCACACCCGAUCAUCACGUGGUGCUUCGGAACAAUGGACUUUAGCAACAGUGCACAGUUAGGGGGAACACAAUUCUUGAUAUUUUAAUGAGGGAUCAUCUUAUUUAUGUUGGGGAACAUUGCAGAAAAUUAAAAUUUUUCCUACGGUUUCACCAAGAUCCAUCUAUGAGUUCAUCUAAGCAACGAGUCAAGGGAGAGAGUUUGCAUCUACAUACCACUUGUAGAUCGCGUGCGGAAGCUUGCAAGGUGAUGAUGUAGUCGUACUCGACGUGAUUCGAAUCACCGAUGACCAAGUGUUGAACGGACAGCACCUCCGCGUUCAACACACGUACGGGACGGGAGACGUCUCCUCCUUCUUGAUCCAGCAAGGGGGAAGGAGAGGUUGAGGAAGACAGCUCCACCGGCAGCACGACGACGUGGUGAUGGAGGAGAGGCAGUACUCCGAUAGGGCUUCGCCAAGCACACAACGGAGGAGGAGAGGUGUUGGGGAGGGGAGGGCUGCGCCUUGUAGGGUGGUUCGGCUGCCCUCCCCUCACCCCUCUAUUUAUAGGGGGAAGGGAGAAGGGGGCCGGCCCCCUAGAACCCAUCCAGGGGGGGUGCGGCGGCCUAGGGGAGAGGGGAGAGGGUGGCUUGCCCCCCAAGCCAAGGGGGGCGCCCCCUCUAGGGUUCCCCCUCAACCCUAGGCGCAUGGGCCCAAGGGAGGGGGGUGCGGCCAGCCCACCAGGGGCUGGCUCCCUGCCCCACGCAGCCCAUGUGGCCCCCCGGGAGGGGUGGCCCCUCCCGGUGGACCCCCGGAACCCUUCCGGUGGCCCCGGUACAAUACCAGUAUGACCCCGAAACUUCCCGGUGUCCGUUUGACAACUUCCCAUAUAUAAAUCUUUACCUCCGGACCCUUCCGGAUCUCCUCGUGACGUCCAGGAUCCCAUCCGGGACUCCGAACAACAUUCGGUAGUCACAUACUAGUCUUCCUAAUAACCCUAGCGUCACCGAACCUUAAGUGUGUAGACCCUACGGGUUCGGGAGACAUGCAGACAUGACCGAGACGCUCUCAGUCAAUAACCAACAGCGGGAUCUGGAUACCCAUGAUGGCUCCCACAUGCUCCUCGAUGUUGUCAUCGGAUGAACCACGAUGUCGAGGAUUCGAUCAAACCCUGUAUGCAAUUCCCUUUGUCAAUCGGUACGUUACUUGCCCGAGACUCGAUCGUUGGUAUCCCAAUACCUUGUUCAGUCUCGUUACCGGCAAGUCACUUUACUCGUACCGUAAUGCAUGAUCCCGUGUCCAACACCUUGGUCACAUUGAGCUCAUAAUGAUGAUGCAUUACCGAGUGGGCCCAGAGAUACCUCUCCGUCAUACGGAGUGACAAAUCCCAGUCUCGAUCCGUGUCAACCCAAUAGCUACUUUCGGAGAUACCUGUAAUGCACCUUUAUAGUCACCCAGUUACGUUGUGACGUUUGAUACACCCAAGGCACUCUUACGGUAUCCGGGAGUUACACGAUCUCAUGGUCGAAGGAAGAGAUACUUGACACUGGCAAAGCUCUAGCAAAACGAACUACACGAUCUUUUAUGCUAUGCUUAGGAUUGGGUCUUGUCCAUCACAUCAUUCUCCUAAUGAUGUGAUCCCGUUAUCAACGACAUCCAAUGUCCAUAGUCAGGAAACCAUGACUAUCUGUUGAUCACAACGAGCUGGUCAACUAGAGGCUUACCAGGGACAUAUUGUGGUCUAAGUAUUCACACGUGUAUUACGAUUUCCGGAUAAUACAGUUAUAGCAUGAAUAAAAGACAUUUAUCAUGAACAUUGAAAUAUAAUAAUACUUUUAUUAUUGCCUCUAGGGCAUAUUUCCAACAGUCUCCCACUUGCACUAGAGUCACCAAUCUAGUUACAUUGUGAUGAAUCGAACACCCAUAGAGUUCUGGUGUUGAUCAUGUUUUGCACGCGAGAGAGGUUUAGUCAGCGGAUCUGCGACAUUCAGAUCCGUGUGCACUUUGCAAAUCUCUAUGUCUCCAUCUUGAACAUUUUCACGGAUGGAGUUGAAACGACGCUUGAUGUGCCUGGUCUUCUUGUGAAACCUGGGCUCCUUGGCGAGGGCAAUAGCUCCAGUGUUGUCACAGAAGAGUUUGAUCGGCCCCGACGCAUUGGGUAUGACUCCUAGGUCGGUGAUGAACUCCUUCACCCAAAUUGCUUCAUGCGCUGCCUCCGAGGCUGCCAUGUACUCCGCUUCACAUGUAAAUCCCGCCACGACGCUCUGCUUGCAGUUGCACCAGCUUACUGCUCCACCAUUCAACAUAUACACGUAUCCGGUUUGUGACUUAGAGUCAUCCAGAUCUGAGUCGAAGCUAGCGUCGACGUAACCCUUUACAACGAGCUCUUCGUCUCUUCCAUAAACGAGAAACAUGUCCUUCGUCCUUUUCAGGUACUUCAGGAUAUUCUUGACCGCUGUCCAGUGUUCCUUGCCGGGAUUACUUUGGUAUCUUGCUACCAAACUUACGGCAAGGUUUACAUCGGGUCUGGUACACAGCAUGGCAUACAUAAUAGAUCCUAUGGCUGAAGCAUAGGGGAUGACACUCAUCUCUUCUUUAUCUUUUGCCGUGGUCGGUGACUGAGCCGAGCUCAAUCUCACACCUUGUAACAUAGGCAAGAACCCCUUCUUGGACUGAUCCAUUUUGAACCUCUUCAAAAUCUUAUCAAGGUAUGUGCUUUGUGAAAGACCUAUGAGGCGUCUCGAUCUAUCUCUAUAGAUCUUGAUGCCUAAUAUAUAAGCAGCUUCUCCAAGGUCCUUCAUUGAAAAACACUUAUUCAAGUAGGCCUUAAUGCUGUCCAGAAAUUCUAUAUUAUUUCCCAUCAAGAGUAUGUCAUCUACAUAUAAUAUGAGAAAUGCUACAGAGCUCCCACUCACUUUCUUGUAAACGCAGGCUUCUCCAUAAGUCUGCAUAAACCCAAACGCUUUGAUCAUCUCAUCAAAGCGAAUGUUCCAACUCCGAGAUGCUUGCACCAGUCUAUAAAUGGAUCGCUGGAGCUUGCAUACUUUGUUAGCAUUCCGAGGAUCGACAAAACCUUCCGGCUGCAUCAUAUACAGCUCUUCCUUAAGAUGUCCAUUAAGGAAUGCCGUUUUGACGUCCAUUUGCCAUAUCUCAUAAUCAUAGUAUGCGGCAAUUGCUAACAUGAUUCGGACGGACUUCAGCUUCGCUACGGGAGAGAAAGUCUCGUCGUAGUCAAUCCCUUGAACUUGUCGAUAACCCUUAGCGACAAGUCGAGCCUUAUAGAUUGUAACAUUACCAUCCGCGUCCGUCUUCUUCUUAAAGAUCCAUUUGUUUUCUAUCGCUCGCCGAUCAUCGGGCAAGUCUGUCAAAGUCCAUACUUUGUUUUCAUACAUGGAUUCUAUCUCGGAUUUCAUGGCUUCAAGCCAUUUGUUGGAGUCCGGGCCCGCCAUCGCUUCUUCAUAGUUCGAAGGUUCAUUGUUGUCUAACAACAUGAUUUCCAGGACAGGGUUGCCGUACCACUCUGGUGCGGAACGUGUCCUUGUGGACCUACGAAGUUCAGCAGUAACUUGAUUCGAAGUACCUUGAUCAUCAUCAUUGUUUUCCUCUUCAGUUGGUGUGGGCAUCACAGGAACGGUUUCCUGCGCUGCGCCACUUUCCCACUCAAGAGGUAGUACUUCAUCGAGUUCUACUUUCCUCCCACUUACUUCUUUCGAGAGAAACUCUUUUUCCAGAAAGGAUCCAUUCUGGGCAACAAAGAUCUUGCCUUCGGAUCUUAAGUAGAAGGUAUACCCGACAGUUUCCUUAGGGUAUCCUAUGAAUACGCAUUUUUCCGACUUGGGUUCGAGCUUUUUAGGUUGAAGUUUCUUGACAUAAGCAUCGCAUCCCCAAACUUUUAGAAACGACAGCUUAGGUUUCUUUCCAAACCAUAAUUCAUACGGUGUCGUCUCAACGGAUUUAGACAGUGCCCUAUUUAAAGUGAAUGUAGCUGUCUCUAGAGCGUAUCCCCAAAAUGAUAGCGGUAAAUCGGUAAGAGACAUCAUGGACCGCACCAUAUCCAAUAGGGUGCGAUUACGACGUUCGGACACACCGUUUCACUGAGGUGUUCCAGGCGGCGUGAGCUGUGAAACGAUUCCACAUUUCCUUAAGUGUGUACCAAAUUCGUGACUUAAGUAUUCUCCUCCAUGAUCUGAUCGUAAGAAUUUUAUCUUUCGGUCACGUUGAUUCUCUACCUCAUUCUGAAAUUCCUUGAACUUUUCAAAGGUCUCAGACUUGUGUUUCAUUAAGUAGACAUACCCAUAUCUACUCAAGUCAUCUGUGAGAGUGAGAACAUAACGAUAUCCUCCGCGAGCCUCAACGCUCAUUGGACCGCACACAUCGGUAUGUAUGAUUUCCAACAAGUUGGUUGCUCGCUCCAUUGUUCCAGAGAACGGAGUCUUGGUCAUUUUGCCCAAAAGGCAUGGUUCGCAUGUGUCAAACGAUUCAUAAUCAAGAGACUCUAAAAGUCCAUCGGCAUGGAGCUUCUUCAUGCGCUUGACACUAAUGUGACCAAGGCGGCAGUGCCACAAGUAUGUGGUACUAUCGUUAUCAACUUUAAAUCUUUUGGCAUCUACACUAUGAACAUGUGUAAUAUUACGCUCGAGAUUCAUUAAGAAUAAACCAUUGACCAUCGGAGCAUGACCAUAAAACAUAUCUCUCAUAUAAAUCGGACAACCAUUAUUCUCAGACUUAAAUGAGUAGCCAUCUCGUAUUAAACGAGAUCCAGAUACAAUGUUCAUGCUCAAACUUGGCACUAAAUAACAAUUAUUAAGGUUCAAAACUAAUCCCGUAGGUAAAUGUAGAGGCAGCGUGCCGACGGCGAUCACAUCGACUCUGGAACCAUUCCCGACGCGCAUCGUCACCUCGUCCUUCGCCAGUCUCCGUUUAUUCCGCAGCUCCUGCUGUGAGUUACAAAUAUGAGCAACGGCACCGGUAUCAAAUACCCAGGAGUUACUACGAGUACUGGUAAGGUACACAUCAAUCACAUGUAUAUCAAAUAUACCUUUGGUGUUGCCGGCCUUCUUAUCCGCUAAGUAUUUGGGGCAGUUCCGCUUCCAGUGACCCUUCCCCUUGCAAUAAAAGCACUCAGUCUCAGGCUUGGGUCCAUUCUUUGACUUUUUCCCGGUAACUGGCUUACCAGGCGCGGCAACAUCUUUGCCGUCCUUCUUGAAGUUCUUCUUACCCUUGCCCUUCUUGAACUUAGUGGUCUUAUUGACCAUCAACACUUGAUGUUCUUUCUUGAUUUCAGCCUCUGCUGACUUCAGCAUCGAGAACACUUCAGGAAUGGUCUUUUCCAUCCCCUGCAUGUUGUAGUUCAUCACAAAGCUCUUGUAGCUUGGUGGGAGCGACUGGAGGAUUCUGUCAAUGACCGCCUCAUCUGGGAGGUUAAUGUUCAGCUGGGUCAUACGGUUGUGCAACCCAGACAUCUUCAGGAUGUGCUCACUGACAGAACUGUUUUCCUCCAUCUUACAACUGUAGAACUUGUCGGAGACAUCAUAUCUCUCGACUCGGGCAUGAGCUUGAAAAACUAGUUUCAGCUCUUCGAACAUCUCAUAUGCUCCGUGGUGCUCAAAACGCUUUUGGAGCCCCGGUUCUAAGCUGUAAAGCAUGCCGCACUGAACGAGGGAGUAAUCAUCAGCACGAGACUGCCAAGCAUUCAUAAUGUCUUGGUUCUCUGGGACGGGAGCGUCACCUAGCGGUCCUUCUAGGACAUAUUGUUUCCUGGCAGCUAUGAGGAUGAUCCUCAGGUUCCGGACCCAGUCCGUAUAGUUGCUGCCAUCAUCUUUCAGCUUGGUUUUCUCUAGGAACGCGUUGAAGUUCAUGUUGACAUUAGCGUUGGCCAUUGAUCUACAAGACAUAUUUGCAAAGGUUUUAGACUAAGUUCAUGAUAAUAAAGUUCUAAUCAAAUUAUAAACUCCCACUUAGAUUAGACAUCCCUCUAGUCAUCUAAGUGUUACACGAUCCGAGUCGACUAGCCCGUGUCCGAUCAUCACGUGAGACGGACUAGUCAUUGUCGGUGAACAUUCUCAUGUUGAUCGUAUCUUCCAUACGAUUCGUGUUCGACCUUUCGGUCUCCGUGUUCCGAGGCCAUGUCUGCACAUGCUAGGCUCGUCAAGUUAACCCUAAGUGUUUUCGCUGUGUAAAACUGUCUUACACCCGUUGUAUGUGAACGUAAGAAUCCAUCACACCCGAUCAUCACGUGGUGCUUAGAAGCGACGAACUGUAGCAACGGUGCACAGUUAGGGGAGAACACUUCUUGAAAUUUUAUAAGGGAUCAUCUUAUUUACUACCGUCGUCCUAAGUAAACAAGAUGCAUAAUACAUAAUAAACAUCACAUGCAAUUAUAUAGUUGUGACAUGAUAUGGCCAAUAUCAUACAGCUCCAUUGAUCUUCAUCUUCGGGGCUCCAUGAUCAUCUUGUCACCGGCUUGACACCAUGAUCUCCAUCAUCAUGAUCUCCAUCAUCGUGUCUUCAUGAAGUUGUCACGCCAACGACUACUUCUACUUCUAUGACUAACGUUUAGCAAUAAAGUAAAGUAGUUUACAUGGCGUUAUUCAAUGACACGCAGGUCAUACAAAAAAAAUAAUGACAACUCCUAUGGCUCCUGCCGGUUGUCAUACUCAUCGACAUGCAAGUCGUGAAUCCUAUUACAAAGAACAUGAUCUCAUACAUCACAAUUCAUCAUUCAUCACAACUUCUGGCCAUAUCACAUCACAUGAUCAAUCGCUGCAAAAACAAGUUAGACGUCCUCUAAUUGUUGUUGCAUCUUUUACGUGGCUGCAAUUGGGUUCUAGCAAGAACAUUUUCUUACCUACGAAUCACCACAACGUGAUUUUGUCAACUUCUAUUUACCCUUCAUAAGGGCCCUGUUCAUCGAUUCCGCUCCAACUAAAGUGGGAGAGACAGACACCCGCCAGCCACCUUAUGCAACUAGUGCAUGUCAGUCGGUGGAACCGGUCUCACGUAAGCGUACGUGUAAGGUUGGUCCGGGCCGCUUCAUCCCACAAUACCGUUGAGCAAGAAAAGACUAGUAGAGGCAAGUAAGAUGACAAAAUCCACGCCCACAACAAAAUUGUGUUCUACUCGUGCAAAGAGAACUACGCAUAGACCUAGCUCAUGAUGCCACUGUUGGGGAACGUUGCAGAAAAUUAAAAUUUUUCCUACGGUUUCACCAAGAUCCAUCUAUGAGUUCAUCUAAGCAACGAGUCAAGGAAGAGAGUUUGCAUCUACAUACCACUUGUAGAUCGCGUGCGGAAGCUUGCAAGGUGAUGAUGUAGUCGUACUCGACGUGAUUCGAAUCACCGAUGACCAAGUGCUGAACGGACAGCACCUCCGCGUUCAACACACGUACGGGACGGGAGACGUCUCCUCCUUCUUGAUCCAGCAAGGGGGAAGGAGAGGUUGAGGAAGACAGCUCCACCGGUAGCACGACGGCGUGGUGAUGGAGGAGAGGCAGUACUCCGACAGGGCUUCGCCAAGCACACAACGGAGGAGGAGAGGUGUUGGGGAGGGGAGGGCUGCGCCUUGUAGGGUGGUUCGGCUGCCCUCCCCUCACCCCUCUAUUUAUAGGGGGAAGGGAGAAGGGGGCCAGCCCCCUAGAACCCAUCUAGGGGGGGUGCGGCGGCCUAGGGGAGAGGGGAGAGGGUGGCUUGCCCCCCAAGCCAAGGGGGGCGCCCCCUCUACGGUUCCCCCUCAACCCUAGGCGCAUGGGCCCAAGGGAGGGGGGUGCGGCCAGCCCACCAGGGGCUGGCUCCCUGCCCCACGCAGCCCAUGUGGCCCCCCGGGAGGGGUGGCCCCUCCCGGUGGACCCCCGAAACCCUUCCGGUGGCCCCGGUACAAUACCAGUAUGACCCCGAAACUUCUCGGUGUCCGUUUGACAACUUCCCAUAUAUAAAUCUUUACCUCCGGACCCUUCCGGAUCUCCUCGUGACGUCCAGGAUCCCAUCCGGGACUCCGAACAACAUUCGGUAGUCACAUACUAGUCUUCCUAAUAACCCUAGCGUCACCGAACCUUAAGUGUGUAGACCCUACGGGUUCGGGAGACAUGCAGACAUGACCGAGACGCUCUCAGUCAAUAACCAACAGCGGGAUCUGGAUACCCAUGAUGGCUCCCACAUGCUCCUCGAUGUUGUCAUCGGAUGAACCACGAUGUCGAGGAUUCGAUCAAACCCUGUAUGCAAUUCCCUUUGUCAAUCGGUACGUUACUUGCCCGAGACUCGAUCGUCGGUAUCCCAAUACCUUGUUCAGUCUCGUUACCGGCAAGUCACUUUACUCAUACCAUAAUGCAUGAUCCCGUGUCCAACAGCUUGGUUACAUUGAGCUCAUUAUGAUGAUGCAUUACCGAGUGGGCCCAGAGAUACCUCUCCGUCAUACGGAGUGACAAAUCCCAGUCUCGAUCCGUGUCAACCCAACAGAUACUUUCGGAGAUACCUGUAAUGCACCUUUAUAGUCACCCAGUUACGUUGUGACGUUUGAUACACCCAAGGCACUCUUACGGUAUCCGGGAGUUACACGAUCUCAUGGUCGAAGGAAGAGAUACUUGACACUUGCAAAGCUCUAGCAAAACGAACUACACGAUCUUUUAUGCUAUGCUUAGGAUUGGGUCUUGUCCAUCACAUCAUUCUCCUAAUGAUGUGAUCCCGUUAUCAACGACAUCCAAUGUCCAUAGUCAGGAAACCAUGACUAUUUGUUGAUCACAACGAGCUAGUCAACUAGAGGCUCACCAGGGACAUAUUGUGGUCUAAGUAUUCACACGUGUAUUACGAUUUCCGGAUAAUACAGUUAUAGCAUGAAUAAAAGACAUUUAUCAUGAACAUUGAAAUAUAAUAAUACUUUUAUUAUUGCCUCUAGGGCAUAUUUCCAACAAUUUAUGCUACCGUCGUUCUAAGCAAAUAAGAUGUAACCAUGACAAACAUCACAUGCAAAUCAUAAAGUGACAUGAUAUGGCCAAUAUCAUCUUGCGCCUUUGAUCUCCAUCUUCGAGUCGCGGCAUGAACACCAUCGUCACCGGCAUGACACCAUGAUCUCCAUCAUCGUGUCUUCACGAAGUUGCCUCGCCAACUAUUACUUCUACUACUAUGGCUAACGGUUAGCAAUAAUUUAAAGUAAUUACAUGGCGUUUUCAUUGACACGCAGGUCAUAAAUAAAUUAAGACAACUCCUAUGGCUCCUGCCGGUUGUUAUACUCAUUGACAUGCAAGUCGUGAUUCCUAUUACAAGAACAUGAUCAAUCUCAUACAUCACAUAUAUCAUUCAUCACACCCUUUUGGCCAUAUCACAUCACAUAGCAUACCCUGCAAAAACAAGUUAGACGUCCUCUAAUUGUUGUUGCAUGUUUUACGUGGCUGCUAUGGGUUUCUAGCAAGAACGUUUUUUACCUACGCAAAACCACAACGGUGAUAUGCCAAUUGCUAUUUACCCUUUAUAAGGACCAUUUUCAUCUAGUCCGAUCCAACUAAAAUGGGAGAGACAAACACCCGCUAGCCACCUUAUGCAACUACUGCAUGUCAGUCGGUGGAACCUGUCUCACGUAAGAGUACGUGUAAGAUCGGUCCGGGCCGCUUCAUCCCACAAUGCCGCCGAAUCAAGAUAAGACUAGUAACGGCAAGCAAAUUGAACAAAUCAUCAGCCACAACUACUUUGUGUUCUACUCGUGCAUAGAAUCUACGCAUAGACCUAGCUCAUGAUGCCACUAUUGGGGAACGUAGCAAUAAUUCAAAAUUUUCCUACGUGUCACCAAGAUCAAUCUAGGAGAUACUAGCAACGAGAGAGAGGGAGUGCAUCUUCAUACCCUUGAAGAUCUCUAAGCGGAAGCGUUCAAGAGAACGGGGUUGAUGGAGUCGUACUCGUCGUGAUCCAAAUCACCGAUGAUCCUAGCGCCGAACGGACGGCACCUCCGCGUUCAACACACGUACGGAACAGAGACGUCUCCCGCGCCUUGAUCCAGCAAGGAGGAGGGAGAGGUUGAGGAAGAGAGUCCAACAGCAGCACGACGGCAAGGUGGUGAUGGAGUGGCAGUUCUCCGGUAGGGCCUCGCCAAGCUCACGCGGAGGAGGAGAGGUAUUGGAGGGCAGGGGCUGCGCCAGGUGCAAGGGUAUGGCCGUCCUCCCACCCCUCCACUAUUUAUAGGUGGGGAGAGAGGGGGUCAUCCCCCUAGAUCCCAUCUAGGGUUGGGGGCGGCUGCCAAAGGGGGGAGGAGUGCCUCCCAAGUCAAGUGGAGGUCCUCCCCCUUAGGGUUUCCCCUCUCCCAUGCGCAUGGGCCUUGGGGUGGCUGGUGCCCCUGGCCCAUUAAGGCUAGGGAGCCCCCCUACAGCCCAUGCUGCUGUAUUGGACGUGGUGGAACAUUUUCUGGACCUCCAGACCCCUCUGGAAUCCUCCGGAACCUUCCGGAAGCUUCCUGGUACAAUACCGAAAAAACCAAACUUUUUCUGGAACCCGAACAAUAACUUUCCAUAUACAAAUCUUUACCUCCGGACCAUUCCGGAACUCCUCGUGAUGUCCGGGAUCUCAUCCGGGACUCCGAACAACAUUCGGUAAUCACAUACAAGUCUUCCUAAUAACCCUAGCGUCAUCGAACCUUAAGUGUGUAGACCCUACGGGUUCGGGAACCAUGCAGACAUGACCGAGACAUCUCUCUGGUCAAUAACCAACAGCGGGAUCUGGAUACCCAUGUUGGCUCCCACAUGUUCCACAAUGAUCUCAUCGGAUGAACCACGAUGUCAAGGAUUCAGUCAAUCCCAUAUACAUAUCCCUUUGUCUAUCGGUACAAUACUUGCCCGAGAUUCGAUCGUCGGUAUCCCGAUACCUCGUUCAAUCUCGUUACUGGCAAGUCUCUUUACUCGUUCCGUAACACAUCAUCCCGUGAUCAACUCCUUGGUCACAUUGUGCACAUUAUGAUGAUGUCCUACCGAGUGGGCCCAGAGAUACCUCUCCGUUACACGGAGUGACAAAUCCCAGUCUCGAUUCGUGCCAACCCAACAGACACUUUCGGAGAUACCCGCAGUGCACCUUUAUAGCCACCCAGUUAUGUUGUGACGUUUGGUACACCCAAAGCAUUCCUACGGUAUCCGGGAGUUGCACAAUCUCAUGGUCUAAGGAAAUGAUACUUGACAUUAGAAAAGCUUUAGCAUACGAACUACACGAUCUUGUGCUAGGCUUAGGAUUGGGUCUUGUCCAUCACAUCAUUCUCCUAAUGAUGUGAUCCCGUCAUCAACGACAUUCAAUGUCCAUGGUCAGGAAACCGUAACCAUCUAUCGAUCAACGAGCUAGUCAACUAGAGGCUUACUAGGGACAUGGUGUUGUCUAUGUAUCCACACAUGUAUCUGAGUUUCCUAUCAAUACAAUUCUAGCAUGGAUAAUAAAAGAUUAUCAUGAACAAGGAAAUAUAAUAAUAACUAAUCUAUUAUUGCCUCUUGGGCAUAUUUCCAACAGUAUCCACACUCUCUCUUCCUCCUGAUUAACCUGCCCCCCAUUCAUGCCCUCCUCUUCUGUGAUUUAAUCACAAGAGUUUCUUAUCUUUGUUUGUGCAGGUCCUUUUUGUGUAUGCCUACAAGUUGUUCGAUAAAAAUCCAAGCAGGUUGUAGGAGAAGGUUAAUUCCAUUUUAUGCCCUUUUGUGUACUCAACGGUUCUUUUUUUUCUAACAUUUAGCAUGCAGUCAACAUAACUUACAUGUACAAUGUAUUACCUGGUCAUGAAACUUGCCUACUCAAGAUAUGAGUAAAUUGAGUAAAUUCCCCAGAAAAUAUAGUUAUGCUUGAUUUAAUAUGGUUUGCUGUCACGCACAAGUGCACAUUUAGUGAACUGCAAGCUUAAAUCAUGACAAUGUUCUAUGCUGAGCAAAUCCACCCUUUGCAGGUAUGCUUAGUAACGUCAAAGAGAUGCCGCCAAUUACAAAUUAUGAUAUUCAUCAUUACACAUUAGCACCACCAUGGAUAGCCAAGAUCCUUCCCAGCCAUGAUAAUCAGGUAUCUUAAAAGGUGCAACACAUUUGAUUUUGGGUUGAUUCUGGUUCUUGUAUUGAAGGCUUGAUGUCUGUGAGUAUUUACUUAAGAGGAAACUUGCAUAUGAUGGAGAAGGCAUUCAUGGUAGAGGGAAAGGUUAUUGUUGAUCCUUUUUGUAAGAUUUCCCCACUUCGCUUUUUUAACUGUGCAUGAUUCCUUAUGGAGAUUCACAAAAGGUGGCUACCUCAGUAAAUGAAUAUACUUUUGGAAGAUUCACAAAAGAUUAGGGUUUAUAUGCAUGUUGUUAUCCAUGACCUGUGAUGGUUUAGAUUGGAGCCUAACUGAAUUAGUUGAAUGUACACUUUCUGAUAUGGAUAAGCAUAUACAAAUAAGGAUCAACAUUUGAUUGGGUGUUACAAAAAAAAUGGUUCCAAGAAAUUUGUGAAGAUGUGAUGAAAGCUACAGAUUUAGAGAAUGAGUUUGCACUAUUGCUUCUAAUAAAUGGUAUGGAAGAUUUAGAAAAACAACCUACACUAUUACUCCCUCCGUGCCAUAAUUAUAUAAGAGGUUGCUACACCCAAUAUAUGAGUACACUAGAUGUAAUAACAUUCUAUAUUAUGGGACAAAGGGAGUGCCUUAUAGGAAACUGUAUGGUGAACACCCAGUUUAUUACAUGGUUUAUGUAUGUGCUUUAUCCUUAUUGUAGUUUUAGUCAUAGGUCACACAUGAACUAUUUCUAAUAAAGGGCCAUGUUUCUGUAUGGUGUUUAUUGCUAUGAUGUUUACUAUCGGUGGUACCAUAGAUUGUUGACUAUAUUUGUUUUGUACUCUGUUCUGCCAGAGUGAACUUUGCUGUCAUUUUCGUCUAUCCAUGCAGAGGAAGUAGAUGAUUGAUAGAGAUUCGGAGGAAGCAAUUAAUAAAUGAAGAUCUCGAGGCUCCUAUUUCUUCAGGUACUUCCUUUACUUGCAGUUUCCUUUUAAUUACGAGCUACCUCUGCCAAUAUAGUCAUUUAUUUAUUUCAUUGCCAGUCUCUGUUGACUGAAAUGUAACCAUGCAUGGGUAGCUUAAAUGGCAGCAGUUCUUAAUUAGUUAGAAAAAGACAACCAGAUUAAUCUUGCUUCAGAUUAUGUUUGUGCUGCUAUUGCCCAUCAUCGGUUGUGUUGUUACUGUUGUUUAAACAUACCUGGAACGGGUAACAAGCGGCAAGCCGCUCUUCAACAUUGUCGAUAACAGCCAGAGAGUGUCUGAAUAUGAGCGUUGUCGAUAACAAGAUAGCUAACUAUCUAUAGUAAAAUUCAGCUCCACGUGUUUAGUUGGUACAUUGCUUCUAAAAUUUAUGCACCCUGAAACUUGAUUUGCAUACUCAGAAUAUAGUCAGAAAUGACAAGGAAUUUAGCUUCAGAAUUGACAAGGAAUGCUCUUUUCUCUCUCUUUAGAUUCAUUGCUAGCCCCACAAAGGAAGAGGAUGUCAGGACGAGGACUGUAAUCAAUCCCCGCCUUACUUUCCCAACGACAGUGUGAAUGACCCCGAGCCUAGGUGAGCAGCGGCCAGACCAGUACUUCCCCACCUGCGUUGCUUUCCCUGUUAUUACUGAGUUUGUGUCGUUGUUGUGCUCCUUCUCUCCCUUCUCCCAGGUGCUGAACGUACCCAUCUUGCUGAUCUAAUGUGUAUCUAUCAAUUUGAUGCAGCGUUGUUGUCUUAUUUUCAUGAUGGCGUGGUGUCUCGACGCGUGAUGGAUUCACUCACACGGAGGAAGCUUUUCUCCGCUACUCCGGCGACAAGCGCACAAGCUUUUGGGUCCAUGGCGCCACCGGUAAACAAGGUAUGUCCUGUUCCGUUGAUUGAUCAGUUCAUCUUGCUUUUAAAAUUCUUACACUAUGAUUUGCUCAAAUUCUAUCAAGACAACGGUGGAAAUUGAAUUUAUUUAUUUGAAAUGCAUGCCAUUUCUCCCUGAUCAUUAGUUCAUGUAUCUUGAUGAUGUAAACCUGGUGUCGUUUAAUCUUUUUCCAUAAACCAGUCAUUUGGGAGUUUAUUGCAAGCUAUACCAUCUUGAUGCGGAAUUGCAGAUUGUGUUCUUGCUAUAAUUUCUUACGACUGGUGCUGCCUAAUGUGUUUUGCAGGUACAGAUCUUGGUGAUCAUGAGUAUUAGUAGCUAUAUAUAUCCAUGUUCUUUGUUCUCAUAUUAGUUCACAGAUAGGUUCUCGACAUGGGUAAUUACUCUCUAAAACAACAAUUUAGUGGUGUGCUAAGCCACUAUUUCUAUAUAAUGAUUAUCAAGAAAAUUUGCUCUAGCACGUAUGCUUUGCAGCCAAGUCUGGCGAACAAAGUAAUUAAGAUGAAGCAUUUUCCUGAUUUUCUUAACCUGGAGCUUUUACCAUCUCUUCAUCGCAUCAACUUUUACAGUAGCAUCCAGUCAAAUCUUUGUUUCUAUGUAUUUUUAACUCUAUUAAAAACUAAAAAAAUUGAAGCACCAGCAAGCCUUUUGUUAAAUCUUAUAUUAUCCACAGUAGGAUAUCUAAAUUCAGUUAUGCUUUAAUCUUAAAAUCUUGAGAAGGCAAUUUAUUUACCUUGGUUUGUUAUCUUGUGUUAUGCGCUACUAAAUGAUAUGAUCCUAUCUAAGAUGAGAAUAUGCAUAGGAAUGGGGCAAUUUAUUGUCAAAGAAAGUCAUGUAGUACCUUGCUGUGAUUAUUAGCCUAUUGUGAUACUCAAUACCUAACAAUGAAAAUGUUUUAUGACUGAAAGUUUGAUGUGAUCUCAAGUAUGAUUUGCUAAUGUUGGUUACAGGAUCUCCAGCCUGACAACAAAAGAAAGGGAUGUUGCCCCGUUAUCGUCGUCAUCCUCAUGGUUAGUUACAUGAUCUCAAGUCUCUCUCUCCAAUUUGCUAAUGGUAGUCCUAUGUAUGACUUGGUAGACGAGAUGUGGGUUCCAAUAGCCUCUCAAGAUUAUAAGUAGAUUUCAUAUAUUUGAACAAUGGACUGGGAUUAUGUUUCAUAUACGCAUAUGUGUUUAUUGUAUCAUUUAGUUCCGCUGCCACAAUGCCAAAGUUUUACUACUCCCUCCGGUCUGAAUUAAUUGACGUGAUCUGCCGAUAAUGGUUUGAAGUGUCAGGCUUGCUGAUAUAUGUUAUUUCAUAAUAUGCAUAGGGUUUUUCUCUAUCCACUUAGACGGAUUAUCACCCUUUUCAUGGAAGGAUAUAUAAGUUUAGAUCUGAAUAUAUUGUUAAGGCAUUCUCAGUAUGGAAUAUAUGAUGGUACAUAUUCCAGAGUCAUCAUUAUAAACAACAAGGGUUUAUGCCUUUCCAAAUUAAUUAUGUAAGUUAUCUUUGAGCCUUCUCCUGUUCACAAACUUUAAAUAGUCUUGCCGGUAUGUAGGGUUAUAAUACAUGUUUAUACAUUUUAUUCGUUUUAGUGCAUUAAGAUUGUGAUCUCCUUACUAUCAUACUGUUUGCUUAAAACAAAGACCGACAAACCUGCUCCCACUGUAUGCACUCCCGUGUCGUUUACUCUUCAUUGGAAAUCUAUGGGCAAGUGUAGAAAAAUGAGAAUCUGGUUCUUAAACUAAAAUUUGGAUAAACAUGGAAAGUGGAAGUUUUAUUGCUGAUUUUUCAUAUAGUUUCAGCCACGACAAACUGUGGGGGUCCUAAUAUUUUCCUUUCAUUUAAUUUGGCUUAUAAAGAUCUCCAAUGGACAAUGAUGAUAGUCGUUUAAUUGUACUGCUUGCCCUGAUUAUGAUUGCUGCAUUGCAUAUGGUUGCUUCCCAUAUAUUACUUUUGUCUGACUGUAAGUUCAGAAAUUGUUGCUUUGUAAUGAUAAUACUCUUAUUGAUCCCAACCUUAUUGCUUUGGAUGCUGAAAUAUUUGACUGCAAGUUCAGACAUUUGCCCGUCAGGAGGUAAUUUGAGGCUAAAAGUAAUAAGAAUAAAGAACAUAUGAAACCAGUGGAUAUUGCUGACAAAAUCUUAUUAUGGUUUCAGUGUGAGAGCAAGUUGCAUGCUGUAUGAACUAAGGGCAAAUUUGUGUUGUUUCCCUGGAUAUUGCAGGAAUGGGUGAACCAAGGAAAAUAACGCCGAUGUUCUAAGAUAUUUUGAGAUUAGCCUUGAUAGUUGGAUGCCCUGUACCCGUGAGGCGGUCGCUCAUGUAAACUCCAAGGUAGUUACGGCAGAUUGAAGAAUUCAUGUCUCUGAAGCAUGGUAUUUGAGUUAAUUUCAAGCCCCUUCUCCCGUUGUAACUGGUGGUUUGCCAUCCCAGAUAAACCCAUGUUGUCUAAUCAUCGUGCAGUGGCAACAACUAAUUAAAUCAGCCUAUUGUCCCUUGCAUAAAAUAGUCUUUCUUAAAUAGUUAGCCCGGGUUAAUAAUUUUUGGUGCAACUAUACUGUACCGUCUCUAUACUUUGUUUGCUUCCUUAGUUGUUAUCUUUUGACAUCUAACCUGCUUUAUGGCUGCUAAUCAUGGUCCUGCUUAUGUACAUAUUUGUGUAGGUUCAGUUUUUGUCAACAUCGGCUUCUUUGAUAACUUAGUCUUCAAAAUUCGAGAAGUGUGGGUGUGCGACCAUACUGGUCCUCCUAUGCAAAAUGGAUUUACCAUUGUAAGUGAUAAUGUUUGUUCCACUCCGGUUUUUGAUGAUCUGAAGCAUUCACUAAUUUUGCAUCUAGCCUCGACCUCUCUAUAUUGAUAAAGUAUAAAACCACUCUGGAAUUAAGAUCUGUUCGACAUCAUCCAGUCAUUCUUUGGUGGUGGUGGUAGCCCCUUCGGAGGUAAACUGUAUCCGAACCAACUGAAUGACUGCCUGCCGUUGUGGUAUUCCUUCACAUGUGAUUUUGUCCAUUGAAAUACUAUCAGAAGUACCUUCAUUUGCAAGUUGUUUAGAUAGAUUUUUCUGCCAGGAAAGAAAACUUCUUAUUUCGCUUUCGUCUCAGCAUUGUGGUGUCUAAUACACACACACACACACACACACACACACACACACACACACACCUUUGCAUGAACUCUGAUGCGGCAGUAUGAACUUUUUCUUCAUGCUAAGUAGGUGGGUGAGGGUUAGGUUCGGCAAGACUGUUGUGUGUUGCUGCUUGUGCAGGUGGUGUUUUUAAGUUUGUAAGGGCUGUUGCCUGGAUUUGGCUCGUCGUUUCUGUCUGCUUCAUAAAUAAAAUGGAGCGGGGGGUAACCCCUUUCUUUUAAAAAAUAAAAUCCUUUGCCCUGUUCGCUGCUCUUUGGCCUGUAAAGCCGCUAUUUAAAUAAUGUAUGUAGGAACUUCACAAAAGGACAUUAAGUUGCAUAUUAUUCACUAUUCUAUCAUAUGUGAAUUCGAAGAAUAAUAUGUAUUUUCCCCUACCACCUCAUGCCAAUGCCCAUUUUACAUUCAGUACAGAUCACUUUCAUUGAAUUUCCUCUCUUUUGCUCAUUUCAGUGUCCAUUUUUCUAAUAUGUAAUUUGGUGGUGUUCUAUUUAGAGUGUCAGUUACUGGCCUGUCUUGCAGUUUCGGCAUCCUUGUUGCUUCUAUUUUAAUACCGGUGCAAGGUGGCAUCUAUAUCGGGUUGUCCGCAAUCUGAACUUCUUUUACAGUGGCACUCUUUUACUUUGCAAGCGAAAUGCUUGAGAAAUAUAAAUCUUGAAAAUCUACUGGUAAAGAAGGUGCCGAUCAUCCUGUUAUGGAAUUGCUUUAUAAGACCAAUAAUCUUUCGUGAUUUGUUUCUCUCUAAUAGUGUGGCGUGCCCAAGUCUAUUCAUAUUGCCCUAAGAGGCUUUCUUUUCUUCAUUUUCUAUAGGGAUGUAGCGAGAAUGGAUAGUGAGAAUGAUGCAUUUCCAGUUUUUUAUCUUUGGUGUCUAUUUUGUUGUUUUUAGAUGUUUAAGAUAGUGGGAUCAGGCAUGCCUUUUACAGUUUUUCAGUUAACAAAUUUUGUUCAGCUCAAUCAGUUUUUGAUUACUGUGAUGUUAGUGUUCUUUCUUAGCACCUUCACUUUAUUUUUCAAUUAAGUUCAUUGUUCUGUACUUACUGCUAUACUUUGUUCAAAAAUCCAUUGUUCAUUGUUGUUUAUUAAAUUAGCCAUGUCCAUUUGUUAUUCCUAGGAUUUCCUUAAAUAACUAUAAUAGAUGGAACAUGAGAACAUGUCCAUCUCACAGAGAAUUAAUCUUGCUUCCUUACAGAGCCUCUGAACAUGAUGAUCAUGUGGACUAAGCUUGCAUGUGGGUGCGCCAAGGAGCAUGUCCAACCUAUGAAGGGAUAACAACUAAUUGGUCAGACUUUGUGAAGACAUCAUGGAUUGGAGAACGUCAGAUAUGUGUCCUUGUGUUCAAGGCUAAAAGGGGCAAACUGUUGCUUGCUAUCUACAUGCUUUGACAAGGUUGGUUACUAGGUCGUCAUCAUACAUGCAAAUGUUCCCUUUGACAAGGUUGGUUACUAGGUUCUUUGUGAGUGUUUGGUUGGACUUAUGUCGCACCGCUGAUCUGGCUCGCUUUGGUUAUCUAACAAACCAACUAUUGUAUCUACUUGGUGCCAAUUCAUCGGCUUGGCUUACUUUUGGAACAUAGUGCAUAUUUCCCCAUUUGUUGUGAACUUCCAGAUCUAAUGUGCCAUGCUUUUGGUAUAUUUGAUCGCCUUAUCCUGCCACAGUGCCUGGAUAACUCUUCUGUACUGGACAAACUUGUACCAAGGACUGAUCCAUUUUGAGCAAUCACUCUAAAUUUCCUUCGCAAUGGUUAAUACGUUGUUUAUGCGCUUGGAAAAUAAGUCAGUUCCUUUGUUAAGACAAGACUAAGUGGGGUGCGUUAGGCCGUGCAUCCUAUCUUUUUGGGUCAGUUCAUAGAUAAUGAUUUGGUGUAUGGCACGGUACCGAACCAACAUCAUGCUUUUUUUAUAUUUGCAAUGCUCCAAUGAUUGUAUUAUCAUAUUGGGUAUGACUGUAGCCGGUAGCGGUGCUACCGGGUGCGGCAAGCCGCACUUCCUAUCUAGUGGAAUAGAGAUGAAGCACAACCGAAGGUUCUUUUCCCAUGUUAGUUUUGUGUGUCUAUGCUGGUAGUUCAUCGACGGUAUUUGCAAUGUCACACAGAAUUAAAGCCUCACUACUCUACCCCUAUCCUGGUGUGCUCAUCAUAGCCCACAUAACACACAUUAGGGUGUCUGUGGUGUUUUCCUCCCACGGAUCGUCGGGUCUAUAUGUGGUGUUUUAUCAUCCGACGGUUCGGCCUGUCAAGGUGGUGGUGAUGGAAUGUUUGCGUUCAAGUUUGUUCUGAGUGGUUCUCAUGUUUCACAUUUUUUUGUUCUCGAUAAUAAAACAAUGAAGCAGCUCUUUGACAACCUAACUUGGAAGGGGUGUCUCUCAGCCUUAUAGUUCUUAGUGAAUCUAUGGAUCUUAUGUUCUCGCCCAUGACAGUGAGGGCUUUCAAUACCUAUGAUUGUUAGUCCAUCUUGUGCCUGUUUUGUAUUAUGUACUUUCUUUUACCGGAGGUUGAAAGGAAAGUAAAAUGCAAAAGAUGGAGCCAGAGACAACAACUUCAAUAGACUUUGAUGUAACGUCCGAUUGUAUAAGGGAUCGUUUUUAUGUGUCUAUGGUUCAGUUUCUUUGAUCCGUCAUACUUUAUUUAUUUAAUGAAUAAAGUUGGAUCGUUCUAAAAAGAAUCGAAUUCAUGCAUAAGCUAGUUUAUUCAUAAGAUCGAAUUAAUGAGGAAAAAUGGCAAUAUGUUUCAUCAUAAAGAUGUUAUUUAUAUCAAUUUACUUUUGCGGAGUAGCAACCGUUAUGCUCACUGCACCACAAGUUAGGAGUGGGAUCAUCUCCGUUCUCCAACGUAUGCAGUUAUGAAACUAUAUCUGGAUCAUCCUAUCGUGCCAAAGUACCUACGUAGUGUAUAUUGAGGUGACAUGUACUCCCUCUUUUUCGGUUUAUAGGGCNNNNNNNNNNNNNNNNNNNNNNNNNNNNNNNNNNNNNNNNNNNNNNNNNNNNNNNNNNNNNNNNNNNNNNNNNNNNNNNNNNNNNNNNNNNNNNNNNNNNNNNNNNNNNNNNNNNNNNNNNNNNNNNNNNNNNNNNNNNNNNNNNNNNNNNNNNNNNNNNNNNNNNNNNNNNNNNNNNNNNNNNNNNNNNNNNNNNNNNNNNNNNNNNNNNNNNNNNNNNNNNNNNNNNNNNNNNNNNNNNNNNNNNNNNNNNNNNNNNNNNNNNNNNNNNNNNNNNNNNNNNNNNNNNNNNNNNNNNNNNNNNNNNNNNNNNNNNNNNNNNNNNNNNNNNNNNNNNNNNNNNNNNNNNNNNNNNNNNNNNNNNNNNNNNNNNNNNNNNNNNNNNNNNNNNNNNNNNNNNNNNNNNNNNNNNNNNNNNNNNNNNNNNNNNNNNNNNNNNNNNNNNNNNNNNNNNNNNNNNNNNNNNNNNNNNNNNNNNNNNNNNNNNNNNNNNNNNNNNNNNNNNNNNNNNNNNNNNNNNNNNNNNNNNNNNNNNNNNNNNNNNNNNNNNNNNNNNNNNNNNNNNNNNNNNNNNNNNNNNNNNNNNNNNNNNNNNNNNNNNNNNNNNNNNNNNNNNNNNNNNNNNNNNNNNNNNNNNNNNNNNNNNNNNNNNNNNNNNNCACCGCGGCGGCUCCCCCUCCGGGCACCAACGCCUCUUCCGACGGUCCGCCGUGCUUCAAUUGCGGCUUGACCAGCCACUUCCAGGUGGCCUUCCCCAACCCUCCGAUGUGCUACCUGUGCAAGGAUGACAGGCACCCCGCGAUUCUCUGUCCGGACCGCCCGGUGUCGGAGGAGAUCAUGAUGUACGGCCACGACAUCGAGGACAUGGCCUUCUUCCACAUCGAGGUCCCGGAGAUCCCCCCUCCCUCCCCCUCGCCGCUGGCGAUUGUGUCGGUCGUGGACGAGGCCGUCGCCACCCCAGAGCUGAUCGAGGCGGAGCUCAACCACUUGUGCAGGUGCAAGUGGGAUUGGCAGGUGACCCCCACCGCCUCCACCGCCUUCUCGGUGAUCUUCCCCGACGCUAUGAGUAUGGGAUUCUGUACCCGCAGCAAUAACAUCACCUUGGCCCUCAACGGCAUUGUGGUGAACAUCUCAGAGCCGAGGUGGGAUCCCAAGGCUGUGGUUGUUUUGGACACUGCUUGGCUCCUCAUCGCCGGCCUGCCAGAUGUGGCCCGGUCUGAGUGGGUCAUUCGCAGUAUGUCCAAGAUCCUAGGCAAGGUGGUGGUGGUCGACGAGCUCUCCCUGUGCAAGGAGGAGGAGGUCCGGGUCAAGGUGAAGUGCCUGGACUCCUCCAAGCUCCACGCCACGAUUCGUGUCUUCUUCAACGACGACGGCUACGACCUCAAGAUCUGCCCCGAGCCUCCGAACCACGUCGGCCGCCCCUGCUUCUCUGAUGACAGUCACCUGGGGGAUGGCCCAGCAGAUGCCGACGACUCCCACCGCGGACGCUCGCGUCACUCCCGCCUCGACGACCCUGAGGAUGACGAGGACGGCUCGGAGCACUCCCGCUCCCCCUCCUGUGAGCCCACCAACCCACCCUCGGGUCAUGGCGGCUCCGGGGCGGGGCGCACUCAAGUGUCGGCCGCUGACCUCGCGGUGGCCCUCCGCCUGGCCACCCCGCCGGUCGUGCCCUCUCAGUCUCCGUCGGAGUCGACCAAUGACAUCUCCAGUCGGGUCCGGACCCCCCGCCCCCCUGGUUCGACCUACCCGGUUACCAUGGGUGGCGGUGGGUGUGAUGCCUCCGACGCGCCUUCACCGACACUCCCGUCCGCGGGGACCGCGGCCGGUGACACCUUGGAGCUCGUCGGCCCGCUCCCCUCGCCGGUGACCUCCGACGUCCGCCUCGCCUCGCCUGCCUUCCCGACCGCACCGGUGGCCGUGGUCGUGACCACUCCGGCUUCCGCUCACCCUCCUCCGACGGUGGCGUACGCCAGGCGGCCCUGCUCCACCUCGACGCCGGUGAUGGCCUCCCGGCGCAGCGCCCGCCUCGAUGCGUCCCGGCCAGCAGACUCCCCGGCUCCGUCCAUCGUCGAGCAGGCUGAGCUCCGGGCGGCAGUCCGUAACCUCGAGUCAGGUGCGGAUCCCGUCCUUCCCAGUUCUUCCAGCUGUUCCUUUUCCGUGCUUGAGGCCGUUCCUCUUGGCCACCUCACCAAGGUGGCCACUGACUCGCCAUAGUCUUUAGGGGGAAGUUGGUCCCCCCUGAGAGCAGAUCGCGGCCAUUAGGGCCCAUGAGAUUCUCGAUGGCAAGCUGGCUGAGACCCGAGCUCGCUUGCUUCGCCCCCCCCCCUCCCGAGGGAUCGACCGCCACCCCCGCGGUUCGGGCCCCUCGGGUGGCCGAUGGGAUGAUCCGUGGACGCACACGUUCGCGCAUGCUGCUCUCCGCGCUCAAAGCGCUUCCCGUGUCCUAGGGUCAAGCAGCCCCCCGAUGGGGGCUUGGAUGCGGGCCCUUUUCUGGAACAUCCGUGGCUUCGGCCAUGAUGGCCGUUGCCGCCAACUCAUUGAGUACAUUCGUCAUGAACACAUUGAAAUCAUUGCCAUCCAGGAAACCUUGCGCACUGAGUUCUCCCUUCAAGAGCUUGCACAUCUUAGUUCCCACCUCUUCGCUUGGCACUGGAUCCCGUCUAGUGGGACCUCAGGCCACUCUGGUGGCAUCCUUUUAGGGGUAAAGGAUGCCACCUUUGAGGUGGGCGGCAUGGACCGGGGUGAAUUCUUUGUUAGUAUGGAGAUCUUCGAGCGUGCCCCGAACUUCAAAUGGGAGGUCAUAAUUGUUUACGGACCGGCGGACCAUCGCUGCUCCCCGGCCUUCCUAGCGGAGCUUCAGCUGAAGAUCUCUAACUCCCUCCUCCCAGUUGUAGUGGGCGGAGACUUUAACCUCAUCCGAUCCCCGGAUGAGAAGAAUAAUGAUCGGAUUAACUUCCCCCGAAUGCAGUUAUUCAACGAUUGGAUUGCGGAGCUGGGGCUCCGUGAGCUUGAUCGGACGGGGGCCAGGUUCACCUGGACGAACCGUCAGAUUGACCCGACGCAAUCCGUCUUGGAUCGCGUCCUAGUUUCCCCGGAGUGGCAAUUAUGCUGCCCCCUGGCCUCGCUCCGGGCUGUUACCAGGAUCGGGUCUGACCAUGUCCCCCUCCUCCUCUCCAUUACCGAUGAGCGUCCUCCCACCCUGCCGCGAUUCCGGUUCGAGCUCUUCUGGCUCAAUCAAGCCAGCUUCCAGGAGGCUAUCGUCGCUCGCUGGAUCUCCGCUCGCUCUUCCCCUCAUCGCUCCAUGUCUGCUGUCGACUCGUGGCACUUUUGCGCCAAGCUCGUCCGCCAAUUCAUGAAGGGUUGGGGGGCUAACCUUGGUCGAGACCUUAUGGAUCGCAAAAAGGCCCUCCUGUUGGCUAUCCAAGCCCUGGACGCCCGCGCCGACACGACCAGGAUCUCCCCGGAUGAGUGGAUGUUGCGAUAUGACCUUGAAGAUCAGCUCUCCACCAUUUACACGGAUGAAGAGGCCUACUGGCGGCUACACGGUACCCAACGGUGGGUGCUUCGGGGUGAUGCCAACACCGCCUAUUUCCAGGCGGUGGCGAACGGCCGACGUCGUCGCAAUUCCAUCCACUGCCUGUGGGAUGGAGACACGCCUCUCGUUCACCCCUCGGCCAUCCGUGCCCAUGUAGACAGCUUUUAUAAAGCCCUAUUUACCCCCACCCCGCGGGGUGGGGCUAGUCUCGCCCCCGACAUUUGGUCGGGUGUUGCAAUUGGUCUCUGCUGAGGCCAAUGCGGCAUUAGUAGCCCCUUUUGACGAGGAUGAGGUCCUCGCGGGCAUUAAGGGGAUGAACCCCUCCUCGGCCCCAGGUCCGGAUGGCCUGCCCGUGACGUUCUUCAAAACAUUCUGGCCUACCAUCAAGCCGGAGGUCAUGGCCCUGUUUGAGGAAUUCUAUUCGGGCUCCAUGGACCUUGGGCGUCUCAACUAUGGGAUUGUGACCCUCAUCCCCAAGGUCCUGGGCGCUUCUGACAUCCGCCAGUUCCGUCCAAUCACAAUGAUUAAUGUGAUAUUCCAGAUCCUGGCCAAAGGGUACGCCAAUAGGGUGACCCUCCUCGCUGAUGCGAUUACCCAUCCGAACCAAUCCGCCUUCAUACAAGGUUGAUUUAUUCUAGAUGGGGUGCUAGUAUUUCACGAAGUCCUCCAUGAGGUUCGGCUGAAAUGCCAUGGCGGUGUCUUUCUAAAGCUAGACUUCCACAAAGCAUACGACACGGUCCACUGGCCCUUCUUGCGGGAAGUGUUGCUUCGCAAGGGCUUCGACGACCGUUGGUUGACUCGCGUCAUGCAGCUUGUCUCCUGUGGCCGGACCGCAGUGAACAUCAACAGUGACAUUGGUCCCUACUUCCCCACCCUCUAUGGGGUCCGUCAGGGUGACCCUUUCUCACCGUUCUUGUUCAACAUGGUGGUCGAUGCCCUGGCAUCCAUCCUGGAUAAGGCCAAGGAUGCUGGCCACAUCCGCGGCAUCGUCCCCCACCUAGUCGGAGGGGGAGGGGUCUCCCUCCUUCAAUAUGCAGAUGAUACCAUAAUAAUGGUGGAGGGCUUCGCUCUAGAUAUUGCUAACCUGAAGUUCCUCCUCCUGUGCUUCCAACAAAUGUCGGGCCUAACCAUCAACUUCGAUAAGAGCGAAGUGAUGGUUCUCGGAUAUCCGAUGGAGGAAGCACAGGCUAUUGCUGAUCGACUAAAUUGACGGUUGGGUUCUUUCCCCAUGACUUACCUGGGGAUCCCCAUUAGUGAUUCGUGCCUCACCGUGGCCGAUCUUCGCCCCACGGUGACCCGUAUGCAACAUCGCAUUGAGCCCUGGAAAGGGCGCUAGUUGUCGAAGGCUGCUCGCGUGAUCCUUAUCAAUUCUUCGCUUGCCAGCCUUCUAUGGUUCCUCAUGAGCUUCUAUAGCCUCCAUGAAACCCUUCAUCAGGAGAUCGCCAAAUACCAAUCCAGAUUCUUCUGGGCCGGGGAGGGGGAUAAGUAGAAGUACCACAUGGUCAGCUGGCCAGAUAUAUAUCCGCAAACCCAAGGACCAAGGCAGUCUUGGGAUCUUGUCCUCCCGACGCAUGAACAUUGCCCUCUUGACCCGUUGGCUCUGGCGCAUUGCCAAUGGCGAUGGAGGACUUUGGCUCACUAUCAUCCAGAACAAGUACCUUCGUGGACAGCCUCUCGCAUUCUGUCAGCGCUCAGGCGGCUCCCAGUUUUGGCAGGCCGUCGUCCAGCUGCUGCCCGUGCUUCGCAUUGGCACAUCCAUUUUGGUUGGUACUGGGUCCUCGACCCUGUUCUGGUUUGAUAGGUGGCUUGGCGACACCCCCUGGCCGCGCGUUUUCUGGAGCUCUUCGCCAUUGUUGUUGGCCCUCGGGUCUCUGUCGAGACGACCCUUAUUGACCUAGGGCGCCUCGCUUUCCGCCGCCCCUUUGGCCCCCCUGAAGUAGCCGCUUGGGAUGUCCUCCUCCAGGACAUCGCCCUCCUCCCUAUGGACGUCGCCGACACCCCGGACGCCAUCUCUUGGCACCUGGAACCUUCCGGCUACUUCUCCACCAAAUCCCUCUACGCGGCCAUCGCCCCCUCGACGGCCCCUGAGCCCUUCAGUUUGAUCUGGGACAGGAUCUUCCUGUGGCAAUGGAUCCGAGGCGGCCUCCCGUCCGGCGUAGAGGUCCUUAAGCGUAAUGGACCUGGGGAUGGGAUGUGCCCCAUGUGCAGCACGGUGGAGGAUGCCAACCACAUCUUUUUCUCGUGCUCCACAGCACAGUUCCUUUGGUCCUGUUUCCGCGAGACGGUUGGGGGCCAGUGGUGCAACACCAACUUCCCUGACCUGCUUGCGGAGAUUCAUGCCUCCCCCUCGCUACAGGCAUAUUAGAUGGCUUUGCGUCGGGGUCCUUGCCUGGACGCUUUGGACCGUACGUAAUAAGCUUGUCAUACAGAAGGUGCCUCUUCGACGUGCUACUGACGCCAUCUUUAAAAUGUGUGGAUAUUUGUAGCUCUGGCAGCCGCUUAGCCGCCCCCGGGACCGGGACGUCAUCAGCAACCUCCUCGCCGACCUUCGAUCGAUGGCCUUCCGCUUGGCGCCUCCGCUCCCUUCGCCCCCCUCGGAGCCCGACUAGAUACUAUGCUGCACCCCGCGCGUGCGUUCUUUUUUUGUUUCUUCAGGGCUUGUUGAGCUGUGCCCUCAGCAUUAACCCUUUGACUGUUUGUCUGUGCUAGACCUGUGUGUGUGUGCGCGCGCGCGCGUUUGAACCUUGUUGGAUGUUUGCCUUGGGCAUUUGCUUUAUAAUAUAAAGCGGGGCGAAGGCCUUUUUCGGUAAUCUGAAAUCUCAUCAACCAAUGCAUUUUGUUAGUGGAGGAAUGUAUCUCGUACGUUACAAAACUACUCCCUCCGUCUAGGUGAGUAAGUCAUCUUAGGUUGUGCACCGUGACCAAGGAGGAGGGGAAAACAAGAAACAUUAAUGUUUAUUUGCUAAUUAAUAGGAUUGCAUGCAAUGAACUAACCACUGCAUGUCGUGUUUGAUAAUCUCAAGUUAUUAAAAGCAUGCACACCCCAUAUCUCUUAUUGGUUGAUAUGUCAAGAAACAAGAAACGAGGUAGAAGUUAAUGCACCGCGCCUAAGUGUUUUGAAAUUAUUUGGUUUUCGUAAGAUGACUUACAUACCUAGACGGAGGGAGUACUCAAAUUAAACUCAUGCAUUCAUUUUGAUUAAUUGCAGUGCAUGCAUGCUUGACCACUAGAUGAGUAGGAACAUUAUAUGCAUUGAUGUGUUCCUUUUUAAUUCUUGCAUGCAAAGAUUGAAUGCGCCUCGAAAACUAAAAAUGAGAUGGAGAUGAGCCCUUUAAAUUUCCUCCGUCCCUAAAUAUAUGAUGUCCUCGUUUCUCGUGAAUAAAUUUUGACAACCAAUUGUGCUCACAUGAUAUGAAGUAUGUCAUAAAAAAUACACCGUUAGAAACUACAUUUGAAUAACAAUAUUGAGGAAUUGAUUGGUGUAAAUUUUGUGAUAUAUAACUGACAUUAUAUUGGUCAAUCGAUGAUCAAAGUUAAACCUAAACAGGGACCGAGGGAGAGUAUAAUUGAUAGUGGCAUCAAGUUGGCGAAAAGUCUGUAAGAGUUGGUCGAUACAUCAUGGAGUGUGGAACUAACAGUCAACGGUUAGGUACGUACUAGCUUCCAGAUCUUCAGUAAACUUCCUAGCUAGGCUCCGCCUCUCGCGUCUCGCGUGCACCCGCGAUGCACGUCAGCACGAGUGGAGCACGCAACAUGGGUCGGCAUCGUCGACUUCACCAUGCAUGCAUGGAAGCACACCAUGUCAGCAAAAAUGUCCUUCAGAAUUAAGGGGGAACAAAAAUUAAAAAAGGCAAAUGCUUAUUGCUCAUGGUCAAUAGGAAAAGCCAGGAAUCUUGUGCAAAAUAUUUGUUUAGUAGUACUACACACCACACAAAACAUCUUUGCAAAUAAUUGGCUGUUGAUCAUCCCACGUUCCCGCUACUCUCACUCUGCACAGCUGAUCAUUUGUUGCUUUCAAUACAAAUUUAAUAAAAUCAAAGCUCCGUCAUUGUUAUUAUUUAAUGUAAAUUCCUGCUAAAACAUAUGACAUGCUAUCUUACAUGGUAUUUCCUACAAAAACUGACCAUAUAGGAAUAUAAACAACCAAUCCUGCCAAACAUACUCCAUCCGUCCUGAAUUAUUUGUCGCGACAUAUAAUUCUGGACGACGGAAGCACGGCAUGACAUGUUAUUUACAUAGUAUUUUUAGAAAAAGAAAAACUGAGUAUAGUAGGAAUGAAAAAAACUAAAAAAACAAAUCAAUUUUGCACAGUCAUAUUGUUGGUGCGAGCCCUAGCUUGCUCUUUGCGCCGGUGCCCAGCUCCUCCCUUCCUCCCUCUCUCUCUAUCUCUCUCUCUCUCGCAUGAACGAAGGUAGAAGAAAGAAGAGACACAGGAUAUAGUGAUGUUUUUCCGACGCAUAUACGCCUGCCGCAACGACGACCGUUUCCUCAAGCAACAACUCGAGUUACACCCACGCACAAGUAGUACAACGGAGGACCUUUUAUAACCAGAUGCACACACGCGCUCGCGGCCACCACGCACGCACUCACGCGUGCACGCCGGCCACUAACCAGCUCACUAAAUGCAACUGACUCCUACAUGCACAUCCAGCGACGACCUCAUCCAUGCACUCCAGGACUCGGCCGCUCCACCGCACACCAUGCACAGACCCACGACGCCGGGUAGCACCACGCGCGCACACACCCAGCUGCUUGAUCCGCACGCUCCUGCCGCGCGCACAACGCGCUCCAAUGCGCCCGACCCGGCUAGCUGAUCACGGCUGUGGACGCGGCCACGCACCCGCAAGGUUCAGGGAUGUACCGGCAAACGAUACGCCGUUCGCUGGGUUUGCGAUUCGUGCGUCGUCGUGGCCCACCUUUUGUAUAAUACUGUAUUUCUAUAACCCAUGUUUAGUAUAUCAUUCUAGUAUGUCAGGAGAAUGACCCACUAUUUAUACUAGUAUGUCAACUUUGUCAGCUCAGCAUGCAUGCAACCUUUUUCCUCUCUCCCCGCUCCCAAACAAAUCCACCAUUUUAUUUUUGCUUACAAUUUUAGAUGGUCAUCAUAUUUCACAUUAAAAUUUCAUUAUAGAAUUUUUUAUAGAUUCAAAUUCCUUGCAACAUGAUCUUCAGAACAAGAUCAAUCUUGAAUAUUUUUAAAUUAGAUUUCAAAAUAACAUGUUUCAUAGUCUUUAAAAAAUAUCUCGUUUCAUAGAUUUCACGUAGUUCAAAAAAUAAAUUUCGCUAAGUUCAUAGAUAUCAAUUAUUUCAAAGAAUUGAAACAUCUAUUUUGUAACGAGUGAAAUCACUCUUUACAAACAAGUGAAAUAUACUAUUUCAAUUGAAUGAGUGUAAUAUUUUUCAGAAACUAGUGAAAUGAGUGAAAUAUAUCUUUUGUAACAAGUGAAAUCACUUUUUCGAAACAAGUGAAAUACAGUAUUUCAAUUGAAUGAGUGUAAUAUGUUUUCUGAAACUACUGAAAUGAGUGAAAUCUAUUUUUUGUAACGAGCGAAAGAACUUUUUUGAAAUAAGUGAAAUUUAGUAUUUCAAUUAAAUGAGUGUAAUAUGUUUUCUGAACUAGUGAAAUCUUUCUUUUGUAACGAGUGGAAUCACUUUUAUUAGAACAAGCGAAAUAUAGUAUUUGAAUUGAAUGAGUGUAAUAUGUUUUCUGAAACUAGUGAAAUGAGUGAAAUCUAUCUUUUAUAACGAGUGAAAUCGCUUUCUUAAAACAAGUGAAAUAUAGUAUUUCAACUGAAUGAGUGUAAUAUAGUUUGAGAUGAGUGAAAUAAUAAAAUACAAUAAUAUUGAAAUAUGAUACAUAAAAUUCAAACUAGUCAAAAUGUAUCCAAGAUUGGUCUUGUUUGAAAGGUCUUAUCGUCCUGGACUCGAAUAUAUAAAAAGUUUCAAAAAUGAACAUUUGCUUCAAAACAUAUCAAGUAUUCAAAAAUAUGAGGAUGGAAAUUAAUCCAUGUGAGUGGAAAGAGAGGCUGCAUGCAUGCGUCAUUCAUCUCCACUCUAACUCUCUCUCUCCCCUCUGUGAAAAGGCUGAAAAGACAUGCAGUGUCAGUUUUGUCUGUUGUAUUAACUGGGUAUAGUAGAGGAAUCAAUUUACAAAUUUAUACGGAGUCAGAUAGCACACAUCUUGAGAAAAUUAAUGGAUGGUGGAUUCUCCACCGAUACAUCCCGCCACCGGUAAAAAAACUUAUUCAGCCACGCACCAGCGUCCACACUCUGACCGAUACGCACACACAUAUUGAUCACCACCAUGGUGUGGCUUAGUCCUAACACAUAUCACAUAUGCUAAGACUGCGGGCACCUAGCUACGCCUAGCUAUCUGCCGCCUUGCUGCAGCAGUAGCAGCCGCCGCAGCUUCCUCCGCCGCUAGCCGCUCAUGCACCUUCCUGAUAUACUCCGCCGCGGCCGCAUCGAUGCCACCCAGCUUUGCUACGGCGCUGGAGGCCGCGUUUACGCUCGCUAUCGUCGUCUUCCUCUGCGCAUCGAUCUUCUCCACCCUCUGGACGCAGAUUUCUGACAUGUCUGAUACUAAGUGUUGUUGAGUGUUCUCUUUGGUUUGAACUAACAGAUCGUCGUGGCAGCAGAGGGGUAGGCCAUUUAUAGACAGCAGACACCACCUCCACGCGGUCGCGUUGUUUCCAAGGAAGAAGGCAAGAAAAGGCCCCGUAUGUCCGUACGUACCUCGCUGCUGUAGUCAUGGGUUCGACAGCAUUGGAAGUACUGUAUAUACCUCACGGCGUGUUUCCGUUUGAUUUGGUCAUGUACUCCUACUCAGCUUGUCAAAAUAUUCACUAGUACUAAUUAACUUGCGCAAAAUCUGUCGUCAAACCACUCUAACACUGUUAAGGCAUCUCCAACCCACAAAUUUGCUCCGGUAUUCGUCCACGGACGAAGGAACUAGUUUGCGGAGAUGGAUACCGGAGCCGGCCAUCCAACGCUACCUGCAUGCAUUUCAAGCCGGGUUUCAGUUUAGCAGACAAAAUCCAUGCAAACCGGCUAAUAUGCAUCAAAGUUUGGAAAAAAAACAACACAAAUUAUCCAUGCAUACAUAGUAUGCAAAUAAGUCUUGUACAACAACGUUCAGCAAGUUUUUAAUCAAGGGUUAAUUAUCCUUUUGCCCUCAGUGGUGUCCAUCUGCUCAGUUUUGCCCUCAGAUGCGAAUUGUGCUCAGUUUUGCCCCUAGUCCGUGCGCACCGACUCGUUCCGUGAACUCUGCCGUCUCCGUCAGGUCAACCUUUUGACUCGGCCCUUACAGGUGGGACCAGGCGGCAGAAACGGCCAAUUUUAUUCAGACCGUUGCACGCGUGGCUUGUGGGACCCAGCAAAGAGCCGUUGAGCAGAGAGUCGUUGGCGGGUGUGCUAUAUAAGCGGGCGACAGCGGUGGUGACCACGGCGACAGAGAGCACGGCGGUGACCACGGCGAGAGAGAGAGCACGGCGGCGGGAAGCUAGCUGUGGAGGGCGCGGCGGUGGGAAGCUGGCAGUGGAGGGCGCGGCGGCGUUGAGAUCCCCUUCGACUCCGAGCUCCAUGUUCCUCAAGCUCCCGCGCCACCUCGCGGAUGCAGAGCCGGGCGCGUGUGGACAUGCCUGUCUUCGUCUGUCCGCGGUGCCGGGCGGGCGCUGAUCAAAGGGUUUCUCAGACACCGAGGAACCAGAAUCGUCCGUUCUACGUGUGCAGCGAGAAUGGGGUAAGAAUCGGGGUAAUUGCACCAUUUUCGUCGUCGGGAUGUUUGAGCAAUGGGUUGAUCUGUUUAGUGUUCAUGCAGGUGACAUGCUUCUUUCUUUGGGUCGAUGCUCUGGCCAAGACUCUGAUGAAUGAACUGCAAGAAGAGCAUGAAGAAUGGUUGCGCAUGUUGCCACGAACGGCAGUGGCCACACCACGAGCUCCGGAAGAAGAGAUGGAUGGCGAAGCACGCACUGACAGAGAGCUAGCUAUUGAGCUUAGGAUGUUGAAGAAGAAGGUUAGGAAGCUUGAAGAUCAAGCACUACCAAUACCCAUUUGCAAAUACUUUUGGGCAUUUGUAGGUAUGGUAAUCGCACUGGUUGUAAUGUUUGAAAAUGUAUGGAAAGGCAUGAAUUAUGAAGGAAUUUGUAAUCUUGAAAUUGUUUGAGAAAUUCACCUAGUUUAAAUGUUGGUUAAAGUUGUUUAAAUGUUGAAACAAAAAGAGAAGAAGUGACCAACAUUUAAAUAUGUUGGAAAAAAAGAGAAGAAAUUAGGAAUUCAGAAACUUUUGAUCAAUGAAAUGCAGCUCUCUGCUCUGCCUUUCUGUCCAAAAAAAGGUUGCUCUUGGGCCAAAUUCAGAGCGUAGAGCCAAGUGCAGGCUAGAUUAAUGGGCCAACUGCAUCCAAUUAGGCCCAUUCAGGGGUUUUCUUGCGUAUUUUUCUGUUUUCUAUUCUGAUUUAAUUUAGGCAGUAAAUCAUAAUGCUGAAACUUUUUGUGGAAGCUAAUUGAAUUAUUCCGGAGCCAAACAAUUAAUGUUAGAAAUUUUUUGGAGUUGUUAAUUAAUCCAAUUCAAAUACACCGUGAUUUAAAUGAAAGACCAAAAUGUCAUGAAAAAUGUGCCUCGGCUCUGGUAGAGGUUUACGCCAGGUGCCAAAAUAAAUGAACAUUUUUUAAGGGCAUUACAUUGAGAAAAACAUAAUAUGUCUAAAAAAUGAAGGGUGGAAAAUGCACAAAAAAUUGGUGCGCCUGGGGACUCGAACCCAGGACCGCGUGGGUUUGUGGUGUUUAGGGCUACGCUGGUAACCGCUAGGACAGAUGGCAAGACUUUGACAUGGGUAGGGAAAGAAGGUAUACAUAGUGAGACUGUGAAUUUUUUUUUAAAAAAAAAUAGUGAGACCGUGAAUGUUGCACACGCGUGAGAGUGGUUUUCCUUUGUUUUGCACUUAAAUUUUGGAGGGUUGGAAGGUUGAAAAUGUAUGUUGCACUACCACAUGAUUUUGGUCAGAGUGGCACUUGGUUUAGGGUUAGAGUGGCACUUGGUUUAGGAUUUAAAGGGAAUAAAUUUGCAUGUUAGUUCAUGACUUUUUGUUUGAAUGAAACAGAGGGCUUCUCACCACCUCCGAAAACCACAAGUUCUCGAACUUCAUGACUUGUUUAGGGAAGAAAUGAUAAGUUUGGGCACGGACAUUUUUUAACACACAUAAUAAGAUGGAACACACCGUACCAUUACAAUAACUUAGAUAAGUUCACGGACAGUUCACGGACACAUGAUGAAACAUGACACGACACGACACGACAUAGAAAAGCAACAAAAUAAAAAACCAAACAUGACGAGCUUGACUCCGGGCUUGAACAUCUUCAUCUUGACCUCCUUCUUCCACCUUGGCCGCGCGCGCCCCUUCAACACCGUCUUCAUCUUCACACCUCCUCCUCCUCGUCGUAGGGAAGGGAGUGCAUCUGGCCUGGAGCGGGGAAGAUGCGCUCGUAGUUGGUGUAGAUGUUGUAGACGGUGAAGAAGAUGGCCUCGCAGCCGCACCAAAAGACUUGGCCGAGGAGCUCGCGCGCGUCAAAUGGGUUGGUGAAGGUGACCGUGAGCAGUAGGAGGAUGCCGCCGCGGUCACGAACCUCGUUGAGGGUGAACAUCCUCGGCGAGCCCCGUGGGAGGUGGGCAUAGCCGGCUCUGAGGAAGGCGCGGGUGAGUUCGACGGAACCCCUCCACCUUGAAAUAGCCCACACACAGAGCUCCCUCUCCACGAGCACGCCCGGUGGGUAGCGCAGCUCCGGCACCACAGGCGGACGGCUGAAGGUCGGCCCGUUGAACUGCAUCUUCUUCACUUGGUCUCGCUUGGGGAGGGCUCGGUCGCUUGGGUGUUUGAAGUUGGAGAGGAUCGGAUCUGGCUUGUGGGUGGGAGAGGAAGAGAGGCACCCCAUUUAUAGGCCUGUGGGUGGGAGAGGAAGAGAGAAAGGAUGAGAACGGUGCGUGUGUGAAUCCGGACGCGUGUGUGUAUCCGUUACGUUUUGCACACUUAAAUUUUUGCACGAAAACGAUGCAUCUUUGACCGGGCAGUGCAUGUGAACCGCUGCCCUGAACCACUGCCCUGAACCACCUAGCUCGCCUCGCUAGCCUAGCUCGCCUAGCGCGCCUCGCUCGCCUCACUCGCAUGCAUGCACGUCGCCGCCUCCCGCGCAUGCGCAAACCCAUGUAGCCGCCUCCAUGCAUGCAAGGCCUGAAAAGGCUGAGACGGGCUAUUUACUGCAAUCUCAGGCCCAGACAACGAGACGGCCCAACGGUCCAUCCAGCGCGCCCGAUAUUUGUUAAAAAAACAAUCUCCCAGCCAAUCAGAUUGCAUCUCGCGAAUCGCCCCCCUCCUCCCUGCAGAUUCCUUCUAGAAGGGUUAGAUCGACGGCCCUUGAUCACCGCUAGGGUUAGAUGAACGGUCCUUAUUCAGCGCUAGGGUUAGCGGGGUUUGGGAGGGGUUUGGAGCAGUCAAAGCUAUGUUUGACCAGAUUUCAAAUGAGCAUAAUAAAUUAAAUAAAAAUCAGAAAAAUGAAAAACCUGCGCACAUAGUCUUCUUAUGUCAUAUACUAACGAUUUAAGUUGAUAAACAAGCUUUACAUACAAUUAAAUGAUAAGUUCAUGUGUAUUGUAUGAUAUCUCGAGUAUCUCAAACUCUCUUGUAUGAAGUGAAGAGAAGUGUUUUGGGGAAAUGAACAUGAAAAUUUCAAAAAACUCACCACAGCUUCAUUUUGGAGUGACUAAGAAGGAUCCACGCUUAGUUUUUCAUUUUGAUGUUUUACACUUGUUUAAAUCUUGGUCAAAGUUAAGUUUGACCAGAAUUCAAAUGAGCAAAACAAAUUUUAAAAAAAUCAAAAAAUGGAAAAACCAGCGCACAUAGUCUGUACAUAUAGAAUAUAUGUGUAGGAAAGUUAUUUGACUGAUUUAGAUAAGGUCGAAAAAAACCUUGCAUAGAAAUGAGGCCGUUUACCCUACCUUUGGACCCCUCUUUUUAGCACAUUUUUCAUGAAAAUUUCAAAAACCUCACCACAACUUCAUUUUGGAUUGACUAAGAAGUAUCCAGGCUUAGUUUUUCAUUUUGAUGUUUUAGACUUGCUUAAAUCUUGGUCAAAGUUAGGUUUGACCAGAAUUUAAAUGAGCAAAAUAAAAUUCAACAAAAUCAAAAAAAGGAAAAACCAUGUGCUCAUUCAAACAUCAUCCAACAGAUAUUUAAACAUCAUGUCAAACAUACUUCUAACAUAGGUCCAACAUCAUCCAACAGAAAUACAACAUGUCAAGUGAUAAAUGUUUCAUAAUACAACAUCAUUCCUUAUUCAUAAUGUUUCAUAAUUGUUCAUAGAUAGCGUUGGGGCUUCUGUCUGUUCCUUGAGCUUCUUGUCAUCACUUUGCUCCUCGUGCACCUUGUGCUCAUUGUUUCUUCUCUUCUUCUCUUGGUUGUCGGUACCUUGCGCGUCUUCUUCAAACCUACCAUAGAGCUGUGCAAAACAUAAAGGGUCCAAACAUAAACGGUAAUGAGAUCGUGUCAAGUGAUAGAUGUACAGUAGUAUUUGACCCUUGCAAGAUUUACAUACCUAGCAGAACUCACAACAACAGAAGGUUGGUCACCAUUUGGAGCCUCACUUGGAUCAUCAUUUGGAGCCUCACUUGGAUCACCAUGAUCACCAUUUAGAGCCUCACUUGGAUUACCAUUUGGAGCCUCACUUGAAUCAUUAUUUGGAGGAUAUUUUGGAUCAUCGUCAAAAUCAUCCGGCUGUUGACCAUCAUUUUCAUCAUCUGUUGAGGCAACCGGCUGUUGACCAACAUUUUUAUCAUCUGUUGAGGCAACCGGCUGCUGACCAACAUUUUCAUCGAAGCCUUCAUCGAAACUCUCUCCGAAUACUGGAUCUUCUGUGUUAUCACAAUACUUACCGAAAUGACCAGACCCACCACAUCUUGUGCACUUACGCUUCCUCGCUCCAAGUCCAGCUCCUUCGCUGCGAGGUCUUAUUCGACUCUUCCUUGGUCUACUUGCUGCUCUCUUCAGAACUGGAGCGCAAAGCUUGAAUCCAGGGUCCACCAUGUCCCAUUGUUGUUUUCCCUCCAUAGCAGGCAAGGCAUAAGCAUAUGUGGCUUUGAACCUUGCAACAGAGUAGUAAUCAUGCACAUACUGCUGUAUGUUCCCUGCUGGACCUGGGAGAGAAGUGAUGAAAAACAAGGCAUGAAUGCAUGGCAACCCAGUUAUCUGCCAUUGCCUACAACUGCAAGUUCUAGCUUCUAAAUCCACUGGAUAUCUCCAUUCCCUUUUCUCUUUAUCCAAAUAUGAUAUCUCUGCUGUGGUACCCGAGCAAAGCGUCAUGUUCAUUUCCAAGCCUGUUGUCUUCUGCUUCAGUUCAUUCAUCACGGCAGGGAUGAUAAUGUGGCCCAUGAAUUUUGCCUCGGCUAUUCCUGCACGAUAAUGAAAUUUCUGCAUGUAUUCUAUCCUUAUUCUGUCAAGCAAAUCCACCACAUAAUGACCCUUUAGUUUCCGGAUCGUUGAGUUGAAAGACUCUGCUAGAUUAUUGUGCACAUAGUCAACUUUGCUCACUUCACUGAAUUGGCUUCUAGCCCAUAACUUGGAGUGGUGUGUUUUCAAGUAUUCUUUCACUUUGGGAUUCAUGUAUAACUGCCUCAAGUGGUAGUUGUGCUUCUUCACACUGCAUGUCAAAGAUGCUGGCCAUAAAUUGUCGGUAUACACCUUUCCUUUGAAUUUCUUCAUGAAAUUUGCAGCAAGGUGACGCAUGCAUUCCCUAUGCUCUACUCCAGGGAACACAUUGUCCACGGCCACUUCUAAACCUUUGCAGGCAUCUGUAUGAAUGACCAACCCAUUGGGAUGUGCAAUAGCCCGGCGGAGAUUAUGCAAAAACCAAGUCCAGCUCUCCUCAGACUCUGUCUCUAGCACACCAUAGGCAACUGGAAAUACAAAACUAUGUGCAUCAACUGCACAAGCUGCUACUAACUGUCCUUUAAACCUUCCUGUGAGAAAAGUGGCAUCAAUAGCCAAAUAAGGCCUGCAGCCUGCCACCCUUCUAAAACAUUCCUUGGUCUUUGUCACUCCCCUGAAUGUGUACUCCACGGUGUGGUGAUCAAUAUCUACAAUACUACCUGAGCUUGUCCUCUCCACUUCACCUUUGAAUGAAUACAACAAUUGAAAACUUUCCUGCCAGUUACCAUAAAUAGAAUCCAUAGCAUGUUGUUUACCAUUGAACAACCUCAUGUAUGGUAAAUCUAUCUUGAACUUAUCUUUGAUGUUCUUCUGCAAUUCCUUUGGACCCACUUGCUGGUUUUCUUUCACCCACUUUUUUACUUCUUCUGCCACCCAUCUUGACUUGGCUCUACUGAUUGUAUCCUUCCUAAGGGUUGAUUCCUGAUAUGUGUGCUUAAAAGGAUUCACUUUGACCUGAACAUUAGUGCUAUUCCGCAUUUUAGCUGCAAGCAGCCUCCAUGGACAACCCUCAGUCGGACAGUGCACUCUGUAACGUACUUGAUCGUUCUUGUCAACUUUGAAAGUACGUUCUACCUUGAUGCAGUAUGUCACAAGUGCAUUUCUACACUCAUUCAUGGAUGCAAAAACUGUACCUUCUUCCAUUUGAGGGUUCAAAGGGUCUCAUUGAACAGCUGCAAGGUCUUCGUCCUCACCCAUCGCGUCAUCAUCCACACGGACUGCAUUGUGAGCCUCAUCUUGGUUUUCAGCCCUAGGUGCCCGUCGUAAAUUCUAAAUAACAUCAGAAUAUAACUUCUCUUCAUCAACCCCAGAAUUGUAGCCAUCAGGCUCCACUUCAAGGGGGACCCUACUGCUGUUGCCCACACUUGUCGAGCCAUCACAUUGCCGUGCACCAACAGAACUGUUCUGGCUAGAGAUGCCAUUACGAUGACUUGAUUCUCCCCGAGAUGUUGCACCCGCCAUCCUAGGUCCAAAUGCCUGCUCAAGCACAUCAACUUGCAGCCUCACAUGGAAAUUAUCUUUCUCUUUAUGCCUAACAAACAUGGUAGCUAGCUCUUCAUCAUUACUAACUGUCACCCAAUUCUUUCCCCCAUCAUAGUAUUUGUAAACCACUUCAUCAAGCAAACCCCAAGGAUAUUGGCUACAAAUUACCUCCCCAAAUUGUCUGAAACUCCAAUUACUAGCCAUUGGCAACCGAUAAUCAAAACCUCCUUGGUAUUUCUUCUUAUCCUUUGCAUCGAACAUGUACCGGUCCCUUCUAAUGUGCACCAUGAAAGCAAACCGCAACUCCAUCCUAACCGGCGAAAAACAGAGACGCAAUCAGCACACUAAUUGGGCAAACCUACUCGAAUCGAGUGUUCAAAUGCACAACUAAGCUCAAUCUAAACAAGAGGCGAGACUUACCCCUCGGGAACCCAGUCGUGGACGCGGCGGAUCUCCGGCCCGAUGCCUGCCUCGCCAAAUACUCCGGGGUCGCCGCUGCUCUCCAUUUCGCCCUAGGGUUCUUCCUCCUAGUUCAAAUAGCUCCAGCAGCCCCCCACCUUUGAGCGCUCCGGCCGGGCGCACGGAAGGAGGCCGCGCCGCGGGUCGAGCAGGUGGUGGGCGCCCCACCCGUGGCGUCGCAGGAAGGUGGUGGGCGUCACAAUGAGCCGUGGAGCGUAGGCGCAGGGAGGUAGCGGCGGAGCAGGGCGUGCAGCUGGUGGCGGGGCAGGUGCUGGCCGCGGCGCAGGUGGCGGCGGCGGCGGCGCACGACAGCCGGCCGGGCGGAUGGGUGUGAGCUAGAAUGAUUUGGGGAUUUAGUUGCAGGGGCCUACAUGUCAGCUCCGGACCCACGUCCACGCGGUCCCACGUGUAAGCUCCGGACCCACAACUACUAACGCCGGCGGACGGAAUGGACUCAAAUAUGGCCGUUUGGCCUAGUCGUAGUUGCUGUGCACGGACUAGGGGCAAAACUGAGGACAAUUUGCAUCUGAGGGCAAAACUGAGCACAUGGACACUACUGAGGGCAAAAGGAUAAUUAACCCUUUAAUCAAUGGAUCAUGUCGUUCCAUAAAUAGUGCCCCUUCAGCUUCAUCCACCGGUGUGUGUGAAUAAAUAGUCGUCCCUCCUUUUUAUGAUACAUCACUGAAUGAAUGAUUCAGUCAACAAGUUGAGGAAGAAGAAGCAAAACUUAUGACCUCCUCCUCUGCCGCAUGCAAUGGCCACCUUGCCGCCAGCCGGGCAACUACGUUACACAAGUUGGUGACGAUGGUCUGGAUGGCGUGCCAUUGAUACGAUAACGACCUCACAUUGCGAUCAUGGAUAAUGUGCAUGUCGUAGGGCGCAAUGUGCUUUUGUGUGUGAAACGAUUCAUGCACUUGCUGUCAGAAGGUCCGCAGGUGCUGGUUGCGAACGUUUGGCAAUGCCUGUGUGGCGGACGGACAGGUACAGCGGCGCCGGCAGAGGUGGAGGGUGAGGAUGCAAAGCAAGGAAGAAAAGUGACAGAGUGGAAGAAAAUGGGACCGAGAGGGCGGAUUUAGUGGGCCUGGGAUGUNNNNNNNNNNNNNNNNNNNNNNNNNNNNNNNNNNNNNNNNNNNNNNNNNNNNNNNNNNNNNNNNNNNNNNNNNNNNNNNNNNNNNNNNNNNNNNNNNNNNNNNNNNNNNNNNNNNNNNNNNNNNNNNNNNNNNNNNNNNNNNNNNNNNNNNNNNNNNNNNNNNNNNNNNNNNNNNNNNNNNNNNNNNNNNNNNNNNNNNNNNNNNNNNNNNNNNNNNNNNNNNNNNNNNNNNNAUGUGUUCGGACCGCCGAGAGGACCGAUAUAGGAUAGUGUUGGAUGGCUUCCGCGGUCCGGACAUAUGCAGGGGGUUUGAGGGUCAGCGUUGGAGAUACCCUUAUAAUUGCAUUUGUUUGGGCUCAUUAGCAAGAAUGAUUAUGAGAUUCUUUCUCACACCCACCAGCUUAAAGAAACAACGUUUUUUGGGGAGCACCAUGGAGCCGCUGGGGAGAAGGUCGACCAUGAAACGGCCUGAAAACUUGCAGCCGGAGAGGAGCUAAUAUGAAGGAGUGCAAGAUUGUGGAGCAAUAACUUCAUCUUGCUGCCAAAAAAUAAGCAACAUUAACGUUGAAGAAACAUAUUCAAUGUACUCCGUUAGAUAUGACUCUAGAGGCGAAUAUAAGCUGAUAUGACCGGAUGAGCUCAAUCCAAAGCUCCUAGAGCACACGUCUAGUCCAAGAUCUUAGAUAGAAGGGUACAUGGUCUCGUUUCAAACUCGAGGUGAGGCUCCCUAUAUAUAUGACUUUAUGAAGCCUUGACAUCUCAUUUUGAUCUUUUUCUCUCUCCUUGGAGCCGAAUUGAGUGCCUUCCCUCCCCCACCACGAUCGCCGCCCCAACCCCAGGCCUCCUGUCCCCAAGCUCCGCCCCGAUCUGCUUCACCACCGGUGACCUGAGCCUCUCCCGCCGCUGAACCCACGAGUCGAACCCGCCAAGACAUGCCCGAAAAGAGCUUACCGAUCGGUUGCAUUUUCCUGAAUUUAAUUCAAGCUUUUCGGCGAUGUAUGUUCAAUGGGAAGAGAUGUUACCGUCCACUAUGAGACCCCUAUGGUGACUUCAUCAAUCUCAAGAUGAUGUGCCGACUCAGUCUCCCGAAAGUGCUUAUGGGGGUAAGAUGUGUAUGCAUUUGUUCACGGGGAUGAGUAUAUGUGCAUUUAUAUAAACGCGUGCAUUUGUACUGUGUUCAAAAAAAACACUGGCCGUUCCUUUCCUUUAAAUCAACACCAAAAGUAGAUGAUCUAAGUUAUAAUAAUCAGAAAAUUAUAUGUUUAAUAUAUCAAAUUAUAUGUUUAAUAUAUCAAAGUAGAUGAGUAUAAUACAUUGUCCAAAUUAUCAAAAAAAUCAGCUAAAUCAUGUGAAAACUAGCCAUCCGCAAAAAAACAACUCUUAAUCGAGUCAUUUAUUGUUAUAACAAUACAAACAAAGGACAUUUUGAUCAUUUUCAGCUAGCACUUCUCCACGCCAGCCACAACUGCUACAACACAAGUACCAAAUGACUGGAUUCCGGCUCCAACCUUUUGGCUGCAGCUAGCAGAUACUGUUUUUCCUUCUACCUGAAGCCGUUGCAGCUGUAGCCAUGGAAACUACAGCCCAAAUUUUGUAUUAUGUACUUUUCAGCUGCAUCCUCCGGUAAAAGAAACUACAGCCCAAACAAACAGUAUCUGCUAGCUGAAAGUACUUUCCUUCUACCUGUGUGGCGGACAGAGAGGUACAAUGGCGCCCGUCGGAGGUGGAGGUUGAGGAUGCAAAGCAAGGAAAAGAAGUGGCAGAGUGAAAGAAAAUGGGACCGAGAGGGCAGUGGGCCUGGGGUGUCAGAGCCNNNNNNNNNNNNNNNNNNNNNNNNNNNNNNNNNNNNNNNNNNNNNNNNNNNNNNNNNNNNNNNNNNNNNNNNNNNNNNNNNNNNNNNNNNNNNNNNNNNNNNNNNNNNNNNNNNNNNNNNNNNNNNNNNNNNNNNNNNNNNNNNNNNNNNNNNNNNNNNNNNNNNNNNNNNNNNNNNNNNNNNNNNNNNNNNNGUUCGGACCACCAAGAUGCACAUAUAGGAAAGUGUUGGAUGGCUUCCAUGGUCCGGAUGUAUGCGGAAGGUUUGAGGGUCGGCGUUGGAGAUACCCUUAUGAUUGCAUUUGUUUGGGCUCAUUAGCAAGAAUGAUUAUGAGAUUCUUUCUCACAGCCACCAACUUAAAGAAACAACGUUUUUUGGGGAGCUCCAUGGAGCCGCUGGGGAGAAGUUGAUCAUGAAACGGCCUGAAAACUUGCAGUUGGAGAGGAGCUAAUAUAAAGGAGUGCGAGAUUGUGGAGGAAUAACUUCAUCUUGCUGCCAAAAAAUACGCAACAUUAAUGUUGAAGAAACUACUUCAAUGUACUCCGUUAGAUAUCACUCUAGAGGCAAAUAUAAGUUGAUAUGACCGAAUGAGUUCAAUCCAAAGCUUCUAGAGCGCACAACCUAGUCCAAGAUCUUAGAUAGAAGGGUACAUGGUCUCGUUUCAAACUCGAUGUGAGGCUCCCUAUAUAUAUGGCUUUAUGAAGCCUUCACACCUCAUUUUGAUCUUUUCAUCUCUCUUUGAAGCCGAAUCGAGUGCCUCCCCUCCCCCACCACGAUCGCCGCCCCAACCCCAGGCCUCCUGUCUCCAAGCUCCGCCCCGAUCUGCUUCACCACCGGUGGCCUGAGCCUCUCCUGCCGCCGAACCCACAAGCCGAUCCCGCCAAGACAUGCCCGAGCUUACCGAUCGCUCGCAUUUUCCAGAAUUUAUUUCAAGCUUUUCGGCGAUGCAUAUAUGUUCAGUGGGAGGAGAUAUUCCUGUCCACUAUGGGAUGUCUGUGGUGACUUCGCCAAUCUCAAGAUGAUGUGCCAACUCAGUCUCUAGAAAGUGCUUAUAGGGAUAGGAUGUGCAUACAUUUGUUCACAGGGAUGAGUAUAUAUGCAUUUAUAUAAAUGCAUGCAUUUGUACUGUGUUCCAAAAAAAAACACUGGCCGUUCCUUUCAUUUAAAUCAACACCAAAAGUAGAUGAUCUAAGUUAUAAUAAUCAGAAAAUUAUACGUUUAACAUAUCAAAUUCGUAUAAUACAUUGUCCAAGUUAUCAAAAAAAUUCAGCUAAAUCAUGUGAAAACUAGCCAUCCGAAAAAAGAACUCUUAAUCAGGUCAUUUAUUGUUAUAACAAUACAAACAAAGGACAUUUUGAUCAUUUUCAGCACUUCUCCACGCCAGCCACAACUGCUACAACACAAGUACCAAAUGACUGGAUUCCGGCUCCAACCUUUUGGCUGCAGCUAGCAGAUACUGUUUUUCCUUCCAGCUGAAGCCGUUGCAGCUGUAGCCAUGGAAAUUACAGCCCAAACAAACACACUAUCUUUCAAAUGCUUGUAUUAACAGUUAAGUAGGGAAAAGAUACCAAUCAGAAUUGCGAAGAAACUGAUUUGGUUUGCGUGCGUGUGUACUUCAGGAUCUGCAAGUGUUGCAUAAAUCUCAAAUGGGAAUCUGAUUCUUUCUUUGAUGGCUACACAUGAUUGAUCAAUCGACAUGAACAGAGAAGACUAGCUUACAUCCCCAUCAGUUUCAGGAUUAUGUCGUGUCUAAGGGCGGCCGGACAAACCUUUCCACGUGACCAAAUUAAGCACGCGCGUACUUCUGCCUUAAUAGCUAAGCACUCGAUUCCCCCAAUCUGCGCGUGGAAGGUGAGAUAGGGAAGUCGAGUGGAAACCAUUUAUGCGCCUGCAUCUUCGUUAUUCAUGUCACAUGAACUGACGAUAACUAUUUAGAGCUCUAUUCAUGUCAUCUACUUCCUCUGAUGCAAAAUAAGUAUCGCAGUUUUAAACUAAGCUUAGUUUAAUUUAUUUAUUUGAAGUUUGAAACUACGACAUUUAUUAUGAACAGAGGGAGUAGUAGAGGUGUCUCCGUCUCCGUACCCCUGCUUCAAAGAUCAAAACCUGAGUAGACCAAUGGGCUAGCUCCACUGCAUAAUCUUUGAAACUGUGAUCUUGGACAUCAUCUGCACCAGAUUUAAUUACAGGAUCAACUUCGACAGCUUAGAAAACUGUGAUAACAUAUCUGAAUUUUUGUCCAAAAAAACCACCUGCCGAAUGUAAUUGACAGAAAAGAACACCCAUGAGUCACAUUGGCAAAACGGACCAGCUGGGUUGUGGCGGCAGGCGCGCUAGCAAACACGUGGCACCUGCCGCCUCCGCACGUGGCGGCAGGCGCCACGUGGCGGCUGGCGCGCCUGCCGCCACGACCCAGCUGAUCCGUUUUGUCAAUGGGAUUAAUAGGUGGUCUUUUCUGUCUGUUGUGUUCACCAGGUAGUCUUUUUUGACAAAAAAUCAACAUAUUUAGCGUCAUUUCGGACGGUGCAGAACUCAUUGUGAAGGAAUAGCCAGAACUCAGUUUCUUCACCAGGGGUGAUAGCACGCUUCUAUACUCACAUAAGAACCAUGAAUUGAGAAAGUAUCGGGUGCUCCAAACACUCUCCAACGUUCAAAAAUUCAAGUUUGAAUAUUUGGAAAAAUUCUAACUUCUCUAUGGACAUUCACAUGACAUAUGUCUACAUCCCCUAAUAAAUUCAAAUAAAAUAGAGAAACAAAAAUGACAAUCUAGCAUGAAUAGUGCCACAAAAAGAGAAAAGCAAAAAACACACACUAUCCACAAAAAAGCAACACACUAUCCACAAAAAGAUAAAAUUUGCCGGAAGACAAAUAUUUUGUAGAAACCACCAUGAACGCUAGAUUUACAGCUCAAGGAUGGAUACGGCACAUCUAGGCCGAGCAUAUACCACCACAAAUGCUAGAUUGACAGCUCAGCAAAAAUGUCCAUCAGGGGUUAUGGGAACAGAGAAGUCAAAACAGCAUGUGAUAGGAAAAGCCAGAAAGAUUCUGCAAAAUGUUUUGUUUAAUGCACAUUACACAUUGAUCGAACAUUGCGUACCACUAGUCUCGGUCUGCAUGAUCAUUUAAAAAAAAGGAGGAAUGCCCCUGGCCUUUGCAUCAGAGUGCUGCAUGCAACCAUUUUAUUGAUGCAAAGUUCAAAAAGUCUUGGGUCCAGCCUUAGCUCACAAAAGGAGCAUGAAAACACAAAGGAAAUGUAUAAAUAAAAAUGCCACAACCAGCGAAAAAUUGGCCUAGAUGACUAAAUACCUAUCCUAUUAUUGGAUCGCCAUCCAAACCGGUUGUAUAUAACCCAUGCUACCGACUCUCACCGGUUGCACCAAAUAGCCAAAAGCUCCUUGAAGUCCGCAUGAGUGAGUAAUUAAGGAUCACAUACGGAUUCAAGCAGUGGCUCUGUAAAUAACCUAUAAAAAGUUGAUAAAAAAUUUCCUGGUAAAAUGAUAUCAUUUCUGCAGUUCCAUAUAGCCCAAAGUAAGGCGCUCCGAAUAUGUCACACAAUAUUAGAUUCCACUUCAGUUAGUGUGACACCCCCGAUUCAAUCGUACACUAAUCAUACACGCAAACGUGUACGAUCAAGAUCAGGGACUCACGGGAAGAUAUCACAACACAACUCUACAAAUAAAAUAAGUCAUACAAGCAUCAUAUUACAAGUCAGGGGCCUCGAGGGCUCGAAUACAAGAGCUCGAUCAUAGACGAGUCAGCAGAAGCAACAAUAUCUGAGUACAGACAUAAGUUAAACAAGUUUGCCUUAAGAAGGCUAGCACAAACUGGAAUACAGAUCGAAAGAGGUGCAUGCCUCCUGUCUGGGAUCCUCCUAAACUACUCCUGGUCGACGUCAGCGGCCUGCACAUAGUAGUAGGCACCUCCCGAGUAGUAGUAGACGUCAUCGACAGUGGCGUCUGGCUCCUGGACUGCAACGUCUGGUCGCAACAAUCGGGUAUAGGAAGGAAGGAAAGGGGGAGCAAAGCAACCGUGAGUACUCAUCCAAAGUACUCGCAAGCAAGGAGCUACACUACAUAUGUAUGCAUUGGUAUCAAAUGGAAAAAGGGUAACAUAUGUGGACUGAACUGCAGAAUGCCGGAAUAAGAGGGGGAUAGCUAUUCCUAUCGAAGACUAUGCUUCUGGUAAUCUCCAUCUUGCAGCAGAAGAAGAGAGUAGAUGGUAAGUUCACCAAGUAGCAUCGCAUAGCAUAAUCCUACCCAACGAUCCUCUCCUCAUCGCCCUUUUAGAAAGCAACCACCGGGUUGUAUCUGGUACUUGGAAGGGUGUGUUUUAUUAAGUAUCCGGUUCUAGUUGUCAUAAGGUCAAGGUACAACUCCAAGUCGUCAUGUUACCGAAGAUCACGGCUAUUCGAAUAGAUUAACUUGCCUGCAGAGGUGCACCACAUUUCCCAACACGCUCGAUCCCCUUUGUCCGGACACACUUGUCAGGGUCAUGCCCGGCCUCGAAAGAUCAACACGUCACAGCCCUACCUAGGCACAACAGAGAGGUCAGCACGCCGGUCUAAAUCCUAUGGCGUAGGGGCCUGGGCCCAUCGCCCAUUGCACACCUGCACGUUGUGAACGCAGCCGGCGAGCAGACCUAGCCUCCCUUAUACAAGAGCAGGCGUUCCAGUCCAACCCGGCGCGCGCCGCCCAAUCGUUGACGUCAAGAAGGAUUCGGCUGAUACCACAACGUCGAGUGCCCAUAACUGUUUCCGCGUAGUUGGUUAGUGCGUAUAGGCCAGUGGCUAGACUCAGAUCAAAUACCCAGAUCUCGUAAAGCGUGUUAUUUUGAAGUAACCGCGAAUGCCGACCAGGGCCAGGCCCACCUCUCUCCUAGGUGGUCCCAACCUGCCCUGUCGCUCUGCCUCAAAGUAACAAUCGAGGGCCGUCGGGAACUCAGGCCCACCACUACCUGGAUGGAGCCACCUGCCAUUUCAGCCCCCAACAUCGGAAUCACUUGCGGGUACUCAACGAGCCGACCCGACUUUAGUCACCACCUGUAUAGCAUGUAUAUAUGUAAGUAUAUACCCGUGAUCACCUCCCGAGUGAUCACGGCCCGAUAGUAUAGCAUGGAAGACGGACAAGAAUGUAGGGCCACUGAUGGUAAACUAGCAUCCUAUACUAGGCAUUUAGGAUUGCAGGUAAGGUAUCAACAGUUAUAGCAAGAAUGACAGGCUAUGCAUCAGAAUAGGAUUAACGGAAAGCAGUAACAAGCUACACUACUCUAAUGCANNNNNNNNNNNNNNNNNNNNNNNNNNNNNNNNNNNNNNNNNNNNNNNNNNNNNNNNNNNNNNNNNNNNNNNNNNNNNNNNNNNNNNNNNNNNNNNNNNNNNNNNNNNNNNNNNNNNNNNNNNNNNNNNNNNNNNNNNNNNNNNNNNNNNNNNNNNNNNNNNNNNNNNNNNNNNNNNNNNNNNNNNNNNNNNNNNNNNNNNNNNNNNNNNNNNNNNNNNNNNNNNNNNNNNNNNNNNNNNNNNNNNNAAUGUAGUCGAACACACGGACAUCGACAGCAGUCUUGGAGUCUACCGGAAAGAAGUAAUGGAGGGGGAACACAAUAAAUAACAGAGCAAUCAAAUGUAACACAAAGCAAGACGCGGCAAUACGUUGUGUUAGGGUGACCUAACGUAGGGAUAGGUGAUACCGACGAAGGGGGGAAACAUCCGGGAAAGUACCCCCGGUGUUUUGCAUUUUCGGACAAAUGAACCGGAGGGGGAAAGUUGUGUGUUCGCUAUGCUAGGGAUGUGUGGUGGACUAACAGACUUUGGAUUCAGAUUCGUCUCGUCGUUCUGAUUAACUUUCAUGUAUAAAUUAUUUUCAUCCGAGUUACGGUUUAUUUUAUAUUAAUUUUCAAAGUUUUAAUAAUUUUCAAAAAUUCCUGGAAUUAUUUUCAUUCGAAUAAAUAAACAGUGCAACAACUUUUAACACACAACCAGAGCUAGCCCUAGCCACUGACUGGUGGGGCCAGUGGGCUAGUUGACUAUAGUCAAUAGCCCAGUCAGCAGUCAACCCAGUUGACUGCUGACUGGUCAACCUUGACAGGUGGGGACCGGUGAAUAGUGACUUGGUUAAAGAAACAUGUUUAAUUAGCAUGCGGGUCCCACUGUCAUACACUUGUUAGUGGGGGUUAGGAUAAAUUAGGGGCUUAGUACCUAAUCUAAAAAGGGGCAGUCCCCUUCCUGGACAUGCAUGCGUGUGUGGUGGCUUCGGCCAGGGGGCUCGGCCCCGACCUCGGCGAGCGGCGCCAGAGCGGAGCUCCGAUGGGUGCGCCGGGGGAAGCCUCGGCGAAGGACUCGGGAGGAGGGGCGCGUGCGAGGCGGUUGUAGGGGAGCGAACGACGGAGAGGCCAGGGGUGCGGCGAGCGCUAUCGACAGGGGAUGAUGGGGGCACCGGGCAAGCGACAGCAAGCAUCAGCAGAGCGAGCAAUGGGGGCAGCGCAGCGAGCGGCUGCGGUCAGCGCGCAGCGGGUCGGGGGUGCGGCAGGGAAGCGCGGCGGAGGCGGGCGCUGCCUGGUGUGGGGACGACUCGAGAAGCGAGAGGAGGCAGGGGCGCGGGGCGGAGGAAGGAGCAGCACCGGCAGCCGUAGCGGAGCAAAACGGCAAUGGCGGCAGGGGGUGGUGGCAGCGCCGGGCGCAGCGGGAGGUGGUUGCGGUGCGGGCAAGGGCGCUCAGGGUGUGGCCAGGGAGGGCGUGGGUGCGGCCAGGGAGUGCGAUGAAACGCAAGGGCAUGGUGGGCGCGAGCUCACAGUCCAGGCGCGGCGACUAAAACGGCCUAAGGCGACAGAUUCGACGGGGAAAAGGGGGAGACAGCGAGGAGCUCACCGGGCCCUACAGAUGUGUGUACGCGGGCUCGGGGGAGGCUUGGUGACGACAGCGUGGUGGCGGCGUUCUCCGGCGACCGGAGGGGGAGGCGGGGUGGAGCGCGUCGAUGACAGACAGCGACGGUUGCCCGCGGAGGGGAUCGACGGGGGCGACGGCACGAGGGCGUCCUAACUGGUGGCGCUCGGCAUGGAAGAAGAGGAUGACGACGUGCUUCUUCUGGGCAUCAGCGAACGGCGAACGGUGGCUGAUGGCUACGGCAACGACGACGACGACGCGAUCACCGCGCGAGCUCUUGCGCUCGAUUUCGAGCAGAUGAGGAGGGGCACGGUGGGGAAAGUUGGGGGACCGGACGAGAGAGUGCUAGGGUUUUUGUUGGAUGCGGUUAUACGCCACGGGGAGGCACGUGGAGGCCAUCCAUGGCUAUGGCAGCCGUGGAUGUGCGCCACGCACCUGGCUCUGCCUCCUCUCCUGUACAAAGGUUGAAGAGGCAUGUAGAUGGGCCAGGCUGCACUAUGGCUUUGGCCAGGCCCAGUGCACAGCAGUUCAGCUCCUUUCUUUUUCUUUUCUUUUGUUUUUACUCUUUAUUUAUUUUUCUUUUUAUUUAUUUCAAUUUUGUUUCCUAUUUUUUGAGUUUUAGUAAAAUAUGCAUUUAGUAUCUAAAUUAGUAUUUCAACUUAGCCCAUAGUCACAAAAAGUCUAGUCCUCAAAUAAAUUAGUUUGACAUUUUAUUAAUUAUAAAAAGUAUUUAAAUAAUUGUUUUUGUUGCUGUUUUAUUCAUCUUAUAGUAUUUAAACAUUUUAUAAAGGUGUGGCUUUUCCACCAUAACUACUUAUGCAAUAUUUUGUUCACUCAGAACAUUUUAGUUUUAAUAUUCGAAAACAUUUAUUGUUUGCUAGAUUUUGGAUUUGAAUUAGAAUCGGUUUCGAACUAACGCGAGAUUAGCAAUAUUAAUUCGAAGUGGCGUGGCAUCGUUAACAGGGAAUUACUGUAGCUUAAUUAUCUGGGCGUCACAAUUCUCCUCCACUACAAGAAAUCUCGUCCCGAGAUUUUAAGAGGCGUAAGGUGGGGAGGUUUUGGUUACGAAAUUCUAACGAUUCUUCUCGGUCUUGGUUGCUUUUCUCGAAGAGAUCGAUCCAUUACGUUGAUGGCUUCAUUUCUCUGCUUCUGUUCAUCAUGAUGAAGUUGUCUUCCUUCCUUCGGGAUCUUCAUCGUACUUACGAAAAGGAUAAGGGGUAGCUUCAAAAGGACAGACCUCUACAAGGUUGCUUAUCUGGUAGAUAAUAUUAGGGAAGGUGGCGGAAAGUAACUCUCGAGUUGAAACUUAAGAAAUUAUCGAGAUCAAAAUAAGAAGGUGCACCAUAGAAGUUUCAAGUGCAUAGGCAAUCGUUCAUUGCCUGAUACGAAAUGUGAAAGGGGUUCAGAGCAACGGGAAUAAGUAUUGCGUCUGAUACCAGAAUAGAUUACUAGCCAGGUGGCCCCUGAAUUACAUACGAAGUCAAGCUCAAGGAUUAUCUUUGGCAAUAGGGUCUAAAGGAGAGUCAUGUUUCGAUCCUGUGGAACUAUGGGUUAUGGGCCCACCAUGUGUGUUAAAAGUAGAAAGGGGGCUGACAUCUUGCAUGGUCACGAUAGCAAGGCAUAUCAGAGGGUAGCCUUCCAGUUAUGUUGGCAACAACAUUGGUACCAAGGGCGAGGGACGAAGAGAACCAUUUUCCUGCUCGUUUAACGAGGUAGACCAAUAGGCAAGGUUCUCGUCCAUCGGUGGCUACCGGAAUGUCAUCAACAAUAGUAACAGGGUCUUGCUGACAGAAUUGUACAACGAGGUGUUUACAUAAGCAAGAGAAUAUUACUACUUAGAUCAUAUAGACCUCAAGAAAAGUUAAACCAAACAAUGGAAAGGAUAGUAUGUUUAUCAAAUUAAACAGAACAAUGGAAAGGAAAAUGUGUUUAAACACAUAUUUCAGGGGUAUAUCCUUCCCAAGGGCAAGCAGAGCAUGAUAUCCAUGACAGGAUAGAAAGUAGAGAAACCAUUUAGAAAAGGGGGAAGGAAUUUCAUGACAUUACCCAUACAACGGUGUUUGGAUAAUUUGAUAAAGAAAAUUUAGCAUUGUGCUUCAAAUGUUCUUAUUGAAGAUCAGAGUACCACAGACAAGCUUCGAGAUAGCAUUGACAUGGUCUUCAAGCAAAGGUCGGUCUACGGAUACACGAAGAAUCCAUCAAGAUCAACUUGUAGAAUAAGUCUUACAAUUUCCCCAUUGAAGAAUAAUAGGUCCUCCGGCCAGGUGUGCUAGGCAUGACAUCACCUUAUUGGGUUAUAGAAAGACCAAUGCUAUGACUCUUGGAAAAUGUUCCAACCAUCAUAUCUGACCAAGUUUCAGAUCUGAUUGGUGUCAGAAUACCUCAGACUCAGGAUGCCUGAGAAGAAGAGGUGCAACACAAUUGACGAGAUGACAUUAUAUGAUUCUCGGGAAAUGAAUUAUGGAAGCGAGUUCCGAACAAGGGUUCAUCAUUAAGCCAAGGAGAGGAUGAGGAGGUGGCUGAUGGACUCAGUGAUAAUUCAACGGGGUAUCCAAAAAAGAUGGAUCUCCACAAUUAUGUGGAUAAGGAGAUAACAUUUGUUAGAUCAAAUGAUAUAAUGAAAUAUGCUCGAGGAAAACAUACACAAUUAAACAUUGGUUGAAAGGUGCACCCAAAAUAUUGGCUUAGGUAGCAUGAUCAAUGUUAGAAUGGUGAUUCAAUAACCAAUAGUCUAAGAAUGAACUAUCGACCAUUAACUUCAAAGCAAUAGGGCUGCUAGAAGUACAUAACCCAAACAUCAUCGUUCACUUGUUGAUAUUCCCGGUUAGUCAAUACGGGGACCAAGAAAUAAUGGUGCUUGUGAGAAGUAUCACUAUACCAAGAAUUAUUAAGAGGUGGAGCAAUCCUUGCAACAUCCUUGACAUAAAAGAUGGUUAUACUCCAAGGUAGCACACAAUACAAACUGGAUAGCAAGUUGCAUCCAUAACAUGAACAAGUUUUUGAUGAAAGGAAGGUAAAGAUGUUCUCGAUGGUAACUCAAAUUACCAAGGGACGAGGAUGGCACUUACCAUCAUGAAUUUGAUUGAUAUCCUGGAAGAGCUCAGAAUGUUGAUGAUGAUCAUGACAAAUUUUGUCAAGAGGUUUCAUGGACAUGUAAUCGAUCGGCGAUGACAUCACACCAAGGGAAUGGUAAAGCAAAAGGUUACUGGAACCAUAGGUACGACACAAACUCGAAAUCAAGUUUGUUGUUUGAGGUGAAAUGAUAAGACGAGGAAGAUCGACGUAAGGUUAGCUCAUCGUCAAAAAUUGUGCUCCGGGAAUAAGGACCAGGUAGCACGAUAAUGAUAUAGCCGAUCAGGCUUGGGAUGACUUGAAGGAUUAUUAAACUCAUAAGAAAUGAAAAUUACUUAGAGUUAUUAAAUCAGAGUCCGAACUCGAUCCACUAUUUGGUGUUCUCGGUUGACGACAACCCAGAACCCAGGAAAAUUGGAAUUGGAACAGUUGAUGAAGAACCCAUAAUAAGUUAUGCAGUUCCAUGAUAUUCUCGAGAUACCAGAGUGUAAUACUCGACGGUAGAGCAGAGUAGAGGGUGGACACGUGAAAUGAUCUGCAGAAGACAAGUACUUCAUCUUGUCUGAGAAAUGGAAUCAAAGGAGAUCGAUCAUGGUCGGAGCCAUGAUUGCAAAGGAUCAAUUUACAGAUACCAGAUGAUAUUAUAUCAAGGAAAUAGUUAUUAUUACAAGAAGCUUCCAUGGUAGGAUCUACAUCGUGUCCAUGGGCAUGAACACAAAGUUCAAGGUCGACUCCCACUUCUUCAAUGUAUAACCUUCCAUUCACCUCUCACUUUCGAAGAAGUUGUAGUGUUGAAAUUUUAUCUAGCAAAAUACCAGAAGAGUAUGACUCGCAAAAACUUUCGAGUUCACACAUAUUAAGGAAGGCAUAGGUUCAACCCGUCAGGGUAUCAUGGAAACAUGUACCACAAGCUUCAAUAGUAAAUACCACCAGCUCGAAAACAGAGCAUGGUUGAGAAAGCAGAGGAUACAAUUUACCAAAGGCUUUAUAUAUCCGUGGAAAGGCUCACAAGGUUAUUUGAAUGUGGAGGACAUUGCCGGAUAAUAAUCCAACAAGAGGUCUGGUGGUCUACAAUGGAGCUGAUGUGAGUAUCGGUACUCUAUCAAAGGAAGAAGGAAUGCAAGUGCAUCGGAUUAUAGAAACAACUGACUAACUCAUAGCUCAAAUGCAAAUGAAUUAUGAAUUCCAAGACAAGGGAUCAGAAGCAAUGCUCUGAUUAGGGAUGGAUAAGUUGAAUAGCCUUAGGGGUACAAUCGAUGACAAUUUGAUCGGUCAAGAACCAGCUCCUGUUCAAAAUGACAUCUGAGCCAAAAGGAUGAAUUCUAGAAUCCAAUUGAGGAUUGCGAGCAUUCGCAACAUAUCGAAUCAAGUGACUCGAAAUGAUAGUGACAGAGGAUGUCAACGGAGAUUACUAGAAGUAUGGAAUUAACCAUAAUGGAGGAAGGCAAGGAAAUCAAGAGCAAUGGGCUGCUGAGGAUUUUCAGAAAAUCGAAUGGUAUUUUGAGGACUUAUGUGAAACACAUGAACGGCUAGGGAUGAGCGGAUACUCGGCAAGUGCGAGGAAUUAUCAGUAGGGUUAUUCAGGUGGUAAGAAACUGCAAGGCAGUAGGCACAAAAUAUUCUCGGAACAAUAGAGAGGAUUUCAGGGUAUUUUGUAAUAACAAGAUCAACUUGGAAUAAAAGCAAGAACGGCAAGUGUAUGUAUUUAUCCAUAGGGAUAUGUCGGUGGUAGGGAAUUGCAAAAGCAACGGACACAAAGUAUCAUGGGAACAUCGGAGAGUAACUUCGGGAUCUUCUAGUACAUCAAGUGAUCAUCUGUAUCGAGUGGCUCUCCGGGAGGAAGUAGUUACGAGAACCUAGAGUUAGAGUUAGAGUUAGUAAAACCAUUUAACCCGAGUAGAAGAGAGAUAAGAGUCCCAGAGUAUAGACGGGGAAUAAAAGAUCCUAAUACCACCCAAUGGCGACAUGGGCCCAUAAGGCACACAUCCAUGUUAGUAAAAGUUUUGCAAUGUCUAGACUCGACUUCAGCCAAGGAGUGUGGAAGGGGGAUUCCUACAUGCAGUCUGCUAUGAUACCAACUUGUGACGCCCCCGAUUCAAUCGUACACUAAUCAUACACGCAAACGUGUACGAUCAAGAUCAGAGACUCACGGGAAGAUAUCACAAUACAACUCUACAAAUAAAAUAAGUCAUACAAGCAUCAUAUUAUAAGCCAGGGGCCUCGAGGGCUCGAAUACAAGAGCUCGAUCAUAGACGAGUUAGCGGAAGCAACAAUAUCUGAGUACAGACAUAAGUUAAACAAGUUUUCCCUAAGAAGGCUAGCACAAACUGGGAUACAGAUCGAAAGAGGCGCAUGCCUCCUGCCUGGGAUCCUCCUAAACUACUCCUGGUCGACGUCAGCGGCUGCAAGUAGUAGUAGACACCUCCCGAGUAGUAGUAGACGUCAUCGACAGUGGCGUCUGGCUCUUGGACUCCAACGUCUGGUCGCAGCAAUCAGGUAUAGGAAGGGAGAAAAGGGGGAGCAAUGCAACCGUGAGUACUCAUCCAAAGUACUCGCAAGAAAGGAGCUACACUACAUAUGUAUGCAUUGGUAUCAAAUGGAAAAGGGGUUAACAUAUAUGGACUGAACUGCAGAAUGCUGGAAUAAGAGGGGGAUAGCUAUUCGUAUCGAAGACUAUGCUUCUGGUAACCUCCAUCUUGCAGCAGCAGAAGAGAGUAGAUGGUAAGUUCACCAAGUAGCAUCACAUAGCAUAAUCCUACCCAGCGAUCCUCUCCUCGUCGCCCUGUUAUAGAGCGACCACCGGGUUGUAUCUGGCACUUGGAAGGGUGUGUUUUAUUAAGUAUCCGGUUCUAGUUGUCAUAAGGUCAAGGUACAACUCCAAGUCGUCCUGUUACCGAAGAUCACGGCUAUUCGAAUAGAUUAACUUCCCUGCAGGGGUGCACCACAUUUCCCAACACGCUCGAUCCCCUUUGUCCGGACACACUUGUCAGGGUCAUGCCCGGCCUCGGAAGAUCAACAUGUCGCAGCCCUACCUAGGCACAACAAAGAGGUCAGCACGCCAGUCUAAAUGCUAUGGCGCAGGGGUCUGGGCCCAUCGCCCAUUGCACACCUGCACAUUGCGAACAUGGCCGACGAGAAGACCUAGCCUCCCUUAUACAAGAGCGGGCGUUCCAGUCCAACCCGGCGCGCGCUGCCCAGUCGCUGACGUCAAGAAGGCUUCGGCUGAUACCACGACGUCAAGUGCCCAUAACUGUUCCCGCGUAGUUGCUAGUGCGUAUAGGCCAGUGGCCAGACUUAGAUCAAAUACCCAGAUCUUGUUAAACGUGUUAUUUUGAAGUAAUCAUGAACGCCGACCAGGGCCAGGCCCACCUCUCUCCUAGGUGGUCUCAACCUGCCCUGUCACUCCGCCUCAAAUAACAGUCGGGGGCCGUCGGGAACUCAGGCCCACCACUACCUGGAUGGAGCCACCUGCCCCUUCAGCCCCCCAACAUCAGAAUCACUUGCGGGUACUCAACGAGCCAACCCGACUUUAGUCACCACCUGUAUAGCAUGUUUAUAUGUAAGUAUAUACCCGUGAUCACCUCCCGAGUGAUCAUGGCCCGAUAGUAUAGCAUGGUAUACGGACAAGAAUGUAGGGCCACUGAUGGUAAACUAGCAUCCUAUACUAAGCAUUUAGGAUUGCAGGUAAGGUAUCAACAGUUAUAGCAACAAUGACAGGCUAUGCAUCAGAAUAGGAUUAACGGAAAGCAGUAACAAGCUACACUACUCUAAUGCAAGCAGUAGAGAGAAGAGUAGGCGAUAUCUGGUGAUCAAGGGGGGGCUUGCCUGGUUGCUCUGGCAAGAAGGAGGGGUCAUCUUUAAUGUAGUCGAACACACGGACAUCGACAGCAGUCUCGGAAGUAUACCGGAAAGAAGUAAUGGAGGGGGAACACAAUAAAUAAUAGAGCAAUCAAAUGUAACACAAAGCAAGACGCGGCAAUACUUGUGUUAGGGUGACCUAACGUAGGGAUAGGUGAUACCGACGAAGGGGGGAAACAUCCGGGAAAGUACCCCCGGUGUUUCGCGUUUUUGGACAGAUGAACUGGAGGGGGAAAGUUGUGUGUUCGCUAUGCUAGGGAUGUGUGGCGGAUGAAUGGACUUCGUAUUCGGAUUCGUCUCGUCGUUCUGAUUAACUUUCAUGUAUAAAGUAUUUUCAUCCGAGUUACGGUUUAUCUUAUAUUAAUUUUCAAAGUUUUAAUAAUUUUCAAAAAUUCCUGGAAUUAUUUUAAUUCGAAUAAAUAAAUAGUGCAACAACUUUUAACACACCACCAUAGCUAGCCCUAGCCACUGACUGGUGGGGCUAGUGGGCCAGUUGACUAUAGUCAACAGCCCAGUCAGCAGUCAACUGGGUUAACUGCUGACUGGUCAACCUUGACAGGUGCAGCCCGGUGAAUAGUGACUUGGUUAAAGAAACAUGUUUAAUUAGCAAGCGUGUCCCACUGUCAUACACUUGUUAGUGGGGGUUAGGAUAAAUUAGGGGCUUAGUACCUAAUCUAAAAAGGGGUAGUCCCCUUCAUGGACACGCAUGCGCGUGUGGUGGCUUUGGCCAAGGGGCUCGGCCCCGACCACGGCGAGCGGUGCCAGAGCGGAGCUCCGACGGGUGCGCGGGGCGAAGCCUCGGCGAAGGACUCGGGAGGAGGGGCGCGCGCGAGGCGGUUGCAGGGGAGCGAACGGAGGCGAGGCCAGGGGCGCGGCGGGCGCUAUCGACAGGGCAUGACGGGGGCGCCGGGCAAGCGACAGCAAGCAGCAGAAGAGCGAGCAACGGGGGCAGCGCAGCGAGCGGCUGCGGUCAACGCGCAACAGGUCGGGGGUGCGUCAGGGAAGCGCGGCGGAGGCGGGCGCUGCCUGGUGUGGGGACGACGCGAGCAGCGAGAGGAGGCAGGGGGCGCGGGGCGGAGGAAGGAGCAGCACCGGCAGUCGUAGCGGAGCAAAACGGCAACGGCGGCAGGGGGUGGUGGCAGCGCCCGGCGAAGCGGGAGGCGGUUGCGGUGCGGGCAAGGGCGCUCAGGGUGUGGCCAGGGAGGGCGCGGGUGUGGCCAGGUAGUGCGAUGAAACGCAAGGGCAUGGUGGGCGCGAGCUCACAGUUUAGGCGCGGCGACUAAAAUGGCCUAAGGCGACAGAUUCGACGGGGAAAAGGGGGAGACGAGGAGGAGCUUACCGGGCCCUGCAGAUGUGCGUACGCGGGCUCGGGGGAGGCUUGGUGACGACAGCGUGGUGGCGGCGUUCUCCGGCGACCGGAGGGGGAGGCAGGGUCGAGCGCGUCAAUGACGGACAACGACGGUUGCCCGCGGAGGGGAUCGACGGGGGCGACGGCACGAGGGCGUCCUAGCUGGGGGCGCUCGGCGUGGAAGAAGAGGAUGACGACGCGCUUCUUCUGGGCAUCAGCGGACGACGAACGGUGGCCGGUGGCUAUGGCAACGACGACGACGGCGCGAUCACCGCGCGAACUCUUGCGCUCGAUUUCGAGCGGAUGAGGAGGGGGCGCGAUGGUGAAAGUUGGGGGGACCGGAUGAGCGAGUGCUGGGGUUUUCGUUGGACGCGGUUAUAAGCCACGGGGGGCACGUGGAGGCCAUCCAUGGCUAUGGCAGCCGUGGAUGUGCGCCACGCACCUGGCUUUGCCUCCUCUCCUGUACAAAGGUUGAAGAGGCAUGUAGAUGGGCCGGGCUGCACUGUGGCUUUGGCCAGACCAAGUGCACAGUACCAGUUUAGCUCCUUUCCUUUUCUUUUCUUUUGUUUUUAUUUUUUAUUUAUUUUUCUUUUUAUUAUUUCAGCUUUGUUUCCUAUUAUUUUAGUUUUAGUAAAAUAUGCACUUAGUAUCUAAAUUAGUAUUUCAACUUAGCCCAUAGUCACAAAAAGUCUAGUCCUCAAAUAAAUUAGUUUGACAUUUUAUUAAUUAUAAAAAGUAUUUAAAUAAUUGUUUUGUUGCUGUUUUAUUUAUCUUAUAGUAUUUAAACAUUUUAUAAAAGUGUGGCUUUUCCACCAUAACUACUUAUGCAAUAUUUGGUUCACUCCGAACAUUUUAGUUUUAAUAUUCGAAAACAUUUAUUGUUUGCUAGAUUUUGGAUUUGAAUUAGAAUCAGUUUCGAACUAACGCGAGAUUAGCAAUAGUAAUUCGAAGUGACGUGGCAUCGUUAACAGGGAAUUACUGUAGCUUACUUAUCUGGGCGUCACAGUUAUCCACGUCCCAAAUAACGUGUUAAUACUAACUAGAGGAGUAAUGUUAAAGCCUAUAUGUAUCGUGCGCCAAAGAAGUUUGACGAGAGGAUAGUCAAGAAAGAGGUGUUUUAUGGUUUCAUUCUCGUCACAGAAGCAACAUCGUGAACUGCCCACCCAUCUUCGCUUUACCAGGUUAUCCUUGGUUAAAAUCACUUUUUAUGGGCAAACCACAUGAAAUUUUUAUUCUUAGCGAAACUUUAAUCUUUCAUAUGUAAAAUGAUUUCGGCAUCGGCUAAAUAAAAAUGCCACAACUGACGAAAAAUAGGCCUAGAUGACUAAACACAUAUCCUAUUAUUGGAUCGUCAUCCAAACCGGUUGUAGAUAACCCGUGCUACCGUCUCUCAUCGAUUGCACCAAUAGCUGAAAGCUCCCUAGAGUCCGCAUGAGUGAGAAACGACCACACACGGAUCCAACCAGUGGCUAUGUAAGUAACCUACAAAAAGUUGAUAAAAAGUUUCCUGUUAAAAAUGAUAUCAUUUCUGAAGUUUCAUAUAGCCCAAAGUAAGGCGCUCCGAAUAUGUCACGCAAUAUUAGAUUACAGUCCAGUUAGCCACGUCCCAAAUAACGUGUUAAUACUAACUGGAGGAGUAACGUUAAAGCAUAUAUGUAUCAUGCGCCAAAGAAGUUUGACAAGAGGAUAGUCGAGAAAGAGGUGUUUUAUGGUUUCAUUCUGGUCACAGAAGCAACAUCAUGAACUGCCCACCCAUCUUCGCUUUACCAGGUUAUCCUUGGUUAAAAUCACUUUCUUGUGGGCAAACCACAUGAAAAAAAUUUAGCGAACUUUAAUCUUUCAUAUGUGAAAUGAUUUUGGUAUCGGCUAAAUAAAAAUGCCACAACUGACGAAAAAUAGGCCUAGAUGACUAAACACCUAUUUUAUUAUUGGAUCGCCAUCCAAACCGAUCGUAGAUAACCCGUGCUACCGUCUCCCACCGGUUGCACCAAUAGCCGAAAGCUCCCUAGAGUUCGCAUGAGUGAGAAACGACCAUGCACGGAUCCAAACAAUGGUUGUGUAAAUAACUUGGAAACGGUUGAUAAAUUUUUUCCUGUUAAAGAUGAUAUAAUUUCUUCAGUUUCAUAUAGUCCAAUGUAAGGCGCUCCAAAUAUGUCCCGCAAUACUAGAUUCAACUCCAGUUAACCAUGUCCAAAAUAAUGUGUUAACACUAAUAGGAGGAAUAACGUUAAAGGCUAUACGUAUCAAGCACCAAGAAAGUUUGUCGAGAGGACAAUCAAGAAAGAGGUGUUUUAUGGUUUCAUUCUGGUCAGAGAAGUAACAUCGUGAACUAACCAUCCAUCUCCUGUGUAUCAGAUUAUCCUUGGUUAAAAUCACUUCUUUGUGGACAAACACAUGAAGAUUUUGAUUCUUAGCGAAACUUUAAUCUUCUAUAUGUGCAUGAUCAUUGCAGAACACAAAUUUCUAACAAUCAAUAACGCUGUCACCGUUAUUAUUGUUCACUCCCAAAAUCUAUUUACAUAGUGUUUCUACUACUUUCUAUUCCCUCCGUUCCUAAAUAUUUGUCUUUCUAGACAUUUCAAAUGACUACUACAUACGAAUGUAUGUAGACAUAUUUUAGAGUGUAGAUUCACUCAUUUUGCUCCGUAUAUAGUCACUUGUUGAAAUGCCUAGAAAGACAAGUAUUUAGGAACGGAGGGAGUAUUCAGUAAACUGACCAUGGAAUCACGACUUCACCAAUCUUGCCGAGAACCAAAAGAUUAACAAACAAAAAAAGAAACAAUUCAAGUUUACACACGCAUAUGCUACACCCAGCGAUCUAGCGCCUUGCGGCAGCAGUGGCAGCUGCCGCAGCUUCCUCAGCCGCCAGCCUCGCAUGCACCCUCCUGAUAUACUCCGCCGCGGCCGCGUCGAUGCCCCGCAGCUGCGCUACGGCGCCGGCGGCCCCGUGCACGCUUGCCGUUGUCGUCUGCGUAUCGAUCUUCUCCACCCUCUGGACGCAGAUUUCUGACAUGUCUGAUACUCCCUCCGUUUCACAAUAUAAUGCUUUCUCUAUCUCCGUGCUUUAACUUUGACCAUAAAUUUAAUUACCAAGACCAAUUGCGGCGGGAGCAAAAAUUAUAUCAGUGAAUUCAUAUUCGAAAGAAGUUUUGAAUUAUAUAAUUUUUUCUCCCGCCACAAUUGGUCUCGUUCGUUAAAUUUAUAGUCAAAUUUUGAUCUUGGAAAGUGUGGGCGUACUAUAUUUUGAAAUGGAGGGAGUACUAUUGUUAAGUGUUUUGUUUUGUUUUGGUCCAGACUGAAUGAACGGAUGAUCGUGGAGGCACUGGUGGGCGUACGUUAUUUAUAGACCAGCCACCUCAUGCGGUCGCGUGGUUUCCAAGGAAGAAGGGAAGAAAAGUACGUGGCUGGCUCCAUACGUCGACUUGUUGACCCUGGAAGUUUGGAACGUUCAUACUCUAUAUACGGAUCUACUACUACUCAGCUUGACAAGAUAUUCACUAGUGCCAAUUAACUUUUGCGCAAAUGACUGGAUUUAACCACUAAAUCAGGAAAAAGGUAUCGAUCAGAAUUGCGAAGAAGCGACGAGUGAAGAAAGAGCGGCCCGCACAUAUCUCAAAUGGUUUGGUUUGCGUGUGCGUGUGUACGUGAGGACCUGCAACUGCUGCAUAUAUAUCUCAAAUGAGAAUCACAUUCGGUCUUUGAUGGCUACAGAUAAUUGAUCACUAGACGGCAGCAGUCAAGACAUGCUGAGAUCAGUCGCGCCUACGCGUCGUGUAUACGAAAUGUGAUGCCCGCAUGAUGAUGGAUGUGAGGGCCGCCAAAUUAGUUUAUGCUGUUCAGGACCGCGUCGUGUCUCAGCCGGCCGGCUAAGCUAAGAUGAUACUCGCACGGCAACUGCCUGAACAAAAUCACUGUUCUGACCUUGUGAACGUUUAUAGUUACAAACUGAACUUGACGUGAAAGUAUUUUACGAUUUGACCCUUUUAAAAACGUCAGAGCCGCGGCGUUUCCACCCAACAUAGAAACGCCGAGCAAGCUAGCGUUCCCUGCCAACACGAAAACAACGUGGUAGCUAGCGUUUCAGCCCUGGCCCACAGACAAUCCGAACAUGCUGUUUUCGCUGACGUGGCACGCGUGAAACGGCAAAGUCCCUGGCGUUUCUGAACUGGAUUAAGUAACGCGCGCGGGCCGCGGGGGUCUAACCCAGCCCACUCACAGUCCCAGCCCCGGUCGGGCAGUUCUUUCAGGGACGAACUGGCAACCGCCCCCUCCCUCUUCUUCACCAAAUCUCCCCCAGAUCUGCUAUUUUGAUCAUCAAAACGAGUAGAUCGGAGCAUCCCCGAGUUGCUUGAGGUAUUCUCUUCUCAAUCCUCCAUUUUUUUUCAGUCAAGAUUGGCUAUUGUAGAUGCAUUUUUUCAAACAUGGUGGAACCCUAAGAUGAGUUACUAGUGAUUUGUUUGAUGAAUAUUUUGGUUACAUGAUGUUUAGAAAGAAGACAUAUACUCCUUGUGUUGAAGUAUUCCUAGUUAAGUUGUUUAGUAUUGGAUUUAGAGAGGGACCAUUUUUGGAUUAGGUUGAACUUAUUAUUUGUUAAUAAUUAGUUGUGAUAGAUUCUUUAGGAUAAAAUAGGUUGAAAAGAAUUGGUGUUGGUAAUUAAUGCCGUUCGUGAUUUGUAUCUUUGGGAUAAUUUUUAGUAGUUUUCACACGAUUUUGUGUAUGAUGUGGUCAUAAUUUUAAGCAUAUAUCAUAACAAAUCCGUUGACCUUAUUUUGUAGGAUGUUUGAGCCGGAUAAAUAUCCCGGCCUUGAUGAUUAUUACGAGGAGAAGCAUCGUGCUGUGCUACUGGAAAGAGGGGAGGUAAUUAUGUAUCUACAUUGUUGAUUCUCAUAUUGUGAGUAGUUUAGAGAAGUAUAUAAAUUGUGCGUGUGUUUUUUGUAGGUUCCUCCAGUACUUCGUUUGAGAGGCCACAACCCACAUGAGUCCCUGGAGUAUGACCGUCGCUACGAGCCUUAUGUUAGAAGAAUGGAUCUUCUCCAGUUUGUGCUCAACUUUAAAGUCACACCCCCAUGGCUGAACUCGACGGCCAUUACUGCCCUUACGGACCGUUGGAGGCCGGAGACGCACUCUUUUCACCUUGCUCUUGGUGAGAUGACCAUCACUUUGGAGGAUAUUGCAAUGAUCUCCGGUUUCCCGAUCGAGGGCAGGGCUCUUACCGGAAAGGUGAGGUCUGAGGGGUGGCGACAAAGGGUUGCAGGUUUGGUUGGUGUUGAACCUCCCUCGUGGAUUCAUGAAACAAAGAAGGAUCCUAGGCCAUCUGGUGUUUUGUUCUCGUGGCUACAAGAACAUUUUUACGAGUGCCCAGAGAGUGCCAGUCCGGCUGUUGUGGAGAGGUACAUCAGGGCUUACUUAUGGAAUCUUUUGACCCAAGUGGUGUUUCCUGAUGGAACGGGAGACACAGCCUCGUGGAUGUUCUUGGACCCUCUUCGUAACUGGGAUGUUAAGUGGAGUUGGGGGUCGGCGGCACUAGCCUUCUUGUACCGUCAGGUAAUGAUAAUUUGAUGCAUUCUCAUUAUAUGAAAGAGAUUUUUGCAUGUGAUUGUUUAAUGUGUGUACAAAUGUGCAGUUGGUCGGAGCAUAUAUGAGGAGUAAGCCGAAAUCUUGUCUUGGUGGUUUUGUUUGGGCCCUACAGAUUUGGAUGUGGAAGCGUAUCCCUGUGGGUCGUAACUUCACCAUUGCUCCGGAAGAACCUUGGGAGUGGCCUUUUGACGGGGAUGAGGAGCGAUAUCCCACUAUCACAUACACGUGGGCUAAUGUCCAAGUGUCGAGUAUCGCCGCCAUGGGGCGGUACAAGGCAUACAUAAGCGAUCUUCACAUGCUUACUUACAACCAGGUAAUUAUCAAAUGCCUUGCCAUCAUUACAGAUUUUUUUUGUUGUGCAUGAGCUAGUGACAUGUGAUGUAGGUUAAUUGGAGGUCGUACAUGGUACUUAGGCAGUUCCCUUUGAGCAAUAUGUGCCUUCUUGACCAACAUCUUUGGCGUGUGUGUUGCCCCAUGAUAUGCUUUUUUGCGUGGAGUGGCAUCUUCCACAUCGUGUUUCGAAGCAAUUUGGAGUACAACAACACACCCAGCCAGAGUAUGUUGAGACAAGUGUGGUGCUACAUAGGUGAGAGUUUCUUGUACCAUAUGUUGUUCAAUGUGUAACCACGGAAAAAUGAAAAUGAUACCGAUACUUCUCAUGCUUUGUAGGAUGAGCCGACAACACAACAAGAAUGUCAUUAAUUGGGAAGAUCACCAUCUUAUGUGGGUGGACAUGUGGAAUGCUCAGAGGAAUGCCCGAGUUGAAGAUGAUCACACACCUGACAAUGACGAGGGGGCAUAUUUAAGGCAUUUGGAGUGGCUUCGGAAAGAGUACAGAGUUAUCCUUAAGGGUGCUUGGACUCAUGCCGAUUGCUUGGAAGUAAUGCCAAGUGACAUUGCUGAUGGUGCAUUCAACAACUCUAUUACGGAGACCAUUGGAGCGCACCUAGAUUAUGGCCCUUUGCAUGAUCGAGUGGUAUGUCUUUUUGUCUCUUUUUUGAACAUGUGUCAUUUCGUCAUGAGUGGUGUGUCACUUAAGUUUUAUUCAGGGCACAGAGCUAUGGAGAUGUAUCAAUGAUAGUAAUGUGGUGCUUGGCCGCGCACCUGGUAGAGAAAUGGACGUUCUCGUCAGGAGUACUCUACAGGUUAGAGGCCUUCUUAAUAUGAACAUAUGUCAUGUGAACUAUUUUUGCAUAUUUACCUGUCAAUGUCUUUGCCUCUGCAGAAGGUUGUGAAUCGUUGCCGAACACUAGCUGCUUUACUUUCUUGCCAUGGCGGUUCAUCCAUGGAUGUGCGUGCACGUGCUCAGUAUAGAAUGGAUGUGUUGUCUUCCACUCGUCCAUCUUCGAUCCAAGCACGUGCUUCUUCCGCUCGUCCACCUUCCAGUCGAGAAGGUGCUUCUUCGAGUCGAGCACGGAUUGAUGAAUAGGAAGAUGAAGAGGAGGAGACAGACUACGAUGCGGAUCCGGACUAUGUGGAGCUUGGGGCUUCGCAGAUGGAAGAUGCUCCACCGCCAACUCAGCCUUCUCAGCCUUCUGAAGAAGCACGCCGAGUUAGCUCAAGAACCAUCCAACAUCCUGGAUGGCAGAACACUCCAGAGGGCUACAUCAACAGGGGGAAGAUGGAUGCAAAAAGAGGCAAGAAGUGAAGUGACGACUGAUGCAAAGGGUGGAAACGCCAGGGAUGCCAGGGAUGUAGAGCAUUUCGUUGUAGGGUGGAAAUGCCAGGGACGUUGGCGUUGCCAGCGUACACCACAACGUUUCUUGGUGAAGUUCCAGGCAGCCUCUGUCUUAAAGGAACGCCAAGCCAAGUCGAACGUUUCGAUGUAGGGAAGAAACGCCAGGGUCAUUGGUGUUGCCAGAGUACAAGGAGUCUAGGCAACAAGAAGGUACAAGAUGAAAUGCACACGAAGGUCCAAAGCAUGGCACAGUUCACAUCAUUGCUCUAUUGUGUAGAGCAAGGUCCCUUUCCCUUCUUCUUCUUCCUCUCUUCUUCUUCUUCUUCCUCCUCCCUUUUCCUUAUGAGGUGAGCCUCCUUAACCACCCUCUCCAUGAAUAUCUGAUUCUCCCUCUCUCUUUUUUCAUCUGCAAUUGCCCAAAGCUUCAAGGUUCUUUAUUCAAAAUCCUUUUGAUGCUUCUUCUGUGCCUCCUCACAUUUCCUCACCAACGCUUGCUCCCUAGCACGACACCCAUUUGACGCUCUCACUUUUUGCUUCCUCUUCUCUUCAAGCUCCUCUUCCUUCUUCUUCUUUAGUGCGGCUGCAUCCUCCUCUCUCAGCUUCUUCGCAGCCUUCUCCCACCACCCCGCCAUCUCACCUUCGCCAUCCUCCAGCCCCUUCAUUGUUUCCUUGUUGGGUUGAGAAGCCGCCAUAUCUAUGAAAAAUUGCAAGACAUUAGUUAGUAAGGACAAAAACAAUGAAAAUAAAAUUGAGAGACAUGAAAAUAAUUAUGAAAUGUAACCACGUACGGAAAUGGUCCAUCUAGGUAUCCAAACAUUCCUCUAGCAUUACCACGGCCUCUACCCAUGAAACCUCCUCUACCAGCACCCGAACCUCUACCCCUACCACGAGCACCAUCACUGGUAACUCGUACUCGACCAUGACCACCCCUGGAUCCUUGGCCACCACCGAAACCUCGGCCACCACCAAGGCCACCACCGAAAACUCAGCCACCACCAAGGCCAUGACCGAAACCUCGGCCACCACCAAGUCCAUCACCGGAACCUCGGCCACCAUCAAGGCCACCACCGGAACCUCGGCCACCACCAAGGCCAUCACCGGAACCUCGGCCGACACUUGAAGAAGCAUUGUGCCCUUUUGAAGUUUUGUUUGUUUUGCAAGUCCUUUUGUUGUGCGUCGUUUCAUUGCAACCAUCGCAUUAGUUCCUAUCACGUGGCUCCAUGAAAUGGCCACUACCAAACUCUCUGGUGCUCAUGAGGUCAUCCAUAUCAUUCAUGUAUUGCUUUGUUCUCCUUCUACCCUUGGGUUGUACCAUCAUCUCCGGAUCGGGCCUAAUGUUAGGACCUGAUAAUCUUGCCAAUGUGAUGCGUCCAGAAAAGGGUGGAAUCUAGACGCCCAUGUUAACUUAUGAGUUUGCAAGUUGAAUUCAUGCAACCUCACAACUACACCAUCGGAGAUAUCCACAUUCCUGAUGCGAGCUGCUGACAUCAUGUGUGAGCAUGGCCAGUGGUACUUACUAGGCCGCUCACAAGUGCAAUGUCUUGUCCUAAGAGCCACCUUAAAUGAGCGACCACCAUAUGAUUGUCCAUCUCUAGUUGUCCCACCUGGCUCAUCCACUUGGUAUUUCAUUUCUACAUUAUCGAAACAAGUGACUCGCUGGAUGGUUGACUUGUCUCUCUGAAACUCCAGCCACUCGGCAACCUUCUUCGGAUAAAUUUCAUUGGGAGGCUUCUCACUAUCAACAAUCAACUUGUCGAUUUCAUCGGAGUGCUUCAAAAAAAUACUCAUUUAGCUUGUAAAAGGUAUAUUCGGCUAUUGUCGUCACUGACAACUGAUGGGCACCCUUCAAGACAAAGUUGAAGCACUCAACAAGAUUGCUUGUCAUGUCACCAUAUCUCAUGCCUCCUUCAUCACAUGCUCAUGACCACUUGUGUCUCUCAUCAAUAUUCCUUUCUAAGAAAUCUUUCCCACCUUCGUUUGCCUUCUCAUAGAUUUUGUUCAAGCGUGUCGCGAAUGACUAAACGGAGAAGGCUACACAUGUGGAGUUAAGAUCCUUGCAAAGAUAUAUCCUUGUUCUUACAAGCCCUGUAAAAGUUUGCAACGAAGUGCCUCAUACACCAUCGGUGGUGAAGCCUCGCAUGCCCUGGAAUAUGAAUAUCCACGACCUUCAAUAUGCCUUGGUGCCGAUCGGAUAUGAUGCAUACCUCCCUAUUCGGAGGAAUGACCGUGCUCCUAACAAGUCUCAUGAACCAUUCCCAGUUGUCUUGGUUCUCCACAGAGACCAAAGCAAAUGCCACAGGCAACACCUGAUCGUUAGCAUCAUGUGCCAUUGCUAUCAUGAGUGUGCCCUUGUAUUUCCCUGUCAAGAAUGUCCCAUCUAUAGACAAAACCGGUCGACAAUGCUCAAAAGCUGCAAUGCAUGGGCCAAACGUCCAAAAGGCAUGACUGAACACUCCUUUAAUAUCUUGGACAUAGUGGUACAUUCCUGGGUUUCUAUACGACAUCGCUCCCAGAAACCUGGGUAUCAUGUUGUAAGCCUCUUCACAUCCACCGUACAACAUUCUGAGAGCGACUUGAUUGGCCUUCCAUAUCUUCCCGUACUUGGCCUUAUAUCCGAACUUAUCUUCAAUCCAACUCAUCAACAACUUCACUUUAAUGGUUGGAUCCUCGGCUAUAUGUUUCUGGUAUUUAUAAUGUAUUCCGUGCUUCUACGGCCGGCAGUGUGCAUUGGUGAGUGGCUUGGCAACUAGUUAUCUUCCACCAACCAUCUUUCGUGAGUCUUCCAUUGACUUUCCAUUUGCAUCUUUCUACCUCACAUUUCACGGUGUAUCGCUUGUUGCAGUCUGAGUGAACAACUAUGAAAGGCAUGUGGUGUUUGACAGCAUACUCACACAACCACAUCCUGAAUUCUAGCAUGUGCUCGAACAUCAAACCUUUCCUCACGUAUGACAUCGAAAUCGCGUCGGGUGUACUACUUGGGAAAUGUCUAGCCUCAAUUGUCUUGCUCAUGACACUGUCGACUAUAGCCUUAUCUGCAAGGCUAACAUCACAAAACAAGGGAACUUUGUGAUCCCUACCGGUGAUUUUUGUGUACCACUCUGCUUCUUUCUUAGUCAAGCCAUCCUCAUCCAACUCAUUCACUGAGCCUUCAUCAUCCGAGUCAUCCACACAAGCACGCUGAUAGAUAAUGUCAGGAUCCAUGUCCUGAUGCCUUACUUUAGCCUCUACAUCACCAACAAGGUUGUGGUGCCUCUCAUACUCUUCGUCGGGGUCAUCUCCAUCAUAUUUCAUCGGUGCACUACCUCGGAACUCAUAUUGGGGAUACUCAUUGGCUUCCGCUUCAACUUUAUGCUCAACAAUAGGCGGCGCACUACUAACCGAGCUCACAUCAUCUACUAAGGUUUGGUUCAAGUCAACAUGAAAGAGAGGAGCCUUGACCACCUUACUUGCAAAGACUUCGAGUGACUUGACUAUCGAGGAUGCAACAACCUCCUUAUAUGCAAGCCAAUGCAAAUUGGACUUGAUAGGCAUUGUCUUCAUUCGGCACUUGUGUGUCGACCCAACAUCAUAUCUUCCUACUAAUUCAACUUGGUCACUUGCAUCCACCCACUUUAAUCUUAUCCGUGUUUCUUCCACAACCUCUUCAUAACCAGGAGUCUCAAGAAAUAUCAACACUUCCUCAUACUUGUCAACAAUAUCCACAUUCAUGAAUGCCUCUUUGUCAACAUAAUGAAUAUUCACAAUCUUGUCCAUCUAAAAAAAUGGUAACAUAAGUAUAAGAAAUGUACAAUGCUAAAUAUACCACAUUGCUAACAAAAGCCCUAACCCUAACCCUAAAUCUUAACAUUAGCCAUAACCAUAACCCUAAAUCCUAACUAGCCAUAACCCACAAGUAAGGUAUGCCCAACAACAUCACAAUGCAACACUAUUGGAACAACAAUACUCAAAACAUCACAUUAUAGAUUCAUGUUCAAAACUAGGGUUAGGAACAACAAGAACAAAUCAAUCCAAAUGGACAAACCCAACCAAUAAAUAUUUGUGAGAUGAAGGAGGUGUUGGGGAACGUAGCAGAAAUUCAAAAUUUUUCCUACGAAUCACCAAGAUCUAUCUAUGGAGAAACCAGCUACGAGUAGAAGGAGAGUGCAUCUACAUACCCUUGUAGAUCGCUAAGCGGAAGCGUUCAAGUGAACGGGGUUGAUGGAGUCGUACUCGUCGUGAUUCAGAUCACCGAUGAUCAAGUGCCGAACGGACGGCACCUCCGCGUUCAACACACGUACAGCCCGGUAACGUCUCCCACGCCUUGAUCCAGCAAGGAGAGAGGGAGAGGUUGAGGAAGACUCCAUCCAACAGCAGCACAACGGCGUGGUGGUGGUGGAGGAGCGUGGCAAUCCCGCAGGGCUUCGCCAAGCACCAUGGGAGAAGAGGAGGAGAACUUGGGAGAGAGGGAGGGGCUGCACCAAAGGCAUAAGGUGUGUUUGGGAGGCCCUCCUACCCCACUAUAUAUAGGGAUCCCAAGGGGGGGUGCGGCAGCCCCUAGGAGAUCCNNNNNNNNNNNNNNNNNNNNNNNNNNNNNNNNNNNNNNNNNNNNNNNNNNNNNNNNNNNNNNNNNNNNNNNNNNNNNNNNNNNNNNNNNNNNNNNNNNNNNNNNNNNNNNNNNNNNNNNNNNNNNNNNNNNNNNNNNNNNNNNNNNNNNNNNNNNNNNNNNNNNNNNNNNNNNNNNNNNNNNNNNNNNNNNNNNNNNNNNNNNNNNNNNNNNNNNNNNNNNNNNNNNNNNNNNNNNNNNNNNNNNNNNNNNNNNNNNNNNNNNNNNNNNNNNNNNNNNNNNNNNNNNNNNNNNNNNNNNNNNNNNNNNNNNNNNNNNNNNNNNNNNNNNNNNNNNNNNNNNNNNNNNNNNNNNNNNNNNNNNNNNNNNNNNNNNNNNNNNNNNNNNNNNNNNNNNNNNNNNNNNNNNNNNNNNNNNNNNNNNNNNNNNNNNNNNNNNNNNNNNNNNNNNNNNNNNNNNNNNNNNNNNNNNNNNNNNNNNNNNNNNNNNNNNNNNNNNNNNNNNNNNNNNNNNNNNNNNNNNNNNNNNNNNNNNNNNNNNNNNNNNNNNNNNNNNNNNNNNNNNNNNNNNNNNNNNNNNNNNNNNNNNNNNNNNNNNNNNNNNNNNNNNNNNNNNNNNNNNNNNNNNNNNNNNNNNNNNNNNNNNNNNNNNNNNNNNNNNNNNNNNNNNNNNNNNNNNNNNNNNNNNNNNNNNNNNNNNNNNNNNNNNNNNNNNNNNNNNNNNNNNNNNNNNNNNNNNNNNNNNNNNNNNNNNNNNNNNNNNNNNNNNNNNNNNNNNNNNNNNNNNNNNNNNNNNNNNNNNNNNNNNNNNNNNNNNNNNNNNNNNNNNNNNNNNNNNNNNNNNNNNNNNNNNNNNNNNNNNNNNNNNNNNNNNNNNNNNNNNNNNNNNNNNNNNNCGGGAUCUCAUCCGGGACUCCGAACAACAUUCGGUAACCACAUACAAGCUUCCUUUAUAACCCUAGCGUCAUCGAACCUUAAGUGUGUAGACCCUACGGGUUCGGGAGACAUGCAGACAUGACCGAGACGUUCUCCGGUCAAUAACCAACAGCGGGAUCUGGAUACCCAUGUUGGCUCCCACAUGUUCCACGAUGAUCUCAUCGGAUGAACCACGAUGUCAAGGACUCAAUCGAUCCCGUAUACAAUUCCCUUUGUCUAGCGGUAUUUUACUUGCCCGAGAUUCGAUCGUCGGUAUACUAAUACCUUGUUCAAUCUCGUUACCGGCAAGUCACUUUACUCGUUCCGUAACACAUCAUCCCGUGAUCAACUCCUUGGUCACAUUGCGCAUAUGAUGAUGUCCUACCGAGUGGGCCCAGAGAUACCUCUCCGUUUACACGGAGUGACAAAUCCCAGUCUCGAUCCGCAUAAAACAAUAGAUACUUUCGGAGAUACCUAUAGUGCACCUUUAUAGUCACCCAGUUAUGUUGUGACGUUUGAUACACCCAAAGCACUCCUACGGUAUCCAGGAGUUACACGAUCUCAUGGUCAAAGGAAGAGAUACUUGACAUUGGCAAAGCUCUAGCAAAUGAACUAGACGAUCUUUUGUGCUAGUCUUAGGAUUGGGUCUUGUCCAUCACAUCAUUCUCCUAAUGAUGUGAUCCCGUUAUCAAUGACAUCCAAUGUCCAUAGCCAGGAAACCAUGACUAUCUAUUGAUCACAACGAGCUAGUCAACUAGAGGCUCACUAGGGACAUAUUGUGGUCUAUGUAUUCACACGUGUAUUACAAUUUCCGGAUAAUACAGUUAUAGCAUGAAUAAAAGACAAUUAUCAUGAACAAGGAAAUAUAAUAAUAAUACUUUUAUUAUUGCCUCUAGGGCAUAUUUCCAACAGUCUCCCACUUGCACUAGAGUCAAUAAUCUAGUUCACAUCGCCAUGUGAUUAACACUCACAGGUCACAUCGCCAUGUGACUAAUACCCAAGAGUUUACUAGAGUCAGUAGUCUAGUUCACAUCACUAUGUGAUUAACACUCAAUGAGUUUUAUGUUUGAUCAUGUUGCUUGUGAGAGAGGUUUUAGUCAACGGGUCUGAACCUUUCAGAUCCGUGUGUGCUUUACAAAUCUCUAUGUCAUCUCCUAGAUGCAGCUACCACGCUCUAUUUGGAGCUAUUCCAAACAACUGUUCUACUUGGAGCUAUUCUAAAUUAUUGCUCCAUUAUAUGUAUCCGGUAUCUCUACUCAGAGCUAUCCGGAUAGGUGUCAAGCUUGCAUCAUCGUAACCUUUACGACGAACUCUUUUACCACCUCCAUAAUCGAGAAAAUUCCUUAGUCCACUAGUUACUAAGGAUAACUUUGACUGCUGUCCUGUGAGCCAUUCUUGGAUCACUCUUGUACCCCUUGACUGACUCAUGGCAAGGCACACUUCAGGUGCGGUACACAGCAUAGCAUACUGAAGAGCCUACGUCUUAAGCAUAGGGGACGACCUUCGUCCUUUCUCUCUAUUCUGCCGUGGUCGAGCUUUAAGUCUUAACUUCGUACCUUAUAACUCAGGCAAGAACUCCUUCUUUGACUGGUCCAUCUUGAACACCUUCAAGAUCAUGUCAAGGUAUGUGCUCAUUUGAAAGUAUUAUUAAGCAUUUUGAUCUAUCCUUAUAGAUCUUGAUGCUCAAUGUUCAAGUAGCUUAAUCCAGGCUUUCCAUUGAAAAACACCUUUCAAAUAACCCUAUAUGCUUUCUAGAAAUUCUACAUCAUCUCUGAUCAUCAAUAUGUCAACAACAUAUACUCAUCAGAAAUUCUAUAGUGCUCCCACUCACUUCUUUGGAAAUACAAGUUUCUUAUAAACUUUGUAUAAAUCCAAAAUCUUUGAUCAUCUCAUCAAAGCGUACAUUCCAACUCCGAGAUGCUCACUCCAGUCCUUAGAAGGAUCGCUGGAGCUAGCAUACCUUUUAGCAUCCUUAGGAUCGACAAAAACUUUCUGAUUGUAUUACAUACAACCUUUCCUCACGAAAACUGGUAAGGAAACUCGUCUUGACAUCCAUCUGCCAGAUUUCAUAAAUGCAGCUAAUGCUAACAUGAUUCCGACGGACUUUAAGCAUCGCUACGAGUGAGAAAAUCUCAUCGUAGUCAACUCCUUGAACUUGUCGGAAAACACUUCGCCACAAGUCGAGCUUCAUAGAUGGUGACAUUACCAUCCACGUCCGUCUUCUUCUUAAAGAUCCAUUUAUCUUAAUGGAUUGCCGAUCAUCGGGCAAGUCCAUCAAAGUCCAUGCUUUGUUCUGAUAUAUGGAUACUAUCUCGGAUUUCAUGGCUUCUCACCAUUUGUCGAAAUUCGGGCCCACCAUUGCUUCUCCAUAGCUCGUAGGUUCAUUGUUGUCUAGCAACAUGACCUUCAAGACAGGAUCACCUUACCACUCCGAAGUAGUGCGUGUCCUUGUCGUCCUACGAGGUUCGGUAGUGACUUGAUCCGAAGCUUCAUGAUCACUAUCAUAAGCUUCCACUUCAAUUGGUGUAGGUGCCACAGGAACAACUUCCUGUGCCCUGCCACACACUAGUUGAAGAGACGGUUCAAUAACCUUAUCAAGUCUCCACCAUCCUCCCACUCAACUCUUUCGAGAGAAACCUUUCCUCGAGAAAGGACCCGAUUCUAGAAACAAUUCAUAUUGCUUUCGGAUCUGAAUUAGGAGGUAUACCCAACUGUUUUGGGUGUCCUAUGAAGAUGUAUUUUAUCCGCUUUGGGUUCGAGCUUAAUCCUGAAACUUUUUCACAUAAGCGUCGCAGCCCCAAACCUUUAAGAAACGACAACUUAGGUUUCUCUAAACCAUAAUUCAUAUGGUGUCAUCUCAUCGGAAUUACGUGGUGCCCUAUCUAAAGUGAAUGUGGUUGUCUCUAAUGCCUAACCCAUGAACGAUAGUGGUAAUUCGAUAAGAGACAUCAUGGUACGCACCAUAUCCAAUAGGGUGCAACUAUGAUGUUCGGACACACCAUCACACUAUGGUGUUCCAGGCGGUAUUAAUUGCGAAACAAUUUCCACAAUGUCUUAAUUGUGUGCCAAAACUCGUAACUCAGAUAUUCAUCUCUAUGAUCGUAUCAUAGACAUUUUAUCCUCUUGUCACAAUGAUCUUCUACUUCACUCUGAAAUUACUUGAACCAUUCAAUAAUUCAGACUUGUGUUUCAUCAAGUAAAUAUUCUCAACAUCUAUUCGAAUCAUCUGUGAAGUAAGAACAUAACGAUAUUCACUGCAUGCCUCAGCACUUAUUGGACUGCACACAUCAUAAUGUGUUACUUCCAACAAGUUGCUAUCUUGUUCCAUCUUAUUGAAACCGAGGCUUUUCAGUCAUCUUGCCUAUCUGGUAUGAUUUGCAUAUCUCAAGUGAUUCAAAAUCAAGUGAGUCCGAACGGUCCAUUUGCAUGGAGUUUCUUCAUGCAUAUACACCAAUAGACAUGGUUCGCAUGUCUCAAACUUUUCAAAAACGAGUGAGUCCAAAGAUCCAUCAACAUGGAGCUUCUUCAUGCGUUUUAUACCAUUAUGACUUACAUGGCAGUGCCACAAGUAAGUGGUACUAUCAUUACUAUCUUAUAUCUUUUGGCAUGAAAAUGUGUAUCCCUACGAUCAAAAUUCAAUAAACCAUUCAUUUAGGUGCAAGAGCACUUAUUCAGGUUUAAUACUAAUCUUGAUGGUAGAGGGAGCGUGCGAUGUUAGAUCACAUCAAACUUGGAAACACUUCCAACACGUAUCGUCAGCUCACCUUUAGCUAGUCUCCGUUUUAUUCCGUAGCUUUUAUUUCGAGUUACUAACACUUAGCAACCGAACCGGUAUCUAAUACCCUGGUGCUACUAGGAGUACUAGUAAAGUACACAUUAACAUAAUGUAUAUCCAAUAUACUUCUAUCGACCUUGCCAGCCUUCUCAUCUACCAAGUAUCUAGGGUAAUGCUGCUCCAGUAGUUGUUCCCCUUAUUACAGAAGCACUUAGUCUCGGGUUUGGGUUCAACCUCGGGUUUCUUCAUUGGUGCAGCAGCUGAUUUGCCGUUUCAUGAAGUAUCCCUUCUUUCCCUUGCCCUUCUUGAAACUAGUGGUUUCAUCAACCAUCAACAAUUGAUGCUCCUUCUUGAUUUCUACUUUUGCGAUGUCAAACAACGCGAAUACCUCAAGGAUCAUCGUCUCUAUCCUUGAUAUGUUAUAGUUCAUCAUGAAGCUCUAGCAGCUUGGUGGCAAUGACUUUGGAGAAACAUCACUAUCUCAUCUGGAAGAUCAACUCCCACUCGAUUCAAGUGAUUGUUGUACUCAGACAAUCUGAGCACAAGCUCAACGAUUGAGCUUUUCUCCCUUAGUUUGCAGGCUAAGAAAAUCGUCGGAGGUCUUAUACCUCUUGACAUGGGCACGAGCCUGAAAUCCCAAUUUCAGCCCUCGAAACAUCUCAUAUGUUCCGCGAUGUUUCGAAAAACGUCUUUGGUGCCUCUACUUAAACCAUUUAACUGAACUAUCACGUAGUUAUCAAAACGUGUAUGUCCGAUGUUCGCAACAUCCACAAACGACGUUUGGGGUUCAGCACACUAAGCGGUGCAUUAAGGACAUAAGCUUUCUACUGUCCGCAUAAUUGCUACUUUCAACUUUCAACUAUAUUUUCUCUAGGAACAUAUCUAAAACAGUAGAACUAAAGCGCGAGCUACGACAUAAUUUGCAAAAGGUCUUUUGACUAUGUUCAAGAUAAUUAAGUUCAUCUUAUGAACUCCCACUCAGAUAGACAUCCCUCUGGUCAUCUAAGUGAUCACAUGAUCCGAGUCAACUAGGCCGUGUCCGAUCAUCACGUGAGACGGACUAGUUAACGUCGGUGAACAUCUUCAUGUUGAUCGUAUCUACUAUACGACUCAUGCUCGACCUUUCGGUCUCCGUGUUCCGAGGCCAUGUCUGCACAUGCUAGGCUCGUCAAGUUAACCCUAAGUGUUUUCGCUGUGUAAAACUGUCUUACACCCGUUGUAUGUGAACGUAAGAAUCCAUCACACCCGAUCAUCACGUGGUGCUUAGAAGCGAUGAACUGUAGCAACGGUGCACAGUUAGGGGAGAACACUUCUUGAAAUUUUGUAAGGGAUCAUCUUAUUUACUACCGUCGUCCUAAGCAAACAAGAUGCAUAAACAUGAUAAACAUCACAUGCAAUCAAAUAGUGACAUGAUAUGGCCAAUAUCAUUUUGCUCCUUUUGAUCUUCAUCUUCGGGGCUCCAUGAUCAUCAUCGUCACCGGCACGACACCAUGAUCUCCAUCAUCAUGAUCUCCAUCAUCGUGUCUUCAUGAAGUUGUCACGCCAACGACUACUUCUACUUCUAUGACUAACGCAUCUAGCAAUAAAGUAAAGUAGUUUACAUGGCGUUCUUCAAUGACACGCAGGUCAUACAAUAAAUAAAGACAACUCCUAUGGCUCCUGCCGGUUGUCAUACUCAUCGACAUGCAAGUCGUGAAUCCUAUUACAAGAUCAUGAUCAAUCUCAUACAUCACAUAUCAUUCAUCACAUUCUUCUUGGCCAUAUCACAUCACAUAGCAUACCCUGCAAAAACAAGUUAGACGUCCUCUAAUUGUUGUUGCAUGUUUUACGUGGCUGUUAUGGGUUUCUAGCAAGAACGUUUCUUACCUACGCAAGACCACAACGUGAUAUGCCAAUUGCUAUUUACCCUUCAUAAGGACCCUUUUCAUCGAAUCCGUUCCGACUAAAGUGGGAGAGACUGGCACCCGCUAGCCACCUUAUGCACCAAGUGCAUGUCAAUCGGUGGAACCUGUCUCACGUAAGAGUACGUGUAAGGUCGGUCCGGGCCGCUUCAUCCCACAAUACCGUCGAAACAAGAUUGGACUAGUAACGGUAAGCAUAUUGAACAACAUCAACGCCCACAACUACUUUGUGUUCUACUCGUGCAAAGAAUCUACGCAAUAGACCUAGCUCAUGAUGCCACUGUUGGGGAACGUAGCAGAAAUUCAAAAUUUUUCCUACGAAUCACCAAGAUCUAUCUAUGGAGAAACCAGCUACGAGUAGAAGGAGAGUGCAUCUACAUACCCUUGUAGAUCGCUAAGCGGAAGCGUUCAAGUGAACGGGGUUGAUGGAGUCGUACUCGUCGUGAUUCAGAUCACCGAUGAUCAAGUGUCGAACGGACGGCACCUCCGCGUUCAACACACGUACAGCCCGGUAACGUCUCCCACGCCUUGAUCCAGCAAGGAGAGAGGGAGAGGUUGAGGAAGACUCCAUCCAACAGCAGCACAACGGCGUGGUGGUGGUGGAGGAGCGUGGCAAUCCCGCAGGGCUUCGCCAAGCACCAUGGGAGAAGAGGAGGAGAACUUGGGAGAGAGGGAGGGGCUGCACCAAAGGCAUAAGGUGUGUUUGGGAGGCCCUCCUACCCCACUAUAUAUAGGGAUCCCAAGGGGGGGGUGCGGCAGCCCCUAGGAGAUCCAAUCUCCAAGGGGGCGGCGGCCAGGGGAGGAGUCCUCCCCCCCCCCCAAGGCACCUAGGAGGUGCCUUCCCCUGCUGGGACUCUUCCUUUAGGGUUUCCCCAGGCGCAUGGGCCUCUUGGGGCUGGUGCCCUUGGCCCAUGUAGGCCAAGGCGCACCCCCUACAGCCCAUGUGGCUCCCGGGGCAGGUGGCCCCACCCGGUGGGCCCCCGGGACCCUUCCGGUGGUCCCGGUACAAUACCGAUGACCCCGAAACUUGUCCCGAUGGCCGAAACAGGACUUCCUAUAUAUAAAUCUUUACCUCCGGACCAUUCCGGAACUCCUCGUGAUGUUCGGGAUCUCAUCCGGGACUCCGAACAACAUUCGGUAACCACAUACAAGCUUCCUUUAUAACCCUAGCGUCAUCGAACCUUAAGUGUGUAGACCCUACGGGUUCGGGAGACAUGCAGACAUGACCGAGACGUUCUCCGGUCAAUAACCAACAGCGGGAUCUGGAUACCCAUGUUGGCUCCCACAUGUUCCACGAUGAUCUCAUCGGAUGAACCACGAUGUCAAGGACUCAAUCGAUCCCGUAUACAAUUCCCUUUGUCUAGCGGUAUUUUACUUGCCCGAGAUUCGAUCGUCGGUAUACUAAUACCUUGUUCAAUCUCGUUACCGGCAAGUCACUUUACUCGUUCCGUAACACAUCAUCCCGUGAUCAACUCCUUGGUCACAUUGCGCAUAUGAUGAUGUCCUACCGAGUGGGCCCAGAGAUACCUCUCCGUUUACACGGAGUGACAAAUCCCAGUCUCGAUCCGCAUAAAACAAUAGAUACUUUCGGAGAUACCUGUAGUGCACCUUCAUAGUCACCCAGUUACGUUGUGACGUUUGAUACACCCAAAGCACUCCUACGGUAUCCAGGAGUUACACGAUCUCAUGGUCAAAGGAAGAGAUACUUGACAUUGGCAAAGCUCUAGCAAAUGAACUACACGAUCUUUUGUGCUAGUCUUAGGAUUGGGUCUUGUCCAUCACAUCAUUCUCCUAAUGAUGUGAUCCCGUUAUCAACGACAUCCAAUGUCCAUAGCCAGGAAACCAUGACUAUCUGUUGAUCACAACGAGCUAGUCAACUAGAGGCUCACUAGGGACAUAUUGUGGUCUAUGUAUUCACACGUGUAUUACGAUUUCCGGAUAAUACAGUUAUAGCAUGAAUAAAAGACAAUUAUCAUGAACAAGGAAAUAUAAUAAUAAUACUUUUAUUAUUGCCUCUAGGGCAUAUUUCCAACAGGAGGUUACCUCAACGAACGGAAAUGACACCGGAUCCACGGACCAACCCAAUCGAUUUGCAAGGAUUUGAGAGGGGCUAAGUGAGGGACACAAAGGGGGAAAGGGCAAGAGCUUGGGAUAGGCCAAUGGGGGAGAAGAGAGUGAAAGGUGAGUGGUGGGUGAAAGCACCACGACCACCUAAAAUAUCUGCACCAGAAACGCCAAGGACAGUGGCGUUUCUAGCAACGCUAGCUUGCUCGGCGUUUCCACCACGCCACGUCAGCAAGCAACGCGUCCUCGGCCUGGCAGUGGGCCAGGUCAGGAACGCUAGCUUGCUCGGUGUUUCUAUGUGGGGUGGAAACACCGCAGUCCUUGGCGUUUCUGUGUUGGGUGGAAACGCCGCGGUCCCUGGCGUUUCUAAAAGGUCAAAUCGUGAAAUACUUUCACGUCGGGUUUAGUUUGUGAGAAUAAACUCUGACAAGGUCAGAACAGUGAUUUCGUCCCAACUGUCUCUGGUUCAACACCGUGGUGCCCCCUAUAUGGCUACAUCCUCCAUGAACAGUAAAUUCAAAAAAAUAUUUUAAAAAAAUCCAAAAAUCCUGACUUUUGAGGCAUCAAACAUUUGAUGUUCUUGCAAAGUUUGAGUCACAAAUAACACUCGAUGAGCCAACACAAAAAACAUUUGUGUGGGCUCCUUGAAUGUUAUCUAUGGAUGAAUUUAUUAUGUUCAUGAGGGUGUAGAGGCACCAUGGUGCUAUCACAUCUUUCUCAACCACACACUACUAUCACAUAAUCAUCGAGAGCCGGGUAUGCCAACUACUUCUCGGAAGAUCGACGAGGGAACUUGCUACACAUCUCCUCGAUGUCGUACCAGGAUUACUGGCUAUUGCUUUGGAACUCUGGUAUUGGAAUUCCUCUGCACAUUUAAUUAUGUGAUCAACUAUGAUGUCUAGCAUCAUUUCUGAUGAUGUAAGAAUUGGUUCCAGUCGUGCUUAUUUUAGACAUAUUCCAAUGCAUAGGUGCUUAGAUGAGGCAACAAUUAAUUCUAUUAAAGAGUUUAGGAAUAAGUCAUCAAUGCAUAGGUGCUUAACUAGUUAUAGCUAAGGCCUCUUCCAAUGCAUUAAAAAGCUAGGGAACUAAUCCCUCCAAUGCAUAGGUGUUUAGCUUUUGUAGCUAAGCUUUCUCUUUUAAUUGUUUACUCCCUCUUUUCCGGUUUAUAAGGCUCAAAUCUGAAAUAUCAAUCAAGGCAUUUUGUGAGUGGAGGAAUGUAUCUCAUACUUUACAAAACUACCUCAAUUAAACUCGUGCAUUAAAUUGGAAUAAUUGCAGUGCAUGCAUGCUUGGCCACUAGAUAAGUAGAAAAUUGCAUGCAUUGGUGUGUUCCUUUUUAAUUCUUACAUGCAAAGAUUUAAUGCGUCUCGAAAACUAAAAAUGAGAUGGAGAUGAGCCCUAUAAAUUGGAAAAACAAAAAAGUUAAGAUAAGCCCUAUAAACCGGAAAGGAGGGAGUAACAACUAAAUUCCUUCAUGCAUUUAUUGGUACACUUUGCAUAGUUCCACGCACAACAUUUUACUUAGGCCCCUCCCAGUGCUCCACUGUGUACAAGUGCUAAGUGUGAUGCCCCCGAUUUGAUCGUACAUUAAUCAUACACGCAAACAUGUACAAUCAAGAUCAGGGACUCACGGGAAGAUAUCACAACACAACUCUAGACACAAAUUAAAAUAAUACAAGCUUUAUAUUACAAGGUCUCGAGGGCUCGAAUACAUCAGCUCAAAAACACAUGAGUCAGCGGAAGCAACAAUAUCUGAGUACACACAUAAGUUAAACAAGUUUGCCUUAAGAAGGCUAGCACAAACUGGGAUACAGAUCGAAAGAUGCGUAGGCCUCCUGCCUAGGAUCCUCCUAAACUACUCCUGGUCGUCGUCAGCGACCUGCACGUAGUAGUAAGCACCUCCAGUGUAGUAGGAGUCGUCAUUGACGGUGGCGUCUGGCUCCUGGGCUCCAAUAUCUGGUUAUGACAACCAGGAAGAAAGGAAAAGGGGAAAAAUGGGGAGCAAAGCAACCGUGAGUACUCAUCCAAAGUACUUGCAAGCAAGGAACUACACUACAUAUGUAUUGGUAUCAAUGAAAGGGGGUAGUAUAUGUCGACUGAAUUGCAGAAUGCCAAAAUAAGAGGGGGAUAACUAGUCCUAUCGAAGACUAAGCUUCUGGCAGCCUCCAUCUUGCAGCAUGUACAAGAGAGUAGAUUGUAAGUUCACCGGCGCGCGCCGCUCAGUCGCUGACGUCAAGAAGGCUUCGGUUGAUACCAUGACGUUGAGUGCCCAUAACUGUUCCCGCGUAGUUGGUUAGUGCGUAUAGGCCAGUGGCCAGACUCGGAUGAAAUACCAAGAUCUCGUUAAGCGUGUUAUUUUGAAGCAACCGCGAACACCGACCAGGGACCAGGCCCACCUCUCUCCUAGGUGGUCUCAACCUGCCCUGUCGCUCCGCCACAAAGUAACAGUCAGGGGCCCUCGGGAACCCAGGCCCACCACUACCUGGAUGGAGCCACCUGUCCUUUCCCCCACAUCGGAAUCACAUGCAGGUACUCUACGAGCCGACCUAACUUUAGUCACCACAUGUAUAGUAUGUAUGUGUGCAUGUAUGUAUUGAAGGAAAUAUGCCCUAGAGGCAAUAAUAAAGUUGUUAUUUAUAUUUCCUUAUAUCAUGAUAAAUGCUUAUUAUUCAUUCUAGAAUCGUAUUAACUGGAAACUUAGUACAUGUGUGAAUACAUAGACAAACAGAGUGUCACUAGUUUGCCUCUACUUGACUAGCUCGUUGAAUCAAAGAUGGUUAGGUUUCCUAGCCAUAGACAUGAGUUAUCAUUUGAUUAAUGGGAUCACAUCAUUAGAGAAUGAUGUGAUUGACUUGACCCAUUUUGUUAGUUUAGCACGAUGAUCAUUUAGUUUUUUGCUACUGCUUUCUUCAUGACUUAUACAUGUUCCUCUGACUAUGAGAUUAUGCAACUCCCCAAUACCGGAGGAACACUUUGUGUGAUACCAAACGUCACAACAUAACUGGGUGAUUAUAAAGGUUCUCUACAGGUGUCUCCGAUGGUACUUGUUGAGUAGGCAUAGAUCGAGAUUAUGAUUUGUCACUCCGAUUGUCGGAGAGGUAUCUCUGGGCCCUCUCGGUAAUGCACAUCACUAUAAGCCUUGCAAGCAAUGUGACUAAUGAGUUAGUUCCAGGAUGAUGCAUUACAGAACGAGUAAAGAGACUUGCCGGUAACGAGAUUGAACUAGGUAUUGAGAUACCGACGAUCGAAUCUCGGGCAAGUAAACUACCGAUGACAAAGGGAACAACCUAUGUUGUUAUGCGGUUUGACCGAUAAAGAUCUUCGUAGAAUAUGUAGGAGCCAAUAUGAUCAUCCAGGUUCCACUAUUGGUUAUUGACCGGAAAUGAUCUCGGUCAUGUCUACAUAGUUCUCGAACCCGUAGGGUCCGCAAGCUUAACAUUCGGUGACGAUUUGUAUUAUGAGUUUAUGUGAUUUGAUGACUGAAGGUUGUUCGGAGUCCCGGAUGAGAUCAGGGACAUGAUGAGGAGUCUCGAAAUGAUCGAGCCGUAAAGAUCGAUAUAUUGGAAGGCUAUAUUCGGACAUCGGAAAGAUUCCCAGUGAUUCGGGUACUUUUCGGAGUACAGGGGGAGUUACGGGAAUACGGGAGUACAUAUGGGCCUUAGUGGGCUUUAAGGGAAACAGAGGAGAAGCCACGAGGGCUGGCCGCGCGCCCCCCAUGGGUUGCGCCCCCUCUUUCCUUCUCCUCCCCCUCUCCUUCCUUCCCCUCCUAGUAGGACUAGGAAAGGAGGAAUCCUACUCCUACUAGAAGGAGGAUUCCUCCCCCCUUUGGCGCGUCUAGAGAGGCCGGCCGGCCUCCCCUCCCUCAUUUAUAUACGUGGGGAGGGGGGCACCCUAGAGAACACACAAGUUGAUCAGUUGAUCUUUUAGCCAUGUGCGGUGCCCCCUCCACCAUAACCCACCUCGGUCAUAUCGUAGCGGUGCUUAGGCGAAGCCCUGUGUCGGUAGCAUCAUCAUCACCGUCAUCACGCCGUCGUGUUGGCGGAACUCUCCCUCGAAGCUCUGCUGGAUCGGGGUUCGUGGGACGUCACCGAGCUGAGCCUGUGCUGAACUCGGAGGUGCCGUACAUUCGGUACUUGGAUCGGUCAGAUCAUGAAGACGUACGACUACAUCAACCGCGUUCUCAUAACUCUUCCACUUACGGUCUACGAGGGGACAUGGACGACACUCUCCCCUCUCGUUGCUAUGCAUCACCAUGAUCUUGCGUGUGCGUAGGAUUUUUUUUGAAAUUACUGCGUUCACCAACAUGUAUAUACCCGUGAUCACCUCCCGAGUGAUCACGACCCGGUAGUAUAGCAUGGCAGACAAACAAGAAUGUAGGGCCACUGAUGGAAUACUAGCAUCCUAUACUAAGCAUUUAGGAUUGCAGGUAAGGGUAACAACUGUAGCAACAAUGACAGGCUAUGCAACAUAAUAGGAUUAACCGAAAGCAGCAACAAGCUACACUACUCUAAUGCAAGCAGUAGACAGAAGGAAUAGGCGAUAUUGGGUUGAUCAAAGGGGGGGCUUGCCUGGUUGCUCUGGCAAGGAGGGGUCAUCAACAACGUAGUUGUACUGGGUAGCAGCGGCGUCGGUCUCGAUGUCUAGCGAGAGAAGAGGGGGAAGAAACAAUACAUAUAAUGCAAACAUAAGCAUGACGAUGCACGGCAUGACAAUGAGCGGUGCUAGGUGUGCCCUAACAUUGUUGGAGGUGAUACCAGCGAAGGAGGGAAACAUCCGGGAAAGUAUCCCCGGUGUUUCGCGUUUUCGAACAAAUGAACCGGAGAGGAAAAGUUGAGUGUUCCCUAUACUAGAGACAUGCCGCGGACGAACGGGCUGCAUAUUCGGAUUUGCCUCGUCGUUCUAAGCAACUUUCAUGUACAAAGUAUUUUCAUCCGAGUUACGGAUUAUUUAAUAUUAAUUUUUAAAGUUUUAAUUCAUUUUUUAAUUAACAGAAUUAAUUUAAAUCAAAAAGCAUUUAUGAUGUCAGCAUGAUGUCAGGGUGAUGUCAGUAGUCAAACAGUCAAUUGACUUAGUCAACUGACGUGUGGGUCCUACUGUCAUUGACACAUUACCCUAACUAACAGAUUAGUUAGUUUUAAUCAGAUAUCUAGGCUAAUUAAGUUCAAUUAGUUUAAUUAAAUCAGAUUAAUUAAGUUAAUUAAUUAUAUUUUUAUAUUACAUUUUGUUUUCACUCUUUUUUUAUUUCCCAGGGCGCUGGGCCCACAUGUCAUAGGCCCGGGGUGGCCAAACGUGCGCUGGGUCCACGCACAACAUUUUACUUAGGCCCCUCCCAGUGCUCCACUGUGUAUAGGUGCUAAGCAUGCCACAUAAGCAAAAAAAUAAUGUGGCAAAGCAAUUAAAGAGGAGAGAGAGCAUUAUGAUGACCCCAGCAGGAAACGAUGCUAAGCGCAUGGACUUAUGCAAAAUGCCUACCAACCAAUGCAUGACGGACUUUAGUUGCUAAACAAUUAAAUAAAGCAAGCUUAGCUACAAAAGCUAAGCACCCAUGCAUUAAGAAAAUUAGUUGCUAAGACUUUUAAUGUACUUAGCGUCACAUCUAAGCACCAUUGCAUUGGAAGAAGUAUUAUGUGGCACCCUUAUCACCUGUACACGGUGGAGCACGGGAAAUGUCCUAAGCUCCCUUCAUUUAAGUAUUUAGCAACUAGAGUCUUUCACCCAUUGGGGAGUUCUCUUCAUUUAAGAGUAUUGCAUAGGUUCACGCACUUGGCAUAGUUUUUGUUGUGCCAUCAAAGUGCUCUCUCACCUCCUUAAAUGAUUUUCCAUUUUAUUAUUUUGCUUAUGUGGCAUGCUUAGCACAUGUACAUCAGGGAGCAUUGACAAUUUUUUUAGAAAAGGAGGAUGUACCCCCGACCUAUGCAUCUGGACGAUGCAUGCAGCCAUAUUAUUAAUUAUUCACAAAGACCAUACAAAGUGAUACAUCAAUAAGCCUGAAGCCACCAUCUUGGCAACACCGUUGCUACUCCUAUCCGCUUGAUGAAGGCGUGCCAAAUGUCCGGGCCUAAUACCAAACAGACAUCGCACCAAAGCCUAACAUCUAAAGCCGGGUGUCCCAUCCAAGCCACUACCUGGAUUGGGUCCCACACCGAUCUGGCAUACUCGCGAUGAGCACCGCAUGUUGCAAGGGCCGUCACCUCCAUCACCCCUCGGUCCAUCCUCAGAGCAGAACUGAAGCACCAACCUUGCCAAGCCUCUCUGCCAUCAACGCCACCAUGACGCCAGACAACUUCCUCCUCCUGCGCGAGUCCACCUCCACGCAUCAGACGCCGAAUCUCCACAGCACCACAUCGUCGAGAUCCGCCACCAUCGAUGUGUAAGAUGAAGCACCGCUCCACCAAAGACGUCCUCCUCUGGUCCCUCAAGCCCGUGUGCACCUCCAAGAAUGACGCCCCCAACGGGGAAACGACACCAAAGAGCCGCCGUCAUCCGAUCUACUGAUAUAGGGUUUCCCCUGGAGGUACCAGAGAGUGGCCUUGAACUUCUCCUCGGUGAUGCCUUUAGGAAGGGAAUGACGCGGACAAUGUCGCCAUCGUCGGCAUUGGCAAUAGCCAAUAGCAGAUUUUCACCCAGAUCUGAUCGAAGACCUCCAUCUCUCGUGCAUGGGCCGCCUGUGACGCCCCGAAUCCGAUGCGCCAGGUGUCUUCCAGUUAUUCGCCGAUGUUGCCAUGUCUUUUGCUUGCAUGUUGCAUUUCAUCAUGUCAUCAUGUGCAUUGCAUUAUCAUGUUUUCAAAACUUGCAUCCGUCCCGGUCUUCCAGUUCUUUCCGUUGUCCGUUCUGAGCCUAGACACACUUGCACGCGUCCGCAGCACGUCUGAAAUAUUAUUUUAUAACUGGCCGGAAAAUGUUCUCAGAAUGGGUUGAAAGUUGGCAUGAGGUGUUGUUUUGUUGCCGGUAGACCGCCUGCCAAAUUUCAUCGCAUUCGGAGUUUGUUUGACGCCCCAACGGAUAACUAUAGCGGCAUUAUAGCCGGUCUAAUGUCGGACGUUUUCGGUCUCCGAAAACUAUUGCCGGGCUUUCCCUCUCCUCUCAUCCCAAGCCCCUCUACACAGUCCAUCUAGCCCACCUACCUACCCCCUCCGCUCCGGACCGUCCGAUGGCGAUCGAACGGCUCCGAGACGGAGCAAAACCCCUCCUAACCCUAAUCCUAACCCUCUUUUCCUAUUUAAACAGUCCCCUUGCCAUUUUUGGCAUCCCCUAGUCUCCACCUACCUCCUGUCGCAGCCUCCACCCUCCUCCUUGCAUUCCGCGCCGGCCAAACCCCUUCCCGCCACUUGGCAGCGCCGCCACGCCCUUUCAGCCAACCGAUGCGCGCCACCUCACCCCGCCAGGCCGCCCGCAGCCACUCAUGAGAGGCCAUGUCGCCCUCCUCUCUCUCCCCGCGCCGCCAGGCCCGCCGGGGCCCGAGGCCAGCCCGCCCGGGCCCGACCGCGCCCCACAGGCGCCCGCGCCAGCUCGCCCCGAGCGAUCCAGAUCGGGAGAGGUGCUCCUGAUCCAGAUCGACACCGCCGCCUGUGCGUCGUUGUUCCGGAAACCGGGGCCGCACCGGAGUCGCCGCCGGUGACCACCUCCACCCCCAGGCCAGGCCUUGCCGCCCCUCUCCUUCCCAUCUUUCUUCCUCCUCAUCCUCUCACCUUCUCUCUCCCUCGCCGGACGCAGCCGCCGCCAGGAGCUGCCACCGUCCAUGUCCCUCGCCGCCGACCGACCUCCGCGCCAGAUCCGGCCUCCACUACCUUCCCCGUUCCCAUUCCCGGCCUCAGCGCUCGCCGCCGUCGCUGGAGAGACCCUGCCGCCGUCGGUCUUCUUCUUCGGGAGAUGGACGAGCUCAGCGCCGCUAGCGUUGACCGCGCCGCCGCCGCACACACGUGGGCCAGCACCGCCACGCGGCCCAGAUCCCAUCGGCCUUGUCCGGCACAGCGCUGCCCCCCUUCUGGCCUCCCUCACCACCGAUCUGGGCCAGGCCCACUGGGUGAGAACCCCCCCUGUGCACUGUUGGUCCAACAGAUUCGGCCCGUAUAACAUUUUUUUCUCUGGACGAAUUUAAUCAUUUAUCCAGACUGCAGUUUUUGCAGAAAACCCUUGUUCUUCAUGCAUAUCAUAAAUCACAAACUGUGCAUCGCAUGUAAAAACUUCAUAGAUGGAAAAUGACUAGAAUUCCAUCUAGUUUCAUAAUAUGCCAUUUUCAUCCAUGUUAAAAAUGUUAAAAAUGUUGUUUGUUUAAUUUUGCUCAUAUGCCAUGUUAAAAUGCUUUAUUUCAUACCUAAAUAACCAUAGCUCCAAACCUAAUAAACUUUAUAUGUAAAUGGGGUAGAAAAAUGCAUAGAUUAACAUGGUGGCUUUACUUUGCAUGUUUAACAACUCUAUAAUAUGGUUUAGGGCAGAACAGUACCAAAUUCACAAUAUGCAUAUGGGGAUUUUCCGGAAUUGUUGUUUGUUAUUUUCGGCCUCAUUUAACUUUGACUAGAUAGUUAGUUUACUUAUGCUUCACCUCUCGCCAUGCUAACCGACAUUUAAUAUUAUUGAGUACGUAAAUGGGGGAGGACUAAAUAAUCAAAUGUGGCGUUCCGGCAAUAUGCAACUCGUUGCAUAUUGAGCUCCACUUAAUUUGUAGGAUUGCUUGUGCACUUUGCCAUGCCAUGAUUCAUUAAACCGGACAUGCAUCAUACUUGGUUGUGCAUCAUGCCAUGUUGAGAUGAUGGUUGUUUACUAUGUUGUUUGCUUCUUUCCGGUGUUGCUUCUUCGGGUUAGUUCCGAUAACUUCGCGUUUGUGAGGAUCCAUUCGACUACGCCCGUUUAUCUUCUUCAUGGACUCGUUCUUCUUUCCUUGCGGGAUCUCAGGCAAGAUGACCAUACCCUCGAAAUCACUUCUAUCUUUGUUUGCUAGUUGCUCGCUCUAUCGCUAUGUCGCGCUACCUACCACUUGUUAUAUUAUGCCUCCCAUAUUGCCAUGUCAAGCCUCUAACCCACCUUUCCUAGCAAACCGUUGUUUGGCUAUGUUACCGCUUUUGCUCAGCCCCUCUUAUAGCGUUGCUAGUUGCAGGUGAAGAUGAAGUUUGUUCCAUGUUGGAACAUGGAUAUUCAUGGGAUAUCAUUAUUAUCUCUUAUUUACUUUAAUGCAUCUAUAUACUUGGUAAAGGGUGGAAGGCUCGGCCUUAUUCCUGGUGUUUUGUUCCACUCCUGCCGCCCUAGUUUCCGUCAUACCGGUGUUAUGUUCCUUGAUUUUGCGUUCCUUAUGCGUUGGGUGUUAUGGGGACCCGUUGACAGUUCGCUUUGAAUAAAACUCCUCCAGCCAGGCCCAACCUUGGUUUUACCAUUUGCCUCACCACCACCUACUUGUCCCUUGGGAGUCGCGCUCCCGAGGGUCAUCUUUAUUUUAACCCCCCCCCGCCCCGGGCCAGUGCUUGUCUAAGUGUUGGUCCGAACCGAGCUGCCUGCGGGGCCACCUCGGGGAAACUUGAGGUUUGAUUUUACUCGUAGCUAGUCUCAUCUGGUGUUGCCCUGAGAACGAGAUACGUGCGACUCCUAUCGGGAUUGUCGGCACAUCGGGUGGUUUUGCUGGUCUUGUUUUACCAUUGUCGAAAUAUCUUAUAACCGGGAUUCCGAGUCUGAUCGGGUCUUCCUGGGAGAAGGAAUAUCCUUUGUUAACUGUGAGAGCUUGUGAUGGGCUAAGUUGGGACACCCCUGCAGGGUUUUGAACUUUCGAAAGUCGUGCCCGCGGUUAUGGGCAGAUGGGAAUUUGUUAAUGUCCGGUUGUAGAGAUCUUGACACUUAACUUAAUUAAAAUGCAUCAACCGUGUGUGUAGCCGUGAUGGUCUCUUCUCGGCGAAGUCCGGGAAGUGAACACGGUUCUUGUGUUAUGGUUGUACGUAAGUAGCUUCAGGAUCACUUCUAGUUUACGACCAUUGCGUUGCUUCUCUUCUCGCUCGUAUUUGCGUAUGUUAGCUACCAUAUAUGCUUAGUGCUUGCUGCAGCUCCACCUCACUACCCUUUCCUUCCCAUAAGCUUAAAUAGUCUUGAUCUCGCAGGUGUGAUAUUGCUGCGUCCUCGUGACUCACAGAUACUUCCAAACAGUUGCAGGUGCCGAUGAUACCAGUGCAGGUGACGCAACCGAUCUCAAGUGGGAGCUCGAUGAAGAUCUAGAUCGAUGUUUUAUAUCUUUUCCGGUUGAUCAGUAGUGGAGCCCAGUUGGGACGAUCGGGGAUCUAACAUUUGGGGUUGUCUUCUUUUAUUUUGGUUCCAUAGUCGGACCUUUGAUUGUAUUCUGGAUGAUGUAUGUUUAACUUGUAUUUGUGUGAAGUGGCGAUUGUAAGCCAACUCUUUAUCCCUUUCUCUUUCAGUACAUGGGAUUGUGUGAAGAUUGCCCCUCUUGCGACAAACCUACCAUGCGGCUAUGCCUCUAAGUCGAGCCCCGACACAUGGGAGAUAUAGCCGCAUUGUGGGUGUUACACCGCCGCCAUCCUUGCCGGGAUAUGGAUGAUCUAGGCCACCGCUGCCAGAUCUCAGCAAGGAGAAGAGCCCCCACCGAGACUCGCCGACCAAGCAGUGGAGGCCGAGACCGCGCUCGCAGGACCAGAUCCACGAUGGAUCCGUGCCCGCGCCGCCGCCCCGAAGCCAACCCCUCGCGCAGCCGCCACAGCCUGGCCACCCGCUCGCACCACCGUCUGGUCGUCGUGCCGCACGACGCGCCCUCGCCGCAUUAGCCAAGACUCCGCCGCGCCGCCGCAUCUCGCGCUACAGCCGCACGCCGGGAGGGGAAGAAUGGCCCCUAUGCCACCGACACGCACUGGGCUUUGCCCGGUAGCGCCUUCUGGCGGCGGCGAGGGGAGGGGAUGGUGUAGGAGGCGGACGCGGGGUGGGGGCUAGGGUUCCCCCGCCGCCACCCGCGAGAGUGACGCGAGGGACGCCCGAGUGCUGAACUAGAAAGCAAGAAUUAAUCUACCUAAAAACCUAAUUUUCGGGUGUGAGUCUACUUUCACAAACUAAUCUAUAUUUAUGCUCACAAAAUUAUGGAGUUUUGAUUUGAUCUAAGCAAUCUUUAUUAUCCAUUGAUGCUACUAAUAUAGUAUAUAAUCUCGACAACCCUGAAAAUUUAGGAGUUACACCAAAGUCCCUUGAUGACGUGCUUCUUCAUCCUCCCGAACAUGCCGAUGGUGCACCGCUGGAGCCAGUUUGCCAUUACUGAUCAGUAACAGGACGUCAGUAAGGCAAUAGUGCUACUAAACCUAUGCCCUGGAGAUCUUCUCCGCUAAAAGAGGUGAUACGUCCAUUUUGCAUCAUGCUUUUAUAUCAAUAUUUAUUGCAUUAUGGACUAUUAUUACACAAUAUAUCACAAUACUUAUGCCUAUUCUCUCUUAUUUUACAAGGUUUACAUGAAGAGGGAGAAUGCCGGUAGCUGGGAUUCUGGGCUGGAAAUGGAGCAAAUAUUAGAGACCUAUUCUGCACAGCUCCAAAGGUCCUGAAACUUCACGGGAGUUAUUUCCAGAAUAUAUAAAAAAUACUGAGCGCAAGAAGUACGAGAGGGGGGCCACCCAUCAGCCACGAGGGUGGGGGAGCGCCCUACCCCCUGGGAGUGCCCCUUGCCUCGUGGGCCCCCUGGUGGCCCUCUGAUGCCCAUCUUCUGCUAUAUGGAGUCUUUCGUCGAGAAAAAAAAUCAUAAGCAAGCUUUCGGGACGAGACUCCGCGGCCACGAGGCGGAACCUUGGCGGAACCAAUCAAGGGCUCUGGUGGAGCAGUUCUACUGGGGAAACUUCCCUCCGGGAGGGGGAAAUAAUCACCAUCGUCAUCACCAACGAUCCUCUCAUCAGGAGGGGGUCAAUCUUCAUCAACAUCUUCACCAGCACCAUCUCAUCUCAAACCCUAGUUCAUCUCUUGUAUCCAAUCUUUGUAUCCAAACCUCAGAUUGGUACCUGUGGGUUGCUAGUAGUGUUGAUUACUCCUUGUAGUUGAUGCUAGUUAGUUUACUUGGUGGAAGAUCAUAUGUUCAGAUCCAUUAUGCAUAUUAAUACCCCUCUGAUUAUGAACAUGAAUAUGCUUUGUGAGUAGUUACGUUAGUUCCUGAGGACAUGGGAGAAGUCUUGCUAUUAGUAGUCAUGUGAAUUUGGUAUUCGUUCGAUAUUUUUAUGAGAUGUAUGUUGUCAUCCCUCUAGUGGUGUCAUGUGAACGUCGACUACAUGCCACUUCACCAUUGUUUGAGCCUAGAGGGAGGCAUUGGGAAGUAAUAAGUAGAUGAUGGGUUGCUAGAGUGAUGGAAACUUAAACUCUAGUUUAUGCGUUGCUUCGUAAGGGGCUGAUUUGGAUCCAUAUGUUUCAUGCUAUGGUUAGGUUUGCCUUAAUACUUCUGUUGUAAUUGUGGAUGCUUGCAAUAGGGGUUAAUCAUAAGUGGGAUGCUUGUCCAAGUGAGGACAGUACCCAAUCACCGGUCCACCCACAUAUCAAAUUAUCAAAGUACCGAACGCGAAUCAUAUGAUCGUGAUGAAAACUAGCUUGAUGAUAAUUCCCAUGUGUCCUCGGGAGCGCUUUUCUCUAGAUAAGAAUUUUUCCAUGCUUGUCCUUUGCUACAAAAAGGAUUGGGCCAUCUUGCUGCACCUUAUUUACUUUUAUUACUUGUUACUCAUUACAAAUUACCUUAUCACAAAACUACCUGUUACCGAUAAUUUCAGUGCUUGCAGAGAAUACCUUGGUGAAAACCGCUUAUCAUUUCCUUCUGCUCCUCGUUGGAUUCAACACUCUUACUUAUCGAAAGGACUAGAUAGAUCCCCUAUACUUGUGGGUCAUCAAGACUCUUUUCUGGCGCCGUUGCCGGGGAGUGAAGCGCCUUUGGUAGGUGGAAUUUGGUAAGGAAAAAUUUAUAUAGUGUGCUGAAAUUUAAUGUCACUUGUUACUAUGGAACAUAAUCCUUUGAGGGGUUUGUUCGGGGUAUCUUCACCUUGUCCAGAACCACAAUUAGUUACCCCUCAACCUACUGGAACUACUGAAAAUGGAAAUGUUUACUUCGAAAUUCCUUCGGGUAUGAUAGAGAAACUGCUAGCUAAUCCUUUUGCAGGAGAUGGAACAUUGCAUCCCGACUUACACUUAAUCUAUGUGGAUGAAGUUUGUGGAUUAGUUAAGCUUGCAGGUAUGCCCGAUGAUGUUAUCAAGAAGAAGGUAUUCCCUUUAUCUUUGAAGGGAGAUGCAUUGACAUGGUAUAGGCUAUGUGAUGAUAUGGGAUCAUGGGACUAUAAGCAAUUGAAAUUGGAAUUUCACCAGAAGUUUUAUCCUAUGCAUCUUGUUCAUCGUGAUCGUAAUUAUAUAUAUAAUUUUUGGCCUCGCGAAGGAGAAAGCAUUGCUCAAGCUUUGGGGAGGCUUAAGUCAAUGUUAUAUUCAUGCCCCAAUCAUGAGCUCUCAAGAGAAAUGAUUAUUCAAAAAAUUUAUGCUCGGCUUUCUGACAAUAAUCGCUCCAUGCUCGAUACUUCUUGUACUGGUUCCUUUAUGAUGAAGACUAUUGAAUACAAAUGGAAUUUAUUGGAGAGAAUUAAACGCAAUUCUGAAGAUUGGGAUCUCGACAAAGGUGAGGAGUCAGGUAACACCUAAGUUUGAUUGUGUUAAAUCUUUUAUGGAUACCGAUGUUUUCUGUAAAUUUAGCACUAAAUAUGGACUUGACUCUGAGAUAGUAGCUUUUUCUGUGAAUCCUUUGCUACUCAUGUUGAUCUCCCUAAGGAUAAGUGGUUUAAAUAUAAUCCUCCCAUUGAAACAAAAGUAGUUGCACCUAUUAAAGUUGAAGAAAAGACUAUGACUUAUAAUGAUCCUGUUGUUCCAACUGCUUAUGUUGAGAAACCACCUUUCCCUGUUAGAAUAAAGGAUCAUGCUAAAGCUUCAACUAUGGUUCGUAAAAGUAAUAUUAGAACUUAUACACCUCCUGAGCAAGUUAAAGUUGAACCUAAUAUUGCUAUUCUUAAAGAUCUCCUGGCUGAUAAUAUCGAUGGGCAUGUUAUUUAUUUCUGUGAUGAGACUGCUAGAAUUGCUAAACCUGGUGUUAAAGAUAAACAUAGACCUGUGGUAGGCAUGCCUGUUAUUUCUAUUAAAACAGGAGAUCAUUGUUAUCAUGGCUUAUGUGAUAUGGGUGCUAGUGCUAGUGCAAUGCCUAUUUCCUUGUACAAAGAAAUUAUGCAUGAUAUUGCACCAGCUGAGAUAGAAGAUAUUGAUGCUACCAUUAAGCUUGCUAAUCGAGAUACUAUUUCACCAAUUGGGAUUGUUAGAGACAUUGAAGUCUUGUGUGGGAAGGCUAAAUAUCCUGCUAAUUUUCUUGUUCUUGGUUCCCCUCAAGAUAGCUUUUGUCCCAUUAUAUUUGGUAGACCCUUCUUGAACACUGUUAAUGCUAAGAUAGAUUGCCAGAAGGAUGUUGUUACUAUUGGUUUGGAUGAUAUGUCUCAUGAGUUUAAUUUUUCUAAAUUUCGUAGACAACCCCAUGAUAAAGAAUUGCCUAGUCAAGAUGAAAUUAUUGGUCUUGCUUCUAUUGUCGUGCCUCCUACUGAUCCAUUAAAACAAUAUUUGCUAGACCAUGAAAAUGAUAUGUUCAUGAAUGAAAGAAGGGAAAUAGAUGAAGUAUUCUUUAAACAGGGACCUAUUUUGAAACACAACUUGCCUGCUGAAAUCCUAGGGGAUUCUCCUCCACCCAAGGGUGAUCCCGUGUUUGACCUUAAACCAUUACCUGAUACUCUUAAAUAUGCUUACCUUGAUGAAAAGAAAAUAUAUCCUGUUAUUAUUAGUGCUAACCUUUCAGAGAAGGAGGAAGAGAAAUUAUUGAAAACUCUGAAGAAGCACUGUGCUGCUAUUGGAUAUACUCCUGAUGAUCUUAAGGGCAUUAGUCCCACUCUAUGUCAACACAAAAUAAAUUUGGAGGAAGACGCCAAACCAGUUAUUGAUCAUCAACGGCGGGUGAAUCCUAAGAAGAAAUAAGUGGUAAGAAAAGAAAUAUUAAAGAUCCUUGAGGCAGUUAUAAUUUAUCCCAUUGCUUAUAGUCAGUGGGUAAGUCAUGUUCAUUGUGUCCCUAAGAAGGGAGGUAUUACUGUUGUUCCUAAUGAUAAAGAUGAAUUGAUUCCGCAAAGAAUUAUUAUAGGUUAUGGGAUGGUAAUUGAUUUCCGCAAAUUAAAUAAGGCUACUAAAAAGAUCAUUACCCCUUACUUUUAUUGAUCAAAUGCUAGAAAGAUUAUCCAAACAUACACAUUUUUGUUUUCUAGAUGGUUACUCUGGCUUCUCUCAAAUACCUGUGUCAGCUGAUGAUCAAUCAAAGACCACUUUUACUUGCCCUUUCAGUACUUUUGCUUAUAGAUGUAUGCCUUUUGGUUUAUGUAAUGCACCUGCUACCUAUCAAAGAUGCAUGGUGGUUAUAUUUUCUGACUUUUGUGAAAAGAUAUGUGAGGUUUUCAUGGACGAUUUCUCCGUUUAUGGAUCCUCUUUUGAUGAUUGCUUAAGCAACCUUGAUCGAGUUUUGCAGAGUUGUGAGGAAACUAAUCUUAUUCUGAAUUGGGAGAAAUGCCACUUUAUUGUCAAUGAAGGUAUUGUCUUGGGGCAUAAAAUUUCUGAAAGAGGCAUUGAAGUUGAUAAAGCUAAAGUUGAUGCUAUUGAAAAGAUGCCAUGUCCCAAGGACAUUAAAGGUAUAAGAAGCUUCCUCGGUCAUGCCGGUUUUUGUAGGAGGUUCAUUAAGGACUUCUAAAAAAAUUCUCGGCCUCUCACUAAUCUAUUACAAAAAGAUAUUCUAUUUUUAUUUGAUGAUGAUUGUGUAGACGCAUUUGAAAUACUUAAGAAAGCAUUAAUUUCUACACCUAUUGUUCAGCCACCUGAUUGGAAUUUACCCUUUGAAAUUAUGUGUGAUGCUAGCGAUUAUGCUGUAGGUGUUGUUCUAGGGCAAAGAGUUGAUAAGAAAUUAAAUGUUAUUCAAUAUGCUAGUAAAAGUCUAGAUAGUGCCCAAAGCAAUUAUGCUACUACUGAAAAGGAAUUCUUAGCAGUUGUAUUUGCUUGUGAUAAGUUCAGACCUUAUAUUGUUGAUUCUAAAGUAACUAUUCACACUGAUCAUGCUGCUAGUAAAUACCUUAUGGAAAAGAAAGAUGCUAAACCUAGACUUAUUAGAUGGGUUCUCUUGCUACAAGAAUUUGAUUUGCAUAUUAUUGAUAGAAAGGGAGCUGAGAACCCCAUUGCAGACAACCUGUCUAGGUUAGAAAAUCUUCUUGAUGACCCACUACCUAUUGAUGAUAGCUUUCCUGAUGAACAAUUAAAUGUCAUAAAUGCUUCUUGAACUGCUCCAUGGUAUGCUGAUUAUGCUAAUAUAUUGUUGCUAAAUUUAUACCACCUAGUUUCACAUACCAGCAAAAGAAAAAGUUCUUCUAUGAUUUGAGACAUUACUUUUGGGAUGACCCACAUCUUUAUAAAGAAGGAGUAGAUGGUAUUAUUAGACGUUGUGUACCUAAGCAUGAACAAGAACAAAUCCUACGCAAGUGUCACUCCGAGGUUUAUGGAGGACACCAUGCUGGAGAUAGAACUGGACAUAAGGUAUUGCAAUCCGUUUUUAUUGGCCUAAUCUCUUCAAGGAUGCCCGUAAGUUUGUCUUGUCUUGUGAUGAAUGUCAAAGAAUUGGUAAUAUUAGUAGACGUCAAGAAAUGCCUAUGAAUUAUUCACUUGUUAUUGAACCAUUUGAUGUUUAGGGCUUUGAUUAUAUGGGACCUUUUCCUUCCUCUAAUGGGAAUACACAUAUCUUAUUUGCUAUUGAUUACGUUACUAAGUGGGUAGAAGCUAUUCCAGCUAUUAGUGUUGAUUAUAACACCUCUAUUAAGAUGCUUAAAGAAGUUAUUUUCCCGAGGUUUGGAGUCCCUAGAUAUUUAAUGACUGGUGGUGGUUCACAUUUUAUUCAUGGUGCUUUUCGUAAAGUGCUUGCUAAGUAUGACGUUAAUCAUAGAAUUGCAUCUCCUUAUCACCCACAGUUUAGUGGUCAAGUAGAAUUGGGUAAUAGAGAGCUCAAAUUAAUUUUGCAAAAGAUUGUUAAUAGAUCUAGAAAGAAUUGGUCCAAGAAACUUGAUGAUGCAUUAUGGGCCUAUAGAACUGCAUAUAAAAAUCCUAUGGGUAUGUCUCUGUAUAAAAUGGUUUAUGGUAAAGCAUGUCACUUACCUCUUGAAUUAGAACAUAAGGCAUAUUGGGCCAUUAAAGAGCUCAAUUAUGAUUUCAAACUUGCCGGUGAGAAGAGGUUAUUUGACAUUAGCUCACUUGAUGAAUGGAGAACCCAAGCUUAUGAAAAUGCCAAGCUGUUUAAAGAAAAAGUUAAAAGAUGGCAUGAUAAAAGGAUACAAAAGCAUGAGUUCAAUGUAGGUGAUUAUGUAUUGCUAUACAACUCUUGUUUAAGAUUUUUUGCAGGGAAACUUCUCUCUAAACGGGAAGGUACUUACGUUAUCGAGGAGGUCUAUCGUUCCGGUGCCAUAAAAAUCAACAACUUCGAAGGCACAAAUCCGAAGGUGGUGAACGGUCAAAGAAUUAAACAUUAUAUCUCAGGUAAUCCCAUAAAUGUUGAAACUAAUGUUAUUGAAACCAUAACCCCGGAGGAAUACAUAAGGGACACUUUCCGGAACAUUUCAGACUCUGAAAAGGAAUAGGUACGUGGUAUGGUAAGUAAACUGACUCCAAAACAGUUCUAAUGGCAAUAUUUCUUUGUUUUGGAAUAUUUAGAAAAAUAGGAAAAUAAGAAGCAGACCGGAAAGGACACGAGGCUCCCACGAGGGUGGGAGGCGCGCCCUACCCCCCUGCCUCAUGGGCUCCUCGUGCGCUCUCCGGACUCCGUUUUCUUGCACGAUACUUCUUUUGGUCGGUAAAAAUUCAUUAUAUAAUGUCCCGAAGGUUUUAACCACCGUAUCACACAAAUAUCUCUUGUCUUUCUUUCGAGUUAUUUCUGCCGUAGAUUAGAGCAAGAUGUCUUCUCAAGAGUCAGUCGGGGAGAGUCGGGUGUCUCACCCGACACCAGGUCCAGGGGCAAAGAGUGAUGCCUAUCACUUUGGGCCCUCAACGGAGGAAGAGAUGGAAGCUGACUUGAAAAGGAUAGAUGCCAUGGAGGAGGAUCAAGAAGUUACUUCUCGUUUCCGGGCAGGAUUCACGAUGGAGGAACCACAGAGCUCAGCUAUUCCAAACUCGGUUAGCCCUUCCAGUGUUAGAUUUCUUUCUUAUGAAAAUAUGAAAAAGAGUGUUACUUGUUCUCCCGCAGCUAUGCAACAUUGGGUGAAAGGAGCUUUAGCCGUCACUGGCAAGCUCCGUAAGGAAAUAAUGAACCUCAAGCAGCAAGUCAAUAAGCUCGAGGAAGAGAAUCGUAUCCUGAGGGGCAUCAUCGCCAAGAAUAUCACAUCACCACCCCCGAAGAAGGAGACAUAAUCACACGGGUAUGGGUACUCCCCUUGGGAACUCCCAAGCUUGGGGGAGUGCCCCGGUAUCGUAUCACCAUCACUUUUAUCUUUGCCAUUUUUCUUAGUUCGAUCCUUUUAGUAAUAUCUUGAUCUAGUAGAAUAAAGUUUUAGUAUGAUCUAGUUGUGAGUUUUGCUUUAUGAUCCCUCUAUGUAAUCGAGUCUGUGAGCUAUAUAAUAAAGAUUAGUGUUGAGUCAAGGGCUUGAUUUUGCUAUGAUCUUGAGGGAAUAAAAUAAAAUAAAAAGAAACAAAGAGAUCAUAUGGAUCUUAUGGAAAGUAAUGAGCUCACAUAUAAACAGUAUGAUGAAUAAAAGUUGUUGAAAGUUGACAAACAUAGUUUUGGUCAUCGUUGCAAUUAAUAGGAAGUAAUAAAGAAAGAGAGGUUCACAUAUAAAUAUACUAUCUUGGACAUCUUUUAUGAUUGUGAGCACUCAUUAAAGUAUGACAUUGUAAGUGCAUCUAGGGCCCCUUAGUGAUUUUGGUGUAUUGAAGACUUAUAGGUUAAGGGACUAAUGCGUGUGUGAGUGUACACAGGUCUAUAAGUCUAUGAGGAGUUUGAUAUUUACAGGAAAAGUCGACCCCUAAAAAUGAAUAUCUUCGACUAAAGAUUUUGGUAUUUCUGAAGACUUUCAUGAAGAAUUUGAAAGUGAAGAAAUUUGGUGUGUCCGUGAAGACUUGAUAUUCAUGCGAGAAAUAUGAAGCUUGAAGACUUUCGUGUUCAUAGUUUUGUUUUUCUCUUUCUUGACUCAUAGGAAACACCGUACUGUUAAAGGGGGUCGAGGAAAUACUAAGGAAAAAAUUCCAUGUGAUGCUCAACUCAAAAUCCUACACCUACCAAUCCCUUCGAGUGAAGCCAUUGGAAAUCUCAUACAGUUCAGUCAAUUUCUUCAGUGACAGAGAUGAAGUUCUUCUGGUCUCUGAGGAUUUUGUCCUGACUGAGGAGUUAGGAAUUCGCCAGUGCGGAUUGCCUACAUAGUGAGGAACAUGAUAGCCCUGAGGAUUUUGCUACUCAAAAUUUCGACCGUUGUUGUGCUAUAUGCCAGCUGUCCCAAAAUAUCUAUCCACCUAACGGUCAUAUCAUUGAAGGGUAUUUAUGUCUUAUCAUGUUGGGCUGCUCCCUAGGCUAUAAAUAGCCACCCCCUACAACCACUAGCUGGUUGGCUGCUCCGAGAGAAAAUAACACUUGUCAUUUGAGAGCAACCCAUCCUCCGAGGACUUUGAGCGAAAAUCAUCAAGUGAGGAAAAAUCAAAAACCCAAACACCUACAAACCCCAAGUGAUUGAGCAUCACUGAAGAGAUUGAUCCUGAGUGGAUCCAAUGCUUGUUACCUUUGAAGACUGUGCUUCUUCCAGACGGUUAGGCGUCAUGGUCUAGAGCAUCCAAGAGGAAUUGUGGAUCGCCGAGUGACCAAGUUUGUGAAGGUUUGGAAGUCGCCUGAAGACUUACCACGAGUGAUUGGACGAGGUCUGUGUGACCUUAGUUCAAGGAGAAUACGGUGAGGACUGGUUGCCUUGGACUAAGUGUCCUUGACUGGGUGUCCGGGACUGUGUGUCCUCGAGUUUAAAUACUCAACCACUCCAACCAGAUGUACAACUGAGACAUCAGUUGGAACUAGUCUACCAAAUCAUUGUCUUCACCGAGCUUACUGGUUCUAUUUCCUCAACUCUUUCAUUUCCUCAUAACUGUGUUGUAUGUUUGUUCAUAUCUGUGUUUGAAGACUUUGACUGAAGACUUUCUCAAUUUUCUCAGUUCAAUUUCUUCAGUCUGUUUGUCUUCAUCCUGAGUUAUCCUGUGAUUACGCUUCCUGUACUCUGUGCCUGUCUUCAUUUCAUCAUGAUGACUAUGCUUGUAUUCUGUUGUGUUUACUUUUGAGUACUUAUUCCGCUGCUAGUAGUUCUUCGCGAAGGAAUUUCCUCACCAGCAAAUUCCUCAGUGAAGAAUUUCAUAAAAAUCGCCUAUUCACCCCCCCUCUAGUCGAUAUAACACACUUUCAAUUGGUAUCAGAGCAAGGUACUCCCUUGUUCUGUGUGAUUUUGGUUUAACCGCCUGGAGUUUUAGUUAUGUCGACCGUAGGUAUGAUCAAGGUCUCUGCUGGGUGCCCUACCUUCGAUGGGACGGACUACCCCUACUGGAAGAAUAAGAUGUGAAUGCAUCUUGAAGCAAUUGAUAACAAUCUCUGGUAUGUUGUGGAAAAUGGUGUUCCCUCAGUCACACCUUCUCUGAAUGCUGCCGAUGUGAAGAGAUUCAAGAAACUCGACUCUCAAGUGAAGAAUAUCAUAUGUGGCCAUCUAAGCAAAGGACAGUAUGGCAGAGUGAGUUCUUUGGAAACAUCGAAGCUUAUCUGGGACAGGUUGUCCAAAGUGAAUGAAGGAGUCUCAACUCAGAGUGACUCUCGAGUUGAUAUUCUUCGCAAUCUCUUCAACCGCUUCAAAAUACUCGACAAUGAAAAUGUUCAAAAAACCUUUGAUCGCCUCACUAACAUCUCAAAUGAGCUUCAAGCACUUGGUUCCACUGACAUCACUGACCAUGAGGUGGUGAAGAAAUUGCUGAGAUCGCUUGAUUCCUCAUUUGACACUCUGGCAUUGAUGAUACAAGAACAUGCUGAUUACAAGUCACUUGAUGCCGCUGAUAUUCUCGAGAGACUAAAUACUCAUGAGUUCCAACUUGCUGAAAAGAGAGAUCUCUAUGGUUCAAGCUAUGGCAGAACACAUGCACUGAAGGCCAAGGCAGUAUCUGAGUCCGAAGAUGAAGACUCUGGUACCAGCCUUGGUGAUCCUGAAGAACUGAGCCAUGAUCUGGCUCUGCUCAUGAAGAAGUUCCAAACGUUCUCAAGACGUGGUCGCCUUGGAAGAUCCUCAAGGAGCAAUGAUUCCUCAUCCAGUGACUACAAGAAGAGGCUUUGUCACAAGUGCAAGAAACCUGGACAUUUCAUUCAAGAUUGUCCUCAGUGGGAAAAGGAAUCAAAGAAGAAGAAAUACAAGGAUUACAGUUCUGAUGAUGCAAAGAAAAAGAAGAAAUCCACAAAAUCCACAUCAUCAAAAUCCUCAAAGCUUUCAUAUCACAAGAAGAGCAGCUGCAAGAAGGUCAGGGCAUUCAUUGGCAAGGAAAUGGACUCCAAGGCUGAAUCUGAAGAAAAUGAGGAAGAGGAGUCAUCUGAGGAGUCUGAAUCCGGAGUGGUGAGCCUAGCUCUCUCUACUGCAUUCAUCAGCAACUCUAUCUUCAACACUGAAGAAAAUGACCUCACCAACAAGGCUGAUGAAGGUGAUGAUGACCACGCUCCCACCUAUUGCUUCAUGGCAAAGGGUGCCAAGGUACUCAAAUAUACCUCCUCUGAAUCAAGUGAGAAUGAAUCUGAUGAAAACCUUAAGCCUAGCUAUUCUAAACUUGCUAAAAUUGCUAUAAAACAACGAAGGGCUUUAGAAAAGGUUCAAAACAUGCUAAAUAAAAGUGAUGAUAUGUUGGGUGAAGAAAUGGAUCGCACUGAAGCUUUGACUGAAAAUCUUCAGAGACUUCAGUCCAAGCUUGACAAACUUCAAAGUCAUCAUAACACUCUCUUAUCGGAUCAUGAUAAGCUUUCUUAUGAAUUUCUUCAAAGAAAGCAAGACCUUGAGAAGCUAAGAGUGAGUUAUGAAGAUCUUCAGAAGGAGCGCGAUUCAUUACUUGCUCAACAAAUCAGCGCAUCUCAGGAAGAAUUUGUUCCUCCAUGCUUGAAGUGCAUUGAACGUGAAUCUGCUAAUUCUUCACCUGAAUGUUCAAAUGCUGCUAAUGUUUCAAAUUCUUCACAUGCCUCUGCUAUCACUAAUUCCUCAUCUGAGGACAUUGCUAGUAUCACUGACGAUGCAGGGCUGAAGGAAUUGUACACGACAGGCAUGUACAAAAGCCUCAAAGGGCAUCAGGCUCUUUGUGAUGUGCUUAAAAAACAGAUCCUCAAUAGGAACCCUAGGAAAGAGGGUAUCGCCUUUGAGAGGAAACUCAAUGCUGAUGGUACAUAUUGGAAGCCUGAGCAGUACCCCAAAACUACAUGGGUCGCUGCAAAGGGACCUCCAGUUGAUCCAUCUAACUUAUCUGGAUUUGCAUGUGAAUCUCCUCAUUCUGAUGAUGAGUCAAUUGACUCCAACUAUAAGCUAUUCAAAAAUCAGAAUGGUGAAGUAUUUGCUAGAUAUGUUGGCAGUAACUGCAGGAAUGGCUCCCCUAUGAAGAAAAUCUGGGUUCCCAAAAGAUGUCUUGAAAAUCUUUAGGUGAAUGACAUCAUGACGCCACUUGUGAAGAAUAGGAACCCCAGAUCAAAUUCUUCAUAUGGACCAAAUUCCUCAUAUGAAGCAAAGUCCUCAUAUGAACAUCAUCGUGCUAACACGUCUGUUUCGCAUGGAAGAUCUAAGGAUUAUGGAUAUGUGCAUUAUUCUUCAAAUCAUUAUGUCCAUAAGUCCUCGAAGAAUUUCUCUGCUUACUCAUAUGCUUACUCUAACCCAUCUUAUGUGAAACGAAAUGUAUUGGCUUCUAUGCCAUCCUUCUCGUAUGGAGCUCGCAGAAUGAUGAACUCUUUUCCACCCCUUCAGAUGUGGGUGGUGAAGAAAAAGAACUAAUCUCUUCUGCAGGGUCAGGUCUCCAGACGCACGUAAUCAUCUGAAGAAUUUGCUGGAGACCUGAGCAUGCCUGAUAGGACGCAGGCUAAUCAUGAAGAAAUGAACUUUCUUUUCUCACGUCCUCAUAUUGCUUUAUCAGUUCUUUUAAUUGAUGAAAUUGAUCUGAUGAAUUGAUGUCAUAUUCUUCACUGAUGAAGUAUAUGAGUUUGUAAGCUGCACUAAUUCAUCUGCAGGAUGAUCAACCCAAAGCCACUGAGUGGGUCCUCGAUAGUGGAUGUGCAAACCACAUGACUGGUGACAAGAAUCUAUUGAUGGAUGCUCCAUUAUCUCCGUCGCAUCUGAAGCAUAUCAUCUUUGCUGACAAAGGAAAAAGUCAGGUAUUGGGUCUAGGUAAGGUUGCGAUUACAAAGGAUCGACACAUGGACAAAGUCAUGCUUGUUGAAACCCAAUGUAAGUUAUUUCAAAGUCUUCGGUGCUAAAUGUUGGAUUAGAGAUCCUCAUCACAACUCAAAAUUUGCACCGAAAGCACAUGAAGGUUUUAUGCUUGGUUACGGAAAGGACUCGCACACCUACAGAGUCUUCAACAACGUUCUUCACAAAGUUGUUGAAACUAUAGAUGUGUGGUUCGAUGAAACUAAUGGCUCGCAAAGAGAGCACCUACCUACUGUGAUAGAUGAACCAGCACCUGAGGAAACUAUCAAGUUCAAGGCUACUGAGGAUGUCAUUCCUACUGAAGAAUCUGCUGAAGAAUUCAUUCCAGAACAUGAAGAACGUCGAGCUAAUGCACCUGAAGAAAAUGCUGAAGAAAAUGGUGCUGAAGAAAACGCUGAUCAAACUCUUCAAUGAAAACCAGCUCAUCCUCGCAUUGCAAAAGAAGUGCAAGUUGAAAAUAUCAUCAAUGACAUCAAAGUGCCAGGUCCUCUCACACGCUCAAAAGCUUCAUAUUUGUCUCACUUUUGUGGGCAGUAUGCUUUUGUCUCUAUUACAGAGCCCACUAAGGUAGAUGAAGCAUUUCUGGAGCCUGAGUGGAUUCAGGCCAUGCAAGAAGAAUUACAUCAGUUCGAGCUUAACAAUGUCUGGGAACUGGUCAAACAUCCAGAUCCUCGCAAGCACAAUAUCAUCGGCAUAAAGUGGAUCUACCACAACAAGCAAGAUGAAAAUGACCUUGUGGUGAGGAAUAAGGCACGGCUUGUAGCUCAAGGCUACACACUGGUUGAAGGAAUUGAUUUCGAUGAAACUUUUGCACCUGUUGCUAGACUUGUGGCUAUUCGCAUAUUACUUGCUUAUGCUAACCAUCAUGAUAUCACUCUAUAUCAAAUGGAUGUGAAAAGUGCAUUCCUCAAUGGUAAGCUUGAGGAAGAAGUGUAUGUUGCUCAACCCCCAGGUUUUGAAGAUCCAAAGAAUCCUGACAAAGUCUUCAGACUCAACAAGGCCCUCUAUGGCCUCAAGUAGGCCUCACGGGCUUGGUAUGAUACUUUGAAGGAACUCUUCAUGAAGAAAGGCUUCAAACCCGGUUCACUUGACCCUACUCUUUUCACUAAAUCUUAUGAUGGUGAAUUGUUUGUGUGCCAAGUAUAUGUUGAUGAUAUUAAUUUUGGUUGUACUGACCAACGUUAUACUGAUGAAUUUGCCUAUAUGAUGAGUGAAGAAUAUCAAAUGUCUAGGAUGGGAGAGUUGAACUUCUUCUUAGGUCUUCAAAUUCGUCAACAACACAAUGGCAUAUUCAUAUCUCAGGAGAAAUACCUCAAGGAUGUACCGAGGAAAUUCGGCAUGCAAGAUUGCAAAGGCAUCAAAAUUCCUAUGCCCACAAAUGGCCAUCUGUGCACUGAUGAAAAUGGUAUUGACUUCGAUCAUAAGGUAUACCACUCCAUGAUAGGUUCCUUAUUAUACUUAUGUGCAUCUAGGCCAGAUAUAAUGCUUAGUGUUUGCAUGUGUGCCCAAUUUCAAGCUGCACCGAAGGAAUCACACCAUAAGGCUGUGAAGCAUAUUCUUCGAUAUCUAGCUCACACACCAACACUUGGAUUAUGGUACCCCAAGGGCUCGGCUUUUGAUCUUGUUGGAUAUUCUGACUCUGACUAUGCUGGUGAUCGUGUGGAUCGCAAGUCAACAUUUGGUACAUGUCAUUUCCUUGGACGAUCUUUGGUCUGUUGGUCCUCGAAGAAAUAGAACUGCGUAUCACUAUCUACUGCUGAAGCUGAGUACAUUGCCGCUGGUUCUUGCUGUGCCCAAUUGCCAUGGAUGAAGCAAACUCUCAAGGACUACGGUGUCAACAUGAAGAAUGUGCCUCUCUUCUGUGACAAUGAGAGUGCCAUCAAGAUUGCUCACAACCCAGUUCAGCACUCGAAGACAAAGCACAUUCAGAUUCGUCAUCAUUUUCUUCGUGAUCAUGUGUUCAAGGGCAACAUUUCUAUUGAGCAUGUGAAGACUGAAGAACAACUAGCCGAUAUCUUCACAAAGCCCUUGGAUGAGAAGAGAUUUAGCAAGUUGCGGUGUGAGCUAAAUAUCUUAGAGUCUUCGAAUGUUCUUUGAAAAGGACACUCAUCCUAACACUUAUGCAAAAUUUAUGACUUAGAUGUGCAAUACAUGAAGAAACAUUUUUCUUCAAUCAAUGAAGAAUAACACUCUUAGUGUGAAGAAAUUAAUGAAGAAUUUGAUUCUCAGAACCCUACGAUAAUUGUACGCGGUGUCUGAAAUCAUCAUUUUUAUACGGUGAGUCACGCCACCACCAAAAGUUGAAAUUCCUCAAAUUAUUCAUAUUCUUCAACUUUGCAUAGUCUUCACUGGUUCCGUCGUUUUUUCAUUGGCUAUAUAUAUAUAUAUAUGAGUUAUGUCCUCUACAACAUUCACUUAUUGCUAUUUCUUCAAGUUGGUUUUCUGCUAAGUGAAUGUGACCGGACCCUUCCCCUCUAUGCUAUACUCAACCCAAUCUGUUCACAAAUUCUUCAUGUGCGUUCUAUUUGAAACUCAUUCAAAAUCUUCACUGUGUCCUUGUCAGCUGAAGAAAUUGCGAAUGGAACUUUAAAACCUAUCUUAUCGAAAUUUUCAGUUUUGCCGCUCAAACCGUUCCACAUCCCUUGAUACACUUAUCCACUCACCCACGAUCUAACACGAUCUCCACCUCUCACUACAUGGGUGACACAUGUCAUGCGAAUGAGAAGGGUCAGGGGCACGUUCGUCCAAUUUCUUCGGGCAAGCAGUUUUUCACCGUGGCUAUAAAUACCCCUCCUUCCCUUCCUCACUUCUUUUACUCCGCUCGACCUCUCUCUCCAUCUCGAGCUUCUCAAACCCUAGCGCCGCCGCUACUUCAUCGCCGCUGGUGAGGAAGAGCUUCACUGCCUCGACCUCGUCGCCGACGUACUCGCGCCGACCGCGGACAUCUUCACUCCGCCGCCGCCGUAGCCGUCUUCCUCCGCCAAGUUAGGGCGUGGAAGAUCUGCACAGACGAACUUCACAUCUCCUCACUCCAGUUCGUCGUGUUCUUCAUCCAGGGUAAAUAAAAGUUACUUUUACUGCCCUCGUUGAUUCGAAUGAUUAUCUAUAAAAUCUUUAAAAGUGUUUUUCUUCAUAUCUUCACACAUUGAACACCUCACAAGUCAUCUGUUCUUGAUUCGUUUCUCUAAGCAUCAUUUUUCUUCAAGAUUCCUCAAUUGUGUGGAUCAUCGAUCUAUACAACUCUGGAACCUAAGACAAAGAACGCUUAGUGAAAAUCUUCAAGACUCAUCUGGUCAAAUUCCUCAAACAUGUUCAUUUUGAAAAACCUUCUGAGAACGCAUAUGACCUCUCCAAAUUCCUCGCAACUAUACUCUAUUCACAGGUACACAUAUCAGCUGCUGAAUCACUAGGUUCUCAUCAACUUAACUCAUUUGCAGCGUUCCUCGAAGAAAAAUUGCAUACUUCUUCAGAGAAUUCAAUUGUUCAAAUUCCUCAACUGAAGAAAAUGGCUGACGGUAAGAAGCCACAGAAGGGAGGAAAGAGGCCUGAGGUAAAUAUAGCGUUUGAGAUCCCUGAUGACAUAUAUGCUGGGUACUGCACACCUACUGAGGAAACCAAGAAUGAGCGCAAAGUGCGCAUUCAGAAGAUAGAGAGGAGAUGGGCAAGAGAAUGGAGGGAGUACAGAUAUGUCACUCCUAAGUAUAUGAAGAAAUUCGCACUCAAUCCUCCAUGCCCAAGAGCUGCAUUGGCACAUGGCCAAAUUGCUGAUCCCACCAGCCUCAAGCGAGGUGAGGACUAUCCUAAUGAAUGGGCCAAGCGCCAAGCCAAGCUGGCUAAGCAAGCCAGAGAAGCAGUGAGGAAAUUUAAUGAAGACUCUGCUGUUGCUGCUGCUGCCUCUGCUGAGGCCUUUGCUGUCAAGCCAAAGAAGGCUAUGUCAAAGAAGCCUGCGCGCAAGCCAAGUGCUUCACCAACAAUGCCCUCAAGGCCAAGUUCCUCAGCAAUGCCCUCACGGCCAGAAUCAUCAAAGCCCUCACGGCCAAUUCCUCAUGCUGCUCCUAUUCCUCCAAAAUCCUCAGCUCCUCUGCCAAAGCAUUCAGCUGUUCCGACCAAAUCCUCAGCACCUGUGCAUCUCGCUUCGUGCCAAAGGACUGCCGGCAUCUCCAUUGCCUCAGGUGUCUCAGCUAGUUCCUCAGCUGCACCAAGUUCCUCAGCUGGCCCCUCACUACUGAAGACAAAGGCCACUUCUGGACGAGGUCCACGCACGAGUCCUUAAAAGAAGCAAGUCGCUUUCCAAGUGUCGUCUGAUGAAGACGAAGCUGAUGAUGAUGAACUUGCAGAAAUCAUCAAAGAUAGGCAAGUCAGGGCUGCUAGAGCCAAAGGAUUAGAGGUGCCACUGCUUUUGGAUCCCAAGCUGAUCCUCGACUACAUUGAUGAUUGGCACAAGGACCCCAACACUCCCUUGCCUGACUUUAAGCUGACUCCUGGCCAAAGUCACAUGCUGACCCACUUCAUUCAAGAAGAAAAGUGGAAUUUUGAGAAGGCCAGGCAGAUCAAGAAAGCGCAGUAUAAGAAAGAGCGCUAUCUGAAGAAAAACAUUGUCUCUAUGACAACUGAAGAACUUGUCACUACUCAGACUGAGAUUAAGAAACUCAGUGAUGACUUUGAAGCAUAUCGCGCUGAUUGGCUUGGAGCCAAGGUUCAUUUUGUGAAACUUGCGGAUAACUUCACUUCCAAUGUUGCAGCCCCAACGCAACAGGAAAUUCUUAGGCUGAAGCAUCUGCUCAGCCUACUGAAGAAAAUGCCAACACCGCUGAUGACAAUCAGGCUGCUAAAGAUAAUGUGAUUUCCAGGGCUGAUGACUGCAUUCCAGCCGCUGAAGAAAUUGCCAGGGCACCCACUAGUGGUGUGCCUGAAGAAACUGAAGAACUCAACUGCAUUAGUUGUGCCUAAAGAAAAUUAACCAGAUUCCUCAGCUGCUCCUGCACCAACUUCAACUCCAAUCCUUCCAUCUGCAUCGGAUGUGAAGAAGACCAAGGUUGCAUAGCAUGCUGCAAUGAAGAAAAGGAAAGCAUCAGCUGCUUCAGAUUCUUCAGCUCCGAAGAAAAUGAAGCCUAUGACAAGUUCAUUUGCACAUCCGAUUGAUGUUGUUCCCAUCUCAACCAGGCCAUCAAAGGACCUUGUUCCUUUUGAUGAAGAAUAUGUGAUCCCUAGCGGAUCUGAUGAAGAAACUCAUUCUGCUGCUUCGUCUGAACCAUUGGAUGAAGAAAUUGAAGUGGAUGCGAUCCCUUCAACACCUAUCAUCUCCUCGCCUAUGCCUCAGUUCACAGAUGAAGAGGCUGGCAUUGAAGAAAUGAAAGAUGAUGAUGUGGACAUUGGCUACUCCACACCCGUCAUCAGUGAUGAAUUCUGGGAAAGUCAGCAUCCAAACUCUCCAAUGUUCACUCCUCUACAGAAAAUUCCUCAGUCCCCCACACAAACUGUUCACAUGGGCUCUGAAGAAACUCAUCCCACUGCAUCUGUCCAUGAGGAAAUUCCAGCCACUAGCACUGAUGAAACUGUUGCUGCUGCACAACCAACUACGCAGACUGCCACUGAGGAGGAACCAGAAAUUCCUUAGCCUGAAGAACCUGCGAUUGAGAUUCCUGAGGUCGUGAUGCAACUCACAGACACUCCUCUGCCGAAGCCAAAGGAUCCAUUCUCACGCAAGCAAAAGUUCAAGGCUGAUGAUUUCUUCGGCGAGCACGUAUUCUUCGAACAUUACAACCCAUAUGACUCUGCUCGCAUUAGGAAGAGGCGUUUCUGGACUGCUAGUCAAGCCAAUUUCUAUUCCUCAGUGUUGUUCAACAAGGAGAAGAUUUUCUACCAUGAGCAUAUUCCUCACGUGGAUAUGGAAUCUCUGCCAUGCUUCGCACCAGUCCUCAGUGUUCUUCACGAUGCUGGGCUGCUCAACUUUUGCUCUGACAUCUGCGAUUGGAAUGAGGAACUGAUUCUUCAAUUCUAUGCAACGCUGCACAUCACCGAAGAUGCUGAAGAUGUGAAUUCAUGGGUGUUGGAUUGGAUGUCUGAAAACACUCACUACACUGCACCAGCCUCUGAAUUGCUUCGUGCUCUACCACUCAGUCCUCCCCUUGAAGAAGCCCGCUGCAUCUAUAGUGAACCUGAGCUCACACAUCAUUACAUGUAGGUGCUGAUGAAACCUCUGAAGCCAGGUCAAGCACCAAGAACCAAAUUCCUCGUGAAGGAAUUGUUGUACGUGCCCAGAACUGUCUAUCGUAUUCUUAUGAGGACAAUCAGUCCUAUCAAAGGCCACGACUCAUCUGAUGAGGAAAUUGUUGGCAUCAUGAAGAAUCUGGUAUUCAACAUCGUUCAUGGCAUUCCUGUCAAUUAUCACGAUUUCUUCAUGAGGACUAUGGCCAAUGUUGCACUGUCUCCGUUUGAGCUGAAGCCUUAUGCACCUUGGAUCAUGAGAUUCCUCAGGACAAGGUCUUCACUCAACUACAAAGCUGAUUUCCAGAAUCAUCUCAGCUACUUGCCCCCAAUUGAAGUCCUCAAGCAGACAUAUUCCUCAGUUGAUGGAAAGGGCAAGGCACCAGCUGUAAUUGAUGAAGGCAUUCGUCCAUUGGAUGGUCAGUUUCGCAAAGCUGCAUCUUAUUCCACCAAUGAUGACUCUGCCACACAUGACUCUGCCAAUGCACCUAAGUCCACUCCUCAAGCCACUGCUCCGCGCGUGAUGACUGACCGUGAACUUCUGCUUAGUCUUCACCAGAAGGUGGAUCGAAAUCACAAAUGGGUUAAGCAUCAGUUUGGUUCACUUCUUCACAACAUGACUGCCACACACAAUGCAGUGAAGAAAAACCACUACUACCUCCAUCAAGUCUUCGGUCGCACCUGGGCAAUCCUAUCACAUCUGUAUGGUGAAGAAGAUCUGAAGAACAUGGGUCUUAAUGAAGAUUUUGACUGGUCUGCAGCUCCACCGAAGAAAUUCAAGAAGGUCAAGGUUCCUUCUCUGGUGGCCAGCUCAUAUUCUUCAUCGUGCGACACUGAUGAACAUGAAGAUUUGGACGACACUGCGGCAGGUCCUACAUCAAUAAACGACCCCAACAACGAUGGCGCUCCUUCAUCAACAUGAUUAUCUUCAGGGGCGUUAGUCCUCAUUUUCGAUCCUUUUGGUCAUUCGAUGACAAAGGGGGAGAAAUAUGAGUUAGUCUUCAAGCGGGUCUACUAUAUGGGCGUUGUUUUUUUGCUAAGUUACAACUCUCGUUCUUCUGAAACUUUAUUGGAUCGAGUUGUAAUCUUAAACCCGAUGGUGCUCUGAUACUUUUGAUGCACUGUGCUCUGAUACUCUUGAUGCACUAUUCUGCAUGCUUAUUCCUCGUUAAUAUUAUUGCGCGCAUGCUGAAUUUCAUCGGGCACCAUAUUUCAUCAUGCAUUUCAAAUUCUUCAUAUUAUAUGUUAAAUGCGUGUAUGAAUUACAAGAUAUAGGGGGAGAUCUCCAUGAUUCAACUCUUCAAGUGUGCAUUGCUUCAAAAGCAAAUUCCUCACUAUGCACAUCUUCAAGGGGAGUUCUUCUAUAUCUUGCAAUCAAAUUCCUCAAUAUCAGUAUUUACACUUCAUAUGUUUAUCCCCAUUGAAAUUAACCUAUAUUGUCAUCAAUCACCAAAAAGGGGGAGAUUGUAAGUGCAUCUAGUGCCCCUUAGUGAAUUUGGUGUAUUGAAGACUUAUAGGUUAAGGGACUAAUGCGUGUGUGAGUGUACAUAGGUCUAUAAGUCUAUGAGGAGUUUGAUAUUUACAGGAAAAGUCGACCCCUAAAAAUGAAUAUCUUCGACCGAAGAUUUUGGUAUUUCUGAAGACUUUCAUGAAGACUUUGAAAGUGAAGAAAUUGGUGUGUCCGUGAAGACUUGAUAUUCAUGCGAGAAAUAUGAAGCUUGAAGACUUUCGUGUUCAUAGUUUUGUUUUUCUCUUUCUUGACUCAUAGGAAACACCGUACUGUUAAAGGGGGUCGAGGAAAUACUAAGGAAAAAUUUCCAUGUGAUGCUCAACCCAAAAUCCUACACCUACCAAUCCCUUCGAGUGAAGCCAUUGGAAAUCUCAUACAGUUCAGUCAAUUUCUUCAGUGAAAGAGACGAAGUUCUUCUGGUCUCUGAGGAAUUUUUCCUGACUGAGGAGUUAGGAAUUCGCCAAUGCAAAUUGCCUACACAGUGAGGAACAUGAUAGCCCUGAGCAUUUUGCUACUCAAAAUUCCGACCAUUGCUGCUAUGCGCCAGCUGUCCCAAAAUAUCUAUCCACCUAACGGUCAUAUCAUUGAAGGGCAUUUAUGCCUUAUCAUGUCGGGCUGCUCCCUAGGCUAUAAAUAGCCGCCCCCCUACAACCACUAGCUGGUUGGCUGCUCCGAGAGAAACUGACACUUGUCAUUUGAGAGCAACCCAUCCUCCGAGGACUUUGAGCGAAAAUCAUCAAGUGAGGAAAAAUCAAAAACCCAAAACCCAAACACCUAUAAACCCCAAGUGAUUGAGCAUCACUGAAGAGAUUGAUCCUGAGUGGAUCCGAAGCUUGUUACCUUUGAAGACUGUGCUUCUUCCAGACGGUUAGGCGUCAUGGUCUAGAGCAUCCAAGAGGAAUUGUGGAUCGCCGAGUGACCAAGUUUGUGAAGGUUUGGAAGUCGCCUGAAGACUUACCACGAGUGAUUGGACGAGGUCUGUGUGACCUUAGUUCAAGGAGAAUACAGUGAGGACUGGUUGUCUUGGACUAAGUGUCCUUGACUGGGUGUCCGGGACUGUGUGUCCUCGAGUUUAAAUACUCAACCACUCCAACCAGAUGUACAACUGAGACAUCAGUUGGAACUAGUCUACCAAAUCAUUGUCUUCACCGAGCUUACUGGUUCUAUUUCCUCAACUCUUUCAUUUCCUCAUAAUUGUGUUGUAUGUUUGUUCAUAUCUGUGUUUGAAGACUUUGACUGAAGACUUUCUCAAUUUCCUCAGUUCAAUUUCUUCAGUCUGUUUGUCUUCAUCCUGAGUUAUCCUGUGAUUAUGCUUCCUGUACUCUGUGCCUAUCUUCAUUUCAUCAUGAUGACUAUGCUUGUAUUCUGUUGUGUUUACUUUUGAGUUCUUAUUCCGCUGCUAGUAGUUCUUCGCUAAGGAAUUUCCUCACCAGCAAAUUCCUCAGUGAAGAAUUUCAUAAAAAUCGCCUAUUCACCCCCCCUCUAGUCGAUAUAAUGCACUUUCAGACAUGCUAAGAGUUGACAUUGGACAAGGAAGACAACAUAAUGGGUUAUGUUUUCUUUCAUCUGAGAUAUAUUAUAUUGUCAUGGAUCAUCCAACAUGUUGAGCUUGCUUUUCCCUCUCAUGCUAGCCAAUUUCUUUGCACCAAGUAGAGAUACUACUUGUGCUUCCAAAUAUCCCUAAACCCAGUUUUGCCAUGAGAGUCCACCAUAUCUACCUAUGGAUUGAGUAAGAUCCUUCGAGUAAGUUGUCAUCGGUGCAAGCAAUAAAAAUUGCUCUCUAAAUAUGUAUGACUUAUUAGUGCGGAGAAAAUAAGCUUUAUACGAUCUUGUGAUAUGGAAGAAAUAAAAGCGACGGAAUGCAUAAUAAAGGUCCAUAUCACAAGUGCAAUAUAAAGUGACGUUCUUUUGCAUUAAGAUUUUGUGCAUCCAACCAUAAAAGCGCAUGGCAACCUCUGCUUCCCUCUACGAAGGGCCUAUCUUUUAUUUUUAUCUUCUACCUUACAUAAGAGCCAUGGUGAUCUUCACCUUUCCUUUUUUACAUUUUAUCUUUUGGCAAGCACAAUAUGUUGGAAAGAUCCUGAUAUAUAUAGCUAAUUGGAUGUGAGUCUUCAUGAACUAUUAUUGUUGACAUUACCCUCGAGGUAAAACAUUGGGAGGCAAAACUAUAAGCCCCUGUCUUUCUCUGUGUCCGAUUAAAACUUCAUACCCAUAAAUAUUGCGUGAGUGUUAGCAAUUGUAAAAGACUAAAAGAUGGUUGAGUAUGUGGACUUGCUGAAAAGCUCUUAUAUUGACUCUUUCCUAUGUUAUGAUAAAUUGCAAUUGCCUCAAUGACUGAGAUUAGAGUUUGUUGGUUCUCAAUGUAGUUUAUGAUUCAUAUUUGAAAUUGUGAUUGAAUUGUUACUUUAGCAUAAGAGAUCAUAUGACAAAAAAUAUAUAUGUUGUUGUUCUAAGAAUGAUCAUGAUGCCCUCAUGUUUGUAUUUUAUUUUUAUCAACACCUCUAUCUCUAAACAUGUGGACAUAUUUUUCGAUUUCGGCUUUCGCUUGAGGACAAGCGAGGUCUAAGCUUGGGGAGUUGAUACGUCCAUUUUGCAUCAUGCGUUUAUAUCGAUAUUUAUUGCAUUAUGGGCUGUUAUUACACAUUAUGUCACAAUACUUAUGCCUAUUCUCUCUUAUUUUACAAGGUUUACAUGAAGAGGGAGAAUGCCGACAGCUGGGAUUCUGGGAUGGAAAAGGAGCAAAUAUUAUAGACCUAUUUUGCACAGCUUGAUGACCCACAAGUAUAGGGGAUCUAUCGUAGUCCUUUCGAUAAGUAAGAGUGUCGAACCCAACGAUGAGCAGAAGGAAAUGAUAAGCGGUUUUCACCAAGGUAUUCUCUGCAAGCACUGAAAUUAUAGGUAACAGAUAGUUUUGUGAUAAGAUAAUUGGUAACGAGCAACAAGUAACAAAAGUAAAUAAAGUGCAGCAAGGUGGCCAAUCCUUUUUGUAGCAAAGCAUAAGCCUGGACAAACUCUUAUAUAGAGAAAAGUGCUCCCGAGGACACAUGGGAAUAUCGUCAAGCUAGGUUUCAUCACGAUCAUAUGAUUCGCGUUCGGUACUUUGAUAAUCUGAUAUGUGGGUGGACCAGUGCUUGGGUGCUUCCCUUACUUGGGCAAACAUCCCACUUAUGAUUAACCUCUAUUGCAAGCAUCCGCAACUACAAUAAAAGUAUUAAGGUAAACCUAACCAUAGCAUGAAACAUAUGGAUCCAAAUCAGCCCCUUACGAAGAAAUGCAUAAACUAGGGUUUAAGCUUCUGUUACUCUAGCAACCCAUCAUCUACUUAUUACUUCCCAAUGCCUUCCUCUAGGCCCAAAUAAUGGUAAAGUGUCAUGUAGUCGACGUUCACAUAACACCACUAGAGGAGAGACAACAUACAUCUCAUCAAAAUAUCGAACGAAUACCAAAUUCACAUGACUACUAAUAGCAAGAUUUCUCCCAUGUCCUCAGGAACAAACGUAACUGCUCGCAAAGUGUAUUCAUGUUCAUAAUCAGAGGGGUAUUAAUAUGCAUAAAGGAUCUGAACAUAUGAUCUUCCAACAAAUAAACCAACUAGCAUCAACUACAAGGAGUAAUUAACACUACUAGCAACCCAAAGGUGCCAAUCCCAGGCUUAGAGACAAGAAUUGGAUACAAGAGAUGAACUAGGAUUUUGAGAGGAGGUGGUGCUGGUGAAGAUGUUGAUGGAGAUUGCCCUCUCCUGAUGAGAGGAGCGUUGGUGAUGACGAUGGCGAUGAUUCCCCCUCCCGGAGGGAAGUUUCCCCGGCAGAACAGCUCCGCCGGAGCCCUAGAUUGGUUCUGCCAAGGUUCCGCCUCGUGGCGGCGGAGUCUUGUCCGAAAGAUGGCUUAUGAUUUUUUUUCCUCAUCGAAAGACUCCGUAUAGCAGAAGAUGGUCAUCGGAGGGCCACCAGGGGGCCCACGAGGUAGGGGCGCGCCCAGGGGGGUAGAGCGCACCCCCCACCCUCGUGGGCAGGGUGUGGCCCCCCUGGUGAACUUCUUGCGCUCAGUAUUUUUUUUAUAUUCUGAAAAUGACUUCCGUGAAGUUUCAGGACUUUUGGAGCUGUGCAAAAUAGGUCUCUAAUAUUUGCUCCUUUUCCAGCCUAGAAUCCCAGCUGCCGGCAUUCUCCCUCUUUAUGUAAACCUUGUAAAAUAAGAGAGAAUAGGCAUAAGUAAUGUGACAUAAUGUGUAAUAACAGCCCAUAAUGCAAUAAAUAUCGAUAUAAUAGCAUGAUGCAAAAUGGACGUAUCAACUCCCCCAAGCUUAGACCUCGCUUGUCCUCAAGCGAAAGCUGAAAUCGAAAAAUAUGUCCACAUGUUUAGAGAUAGAGGUGUCGAUAAAAAUAAAAUAUGGACAUGAGGGCAUCAUGAUCAUUCUUAGAAUGGCAACUUAUAUAAUUGUUGUCAUAUGAUCUCUUAUUCUAGAGUACCAAUUCAAUCACAAUUUCAAGUAUGAAUCAUAAACUUCAUUGAAAACUAACAAACCAUAAUCUCGGUCAUUGAAGCAAUUGCAAUUUAUCAUAACAUAGGAAAGAGUCAAUAUAAGAACUUUUCAGCAAGUCCACAUACUCAACUAUCAUAUAGUCUUUCACAAUUGCUAACACUCACGCAAUACUUAUGGGUAUGGAGUUUUAAUCGGACAUAGAGAAAGAUAGGGGCUUAUAGUUUUGCCUUGCGACGUUUUACCUCAAGGGUAAUGUCAACAAUAAUAGUUCAUGAAAACUCACAUCCAAUUAGCCAUAUAUACCAGGAUCUUUCCAACAUGUUGUGCUUGCCAAAAGAUAAAAUGUAAAAAAGGAAGGGUGGAGAUCACCAUGACUCUUAUGUAAGGUAGAAGAUAAAAGUAAAAGAUAGGCCCUUCGCAGAGGGAAGUAGAGGUUGUCAUGCGCUUUUAUGGUGGAUGCAUAAAAUCUUAAUGAGAAAGAACGUCACUUUAUAUUGCCACUUGUGAUAUGGACCUUUAUUAUGCAGCCUGUCACUUUUAUUUCUUCCAUAUCACACGAUCGUAUAAAGCUUAUUUUCUCCCACACUAAUAAGUCAUACAUAUUUAGAGAGAAAAUUUAUUGCUUGCACCGAUGACAACUUACUUGGAGGAUCUUACUCAAUCCAUAGGUAGGUAUGGUGGACUCUCAUGGAAAAACUGGUUUAAGGGCGUUUGGAAGCACAAGUAGUAUCUCUACUUGGUGCGAAGAAUUGGCUAGAAUGAGAGGGAAAGGCAAGCUCAACCAUGUGAGAUGAUCCAUGACAAUAUAAUUUGUCUCAGAUGUAAGAAAACAUAACCCAUUACGUUGUCUUCCUUGUCCAACGUCAACUCAUUAGCAUGUCAUAUUUUAAUGAGUGCUCACAAUCAUAAAAGAUGUCCAAGAUAGUGUAUUUAUAUGUGAAGACCUCUCUUUCUUUAUUACUUCCUAUUAAUUGCAACGAUGACCAAAACUAUGUUUGUCAACUCUCAACAACUUUUAUUCAUCAUACUUUUUAUAUGUGAGCUCAUUACUCUCCAUAAGAUCCAUAUGGUCUCUUUGUUUCUUUUUAUUCUUUCUCUUUUAUUUUAUCCACUCAAGAUCAUGGCAAAAUAAUCAAGCCCUUGACUUCACACUAAUCUUUAUUAUAUAGCUCACGGACUCGAUUACAUAGAAGGAUCAUAAAGCAAAACUCACAACCAGAUCAUACUAAAAACUUUUAUUCUACUAGAUCAAGAUAUUACCAAAAGGAUCGAACUAAGAAAAACGGUAAAGAUAAAAGUGAUGGUGAUACGAUACCGGGGCACUCCCCCAAGCUUGGCAGUUUCCAAGGGGAGUGCCCAUACCAGAUACUCAGUUCUUCUUUGUUGGUGAAGAAGGUGGAGUUGUUGAUGAUGGAUGGUCGCACAUCGAGCAUAGGAGGUCUUCUAACUUGCGGAUAAUGCCUUUGAGUGCGAUGAUAUGCUCCUUCAACAAAAUAUUUUCACGUGUGACAUACUUAUUUUGUAUACGAUCUAACUCAAUCAUCUUGAAAGCUUCGAUCUCAGUUGGGGUAAGAAGAUUUUGAUCAAGUUGAAGGAUGUCUUCUGUUGCCUGAACUUGGUCCUCCGUGGUCUUCUUGAUCCUUUCAUCCUUGUUGAUCUCCAUGGGUCCUUCUCUCUUCAGCUCUAUCUUCAUUAGCCAAGCAUCGUUGCCCUCAUUGUUGGAGGAGGAGGGAGACGACAUGAUGCUUAGCUUUGACAACCCUAGCAGAAAACAACUCGCAACAAGAACAAGAGAUUUUUGUGUGAUACGGUGGUCAAAACCUUCGGGAUAUUAUAUAAUGAAUGCUUACCGACCAAAAUACGUAACGUGUAAGAAAACGGAGUCCCGAGAGCACACGAGGUGCCCACGAGGUAGGUGGUGUGCCCAGGGGGUAGGGUGCACCCUCCACCCUCGUGGAGGCCUCGUGUCCUUCCCGGACUGCUUCUUAUUUUUCUAUUUUUCUAAAUAUUCCAAAACGGGAGAAAAUUUCCAUUAGAACUGUUUUGGAGUCUAUUUACUUACCGUACCACAUACCAAUUCCUUUUCGGAGUCUGAAACAUUCCGGGAAGUGUCCCUUAUGUAUUCCUCCAGGGUUACGGUUUCAAUAACAUUGGUUUCAACAUUUAUAGGAUUACCUGAGAUAUAAUGCUUAAUUCUUUGACCGUUCACCACCUUCGAAUUUGUGCCUUCGAAGUUGUUGAUUUUUAUGGCACUGGAACAAUAGACCUCCUCGAUAACGUAAGGACCUUCCCAUUUAGAGAGAAGUUUUCCUGCAAAAAAUCUUAAACGAGAGUUGUAUAAUAAUACAUAAUCACCUACAUUAAACUCACGCUUUUGUAUCCUUUUGUCAUGCCAUCUUUUAACAUUUUCUUUAAAUAAUUUGGCAUUCACGUAGGCUUGGUUCUCCAUUCAUCAAGUGAGCUAAUAUCAAAUAACCUCUUCUCAGCGGCAAGUUUGAAAUCAUAAUUGAGCUCUUUAAUGGCCCAAUAUGCAUUAUGUUCUGGUUUGAGAGGUAAGUAACAUGCUUUUCCAUAAACCAUUUUAUACGGAGACAUACCCAUAGGGUUUUUAUAUGCAGUUCUAUAGGCCCAUAAUGCAUCAUCAAGUUUCUUGGACCAAUUCUUUCUAGAUCUAUUAACAGUCUUUUGCAAAAUUAAUUUGAGUUUUCUAUUACUCAAUUCUACUUGACCACUAGACUGUGGGUGAUAAGGAUAUGCAAUCCUAUGAUUAACAUCAUACUUAGCAAGCCUUUUACGGAAAUCACCAUGAAUAAAAUGUGAACCACCAUCAGUCAUUAAAUAUCUAGGGACUCCAAACCUUGGAAAAAUAACUUCUUUAAGCAUCUUAAUUGAGGUGUUAUGAUCAUCACUACUAGUUGGAAUAGCUUCUACCCACUUAGUAACAUAAUCAAUAGCAACUAAAAUAUGUGUAUACCCAUUAGAGGAAGGAAAAGGUCCCAUAUAAUCAAAGCCCCAAACAUCAAAUGGUUCAAUAACAAGUGAAUAAUUCAUAGGCAUUUCUUGACGUCUACUAAUAUUACCAAUUCUUUGACAUUCAUCACAAGACAAGACAAACUUACGGGCAUCCUUGAAGAGAUUAGGCCAAUAAAAACCGGAUUGCAAUACCUUAUGUGCAGUUCUAUCUCCAGCGUGGUGUCCUCCAUAAGCCCCGGAAUGACACUUGCGUAGGAUCUAUUCUUGUUCAUGCUCAGGUACACAACGUCUAAUAACACCAUCUACUCCUUCUUUAUAAAGAUGUAGGUCAUCCCAAAAGUAAUGUCUCAAAUCAUAGAAGAACUUUUUCUUUUGCUGGUAUGUGAAACUAGGUGGUAUAAAUUUAGCAACAAUGUAAUUAGCAUAAUCAGCAUACCAUGGAGCAGUAUGAGAAGCAUUUAUGACAUUUAAUUGUUCAUCAGGAAAGCUAUCAUCAAUAGGUAGUGGGUCAUCAAGCACAUUUUCUAACCUAGACAAGUUGUCUGCAACGGGGUUCUCAGCUCCCUUUCUAUCAAUAAUAUGCAAAUCAAAUUCUUGUAGCAAGAGAACUGCUACCUCUUGAGCACUGCGUUGGAUUUCCUUGAAGAGGAAAGGGUGAUGCAGCAAAGUAGCAUAAGUAUUUACCUCAGUUUUUGAGAACCAAGGUAUCAAUCUAGUAGGAGGCUACGUGCGAGUCCCUCGUACCUGCACAAAACAAAUAACUCCUUGGAACCAACGUGAUAAGGGGUUGUCAAUCCCUUCGCGGUCACUUACGAGAGUGAGAUAUGAUAGAUAUGAUAAGAUAAUAUUUUGGUAUUUUUAUGAUAGAGAUACAAAGUAAAAUAAAAGCAAAGUAAAAGGCAAAGGAAAUAACUAAAUAUUGGAAGAUUAAUACGAUGAAGAUAGACCUGGGGGCCAUAGGUUUCACUAGUGGCUUCUCUCAAGAGCAUAAGUAUUUUACGGUGGGUGAACGAAUUACUGUUGAGCAAUUGACAGAACUGAGCAUAGUUAUGAGAAUAUCUAGGUAUGAUCAUGUAUAUAGGCACCACGUCCAAUACAAGUAGACCGACUCCUGCCUGCAUCUACUACUAUUACUCCACUCAUCGACCGCUAUACAGCAUGCAUCUAGAGUAUUAAGUUCAUGAAAAAGAGUAACGCCUUAAGCAAGAUGACAUGAUGUAGAGGGAUAGAUUCAUGCAAUAUGAUAAAAAAAUAUCUUGUUAUCCUCGGUGGCAACAAUACAAUACGUGCCUUGCUACCCCUACUGUCACUGGGAAAGGACACCGCAAGAUUGAACCCAAAGCUAAGCACUUCUCCCAUUGCAAGAAAGAUCAAUCUAGUAGGCCAAACCAAACUGAUAAUUCGAAGAGACUUGCAAAGAUAACCAAUCAUACAUAAAAGAAUCCAGAGGAGAUUCAAAUAUUGUUCAUAGAUAAUCUUGAUCAUAAACCCACAAUUCAUCGGUCUCAACAAACACACCGCAAAAAGAAGAUUACAUCGAAUAGAUCUCCACAAGAGAGGGGGAGAACAUUGUAUUGAGAUACAAAAAGAGAGAAGAAGCCAUCUAUCUAAUAACUAUGGACCUGAAGGUCUGAGGUAAACUACUCACACUUCAUCGGAGAGGCUAUAGUGUUGAUGUAGAAGCCCUCCGUGAUGGAUGCCCCCUCCGGCGGAGCUCCAGAACAGGCCCCAAGAUGGGAUAUCAUGGAUACAGAAAGUUACGGCGAUGGAAUUAGGGUUUAGGCUCCGUAUCUGAUCGUUUGGGGGUACGUAGGUAUAUAUAGGAGGAAGGAGUACGUCGUUGGAGCAACCGGGGGCCCAUGAGGGUGGAGGGCGCGCCUGGGGGGGUAAGCGCGCUCCCCUACCUCGUGGCCUCCUCCUUUGUUUCUUGACGUAGGGUCCAAGUCUCCUGGAUCAUGUUCGGUGAGAAAAUCACGUUCCCGAAGGUAUCAUUCCGUUUGGACUCCGUUUGAUAUUCCUUUUCUUCGAAACCCUAAAAUAGGCAAAAAACAACAAUUCUGGGCUAGGCCUCCGGUUAAUAGGUUAGUCCCAAAAAUAAUAUAAAAGUGAAUAAUAAAGCCCAAUAAUGUCCAAAACAGUAGAUAAUAUAGCAUGAAGCAAUCAAAAAUUAUAGAUACGUUGGAGACGUAUCAAGCAUCCCCAAGCUUAAUUCAUGCUCGUCCUCGAGUAGGUAAAUGAUAAAAAAGAUAAUUUUUGAUGUGGAGUGCUACUUGGCAUAAUUUUAAUGUAACUCUUCUUAAUUGUGGUAUGAAUAUUCAGAUCCGAAAGAUUCAAGAUAAAAGUUUAAUAUUGACAUAAGAAUAAUAAUACUUCAAGCAUACUAACAAAGCAAUCAUGUCUUCUCAAAAUAAUAUGGCCAAAGAAAGUUAUCCCUACAAAAUCAUAUAGUCUGGCUAUGCUCUAUCUUCACCACACAAAAUAUUUAAAUCAUGCACAACCCCGAUGACAAGCCAAGCAAUUGUUUCAUACUUUUGACAUUCUCAAACUUUUUUAAUCUUCACGCAAUACAUGAGCGUGAGCCAUGGAUAUAGCACUAUAUGUGGAAUAGAAUGGUGGUUUUGGAGAAGACAAAAAGGGAGAAGAUAGUCUCACAUCAACUAGGCAUAUCAAUGGGCUAUGGAGAUGCCCAUCAAUAGAUAUCAAUGUGAGUGAGUAGGGAUUGCCAUGCAACGGAUGCACUAGAGCUAUAAGUAUAUGAAAGCUCAACAAAAGAAACUAAGUGGGUGUGCAUCCAACUUGCUUGCUCAUGAAGACCUAGGGCAUUUUGAGGAAGCCCAUCAUUGGAAUAUACAAGCCAAGUUCUAUAAUGAAAAAUUCCCACUAGUAUAUGAAAGUGACGAAAUGAGAGACUCUCUAUCAUGAAUAUCAUGGUGCUACUUUGAAGCACAAGUGUGGUAAAGGAUAGUAACAUUGUCCCUUCUCUCAUUUUCUCUCAUUUUUUUUAUUUGGGCCUUUUCUCUUUUUUCUAUGGCCUAUUUUUUUCGUCCGGAGUCUCAUCCUGACUUGUGGGGGAAUCAUAGUCUCCAUCAUCCUUUCCUCACUGGGAUAAUGUUCUAAUAAUGAUGAUCAUCACACUUUUAUUUUCUUACAACUCAACAAUUACAACUUGAUACUUAGAACAAGAUAUGACUCUAUAUGAAUGCCUCCAGCGGUGUACCGGGAUAUGCAAUGGAUCAAGAGUGACAUGUAUGAAAGAAUUAUGAAUGGUGGCUUUGCCACAAAUAUGAUGUCAACUACAUGAUCAUGCUAAGUAAUAUGACAAUGAUGGAGUGUGUCAUAAUAAACGGGACGGUGGAAAGUUGCAUGGCAAUAAUCUCGAAAUGGCUAUGGAAAUGCCAUAAUAGGUAGGUGUGGUGGCUGUUUUGAGGAGUAUAUGGUGGGUGUAUGAUACCGGUGAAAGGUGCACGGUAUUUAGAGAAGCUAGCAAUGGUGGAAGGAAGAAAAGUGCAUAUAAUCCAUGGACUCAACAUUAGUCAUAAAGAACUCAUAUACUUAUUGCAAAAAUCUACAAGUUAUCAAAGCAAAGUAUUACGCGCAUGCUCCUAGGGGGAUAGAUUGGUAGGAGAAGACCAUCGCUCGUCCCCGACCGCCACUCAUAAGGAAGACAGUCAAAAAAUAAAUCAUGCUCCGACUUCAUCACAUAACGGUUCACCAUACGUGCAUGCUAUGGGAAUCACAAACCUCCUAGGGGGAUAGAUUGGUAGGAGAAGACCAUCGCUCGUCCCCGACCGCCACUCAUAAGGAAGACAGUCAAAAAAUAAAUCAUGCUCCGACUUCAUCACAUAACGGUUCACCAUACGUGCAUGCUAUGGGAAUCACAAACUUUAACACACGUAUUUCUCAAAUUCACAACUACUCAACUAGCACAACUUUAAUAUCACCAUCUUCAUAUCUCAAAACAAUUAUCAAGUAUCAAACUUCUCAUAGCAUUCAACACACUCAUAAGAAAGUUUUUACUAUUAUUGAAUACCAAGUAUAUUAGGAUUAUUUAAACAAAUUACCAUGCUAUUUAAGACUCUCAAAAUAAUCUAAGUGAAGCAUGAGAGAUCAAUAGUUUCUAUAAAACAAAUCCACCACCAUGCUCUAAAAAAUAUAAGUGAAGUACUAGAGCAAAACUAUAUAACUCAAAUGAUAUAAGCGAAGCACAUAGAGUAUUCUAACAAAUUACAAAUCAUGUAUUGCUCUCUCAAAAGGUGUGUACAGCAAGGAUGAUUGUGGUAAAUUAAAAAUCAAAGACUCAAAUCAUACAAGAUGCUCCAAGCAAAAUACAUAUCAUGUGGUGAAUAAAAAUAUAGCUCCAAGUAAAGUUACCGAUAGAAGUAGACGAAAGAGGGGAUGCCUUCCGGGGCAUCCCCAAGCUUUGGCUUUUAGGUGUCCUUAGAUUAUCUUGGGGGUGCCAUGGGCAUCCCCAAGCUUAGGCUCUUGCCACUCCUUGUUCCAUAAUCCAUCAAAUCUUUACCCAAAACUUGAAAACUUCACAACACAAAACUCAAAGUAGAAAAUCUCGUGAGCUCCGUUAGCGAAAGAAAACAAAAGAUCACUUCAAGGUACUGUAAUGAGCUCAUUAUUUAUUUAUAUUGGUGUUAAACCUAAUGUAUUCCAACUUAUCUAUGGUUUAUAAACUAUUUUACUAGCCAUAGAUUCAUCAAAAUAAGCAAACAACACAGGAAAAAUAGAAUCUGUCAAAAACAGAACAGUCUGUAGUAAUCUGUAGCUAGCGCAAGAUCUGGAACCCCAAAAAUUCUAAACUAAAUUGCUGGACGUGAGGAAUUUAUCUAUUAAUCAUCUUGAAAAAGAAUUAACUAAAUAACACUUUCAAAAUAAAAAUGUCAGCAGUUCUCGUGAGCGCUAAAGUUUCUGUUUUUUACAGAAAGAUUAACAAGACUUUCCCCAAGUCUUCCCAACGCUCCUACUUGGCACAAACACUAAUUAAACACAAAAAACACAACCAAACAGAGGCUAGGUAAAUUAUUUAUUACUAAACAGGAGAAAAAAAAUCAAGGAAUAAAAAUAAAAUUGGGUUUCCUCCCAACAAGCGCUAUCGUUUAACGCCCCUAGCUAGGCAUAAUAAGCAAGGAUAGAUCUAGGUAUUGCCAUCUUUGGUAGGCAAUCCAUAAGCGGCUCUCAUAAUAGACUCAUAUGGUAAUUUAAUUUUCUUUCUAGGAAAGUGUUCCAUGCCUUCCCUUAACGGAAACUGGAAUCUAAUAUUUCCUUCCUUCAUAUUAAUAAUUGCACCAAUCGUUCUAAGGAAAGGUCUACCAAGAAUAAUAGGACAUGAAGGAUUGCAAUCUAUAUCAAGAACGAUAAAAUCUACGGGCACAUAAUUCCUAUUUGCAACAAUAAGAACAUCAUUAAUUCUUCCCAUAGGUUUCUUAAUAGUGGAAUCCGUAAGGUGCAAGUUUAGAGAGCAAUCAUCAAAAUCACGGAAACCUAACAAAUCACACAAAGUCUUUGGAAUCGUGGAAACACUAGCACCCAAAUCACAAAAAGCAUAGCAUUAAUGAUCUUUAAUUUUAAUUUUAAUAGUUGGUUCCCACUCAUCAUAAAGUUUUCUAGGGAUAGAAACUUCCAACUAAAGUUUUUCUUCAUAAGAUUGCAUCAAGGCAUCAACGAUAUGUUUAGUAAACACUUUAUUUUGACUAUAAGCAUGAGGAGAAUUUAGCACGGAUUGCAACAAGGAAAUACAAUCAAUCAAAGAGAAAUUUUCAUACUUAAAUUCCUUGAAAUCCAAAAUAGUGGGUUUAGCAACAUCUAGGGUUUUAAUUUCUUCAAUCCCACUUUUAUCAAUUUUAGCAUCAAGAUCUAAGAACUCCGAAUUUUUGGAACGCCUUCUAGGUAAAGGUGGAUCAUAUUCAGUCCCAUCAUUAUCAAGAUUCAUAUUGCAAAACAAAGAUUUAAUAGGGGACACAUCAAUAACUUUUAGAUCUUCAUCUUUAUUUUCAUAGGAACUAGAAGAACACGCUCUUAUAAAGGCAUCUUUCUUAGCACGCAUCCUAGCAGUUCUUUCUUUGCACUCAUCAAUGGAAAUUCUCAUGGAUUUGAGAGACUCAUUGAUAUCAUGAUUAGGAGGAAUAGAUCUAAGUUUCAAAGAAUCAACAUCAAGAGAAAUUCUAUCAACGUUCCUAGCCAACUCAUCAAUCUUAAGCAAUUUUUCUUCAAUCAAAGCAUUGAAAUUCUUUUGCGAAGUAAUAAAUUCUUUAAUAUUAGAUUCAAAAUCAGAGGGCAUCUUACUAUAAUUUCCAUAAGAAUUGUUGUAGGAAUUACCAUAAUUAUUAGAGGGAUUACUAGGAUAAGGCCUAGGAUUAAAAUUUCCUCUAUACGCGUUAUUACCAAAAUUAUUCCUACCAACAAAAUUCACAUCCAUAGAUUAAUUAUUAUUCUCAAUCAAAGUAGACAAGGGCAUAUCAUUAGGAUCAUAAGAAAAACUCUUACUAGCAAAUAAUUUCAUAAGUUCAUCCAUCUUCCCACUCAAAACAUUAAUUUCUUCUAUCGCAUGCACCUUUUUAUUAGUAGAUCUUUUAGUAUGCCGUUGAGAAUAAUUAACCAUAAUAUUAUCUAGGAGUUUAGUAGCUUCUCCUAAAGUGAUUUCCAUAAAAGUGCCUCCCGCGGUCGAAUCUAAAAGAUUUCUAGAAGCAAAAUUCAAUCUGGCAUAAAAUUUUUGUAUAAUCAUCCACAAAUUCAAACCAUGAGUAGGGCAAUUACAUAUCAUUAAUUUCAUGCUCUCCCAAGCUUGUGCAACAUGUUCAUGAUCAAGCUGCUUAAAAUUCAUAAUAUCGUUUCUAAGGGAGAUGAUCUUAGCGGGAGGAAAAUACUUAGAGAUAAAAGCAUCUUUGCACUUGUUCCAAGAAUCAAUACUAUUUUUAGGCAAAGACAAAAACCAAGCUUUAGCAUGAUCUCUAAGCGAAAAAGAAAAUAGCUUCAAUUUAACAAUAUCAUUAUCCACAUCUUUCUUCUUUUGCAUAUCACAUAGAUCAACGAAGCUAUUUAGAUGGGUAGCGGCAUCUUCACUAGGAAGGCCAGAAAAUGAAUCUUUCAUAACAAGAUUCAGCAAGGCAGCAUUAAUUUCACAAGAUUCAGCAUCGGUAAGAGGAGCAAUCAGAGUGAUAAUAAAAUCAUUGUUUUUGGUAUUGGUAAAGUCUCACAAUUUAGUGUUAUCUUGAGCCAUCAUGACAAGCAAGCAAACUAACACACAAGCAAACAAAAAGCAAGCGGGCAAAAGAGGUAAAUAGAGAAAGAGAGGGAGGAUAGAGAGAGAGAGAGAGUGAAUAAAACGGCAAGGGUGAAGUGGGGGAGAGGAAAACGAGAGGCAAAUGGCAAAUAAUGUAAUGCGGGAGAUAAGGGUAUGUGAUGGGUACUUGGUAUGUUGACUUUUGCAUAGAAUCCCCGGCAAUGGCGCCAGAAAUCUUCUCUGCUACCUCUUGAGCACUGCGUUGGAUUUCCUUGAAGAGGAAAGGGUGAUGCAGCAAAGUAGCGUAAGUAUUUCGCUCAGUUUUUGAGAACCAAGAUAUCAAUCUAGUAGGAGGCUACGCGUGAGUCCCUCGUACCUGCACAAAACAAAUAACUCCUCGCAACCAACGUGAUAAGGGGUUGUCAAUCCCUUCACGGUCACUUACAAGAGUGAGAUCUGAUAGAUAUGAUAUGAUAAGAUAAUAUUUUUGGUAUUUUUAUGAUAGAGAUGCAAAGUAAAAUAAAAGCAAUGGAAAUAACUAAGUAUUGGAAGAUUAAUAUGAUGAAGAUAGACCCGAGGGCCAUAGUUUCACUAGUGGCUUCUCUCAAGAGCAUAAGUAUUUUACGGUGGGUGAAUGAAUUACUAUUGAGCAAUUGACAGAAUUGAGCAUAGUUAUGAGAAUAUCUAGGUAUAAUCAUGUAUAUAGGCAUCACGUCCAAGACAAGUAGACCGACUCCUGCCUGCAUCUACUACUAUUACUCCACUCAUCGACCGCUAUCCAACAUGCAUCUAGAGUAUUAAGUUCAUGAAAACAGAGUAACGCCUUAAGCAAGAUGACAUGAUGUAGAGGGAUAGAUUCAUGCAAUAUGAUAAAAAACCCAUCUUGUUAUCCUCGAUGGCAACAAUACAAUACGUGCCUUGCUGCCCCUACUGUCACUGGGAAAGGACACCGCAAGAUUGAACCCAAAGCUAAGCACUUAUCCCAUUGCAAGAAAGAUCAAUCUAGUAGACUGAUUCGAAGAGACUUGCAAAGAUAACCAAUCAUACAUAAAAGAAUUCAGGGGAGAUUCAAAUAUUGUUGAUAGACAAUCUUGAUCAUAAACCCGCAAUUCAUCGGUCUCAACAAAGACACCGCAAAAAGAAGAUUACCUCGAAUAGAUCUCCACAAGAGAUGGGGAGAAGAUUGUAUUGAGAUCCAAAAAGAGAGAAGAAGCCAUCUAGCUCAUAACUAUGGACCCGAAGGUCUGAGGUAAACUACUCACACUUCAUCGGAGAGGCUAUGGUGUUGAUGUAGAAGCCCUCCGUGAUGGAUGCCCCCUCCGGCGGAGCUCCGGAACAGGCCCCAAGAUGGGAUCUCGUGGAUACAGAAAGUUACGGCGGUGGAAUUAGGGUUUAGUCUCCGUAUCUGAUCGUUUGGGGGUACGUAGGUAUAUAUAGGAGGAAGGAGUACGUCGGUGGAGCAAUAGGGGGCCCACGAGGGUGGAGGGCGCGCCUGGGGUGGGGGGGUAGGCGCGCCCCCUACCUCGUGGCCUCCUCCUUUGUUUCUUGACGUAGGGUCCAAGUCUCCUGGAUCAUGUUCGGUGAGAAAAUCACGUUCCCGAAGGUUUCAUUCCGUUUGGACUCCGUUUGAUAUUCCUUUUCUUCGAAACCCUAAAAUAGGCAAAAAAACAACAAUUCUUGGCUGGGCCUGCGGUUAAUAGGUUAGUCCCAAAAAUAAUAUAAAAGUGGAUAAUAAAGCCCAAUAAUGUCCAAAAUAGUAGAUAAUAUAGCAUGAAGCAAUCAAAAAUUUAUAGAUAUGUUGGAGACGUAUCAAGAACCCAUCUAAUAAGUCUAGGUUUAGCAUCUUUCUUUUCCAUAAGAUAUUUAAUAGCAGCAUGUUCCAUGUGAAUAGUUACUUUAGAAUCAACAAUAUAUGGUCUAAACUUAUCACAAGCAAAUACAACUGCUAGGAAUUCCUUUUUGGUAGUAGCAUAAUUUCUGUGAGCAUUGUCUAGAGUUUUACUAGCAUAUUGAAGAACAUUUAAUUUCUUAUCAACUCUUUGCCCUAGAACAACACCUAUAGCAUAAUCACUAGCAUCACAAAUAAUUUCAAAGGGUAAAUUCCAAUCAGGUGGCUGAACAAUAGGUGCAGUGAUCAAUGCUUUCUUAAGUAUUUCAAAUGCUUCUACACAAUCAUCAUCAAAGACAAAUGGUAUAUCUUUUUGUAAUAAAUUAGUCAGAGGCCGAGAAAUUUUUGAGAAGUCCUUAAUGAACCUCCUAUAAAAACCAGCAUGACCAAGGAAACUUCUUAUACCUUUGAUGUCCUUGGGACAUGGCAUCUUUUCAAUAGCAUAAAGUGGCACUUUUCCCAAGAUGUCUUGGCUUUAUCAACUUCAAUACCUCUUUCAGAAACUUUAUGCCCCAAGACAAUACCUUCAUUAACCAUAAAGUGGCACUUUUCCCAAUUCAAGACAAGAUUAGUUUCUUCACAUCUUUGCAAAACUCGAUCAAGGUUGCUCAAGCAAUCAUCAAAAGAGGAUCCAUAGACGGAGAAAUCGUCCAUGAAAACCUCAGAGAUCUUUUCAUAAAAGUCAGAGAAUAUAGCCAUCAUGCAUAUUUGAAAGGUAGUAGGUGCAUUACCUAAACCAAAAGGCAUACAGCUAUAAGCAAAAGUACCAAAAGGGCAAGUAAAAGUAGUCUUUGAUUGAUCAUUGGCUGACACAGGUAUUUGAGAGAAACCAAAAUAACCACUAGAAAGCAAAAAUGUGUAUGUUUGGAUAAUCUUUCUAGCAUUUGAUCAAUAAAAGGUAAGGGGUAAUGAUCUUUUUUAGUCGCUUUAUUUAAUUUGCGGAAAUCAAUUACCAUCCUAUAACAUGUAAUAAUUCUUUGCGGGAUCAACUCAUCUUUAUCAUUAGGAACGACAGUAAUACCUCCCUUCUUAGGGACACAAUGGACACGACUUACCCACUGACUAUCAGCAACAGGAUAAAUUAUACCUGCCUCAAGAAGCUUUAGUAUUUCCUUUCUUACCACUUCCUUUAUCUUAGGAUUCAGCCGUCGUUGAUGAUCACAAACUGGUUUGGCAUCAUCCUCCAAAUUUAUUUUGUGUUGACACAGAGUGGGACUAAUGCCCUUAGGAUCAUCAAGAGUAUAUCCAAUAGCAGCACGGUGCUUCUUCAGAGUUUUCAAUAAUCUCUCUUCUUCAUGCUCUGAAAGGUUAGCACUAAUAAUAACAUGAUAUAUCUUUUUCUCAUCAAGAUAAGCAUAUUUAAGAGUAUCAGGUAACGGUUUGAGCUCAAACAUGGGAUCACCCUUGGGUGGAGGAGGAUCCCCUAGGAUUUCAACAGGCAAGUUGUGUUUCAGGAUGGGUUCCUGUUUAAAGAAUACUUCAUCUAUUUCCCUUCUUUCAUUCAUAAACAUAUCAUUUUCAUGGUCUAGCAAAUAUUUUUCUAAAGGAUCACUAGGAGGUACGGCAAUAGAAGCAAGACCAAUAAUUUCAUCUUUUACUAGGCAAUUCCUCUUCACGGUGUUGUCUACGAAAUUUAGAGAAAUUAAAUUCAUGAGACAUAUGACCUAAACCAAUAGUAACAACAUCCUUUUUGCAAUCUAUCUUAGCAUUAACUGUGUUCAAGAAGGGUCUACCAAAUAUAAUGGGACAAAAGCUAUCUUGUGGGGAACCAAGAACAAGAAAGUCAGUAGGAUAUUUAAUUUUCCCACACAAGACUUCAACAUCUCUAAAAAUUCCAAUUGGUGAAAUAGUAUCUCUAUUGGCAAGUUUAAUUGUGACAUCAAUAUCUUCUAUCUCAGCAGGUGCAAUAUCAUGCAUAAUUUCUUUGUAUAAGUCAUGAGGUAUAGCACUAGCACUGGCACCCAUAUCACAUAAGCCAUGAUAACAACAAUCUCCUAUUUUAACAGAAAUAACAGGCAUGCCUACCAAAGAUCUAGGUUUAUCUUUAGCACAAGGUUUAGCAAUUCUAGCAGUCUCAUCACGGAAAUGAAUAACAUGCCCAUCAAUAUUACCAGACAAGAGAUCUUUAACAAUAGCAAUAUUAGGUUCAACUUUAAUUUGCUCAGGAGGUAUAUAAGUUCUAAUAUUACUUUUACGAACCACAGUUGAAGCUUUAGCAUGAUCCUUUAUCCUAAUAGGGAAAGGUGGUUUCUCAACAUAAGAAGUAGGAACAAUAGGAUCAUUAUAAGUGAUAGUCUUUUCUUCAACUUUAAUAGGUGCAGCUACUUUUACUUCUAUGAUAGGAUGAUAUUUAAACCACUUCUCCCUAGGGAGAUCAACAUGAGUAGCAAAAGAUUCACAGAAAGAAGCUACUAUCUCAGAGAAAAGUCCAUAUUUAGUGCUAAAUUUACGGAAAACAUCGGUAUCCAUAAAGAUUUAACAUAAUCAAACUUAGGUGUCAUAUCUGACUCCUUACCUUCAUCGAGGUCCCAAUCUUCAGAUUUGCAUUUAACUCUUUCCAAUAAAUCCCAUUUGAAUUCAAUAGUCUUCAUCAUAAAAGAGCUAGCACAAGAAGUAUCGAGCAUGGUGUGAUUGCUAUCAUAAAGCCAAGCAUAAAAUUUUUGAAUAAUCAUUUCUCUUGAGAGCUCAUGAUUGGGGCAUGAAUAUAACAUUGAUUUAAGCCUCCCCCAAGCUUGAGCGAUGCUUUCUCCUUUGCGAGGCCAAAAAUUAUAUAUAUAAUUGCGAUCACGAUGAACAAGAUGCAUAGGAUAAAACUUCUGAUGAAAUUCCAAUUUCAAUCAUUUGUAGUUCCAUGACCCCGUAUCAUCACAUAGCCUAUACCAUGUCAAUGCAUCUCCCUUCAAAGAUAAAGGGAAGACCUUCUUCUUAAUAACAUCUCCGGGUACACCUGCAAGCCUAAAUAAUCCACAAACUUCAUCCACAUAUAUUAGGUGCUCAUCAGGAUGCAUUGUUCCGUCUCCUGUAAAAGGAUUAGCUAGCAGUUUUUCUAUCAUACCCGAAGGAAUUUCAAAGCAGACAUUUUCAUUUUCAUUUUCAUUUUCAGUAGGUUCAGUAGGUUGAGGAACAACUCUUUGCUCUACUGGUCGGGGUGAAGAUACCCCAAACAAGCCCCUCAAAGGAUUACUUUCCAUAAUAACAAGUGACAGUAAAUUUCAGCACACUAUAUAAAUUUUUCCUUACCAAAUUCCACCUACCAAAGGCUCUUCACUCCCCGGCAACGACGCCGGAAAAGAGUCUUGAUGACCCACAAGUAUAGGGGAUCUAUCGUAGUCCUUUCGAUAAGUAAGAGUGUCGAACCCAAGGAGGAGCAGAAGGAAAUGAUAAGCGGUUUUCAGCAAGGUAUUCUCUGCAAGCACUGAAAUUAUAGGUAACAGAUAGUUUUGUGAUAAGAUAAUUGGUAACGAGCAACAAGUAACAAAAGUAAAUAAAGUGCACCAAGGUGGCCCAAUCCUUUUUGUAGCAAAGGUCAAGCUUGGACAAACUCUUAUAUAGAGAAAAGCGCUCUCGAGGACACAUGGGAAUAUCGUCAAGCUAGGUUUCAUCAUGAUCAUAUGAUUCGCGUUCGGUACUUUGAUAAUCUAAUAUGUGGGUGGACCGGUACUUGGGUGCUGCCCUUACUUGGACAAACAUCCCACUUAUGAUUAACCUCUAUUGCAAGCAUCCAACUACAACAAAAGUAUUAAGGUAAACCUAACCAUAGAAUGAAACAUAUGGAUCCAAAUCAACCCCUUAUGAAGCAACACAUAAACUAGGGUUUAACCUUCUGUCACUCUAGCAACCCAUCAUCUACUUAUUACUUCCCAAUGCCUUCCUAUAGGCCCAAAUAAUGGUAAAGUGUCAUGUAGUCGACGUUCACAUAACACCACUAGAGGAGAGACAACAUGCAUCUCAUCAAAAUAUGGAACGAAUACCAAAUUCACAUGACUACUAAUAGCAAGACUUCUCCCAUGUCCUCAGGAACAAACGUAACUACUCACAAAGUGUAUUCAUGUUCAUAAUCAGAGGGGUAUUAAUAUGCAUAAAGGAUCUGAACAUAUGAUCUUCCACCAAAUAAACCAACUAGCAUCAACUACAAAGAGUAAUUAACACUACUAGCAACCCACAGGUACCAAUCCCAGGCUUAGAGACAAGAAUUGGAUACAAGAGAUGAACUAGGGUUUUGAGAGGAGGUGCUGCUGGUGAAGAUGUUGAUGGAGAUUGCCCUCUCCCGAUGAGAGGAGCGUUGGUGAUGACGAUGGCGAUGAUUUCCCCCUCCUGGAGGGAAGUUUCCCCGGCAGAACAGCUCCGCCAGAGCCCUAGAUUGGUUCCGCCAAGGUUCCGCCUCGUGGCGGCGGAGUCUCAUCCGGAAAGAUGGCUUAUGAUUUUUUUCCUCAUCGGAAGACUCCAUAUAGCAGAAGAUGGUCAUCGACGGGCCACCAGGGGGCCCACGAGGCAGGGGGCGCGCCCAGGGGGUAGGGCGUGCCCCCACCCUCGUGGGCAGGGUGUGGCCCCCCUGGUGAACUUCUUGCGCUUAGUAUUUUUUAUAUAUUCUGAAAAUGACUUCCGUGAAGUUUCAUGACUUUUGGAGCUGUGUAGAAUAGGUCUCUAAUAUUUGCUCCUUUUCCAGCCCAGAAUCCCAGCUGUCGGCAUUCUCCCUCUUUAUGUAAACCUUGUAAAAUAAGAGAGAAUAGGCAUAAGUAAUGUGACAUAAUGUGUAAUAACAGCCCAUAAUGCAAUAAAUAUCGAUAUAAAAGCAUCAUGCAAAAUGGACGUAUCACAGCUCCAAAAGUCCUGAAACUUCACAGGAGUUAUUUCCAGAAUAUAUAAAAAAUACUGAGCGCGAGAAGUACCAGAGGGGGGCCACCCAUCAGCCACAAGGGUGGGGGCGCGCCCCCUGGCUCGUGGGCCCCUUGGUGGCCCUCCGAUGCCCAUCUUCUGUUAUAUGGAGUCUUUCAUCGAGAAAAAAAUCAUAAGCAAGCUUUCGGGAUGAGACUUUGCCGCCACGAGGCGGAACCUUGGCUGAACCAAUCUAGGGCUCUGGCGGAGCUGUUCUACCGGGAAAACUUCCCUCCGGGAGGGGUAAAUCAUCACCAUCGUCAUCACCAACGAUCCUCUCAUCGGGAGGGGGUCAAUCUUCAUCAACAUCUUCACCAGCACCAUCUCAUCUCAAACCCUAGUUCAUCUCUUGUAUCCAAUCUUUGUAUCCAUACCUCAGAUUGGUACCUGUGGGUUGCUAGUAGUGUUGAUUACUCCUUGUAGUUGACGCUAGUUGGUUUACUUGGUGGAAGAUCAUAUGUUCAUAUCCAUUAUGCAUAUUAAUACCCCUCUGAUUAUGAACAUGAAUAUGCUUUGUGAGUAGUUACGUUAGUUCCUGAGGGCAUGGGAGAAGUCUUGCUAUUAGUAGUCAUGUGAAUUUGGUAUUCGUUCGAUAUUUUGAUGAGAUGUAUGUUGUCAUCCCUCUAGUGGUGUCAUGUGAACGUCGACUACAUGACACUUUACCAUUGUUUGAGCCUAGAGGGAGGCAUUGGGAAGUAAUAAGUAGAUGAUGGGUUGCUAGAGUGACAGAAGCUUAAACCCUAGUUUAUGUGUUUCUUCGUAAGGGGCUGAUUUGGAUCCAUAUGUUUCAUGCUAUCACUACAAAAAAAUACACUUCCGUGAUGAUACGUGUUUGUCAAAGUAGGUCGCGUUUUCUGUCAUGCAUGUACAUCCAUGACAAAUUUAUGACAGAAUCAAGAUAGUCAUACCUGUGCUGUCGUAGAAGUGUUCCAUGACAUUGCCAAAAUUAUCAUCAUGGAAGUGUCCACUUCCAUGACGAUAAAUCGCGUGUCACAGAAGUGCUUUCGUCAAGGGUGACCGACACGUGGCAUCCACCAUAACGGAACGCCGUUAAGCUAUCGGGUCGGGUUUUGGAUCCGAUAACCCGUUAACAGCCCCGACCAAUGGGGAUUUUCCACGUGUAAAAUCAUCAUUGGCUGGAGGAAACACGUGUCGGCUCACUGUUGGGACAGAUGUCAUCCGCUCAUUGGACCGAAGGCGCCUAUGAUACGGCAACACGUGGCAUGGCCCAACAGAGGCCCAUUCUUGUGAAAAGGCCGGCCCAUUUGACUUGGUCAAAAGGUGGCGGGCUGGCCCACGAAAAGCCUGUUAACGGCCUGUUCGCAUAUAGCCCAUUUACAACCCGCUAACCCAAGGCCCGUUAUGCCCUAUCCGGAUUAGGCCCAGUAGCGUCAUCUGGGCCAUCCAAUAUGAUUCCAUCCAUUUUAACUUCCGGCCCAUGUGUGGCCCAUGACUUCUUUCGGCCCAUAUGAGGACCUUUGUAACUCUUGGCCCAUUAACGGCCCAUGGUGAAACUGGCCCGUAAUGAAUAGUGUAUCACUUUAUACCCAUUAACAGCCUGUUAUUCCAUUGGGCCGUUUCCAGCCCAAGUUAUCUUUCGGCCUUCUCAGGGCCCAUUGAUUCUUGGGCUCAUUUGCAGCAUUCGGUUACAUACGGCCCGUUACUGUCAUUUUCUGCUUGUGGGCCAAAUUCAGCCCGUCGUUACAGUCGGCCCGUUUGCGGACCGUUAAUACGUUGGGCCGUUUUCAUGUCAAAAAAAACCCGUUGGGCUGUUUUCAUAGAGUUAUCAAAUACGGCCUAUUAAUGGCCCAUUAUGGUCCACAAAUAGUACGACCCAUGAAUGGCGAAAUGAUUGUAUGCCCCAUAGAAGGCCCAUGGAUCCUACGGCCCGUAUGAGGCCCAUGGAUAUUACGGCCCGUAGAAGGCCCAUGGAUCGUACGGCCCGUAGAAGGCCCAUGGACCCUACGGCCCGUAGAAGGCCCAUGGACCCUAAGGCCCGUAUAGAAGGACGAUGGAUCCUACGGCCGGACGAAGGCCCAUGGAUCAUACGGCCUGCAGGAGGCCCAUGGUUACAACAGUUCGUGUGUUGCCAUGAUUAUUUUGGCCUAGUUACCAAAAAUAGGCUAUUGUGGCCACUAGAAAAAAACAGAAAAAGAACUGCAAUGACUACAAGCAAACAACUAAACAAGACAAUAAGGAAACAAAUAAGCAAGCAAUUAACACUAGCCUAUUACCGCUAUUACACAUAUUACAUCCACUGGGCAUCAAAGUUCGCCACCAGUGCAAAUAUAGUGAACAAAGCAGCACAUUACAUACACUGGCCGUCAAAAUUGGCCACCAGUGCAAAUAAACAUGGCAGCAAAACAAGAGCAUAACUGAAACAACUUCAGAAGAGCUCAAGAAAUGUUAUCCUGGGUAUCCACCAUGCUGGCAAUAAGCUUAGCAAGCUGAUUAGCUUUGUCCUGUUUGGCGCUAAAAUCCUCCAACGCUUGCUGUUGCACCAGAAAGUAUGCAUCUGAAUGCUCCAGGGACUUCCGCAGUCCUUCCGCUUCUUGUCGCAGCACAGCUGAUCGAUGUCUUUCAGCUUGUAGUUGAGACUCAAGAAACCGAACUAAUUCAGACAGUGAGUUUGAAUAGCUUGUGCAAGCGGUAGUGGCCAGUAAUUCAAACACUAAACCAAGAUAGGACUUUGGGGUUGUCUCGCUGUCUUCAAGAUAGUCUUCCUUAGCUGUUUUAUCAGCUUUGUUGGAGACCAACAAGGAUGUGUCACUAUCCUAAACCUUAUCUGCAUUACUUCCUUUACCAUUGCUUAAUAAGGCACUAUUCCCCAAUAUUCUGUCAGCAUUCUAAAAGAAGAAACAAGCAGACACAUAACAAGUUUAGCAUGUACUAGUAUAUGAAACUCAUUUCAGUGAACCAGUUCAUUAGUAAGGUGGACAGGAUUAAACUACCAAGUCUUCUAUUGCCAAGUACUAAUACAUAAUAAAAGCAUCAAACAAACAUAUAUAUAUAUAUGUCCUAUGGUCACUGCAUUGUCUUGCCAAAUCAAAAUAGAGACACGGUUCAAAUCAUAUCAGUUCAAGACAAAGCAACAGUGAAAGAAUACAAAGCGUGGGAAACUACACGGCGCAACAAGAUUUCAGAUGGGUACCACGGGUCUACAUGUACAACAACACUAUUGGCUCUGUUGUGAUGCUAGUAAUGUGCAUGAUAUGAAAGUCAAUUGUAUACACAAUUGAAAUUGAAAUCAAUAGAGCUAUUGAUAAGAGCAAACCUGUUAAAGAAACAUGCUUGAACAUACCUGCUGUGCCAUUGGAGUUUCGAUUGGAUCCUUCAAUUUAAAAAUAAGUUUUAAUGAGUAAAUACAGUGAUACAAUAGCAAAGGCUCUAGGCGUUGGCAAAACGCAUUGCGCAUAACUACGCAUAAUCUGUGCAUAACUGCGCAUAAGCAUGCGCUUUGGUCAGUAAAGCGCAAGGCGGUGGAAAAACGCACAAUUAACGCCUAGCGCUUUUUUGAACUAUGAUAGCAAUGGAAUCUUAAAUUAGAACAGUUGUUCUUCAGGUUUAGGCACUUGUUCUACAUGAACAGAGUACAGUAAGACGCAAGAAUAUAAUAAUUAAAAAUAGAAAAUGAGCUCAUAGACCUUACCACAUUCUUGGUCCGGGACCAGUACAGAACAAGGUGUUCCCAGUCAUCGUCCAGUAAAUAUGUCUCAGGAGAACGUAAGGGAAUUUGAUGAGUUUCUUUGCCGGUGAAGUACGUUUUCUUCAUGUAAUUCCGAUACUGCCACCAAGCAUUCUUGAAGAUAGCAGAGGUAUUAGCACAGGUUACCUCAUCCUGAGUUUCCAAAUUGGUCCUUCUCUAUAGAGAAAAAUGGGAAAAUUUGUUGUAUUAUAACCAUCAUGGAGGUAGGAUGUAUGGGACGAAGCAAAGUAAUUGCCAUGAAUAACAUUACUUACACAUAACUCCUGGACAAACACCUGCAACUGGCAUUUUCCUUCAUCUUCAGUAUAAUAUUUCCAAGAUGGGAAGAUACGCGCAUACGAUUUAACAACAUCAAAUGCGAUAGAUGCUAAACUACGACUAGCUGGUUGUGCUUCCUCCAUAGGAAUAGGCGUACUAACUGGUGGAGUUGGGGUUCGCCAUGAUAGUACUGGCCCUUUGGGCACUGGAGCUGCCUUACUAACUGCUCUUGUUUGGGAGCUCUGUGGUGGAGAUGGUGUUGUGUUAACAGGAACUGGGUUACUAUUGGCUGGGGUUGGGGUUAGAUUGGGUGAAGCUGGUUCUCUGUCCAUCGCAGUAGGGGUACAAUCUGCGAGAGUUUGGGUUAUGUGUGGUAGGGCUGGUUCUUGUGCAUGUACAACCAGGGUGCUAUCUCCACCAAGAGGUAGCACUAUUUUAUUUGAAGACCGUGUUUUUAGUCCGCUAGAUACUGGCAUCACCCGCUCCAAUUCAAAUGGCUGAUAAACAGGAAACAUAGUUGAAUGUACAGACAUUGUAUGAGAGACAGAUGCAAUAGAUAGUGUGGAAAAAAGAGGGCAUGAAAUAGUUGACAUGUAUAUUGUUUAACUAAAACGGAUAGCAUGACAUAAUUUCACAUAUAUGAUGUCUAUCUAAACUGGAUAGCAUAGCAUAACAUAAUUCAAAGAUAUGAUGAAUAACUAAACAUGAUCGCAUGACAUAAUUCACCUACAUGUUAUCUAAGUAAUCAGGAUCGCCUCAUUUAAUUCACAUAUGUGAUUUAUAUGCUGAACAGAGGACAUUCGAUAUGAUGUCUGAACUAAGAACAUGGUUUUGAAUAUUAUGUAUAUGAUGUCUAAACUAUGCAAUACAAGACACCGUAUGCAUGAUAUGAGUAGUAUAACCGUGCCAAGUUAGAGCAUACACCUCAGUGGGGGAAUAGGACUGCUCAUCUGUCUCUGAAUCCAUCUCUGAGGAGCUAUCGGGACCCAACAAGAGAUCUGCUUUGACAGGUAGCAUUGUCUGCUCUGAAGGCCUUGUUUUCAAUCCAGAUUUUUCCAUCUCCCACCCAAAUGGCUGAUUCACAGGAAGAGUAGUUUAAUGUACAAACAUUGUCGACAAAUGGAAAUUUAAUGAAGAAAAGUAUGGGCAAGAUAUCAUUCAAAUAUAUGAUGCCUAGUUAAACAUGAUAACAUUGCACAUUUCACAUAUAUUAUGGCUGGCUAAAAGACAUGAGACUGCAUAAUUCCCAUAUAUGAUAUAGAAACUAAACAGGUGGCAUUACAGAACAUGUCUAAACUAAGCAGAUGACAUAUAUGAUGUCAAAAGUAGGCACUGCAAGGCAACAUAUGCAUGAUAUGACUAACAUCAUCAUGCCAAGGUAGAGCAAACACCUUGGGGGGUAAAUAGGAGUGGUCAGCGGCGUCUGAAUCUGCCUCAGAACAGAUAUCUUUCUCUGGAUUACAAUCUGGAGAGGGGUGGGGAGGGCUUGCCAUUGUGCCGCGCAAAACUCUUCUCUUUUUCUCUACAUGUUCAGCAUGACUGUGUACAAUAUCUGACAUGCAUACGAAAAAAAUAUGGUGAGAUUAUGUAAGGAGAGCAUGUAGAAAUUUAGAGUGAUGGUAACAACCAGUGGAUCGACGUUUCUCCGUUGAACCAAAAUAGCCCUAAUGGAUCGAUGUGAAUGUAUAGUAAUAAGUGAUGCAACAAGUGUACAACCUCUUUGCCGUAGCCGUGUCGACCUCAGCAUCAUUCGGUUGGUCGCUGAAGCAGUUGAGGCAGAGGUGGCUGUAGGAGGUGUGGAGGAAGAUAUGAGGAAUCUGUAGAUGGCAUCCAGGGCACUGCUCUGUUGUGAUGGAUCGUUCUGUCGUUGGAGCAGCGCCGGUGAGCCGUAAGACGUCAAGGCUGAAGCAGCACAAGAUAGGCAUCGUCAAUCUCAAGUGGGAUUCUAAUAGCAUCUCCAAUAGAUGAUGUAAAAUGGAUGUAAAAUUAACAUCACCAAAAACCACCUGACUACAACAGAUGAGGUAAAAACUGUUGACUCUGAACUUAACUAUUGAAACUGAAAUUUACUGUGGAAUCUGAAUGCUACUGUCGAAACUGAAUGCAAUGGUAGCAGAGAGGCACUUGACAUGUAGUUUAGGGAGGGCCUGCAGCUCAUCUUCAACCUGCACCCCCCCCUGAGCCGCCAGCCACCACCGGCCGAACCGUCGGCCCCAACGCCGCCUCGCCGCCCCGAAACAACUCGCCACCGCCGCCCCGACCAGCCCUCUAGGCCCCGCCCCCACCCUGAACCCUAAGAUAGAUAGUGGGGUACCUCUCCGGCGAGCCCCCUUCCCCGCUGCGGGUGUUUCUUCCUUAACUCUGGCGAGCCCCCCCCAACCCCUGAAAAUCGACUAACCGAAAAGUCGAUUCAGUCGACUGAAGUGUGGCUUAAUCGGAGCAGAGCAGCAGCACAAGCAAGGGGGAGGGCAGCAGCAGCAGCUGGGCGUGCGAGCGAUCGAGCGAGAGCCGGAGCAGCAACAGCAGCAGCGCGAGCGAGCGAGAGCCGGAGCAGCAGCAGCAGAUCCGGCUGGUAUGGACGCCGUCGCCGAAGGGGCCUCGCACUGGGGGAGAGCCGCCGUGGAGAUGUCGCCCGCGGCGCCGGCUUCAAGGUAGCCACUCCAUGGGGGUGCGGGAUGGAGCACCGUCAGCGCCGGGAGGUCGAGUUAAGGAGAAGGUGCGAUGCGAUGAGUGUACAACCUCUCUGGUGGCGCCGAGUAGGCCUCGGCUUUGUCCGAGGAGUUGGUGAGGAUGUUGCGGUUCCGGUGGAGCAGGUUAAGGCGGCGCUGUGGGGAUGGAGCAGUUGCGAUAGACGAGGCAAUCUUCGGAGCAGCUCCUUGGAGGUGGAGGACGGGGCGGCUGAACCGGCGGGACGGCAAGAUGGACGAUGGAUCCUCAUUCGGGGAGGUGGACGAGGGACAUCGAGCUGUUGCGGUGGACGACGUCAUCGGGGAAGAGGCCCCGGCUGGGCAGCGGUGACGUGGCGGACGGAGGAGGGUGGGGUUUCGCGGUUGGAGCGGAGAGGUUAUGGCAGCCUGGGAUUUCGAAUGGUGAAAAGGGGGCGAUGGGAGGGGGUGAAGCAUGACUUAUGGAUGCGUUUGUCCAAAAUGUAGGGUGUGUUACAAAAGUACCCCCACCGAUUUGAACUAGCGGCCCUUUCGGCUCAGGGUUAGAAGGGGGAUUUCGUGUGUCGGGAUUUGGCAGCUCGAGGGAGUUUUCACGCGCGUUGUAAUUUCGGGAUAGCAAGGCGCGGGUUGUGAAGGCGCCAGUUUUGGGAGCACGAUAUCUGAAUUUUCGGGAUAUAACAAGACGCAGGUUGAAUUUUAGGGACAAGCCUAACGUGUAGUAAUAUUGUACUUGUACGUACCAAAUCAAUUCGCACUUCCCUCAACAAAAAAGAAAACGAAAAAAAUAAAACUAUUCACACCACAUAAAGAGAGAGUCUUGCCCCGUUUUACUAUACAAAUGCUAUUCAAAGCUACUCCCUCCUUCCAUCUAUAUAGGUCCUAAUGUGUUUUUUAUGCUAACUUUGACCAAAUAUUAGAGCAAUGAUAUAUGACAUGCAACUUACACAAAGCACACCGUUAAAUUCGUCUGUGAAAGGUUCUUUCAAUGAUAUAAUUUUCCGUCCUUCUCCGGAAUAAACGUGUACUUUAUCAGAGAUAAAAAAAUAAGAGUACAGAUGCUCCACCAUGUGGUUCUAGUAGUAGUACUACUCGUACUACUACGCUUGGCUCUUCACCUCUUCGUGAAGUCGAACAAUGAUGGUACUCCGCAUGUUGGGUACUACAGUGUAUGCCUCUGACAAUCUGACACCGAAUGGACUGAUGCAUGUCCACCGAGGGUAGGUUGCAUUAGUCAAAAGGCGUAAGCGAGCUUCACCUUGUCCUGCAAGCUUCUCCUCGUUCUGCGAAUUGAUGGGACACACCAAAAAGUAGUGCUAGUCCAUACUCCCUCCUUUCCGGUUAAUACGGCUUAAUCUUUUUGCGGGUAAAUGAGAGAGCUUUAUUCAUAUAUAAGCAUUCUUAGGACGAUCAGCCAAGACACUGGUCACUAGGAAGCGAGGUACCCCGUAAAAAAUGAAGUAGGAAGCGAGGUGUUUCAUCAAGCCAGCUCUCGGCCACAUUCAAAGUGCAGCAAGCACGGUUCGCACGAAGAUGUGCCGCAAGGUUUGCUGACAUGUUUACAUGCUGAAUAACAAAAAAAGAGGAAAUAUUACCGAGCGCUACUAUUUGUAACAGGAUAUGAGCCAGAAUUAAGCGAGAAUUAUAGCGAGUGUUCCAUGCAAUCAACUUCCAUUAUCACAUGCGAGAACCCUCUAAGAGAACCAAAUGUGUUGAAGAUUGCAUUAUCACAUUUUAAAAUUAUACUAAGAGUGCAGACGCUCCUCCAUCUGGUUCCUAGUACUAGUAUAGUACAUACCUUUAUAGACUAUAGUAGUAGUACUAGUAAACUUUGCGCUUGGAUGUUCGCCUAUUCGGGAAGUCGAACAAUAAUAGCACUACUAGUAGUAUAGUGUAUGCUUCUGGCAAUCUGACACCGAAUUAACUGUUACACGUCCACCGCCUGAGCGAGGAAGAGCUUGCAUUAGCCAAAAGUUUCUCCUUGUCCCGCGAGCCACCGCGCGCAAGCUUCUCCCAUCCUGCAACCUUCUCCUCGUUCGGCAAGUUGACGGGACACAGCAAAGUAAUGCUAGUCCAUACUGCCUCCUCUCCGAUUAAUAUGGCUUAAUUUCAAACGAGAUAAAUACACUGUCUAUCACUGUAUAUUUGUAAAAAUACGGUCAGUGGACUUCAUAAUACGCUCAUUGCGCUCAAUAUAUAUAUUUUCCGGUGUUUAUACGGUCACUAGCUCACCCUGACUGAGUAUGUGUGUGCAUGCACGUGUAGGUUGAGCACUUCAGCGUGACAGUGUGUGUUUCGUCAUGUGCUCGGACAUGCAUGCAUUAGGGCAUCGCGCGUGUUUUUUCGUCCAUGUGUAUGUGUGACUGUUGCAUACACGUAGGGGGAGUACGUGUAGGGGCCACUAAGGAGCAGUCAAAUCACACAGUAAGUUAGUCGGAAGAAGCAACCAUCAUUUCACUCUUGAAUGACACGUACGCAAUAUAAAAUGGUUGAUAUGGAGAGAGAAAGAAAACCACUAUAUAUACACUAGCAUGAGCCUAAGCUACAAGCCUGCUUGCUUAGGUUGCUCUCUUCACAAGCAUAGAACGAUGGGCCUGAUCCCGCAGCUGGGGGAAGGGAACAAUGUUCUAUGUAGACGCGGUCGACAUCGGCGAGGGAGAAAACCCACAGUCGGUGCGUCCCAAUCGGGGGUCACCGCGGUAUGGGCCGAUGCCGCGUCCCAACCGCCCUUCUAGCUACAGCCCGACGUCCCAGGUAGUCCAUCUUCCUUUUGGAGCCGGCUUGCUCCAUUGCCGUAGCUCCAUCUCCAUGUCGAUCUUUCUCUACUUCUACCGGCUUCUACUUGUGAUGAGUUUAUGUCUCAUGAACUAGUGCCAGUACUAUUAUUCUAAUCACACUUCUUCAAUACCUUUGCCAUCAGGGAUGCUCAGGUCAAUUUUAGUGGAACUGCACAAAAGCAUCAUAUGAUCCGAGGGUGCCAGCCGUCUUUCCUUCGACAGGUUCUACCUGGCCAGGAAAUUAAAUCAUGUUUAGGGUUUAGGGUUUAAGUCAUAGUGACCCCAUCAGUAGUUUUUCUUUCGUACACGCUCUCAAAACUUUUUUCUUUAGUUGUGAAGUAAAUAUUGGCUAUGAUCUAUGAAUCAUUGAGACGCAUCAACAUGCGUGUUAGUUUUCCUUUGUAUUUGAUGGAAUGUUGUAACGGGGCAACCUUGGAAUAGGAAUGAAAUGGAGUGGAAAGUUUCCAUUUUUCCGGAGAAAAAAUGGAAACGGAAAGAAACCAACGUUUCAUUUUGUUGGAUCGCGCCAUCGAGCAAAACCAACAUUUAAAUCACGUCUGUCAUGUUCGUGUCUCACCCUCCUCCACGGCUCGACCCCACAUGGUCGCUCGGCAUGCCACUCACCGCAAACCGAGUAUACGAUAACUUUCCCGCUUGCUUGUCGAUGGAUCACGCCAUGGAGUACUAGCACUACUGGAAGAGAUUGACGAGUUGGGGGAGGACAGCUAGCUGUAGCACGGACUCCCAAGAACUUUUUACAUGCAUGUUGUAGCCGGCUAUUGCGACCUUUGAAUGCGGAGCAGCCGCGUGCACCCGGAAGCGGCACGGGCGACGCUCUCUCGGCCGGCGCGCCGCUUCAAUGCCGGCGCCAGUGAGAGGUCGUGUCCGCUCUGGCCAGGCAUGAAUGCGGCACUGAUCGUUUCGGAUGGGAGGCACGCGCCGGUGAUGAAGAGGGUUCGGGUUGGUCAGGACCGGCCGUGGCAGCGGUCCAGACGUGCGCAAACAAGAAAUGAUGUACGUUAAUAUUGCUGCGUAUAUAAUUAACAACGUAAAGAAUGUGCCAAUUGGACAAAUAUGAUUGGAGAUGGAGAUGGAAAUGGAAUUUUACGUAAACAUGGAUAUGCAUGUCUAUGUCUAUGUGUGUGUGCGCGAUGACUCUCGCGGCCUGGAAGCGGGACGUGUUUUUGAUUGAGUUUUCUUUCUUGGUACGUUAGAAAAUCAGUUUGUCUAAUUCACAUCUAGAUGUUAUUUAAGGAUAUCACAUCUAAGCUCCCACAAGUAUAUAAUGUAGCAACAAGAAACAAAAAAAACUAGGAAAAAAAUAGACCACAAACAGAGUGGACAUCAACUUAGGGUUUGCACUCUCCACACGCUCGCCGCACUACAUAUAUGUUACACGCUGGAGGCUCAGCGUUCAUUUGCUAGGGUUUGCUAUAUUCACAGUCUCUCACCCUCUCUUCACCAGAUCUAAACAAGAUUGUGUUGGCCUCUUAUCUCUCUCUCCCCCUCACAGCUAGUGAAUGAGGCGCCCGUAUCCCGUCGCACCGAGAAGGGGAGGAGGUGCAGCGUUCACUCUAUCGCCUUCGGCGAGGGAGGCAAUCCACUGUCGGCUGUGUUGUUCUCUUUCACCCAGUGCCAGUGCGGGAGGGCCACUGACCCCUUCUUCCUCGCUGUCGUACGUAGUGUGGGCAGAUCCGGCCUCCCGCCGCACACCUUGCCACAUUCCGACGACCCUAAGGUAUAAGUUUCUUUGAAACCGUCGUUGCUCUAGCUGCAUGUGGAUCUUUUUCGAUCUGUAGUCGAAUCUAGGUCUUGGUUCAAAGAGGAAAGAAUGUAGUGGUGGGCUGGAGCAAGAAUCUAGGACGUGGUUCAAUGAGGAAAGGAGGGGCGGAAAGUAGUAUAGACUGGCUAUCCAGCCGCUUUGUAGGUCGAAAAGGGAAAAAAGGGGUAACCCAGUACACACAUCUGUAAGGAACCGAUCUCUUUGUUGAAAAGGGAAAGAAACUGGGGGGUCGGGUAGUUUAUGCAGGACUAGAUUUGCUUCCCUCACAUAGGAAGAAGGUUCAAAGAGAACAAAUAUGGGACCAGUGCAUAUAUGCUGCUUGGCUACAUACUCUGCAUCACCCAUUUAUACGUGUGGACGCACAUGGUGCUGGCAUGUCCCAUAUAGCUAUUUUGCUGUUGUUAAUCUAAGAAUGCCGCCGGAAAAUUGAAGCAAUGCCACUGUUAAAAGUAAAUUACAUUUUUUAACGAAUAUUGUUUCAAGAAAAUGUCUCUGUUAAUAUGAAUCAAUGCAACCGUUUUAGAAAUGCUACUGUCCUAUUUUGUUUUCCAUCCAAGAUAAGUUAGAUGCUUAUUUCUAUCACCGUUUGUUUCAUCCUCCUUUAUCGGCAAGUAAUUGUUUCCUUUUUUUGCCUCUGUUAAAACAAGGGUAUCGAUUCAACUUGUUGUUAUUGCGACAUUUUGCUUCGCUACUCGAAACACUUAUGUUUUAAGAGUGUUUUGUGCAGUUUAACUUGAAUUUCACACCGGUGACUUUGCUUAAUUUUGGUGGAACUGCACAAAAGGAGAUCGAGAUUUCUUUCCAGUCUUCGUGGCGAGUUGUUUCAAAUCUUGGUCUCAACCACAUGAUGUGCAAUGUGCUUUGAUAUGUUGUGCUACUUGUUUUGGUACUGUUUUAAAUAAAUGUUGAAUUGAAGCUAUUGUAUUGCUGUCUUUUCCCAUUAAGUGGUGAACAAAAAUGGGACCAACCCAGACAUGAUGCUUGUUGCUUUGUUACAACAAAUUCAGCAUCACCCCCUUUAUAAGCCAGUAAUUGAUGCCACUCUCAGAAUUAACUACUGGAUCUUAUUUCAAAACUGCAACACUUGUUAGGGAUUGGCGGGAUUACCAUUUUUGUGGCUGCAUGUUUCAUCAUCCUUUAUUAGCCAGUAAUUGAUUCCUUUUUUGCCUCUGUUUAAACUGGGAUAUCUAUUCAACUUGUUGCUAUUGCGACAUUUUGCUUCACUAUGCGAAACACUUUGCUUGAUUUCAGUGCAACUGCACAAAACGAGAUUGGAUUUCCUAUUCGUGUUGGCAGAUUCGUAUUUUAUCUUGUCUGUCUCAUAAAAGGUCAGUACAGGCCUUCAUCCACAUGAUUGUGCAGUGUGCUUUGAGAUGUUGUGCUACUUGUAUUGGUACUGUUUUAAAUAAAUGUUGAAUUGAAGCUAUUGUAUUGUUGUCUUUUCCCAUUAAGUAGUGAACAAAAAUGGGACCAACCCAGACAUGAUGCUUGUUGCUUUGUUACAACAAACUCUACAUCACCCCCUUUGUAAGUAGAUGGAAGCACAUACUGUUGUUGCGCCCACUCUCCCCUAGAACUGUUUAUGCUUCUCGUUAAUCUAAUGCCGCUGGUAAAAUUAAGCAAUGCCACUCUCAGAAUUAAUUAACUACUGAAUCUUAGUUCAAAACUGCAACACUUGUUAGGAAUGGUACUAUCCUGCUUUGUAGUUCUUUCUACAUGUUUAACCAAGGUAUUGUUAAGAUAAUGUCUCUGUUGAAAUGAAUCAGUCGCAUUGUUUUAGGAAUGGUACUUUUCUGCUUUGUCGUUCUUUAUACAUGUUGAAAUAAGGCAUUGUUAAGAUAAUGUCUCAGUCAAUAUGAAUGAAUCAUACUGAUGGAGAAUUGCUACUCUCCUGCUUUGUUUCCCAUUAAGAUAAAGUAGAUCAGUAGAUGCUUUUCUUAUGAGAGUACAAGUCAUCAACCGCUAUUUCUCAAUAAUUGUUUCCCUUAUACCUAUUGUUGCUUACAGGGAUAUCAAAAUUAAAGCUCGGUUUUAUUCCGACUUCGAUUUUAGUUGAACUGCACAAAAGGAGCCAAUGUGUCCAAGGCAAACUGCUGCCUGGGUCCAGUUGGUCGUUCCACUUUGCAGAAAGAAGCAGUCACUGUUUGCGCUACAUUACAGAAGGAAUGACCGAGAAGCUUUACAGAGUAUUAUUAGACACCGGUGACAUGACUACUCUGCAAAGACCAUUGGCAAUUUAACAACACGUGGAGUGCCCUGGGCAAAAAGUUCCCAAAUAAGUACAAGAAGCUACGACAGGACGAUCAUAGGCAUUACAUAUUUUGAAUUGGAAAAGCUUGUCAAAGUUUAAUCAUUGAUGUUAGCAAGAAGACGUUAGUUUAAUAUAUUGGAAUUGGAAAACCUUGUCAAAAUUUGCUCAUUGAGGUUAGCCAGAAGACAUGCAUUUGAUAUUUUUGAGUGGGACGCCCUUGCUAUGAGUAGCGUCGAGUAUUUUUUCCUAUUCCUGUGUUCAGUUUAGAAGUAAAUAGUUACUCUGCUGAGAUAUUCCUGUGUUAAGUGUUUGUUCUGAAUAUUGUCUAUGUAAUGUCAGGCCUUGUGUUUGAUUGCAAAGUUGAGCUUGGAAUGUUGUGGCAUGCGGCAUCACGAGCUGUUCACCGUGCCUCCUGAGAAUAAUGCUUCGUAUUGUUUUGCAUGUCGAUCUAAUGCCAGUGAUUUGCUGGUUAAGAAGGUCAUCCUCUUCUGUUGUUUCCGUGCUUAAGAAGUUCAUCGUCUGAUGUUUCAUUCAUAGCCUAUACGAUAAGUCGGGUAGGUUAGACGUGAAACCAUAUAAUCUUCCGACCAACUCAUGAUAUUAGGCCGUGAUUGGAUCGUCGUUUUCCAACCAAAACCGCUUGUAAAACUGACACUUGUAAAUUAAAGCAGAUGGUCUCGGGCGAAGGCGCUUGGUUGGUCGAUUUAGACUAGUAAAAUAUCGGAAGUACUUCACACACGAUAAAAACGCUGAACGACACUCGGACGAUUGCUAAUCCAUCCGUUAGCUGCUGUUUCAGCCUUGCCCAUGGAUGGCAUGAUGCGCACAUCGUGCAUGUAUCAUCUGGUAAUGUCGUCCAUAUAGCAGUGCUCAUAAAAUAUACACUGGUCUCUCAAAUUACACGCGUAACCCGCCGGUUUUACUUACAGACCUCGGGCCCUCGGUUUCAUUACGCCUGUAUUUUACGCGUUGUUUCCGAUGACGAGUAAAUUACACUUGUAUGUUAAUAUAGGUUUGAAAUAAACCAGAGCUCCCAAGCGCGGCCUUACCGUUUCAUGCCAUCUCAGUUUCUUGAAGGUUCUCAUAAGUGUACGAUGAUCUUGGCUUCCUGAAUGAGCAGCAGGCGCUGUAUCAGACCAUCCAUAGGGACCGCGAGGCCCUCUCCGUUGUCCUUCGAGUUGUUGCGCUCGCCAUGGCGCCGAGCAUUGUUAACAUCGUCAACGAACAUGAGGAUUCAGGAGAUGACUUUAUUUUGACUGGAUGACACUAGGGACCCACUAGGGCCAUAGUCGUACAUACGCAAGUGCCUCCUUAUUAUGUACAACUAUAUUUUUUUUUGCUUUCUCCUGGUUUCCUCACAUCACGGUCCCACACCAUUGUCAACCUAUGUAGUCAAUAUAAACGAGAGAAUUGCACAAGGUGCAGCCGACAGCUGGGACCAAGCAGCUCGAGCAGUAUUUGUGUUUUUGAGGCGUGAGCACUGCAGAGUUUUUCUUGGCGAUGAUUUCGUUGUUGUUCAGAGGAGAGCGGGGUAUUAACUGGGCGGGCUGUGGCCCGUCUAGCCCAGGCCAGAUAUCCAGCCCACAUACUAAUUUUUCAAGAUGAAAAUGGCUAGCCCAGCUAUACGUCUUUUUGAGGAAUACCCAGGCAAGGUCAACUUGUUAUUCUCCGUCCCGCUGGGCUGCAAAUCUUUUCUAGGAGGGAUGCAUUAGGCUUAACAGGAAAAUGGGCUUUAAAAAAUAAUAAAUGAGAUAUAAUUAUAAAAACUGGGCAGUAACUAUAAAAAAAUGCACCAAACACGAAAUUAUUUUAUAAAAUAUUAUUUAUGGAUUUUGAAAAUCUUAAAUUUUCAUUGUUGCGUGCACAAUGUUUCGUUGGAUUUUUACGUAAUACAAAUUUAUAUUUAAUCUGAUUAGAAAUUUUGGGAUAAAAUUAUUUCGGAUCCCAUCAAAAUGUGAGAAAUUUUAUUGAAUUCUGUCUUCAACGAUUGGUUGAAAUUAUUAAUCGUUGUCCUAGCUAGAAAAUGGGUUGUACUUUUAACAAACUGUAAAUGGGCUGUUGUAAAUUCCAUUAGAAUUCAAAAAUGGGUUGUACAUUCUUAUAAAACGCAAAUGGGCUAUAAGUUCUCUGCCACACACUUGUGGGCCUACUAAGUGACGCGUCCCCUAAAAAAUAUAAGUUGACGCGUAUGCAAGGCUUUGUCAACUUAUUAUAGUCAACACACGGUUCUAGCAGCAGUGUCCGUUGGAUGUCUAUCCAAUGGAUGUCGUGCUUCUUCUUCAAUCUCGGAUAUUCUUAGGUUCGGUCGCCCAAAAAAUGAUUUCUCCCCCUGACAUCUGGGGCACACCGUUUUGGAGGCUGACCUGUGGGCCUACUAAGUUGGAGCGUACCAAGGGCUUUGUCAACUUAGUCAAUAUAAACGAUUCUAGCUUCAGUGAUCGUACGAUGUCCAUCCAACGCCCGUAGUGCUUCUUCAACCUCUGAUCUUCUUGGUCCAGCCGCCCAAAGUAGCGCCGGUCGUGCCGCCUGCUCCUGCCUCCCGUGGCCGGCUAUGCUGCCGCGGAGACCUCACCGCCCCCAUACUACUCCCAUCGCUGGCCAGGCCAUCCCUCCACUCACCCACACCCCCUGUUAUUCUGCGGCGACGGCAGCCUCACACCGCAGCCGAACCAGUGAACGCUCGUACUUCUCUCCGCGUGGGCAUCCACUACCGCGUCUUGCCUGGCUCCGCGUCAUCCCCUUCCUAGGCCUCGCCGUCGUCCACUACCGUGGUGCUCUCGGCGCGGCGUGGUCAAUAUGGUCAACGACCGACUUCCAUCGGAAGAGUACUAUACGUGGAGAGGCUGACAGCUGGGUCCACGGCAGCCGCAAGGAAGUGCCUCCUUAUUACGCGGAAAAUAAUUAUUCCUCCACCUGACAGCGGGGACCCAUCGGACGGGCCACCAGUAUUUUGCAAAAAAAAUCGUUCCCCCUGACUGUUGGGACCCACCGGACGGGCCACCGUAUUUCGCGAAAAAAACAUCCUCCCCCCCCCCCGCUGUCAGCUCAGACCCACCGGAAGUGCCUCCUUAUUACGCACAAAAAAUGAAUACUCCCCCGGCUAGCUGGGACCCACCUUGGUGGGAGGCUGACUUGUGGGGCUAUUAAGUUGACGGGGACGAAGGGCUUUGUCAACUUAGUCAAUAUGAACGAUUCUAGCUCCAGUGACCGUACGAUGUCCAUCCAACGUCCGUAGUGCUUGUUCAACCUGGCCUUCUUGCUCCAGCCGCCCAAAGCAGCGCCGGUUGUGCCGCAUGCUCCCGCCUCCCGUGGUCGGAUGUGCUGCCGCAGAGGCCUCACCGCCCCUACUAUUCCCACCGCUGGCCAGGCCCUGCGGCGACGGCAGCCUCGCACAACAGCCGAAUUAGUGAACCCUCGUACACCUCUCCGUGCGGGCUCCCACUGCUGCAUCUUCCCCGGCUCCGCAUCGUCCCUUCCUCGGCCUCGCCUGGUCCACCGUCGUGGUGCUCUACGCGCGGCGUGGUCAACGUGGUUAAGGAACGAUUUCCAUCGAAAGAGUACUGUACGUGGAGAGGCUGACAGCUGGGUCCACGGCCACAUCCCAGUUUUUUUGUGAUUUGCCAAGUCGCUUUGUCAGGCCUGUUGGGCUGCAAAUCUUUCAAGACGAGGAGAGCUUUCAUUCGGCUGGACAAGAAAAUGGCCCAUCAGUAAUGAGAAAUGGAUUGUACAUUUUUAAAACACAUCAAACCGGCAAUUAGUUUCAAAUAUCUUUUUUUCAUUUCAAGAUUUUAAAUUACAUUAAUUUUUAUGCGUGGAGAAUUUGUUGGAUUUUAUAUUGAUAUACAUUUAUUUUUAAAAUCAGUUUGAAUGUGAGUCGAAAUUUCGGAAUUAAAAAUAGUUCAGACCGCACGGAAAUAUGCAAAAAUUCGUAUAAUUUUUUAAUCAUGGCCACAAUAUGGGUUGUAAUGCUAAUAAAAAGAAUAUGGGCUCCAAAACAACCUUAAGAAUUAGCAAAUUGGCUGUAAAUUAUUAGAAAUAAUGGCAGAUGGGUUAUAUGUUGUUUUCCACAGAUUUGAGGAUUUUCUAAAAAAAGGUUGACACACAAGCACUGACUGUUGGAUGUCCAUCCAACGGCCGUCGUGCUUCUUCAAUCUCUGCUCUUCCUGCUCCAGCCGCUCAAACAAGCACCGGCAGGACUACCUGCUCCCUCCUUCCCGCGGCCGGUUGUGCUGCCGCGCAGGCCUCACCGCCCCACCGUACUCCCAUCGAUGGCCUAGUCAUCCCUCUACUCACCCACACCUGCUGUUAUUCUUCGGCGACGGCAGAAGAAUCAGUAAACCCUCGUACAGUCGUACUCCCCUCCGCGUGGGAAACAACUGCCGAGUCUUCCCUGCCUCCGUGUCGUCCCCUUCCUAGGCCUCGCCGCCGUCCACCGCCGUGGUGCUCUCGGCGCGGCGUAGUCAAUAUGGUCAACGACCGACUUCCAUCGAAAGAGUACUGUACGUGGAGACGCUGACAGCUGGGUCCAUGGCCGCAGCAAGGAAGUGCCUCCUUAUGACGCGCAAAAUAAUUAUUCCUCCACCUGACAGCGGGGACCCACCGGACGGGCCGUCGUAUUUCGCGAAAAAAUGUUUUCCCCUUGACUGCUGAGACACAUCAGCUACACCUUCGCACGCAAGGAAGUGCGUCCGGGCAAAAAAACAAAACGAUUCGCCCCGCUGACUGCUGGGACCCACCAACUACAUCUUCGCAUGCAAGGAAGUGUCUGACAGUCGGGACCCACCUGGUCGAAGUGUACGUAGCGUUGUCAUUCUGGUCGCGAAUGUGUACGUACAUAUAUACUGGUGGAUGUGGAGGCGCGCACAUGUCAUAGUAGAGGCGCGCACGUAGCAUGUACACGUACGUACAACGGCCAUGGUGCAAGAAAGAAAAUACGGCCACGUAUGUGUACAUACGGGCGGGGUCUCGAAUGCCUACUCGCGCAUACGUACGGUGAGGGCUCGUUGACAUGGUUGGGUCGAAACGGAGAAACAGCGUUGUCGUCGUGUUCACGGGGAGGCAAUGGAAUGCGUCGUGUUCAUCGGGAGGCAACGGAACGCGUGGGAGCCAACCGGCUGGGUCGUAACGGAAUGUGUGGUCGUGUUCAUCGGGAGGGCUUGGACGGAACAGGCGAUGGAAACAAGGCCUGACAUACCGCACAAUGAAGGAAACGGACCUCCUACAUUCGGAACGGGGUCCUAUUGAUCGGGAGGGGUCUGGCAUACCGCAAAACAGAGGAAACGGGCCUCCUACGGUCGAAACGGGGGUGUGGCGUACCGCAAAACGGACGAAACGGACCUCCUAAGGUCGAAACGGUGGUCUUGUUCAUCGGGAGGGGUCUGGCGUACCGCAAAAUGGGACUCCACGGGAUACUGUUCAUCUCUACCGUCAACCUCCUCCAGUCUUCAUGGGCUACCGUCGACCUCCUCUAGCCUCCACAGGCUCCUGUUCAUCCAGCCUCCACCGCGCUCUACUCCACCAACUACUAUUCAACCACCCCUCCAUGGGCACCCCUCCACCGUCUACUGUUCAUCCAGCCCUCCACACCAUGGGGUCCUGUUCAACCACCCUCCAUGGGCACCCCUCCACCGUCUACUGUUUAUCCAGCCCUCCACCACACCACGGGGUCCUAUUCAUUCAGAGGCAACGCCACAGCUCACUGUUCAUCCAACCCCCCCUCCCCGCAACGCUCACUGUUCAUCCCAGAGGCAGCAUCGAUCGGCUUCAGUUAGCAGCAGUAGCGAAGGAAUCGCUCAAUCGGGUUUAGUUAACAGCCAUCGAUCGAUCGCUCGAAUUCAGUAACGUGUAGCCUGCAGUGCAAUUGCUCGGGUUCAGUUAGAGCCCAACGCCUCGCUCGGGUUCAGUUAGAGCCAACGCCUCUCACACACGCGCCUACGUGUACGAGAGAAACGCGCAUCGCUCUGCCCCCGACCUCCCACCGUAACCGGGAACUCCCCGAAAUUUUCCUCGCCCUUGCUUCUACCAUAAUUUUUUCCAUCAUGAACGGCCCAAAGAAUGUCAUGCAGCUGCGUCUCCGGCCCGCCCAGGACGAAAAGCACAUUUUCUGUCAUAGAAGUAGGAGCCCACAACAUCUAUGAUGAUACCGGGUUUUGUCACAAUUACCGUCAUACAAGUGUCAUAUGUAUGACGGAAAAAAAAUCGUUCGGCCCAAAAUGUCACGGAUGUGUCUUUUUUUGUAGUGUAUGGUUAGGUUUACCUUAAUACUUCUAUUGUAGUUGCGGAUGCUUGCAAUAGGGGUUAAUCAUAAGUGAGAUGCUUGUCCAAUUAAGGAGAAUACCCAAGCACUGGUCCACCCACAUAUCAAAUUAUCAAAGUACCGAAUGCGAAUCAUAUGAUCGUGAUGAAAACUAGCUUGACGAUAAUUCUCAUGUGUCCUCGGGAGCGCUUUUCUCUAUAUAAGAAUUUGUCCAGGCUUGUCCUUUGCUACAAAAAGGAUUGGGACAUCUUGCUGCACCUUAUUUACUUUUAUUACUUGUUACUCGUUACAAAUUACCUUAUCACAAAACUAUCUGUUACCGAUAAUUUCAGUGCUUGCAGAGAAUACCUUGCUGAAAACCACUUAUCAUUUCCUUCUGCUCCUCGUUGGGUUCGACACUCUUACUUAUCAAAAGGACUACGAUAGAUCCCCUGUACUUGUGGGCCAUCAAGAGGCGCGGAUCCAAGAGCUAGAUCUCCACUAUAUUUCAAGACCUCAACCAACACCAAACAUGUCACCAACAAUACAUAGACGAGUCUGGAGGAUCAAACUACAAAGGUAAGUGUUUCCGCCACACCAACAAAUGUCUAGACAUCCAAGUGUUUUCCAAGGCCUCGCAGCAGCACCGGAGACAUCACGAACUAGACAGAGACGAGAUCAGAUGAUCAAACUGCAAAGGUAAGCGUUGCCGCCACGCCAACGAACCAUGGAGACGAUAACCUUGGUUGGUGAUCUUAUGCAUGAGGCCUGUGGAAAAUAAUGGGGGUCUAGCUCUUAAACCCUAUUAAAAAUUGUGGAUAGUAUUAGAGGUCUAGCUCUUAAACUCUAUAGGAAAUAAGUGAAGGUCUAGAUCUCGUCUUUGUCUUGUUGGAUUAAACCCCUAAUAGUAUUAAAUUGCCAACCCUAUUAAAAAUUCAAUUCAAUAAAAUGCAUAGAACUUUUAUCUAUUUUUUGUGAAAGGAACUUUUAUCUAUUUAAAGUGAGGGAUUUCACAUGAUGAUUUCUCUUGCAAACCCUAUAUGUUCUUCCAAUAUUAUUAGGGAGCUACAACAACUAUUCCAACAAAUUAUAUUGCCCCUUUAUUUAAUAAUGAUUAACUUGACCAUUCUCCCUUUUGAUGUUUUAGCAUCAGAUGGACUCUUAAACUUAGCAAAUACCCCUCUUGGGCUUUUUAUGAGCAACUCAAAUUAUUCCAUAGUUUUUACCCCAAGCCUAUGACCUAGCCCUAGUUCAAACCUCCUUUAUGCCUUCUCCGCCAUUUUAUUCCUGAACAUUGCCAAACCUUGCCCAAAUGACCUAGUUAUUUUUUUGGCCUUGAUAUAUACUCCCUCAGUUAUUAAAUAUAAGUCUUUUUAGAUAUUUCAAUGCGGACUACGUACGAAGCAAAAUGAGUGAAUCUACAAAUCUAAAAUAGGUCUAUAUACAUCCGUAUGUAGCCUUUAUUGAAAUCUCUAAAAGGUCUUAUAUUUAGAAAUAGAAGGAGUACGAGAGAAAGGACAUUUAAAUUUUACACUAUUUGGAUUCCAUUUGGCCCCUCAAAUAUUUUCCUAGAGAAUUCUUUUCAAUUUUCUAAAAAUAAAAUAGAAAAUAUUAAUAAAAACCUACUUCCCUCUCUCUUGUCGGUCUAGCCCACGAGUCUCCUACGUAUCCUACAUCCACACGCGCUGUGCAACGCCCAACCGCUGGGAGCUCCUAUUCGGCGCUGUAGGCGUCCAUUGGAGAAAGUGGCGCCUAUAGCGACCAGCAGCGGGCCAUGGGCCAUUAACAUUGCUCACGUGAGCCUGUUGGAUUCACUUUCUGUCACUCGCUAAAAGAAGCAUUCGCUACAUCGACUCGCCUUGCUGCAUUUUUUCUUGCUGUGCUGCGUUGCUGGUUCAGGAAAAAGAUCGGCCUGCGGUUUUUUACGAUUUUGAAUAUGUACGUGAAAUAAAAAACUUCACAGAUUUAUUAGAAAAAGUAGUGGUUUAAAAAAGUUCACGAAAUUGGGAAAAGUACACAAAUAAAAAAUCAUGAAUUAUGAAAAAAAUCAUCAAUUUUAAGAAAAACAUCCAUGAAUUUGAAAAUAGUUCAUCGGUUUUGAAAAAAAUCAUCGAAUUUGAAAUAUGUUCAUCGAUUUGGGAAAAAAGAUCACCGAUUUUGGAAAAAACAACACCAAUUUCAAAAAAGUUCACAAACAAUUCAAAAAAAAGUUCACCAAAUUCGAAAAAAAAUCAUCAAAGUAUGAAAAAGUUCAUUGAAUUUGAAAAAGGUUCAUCAAUGUUAAAAAAAUUCUUCAAAUUUGAGAAAAGAUUCAUCGAAUUUGAAAAAAAGUUCAUCGAAUUUGGAAAAGUUCUUUGAAUUUUAAAAAAAUCAUCAUUUUGGAGAAAAUUUAAUCAAAUUUGAAAAGGUUCAUAGUUUUUGAAAAACUUGAAUUUUAAAAAGGAAAAAGAAAAAAGAAAACUCGAAUAAACUUGCCCCGAAAACAGCCAGUGAUUUGGUAAAAAAAUGGGUUCCCAAAACCGGAUGAUUCUCACGAUUGAAGAGAUAAUAAAACGAAGGAAAAAGGUUAGAAGAGCACCAGUCCUUUGAUUCAAUGGCCUGGUGGUUACGCUCAUUUUCUUCGAGGGAGCGAAGUCUGGCGCUGCAUCAUUUUUUGGGCAAACCCUAAACAGCGCCCGUUCCUUCGAUGUGCGCAAACGGGCGCACACCCCCCAUGCCAAGAUGGGCCGGCCCAUAUUGCCUCUCAUUUUUCCGUCUAGUGAUGCAAAAAAAGUGGGGAGCAGCAGGCUUCAAACCCACAAGCACGUCAUGCAAGCAAGCCACGGUAGCCAUAUCAACCAAUACCACAGACAUGGUCAUUCAUUUCCUUCUUCUUUUCCUUUUCUUUUUCCUAUUCUUUUUUUCCUUUUUCUAAUUCUACGAGAAUAGUUCAACGGAUUUCAUGAACGUUCUUUGAAAUUUGGUGAACUUUUUUCAAUUCAAUGAAUUUUUUGAAAUCAUAUGAAUUGUAAAAUCAACGAACUUUUUUAAAUUGGUGAACUUUUUUCAAAUUCGAUGAACUUUUUUUUGAAUUCGAUGAAUUUUUUUCAAAUCCAAUGAACUUUUUUUUUAAAAUUUGAUGAACUUUUUUCCAAAAUAAGUGAACUUUUUAAAAAAUUUGUGAACUUUUUCUGAAAUCAAUGAACUUUUUUUCAAAAUCUAUGAACUUUUUUAAAAUCGAUGAACUUUUCUAUUUUUUAUGAACUUUUUUUUCCUUUUUCGUGAUGUUUUUUGAAAUCUGUGGACAUUCAAAUUUUGGUCAAUUUUUUUUCAGAAGGAAACACAGUUUUCUAUAUAGCGCGGUUAAACUUUACCUCUCAGAUCUUCCGCGUUGCAACCUUUUCAGUUGUGCAUAGUUGAUCUAGUGGUUAGAUUACCAAGCGCUGCAGCUUGUUCGUUUGUGUUCGAAUCCUCCCAGUAGCGAAGAUUCGCCGUGGACUUUUUGUGCCAGAAAUACAUUUUUUCAGUUGCCUGCGUAUUCAUGGGCCGGCCCACUAGUGGGCUGCAGUGGGCGCCUGGAUCCUCAACCGGCGCUUAAGGCGCCCUUUAUGAGCUCUCCAUUUUUUUGAACUGGACGUUUUAAACAGAAGGAAAAAAAAAGGAUAGAUGGGCCGAGCCCAAUCAGAAGCACCAAAUACGAUCCGCCCCAACCACCUAACCCUGCGCGAGUCCCAGCCAAACCCACCAAUUACCUCGAUUGCCAUAUUUGUACAUUAAUCAAAUUAAGAUAUGAUAGCUCUAAAAAAUCAAAUUAAGAUCUGAUUAGGAAAAAAUAAAAUAUAUACGUUUUUUCUCCAAAAUAUCACAAAUAAAUAAAAGUAUGAAAAUUUAGAGUAAUAUAAUUUCGAAUAUAAGUUAAUAAAAACAUCAGUAACCAAAUAUGUAAUGAAAUCCUAUAAAAAGAUGUUUGAAUAUUUUUGCGCCAGAAAUACAUUUUUUCAGUUGCCUGCGUAUUCAUGGGCCGGCCCACUAGCGGGCUGCAGUGGGCGCCCGGAUCCUCAACCGGCGGUUAAGGCGCCCUUUAUGAGCUCUCCAUUUUUUGAACUGGACGUUUUAAACAGAAGGAAAAAAAAAGGAUAGAUGGACCGAGCCCAAUAAGAAGCGCCGAAUACGAUCCGCCCCAACCACCUAACCCUGCGCGAGGGCGGAUCCUAUUUGACGCCCGCAGGCGUCAGAAGGAAGCCGCGACGCUCACGUGCGGUAUCAGUUGGGCCGGCCCACUUCGGGUUUCACGUGCGGGGUUCUUUUUCGUUCGCUGUUCGGGGGCAGCUCGCUUCUGUUUCGUACGAUAUCUGCUGCAUUUCUUUUGGUUUUCUUUCUCUAGUUUUCUUCUUUCGUUUUCUGUUUAGAUUUUUCUUUACUCUGCUUUUGUGGGCUUUUCUCUCUUCCAGGUUUGGUUUCUCGACCGGUUUUUGUUCCGAUUUUUUUCCUUUUCAGAUUUGCUUUUCUUUGGUUUAUUCUUUCAUUUUUUUUGUUUAUUUUUUUUCGUUUUCUUCUCUUUUCUGUGUAUUAUACAAAGAGCUCACACGUGUAUUUACAAAAAUGUUCUUCAUACAUUUAAGAAAAUGUUUUCUGUAUACUAAAAUAAUGUUCAUUGUACUUUUUUAUAAAUUAUUCAAUGUGUAUUUCAAAAUUGUUCAACGUAUAUCCCAAAAAUGUUCACUGUGUAUUUAUAUAUUGUUCAUUGUAUAUCAAAAAAUGUUCAAUGUGUAUUUAAAGAUUGUUCAGCGUAUAUCCCAAAAUUGUUCACUGUGUAAAUAUUGUUCAUCGUAUAUCACAAAAUGUUCAAUGUGUAUUUCAAUAUUGUUCAGCAUAUAUCCCAAAAAUGUUUACUGUGUAUUUAAAUAUUGUUCAUCGUAUAUCACAAAGUGUUCAAUGUGUAUUUAAAUAUUGUUCAGCGUAUAUGAAAAAUGGUCGAUGUGUAUUUAAAUAUUGUUCAACAUAUAUUACCAAAAUGUUCAAUGUCUAUAGGAAACUUGUUCAUCCUAUAUAAAAAGUUUCAAUAACUGUUCGGAAUUUCAAAUUUGUGCUCAUGUUUUUAAAUUUGUUUUCACUUUUCCAAAAAAUUGUUCACGUUUGAAAUUUGUUCAAAAUUUUCAAACAUUUUUCAUAUUUUAAGAAAAAUUAUUCACAUUUUCUAUAGGAAAUGGAGAAAUAAAACCGGAUCUGCCGCUGUACUAAGUACUACUUUGAAGUUAACGCUGCAGUUGAGCUUUCAAUGGUUGCUAGUUCGACUGGUGUUGCUUGCUGCUGUCGCAAUUGAGGUAAUCGGUUCGACUCCAUAUCCCCGUUUUUAUUUUUCUUGAUAUUUCCUUCGGCGUUGCGAAUGGGCCGGCCCGUACGCGCGCUCGUUUCAGCGAAGGCUCAACCCUCUGCCGCUCGCGGGCGGCGAACAGGAGCUCUCCUGCGCGAGUCCCAGCCAAACCCACCAAUUACCUCGAUUGCCAUAUUUGUACAUUAAUCAAAUUAAGAUAUGAUAGCUCUAAAAAAUCAAAUUAAGAUCUGAUUAGGAAAAAAUAAAAUAUAUACGUUUUUUCUCCAAAAUAUCACAAAUAAAUAAAAGUAUGAAAAUUUAGAGUAAUAUAAUUUCGAAUAUAAGUUAAUAAAAACAUCAGUAACCAAAUAUGUAAUGAAAUCCUAUAAAAAGAUGUUUGAAUAUCUUUUCAAGGGUAUACGGCAAGGAACUUUAAUAUAUUGGUAAGGGAUAGUUAAAUGUUAUUUAUAUCUUUCUUACAAAAAUAGCACAUAACUGCCUACCAAUAGAUUGCUCUAAAAAAAUACUCCCUCCGUUCCGAAUUACUUGUCUUGGAUUUGUCUAGAUACGGAGGUAUCUAGAGUCUAGAUACAUCCGUAUCUAGACAAAUCCAAGACAAGUAAUUCGGAACGGAGGGAGUAGCUUUAUAUUUAGGUUUGGGUUUGCCAAAUUGUAAUGUAUUAAUUAUUUCCCUAUUUUAGCAUGACUAGUUAAUUUCCUAUCUCCAAACAUGUUUAAAGAAACAAAAAGGAUUGGCAGCAUAGGGAGAGGGCAUCCUAUAUAAAAGGCAUCCAUUGGCAUUACACUAACAUAUCAGAAUCUGUAGAGUAACAUAGUUCUAGCGACUGUAACAAGAGACGAGGACUACAUAAAUUCUACUCUUGGGCCUUGCCCUCGUCCUUCUAUAUAGCAUCUGGUAUCUUCAAUGCCUACAUGCCUUAUCUACAUGUUUUGUUAAGCCCUCUAACACAUGUGACAGUUUUCAUGCCUAAUGAUCUUCCUCUAUUCUAUCUUGAUAUUGAUCUAUAGGCAUCAUGGAAACCAUCGAGGCACGUGGUCCUCAAAUUGAAAAGGGGAAGUGUAAUAACAAUGAUUGUGUGAAUUAUUGCAAGAUGGUGAAUGGCUAGGAGUAGGGUUGUGUCCCUGAGGGAUGCAGGUGUGUAUCGUGCUGGAAAGAUCCACAAUGCUCAGGGCCAGAAGUACCACCACCUCCAAGACACUUGAUGUAACAUUUUCUUUCAUGCUUGUGGUAUUAAUAUAAAAAA
Molecule: long non-coding RNA, 187818 nt
Filed under: Triticum aestivum (bread wheat)
Lineage: Eukaryota; Viridiplantae; Streptophyta; Magnoliopsida; Poales; Poaceae
Description: long non-coding RNA (TAES_LNC008927)
Rfam family: MIR1120/MIR1122 microRNA precursor family (bases 187074-187198)
Source: RNAcentral